UGCCACAAACAUGCAUGGAAGACAGCAAAAUAUGGAACCACUUCAGCUUGGGAAACAUAAGACAUAAUUGGGCACAAGUUUUCUUCACAAUGCUCACAUAACUUUACCACUAGAAACCAUGAUAUGGAUUAACAUAAAGUGGGUGGAACUUAACUAACAGGACCACAAGUUCUUAUUCAUGCCAGGAGAUGGCUAACUGGAUCAACUAACUUAGCAGUGCAAACUCAGGAGGCCAGAACCAAAAGUAGUACUAUCUGAAGACUCCAAUGCAUAAGCAUUCAGAUCCAUAGCGCUUUAGACUUGUUAAUUCUAUUUGGAGCUGCCAGCUUCUUGAUCUUUCAUGCUUGUUUUCUUCUUCUUCGAGCCACCAGCUUCUUGAUCCUUCAGACUUGUUUCCUUCGUGUUAGAGCUACUAGCCUGAAAACGGCAAAUAUCAAAAGACAAAAUCAAAUACGGAGUAAGUUGUAAGUUGGAGGUACUGAAUUGGAGACCCCCAAAUGCGAUUCAAAACUGCCAACAUAUCAUUUCAUUGCAACCAUUUUCGUGUUUGGCUGACUGGGGUUGCAGUUUGCCGGGGAUUCGCUGACUUGAAGCUGACUUGUCCACUUGUGAGCCGUCUGAUUUCAAAUCAACGACUCGGAUUUGAUGCUCACGUACAGUGAAAUGACUUAGGCCACUCACAUACGAUCCGGCGGUUCAGAGUAGCCAAGUCACAUACUGUAAGCUGUGACUUAGCCACUCUACCUAAGUCAGCCAAGCUGCGCGGGUCACAGUUAUGGUAUGGGCUGCUCUACCUUGACAGUGGCCAAAACAACUCGAUAAUCUUUAACUGUUGUCAGCCAAUUUGGGGAGAACAUGUGAAGAGAAGCGGAAACACCAAUGACCGUACUAGUGGGUAAUGAGUACUUUUUACGAUUGGGAAGGAACUUUCGUCCUUCAGUUUGGCAAUUUUGGAAAAACUGUAAAUGGAUUUUUCAGUAAUAGACACGGUCAUUGUCUCGUAGGCAACAGAAACUACAUUGUAUAGAAUUCUUAACAUUGAUGCCCGGCCGGGUAACAUUAGCUUGGUUAGUGGGUUCUAGCCACUUUUCUGAAAUUUAGAUCCGUAACUGGAUCAACAACUAAGAAAUCGGGAAUUCACUUUGGCUCAUAUAGAUGCAUAUACAUCCAUUGUCUAAAUACACAUCCACAAACAAGUGAUUAUUAGCAAAAUGUUCUAAUAAACAGUACUACCUCUAGAAAAAAAGAUGUUUUGCAAGAGAUAAAAGUGCAGUCAAGCAAGAAAAUGAGAGGAGAAACAAUUUUGGCGCACCUUGAGGGUGGGGUGUGGCCAUGCCAUGAAAUAGGGGUGCACCCGUGCAUCGAAUGUGAAGAAGUCUGCCUCCAACUCGGGCCUGGUGGUGCAUUCCCGGACAUUAAGGCCGCCAUUCUCCGUGCCCAUGAAGAGCGCCAUCGUCCGUGCCCAUUCUCCUGGUCGGAGGGCGUUCUUCAGGCGAAACCCGUAAUAGUGGAGCCCGCCAUUCUUCGUGCCCAUGGAGAGCAGCACGACGCCGGCGGUCACAUCGCAGACCUUCUGCACUCCGCCUCGAAGCAGAUACCAUUUGGAAGCAUCCACCUCCAACUGUAGCUCCCAGGACUUGUCCUCCUCCAUGCGGAACCAUACCUGCAGGACGAGCUUGCGACUCAUGGCCACGAGGCAGGUUGUGCCGUCCUCCGUUUCUCCUACGGCGUACGACCAUGGCUCAUAGUGCAGGUUAUGUGGGAGCUCGACGUGGGAGAACUCCAUGGCGCCGACAUCGAGCGCGGUGAGCUGAUCUCCUGUAAUGCUCCUCCAAUAGAUGCGCCCACCGGCGUGCAUGGGCCAGCCGAGCUUGGAUUCCCUCGGUCCAUUAAUACCUUUGGGCGCCCACGAGUGGGAGCACCACUCGCCCGUGCGGGAGCUGUAGACGCGUGCGCGCACCCUGCCGCCCUUCUUCUCCAGGGAGAGCACACUGAAGGGGGUUUGACCGCCGCCGCACGCCGGCAGGAAGCAAUGGAGCGAGUCGCGGGAGAUGUGGUUGUCGGGUAUAGGUAUACGCAGUCGUGAGCGGGAGACGGGGUCGAACACCACCAGCUGACUGUGGCUGCUGAGGAGUAGGAGGCCGUGGCGGCAGUCCAUGAGGCGCCCAUCGUAUUCGAGAUCCGUGAGAUGGAAGUCGCCGCGGCGGACGACGGCGGCGAGGUGGCGGUCGCGGCGGAGGAGCGCGCGGUGGAAGGUGGGGACGGCGCCGUCGGUGACCGACACGAAGUAGCCGAGUAACGGAGCCCGGGAAAGGAAGGGGUUCAAGACGGCAGGGGAGGAGGCGACGCCGCACAGGCGCGGGCAGGAGAGGGCGGCGCUGGCGAGCGAGGGCAGCGACGGGAGGCGGCUGAGGAUCUCGGCGAGCAUGUCGUCGCCGAGGGACACGAGGGAGGUGGGCUCGGAAUCGCGCUUGCGCUUGGGGCCGGGCGGGCUGUCGGUUGUCAUCUCAGCGGCGUAGGCAGGCAGAAUGGCGGUGGCGAGGUGGUCGGAGCCUGGGAGGUGGAGGAGAGUUUAUGUGGAACGAGCCAUGGGGCUGGGGAGAUCAGAUCUAGAUGCGCACGCACCGUCCAUGCUUGCCAAUCCAGACCAGAGUAGGCGCAAGUGGGAAAGCUGGGAGGUUUCUCAAAAAUGUGGUCAAACAGGGAGGCUCCAACACGCCAUGGCCCCAUGUAACCAUGCAACGUCGCAUCGCACUGCAGCUACUACUCCUACUGAUGCCUAGCUGCUAGGCUAGGAGCGCAAUCGAGUCCACAAACGAGGCAGCAAGGCACACCCCCGACGUGAUGUCUAUUGACCACGGCAUUUGAUGCGUUUUACCGCAGACCAGCCCAGUGAAACAAAAGAUGUUACUUUACCUAGCUUCGGUCCAUUAGCACUGAAUCCAACCUAAUAGUACAAGUCUCAGUCCACUCCUUAACCGUCAGAUUUAUUGCUGCUUUUAGAUGCGUGUAACAUGCGUUUAAUUGUAAAUUGGCCCCUGUAGAGGACGAACUGGGUGGGCUGCUUUCGCUCCUUGUUUUUUUCUGUUGGCUUUGGGCGGUUUGCUGGGCUGGGCAGGGGAGUGGCAGGCUUUGGGUGGUGUGUCAUUUUCUUGCCUGUAAAUUUUACAAUGUGUAAGAGAGAUUCCUGACUAGGAAAAGAACUGUAUACUUUCCCAAGAAAAAGAAAAAAUAUAUGUACUGCAGUACCAUCUUUUAUGAGUAUUUCAUCUUUUGUUUUCUAGAAUCCACUUGCGUAUGUGUGGUUGUUGUUGAUAUAUUAGAUUCCUAUUGUAUAGUUUUUGGAUGUAGUUUUUCUAGUGCAACAUCCAUGUCUUGUUUUUUGAGAACCAGAAUUUUUCCUUUUUGAGAUGUGCAUGCACUCACGGGUUUUUGCAUAGAACAAGCAUUCAUAGCAUUUUUUUCUAGUUUUUUUAGCUUUGGCUUUGUGUUAAGUAUGCCAGUCUAAAAAAAGUAAAGAAGGAAAUAUCAAAUUUAAAAAUUAUCUAUUUUAUGUGAAUUUGCUAUUCUCAGUCGAUCAACAAUUAGUCAAGUCUUAGUCGAUUCGAUAGGAAAAGAACCUUAAUUGCCGCUUUUUGUUUGUAUGUUAGUUUUUUUAUUUCUUUUGUUUUUUCUCUCAUGUCCAAUCAGUUUGCUUCCAGUUUUUGGGUGACGGGUUGUUUUAAUGCACGUUGGCCCGCUCUUUCCUCCUUAUUUAUUUUAUGCAUGGACUGAUGGCCUGGCUUUUUAUGGAUUUAUUUUUGUAUUUUUAUUUUACUUUCCUCCCUCUUUUUUUAUAUUUUUGUAAGUGAUUGUUAACUACAAAAAAUCGGUGUCCUCGUGAGAUUGGUUUUAUUUUGCAUACAUAUUUUUUCAAUUCUUAUUGUUUCAUUUUUAUUUUUAUUUUCUUCUUUCUAUUUGCUUGCUAAAAAAAAUCCUUUUUUCUUUUUAUUUAUUUAUUUUUUCUCUUUUAUUGCAUUGAAAUAUUUUUCUUGUAUGCCUGCUAUUAGGCGGAAUUGUAAGUGUCGCCAUUGACUGAAUUUAUUAGUCUUUAGAGAAGGCAAUUGCAUGUCGGUCACUAGGCAUCCAACUGCAAGUGUCACCUCUGACUGCAAUUGCAUGCUCACACACCCUACUGCAACUAACAUUUAUUUUUUAAGUGGGCAGCGGGAAAGGGAGGGGGAGUUGCAUGUGCGAUACCAGGCUUGCAACUGCAAAUGUCGCCCUCGACUGCAACCGCAUGUCUCCCUCCUGACUGCAACUGGCCUUGUGUUUUUUNNNNNNNNNNNNNNNNNNNNNNNNNNNNNNNNNNNNNNNNNNNNNNNNNNNNNNNNNNNNNNNNNNNNNNNNNNNNNNNNNNNNNNNNNNNNNNNNNNNNNNNNNNNNNNNNNNNNNNNNNNNNNNNNNNNNNNNNNNNNNNNNNNNNNNNNNNNNNNNNNNNNNNNNNNNNNNNNNNNNNNNNNNNNNNNNNNNNNNNNNNNNNNNNNNNNNNNNNNNNNNNNNNNNNNNNNNNNNNNNNNNNNNNNNNNNNNNNNNNNNNNNNNNNNNNNNNNNNNNNNNNNNNNNNNNNNNNNNNNNNNNNNNNCUCGGCUGGAACUGCAUGCCUACACACCCGACUGCAAUUGCAUGCACACACACCUGACUGCAACCGACAUGUUUGAUUUGUUAGUGGGUGCCGGGAGAGGGGGUAGCUGCAUGUCCGAUACUAGGUUUGCAACUGCAAGUCUCACCCUCGACUGGAAUUGCAUGUCCCCUAUCAAUUGCAACUGGCCUUUUGUUUCUGUUGGAGAGGGGAUGAAUUGCAUGUCCGACAAUACGCUUGCAAGUACAACUGUCGCUCUCAAUUACAAUUGCAUGUUCGACAGUAGGCUUGCAACCGCAAGUGUCGUUCUCGACUGCAAUUGCAUGCCUACACACCCGACUGCAACUGAGUUUUUUGUUUUGUAAGUGAGCGGCAGGAGAGGGGAUGGGAGGUGCAUACAUGCAUGGUACUAGGUUUGCAACUACAAGUGAGGCCCUCGAAUGCAACAACAUUUCCCCUAUCGAAUGCAACUAGCCUUGUGUUUUUGUCGGAGAGGGAGUGAAUUGCAUGUCCGACAAUAGAGUUGCAACUACAAGUGUCGCUCGACUACAAUUGCAUGGCUGACAGUAGGCUUGCAACUUCAAGUGUUGCUCUCGAUUGCAACCGCAUGCCUACACACCCGGCCGCAACUGACCUUUUUUUUGUAAGUGAGCGGCAGGAGAGGGGGGAGUUGGAUGUGCAACAAUAUGCUUGCAACUACAAAUGUCACCCUCGACUGCAACUGCAUGCCUACACACCCGACCGCUACUGGCCAUUUUUUUGUUUUGUAAGGGAGCGACAGGGAGGGGGGAGUUGCAUGUCCGAUACUAGGCUUGCAACUACAAGUGUCGCCUUUGACUGCAACUAUAUGCCUACACACCCAGUGCAAUUAACAUUUUUGUUUUGUAAGUGGGCAUCAGGAGAGGGGGUAGUUACAUGUACGACACUAGGCUUUGCAACUACAAGUGUCGCCACCUAAUGCAACUACACUAGGCUUGCAACUGCAAGUGUCACCCUUGAUUUGUUAAAAAAACAAUGCUACCCACGUCGGAUGCACACAUUUGCAUGUCCUCCAAAUAUUCUUUGUCUUUGUAUGCAACUUAAUAUUCUUUUCUUUUGAAAAACAAGGCCACACUAUUUUAGCUGUCUUGUUUUCAUUUUGUUUCUUUGUUACAUUAAAGAAUGAAAUUUUUCCUAAUAUACAAAAUGUACUUUUGAAAGAAAUUACAAAAAAGAAAAAGAAAAAGAGAAGCAAGAUGGCACACAAAGAGAAGAACUAAACGAUGAGCUAUACUAGUGACGGAAUUUACUUGUCUUGUUGAGCACUUUUUCUCCGUACCAAGAAAAUACAAAGACAAAGAAACAAACAGCCCAACCUAAAUAAAUAAACAAACAAACAACAGAAAAACGAAAAAGGCCCAAUCUACCUUAGGUGACAUCAGCCGACUUAGACUUCACGAAGUCUAAGUCGACUGAGACCUAGACAGACCUUCUUGUUUACAGCUCUGGAAAGGAUUAGCAUUUUGCGCCCGACACUAAUUAAAAGAUCAAACCACUUUCGGUUCACCGGUAAGAGCAACUCCAAUGCGCCGACCCAAAGAGACGAUGAUUUUAUCCAUUCCUUGUACGUCUGGGUCGGUCGCGCACUCGGCAUCCAUCCUGUUUUACUUUUAGGUUGGCAGUGCGCCCAACACGCUUGACCUAUUUUAUGUCCGUGUAUAAAUUUAAAUGACUUGCGGCUAUACAUCAUGCCAACACCCAUGCCGUCGCCUAAAGUUCAUGCCGGCACCAAUGCCAGCGGCCGGCGUACUAUGUCAGCUUAAAAAAACUCACCACAUAGUUCAUGCUGAUGCACUUGUCAACGGCCGACACACAUGUCAUCACACAAAAGGGGUGGGAAUUCGACCAUGCCAUCUCGGCCGUAGUCAUGCCAACACACUUUCCGGCAUACAAAAAAGGGAUGGCGCUCUCCACCAUAGAUCACUCAUCGUCGAACUUGAGCAUGUCGGCCUGCAUCUUCUCGAACCAUGGCCCCUUUCUAGGCGACACGGUGUUCACCUUCAUGAUCUCCACCCCCGUCAUCAUGCUAGCGAGCGCCACUUCUUUCGCCUUGGUCAUGGCAUUGGCGGUCUCGAUCUCGAGCAUUUUGGCUUGCUUCUCUGCCUCCAUCUCAAGCAUCCUGACUUUCUUCUCCACCUCCAUCUCAAGCCUCCUCCUUUGGAUCUUCAUGAAGGCGUUCAUUUGCUCUUCCUUGUCUUGCCGACGCUUCUCCUCUCUCGAGUCCUUCUUACUCAUCAUGCCCUCCACAGUUGCAAGCAAGGCGAUCGACGCUGCAUCCCGCUUGUCCUCCUUCUUGAAGUUGGUCUUCCCCCGUGGUCGUGGCUUUUCGCCCUCGCCAAUCUCCUCCACUGCUGCCUUCCCUUCACGCGCCAUGAGGGUGCUAUAUUGCGCAUUGAACUUCUCCUCUCCAACAAUGGGAGAGGUUGAAGGACUUGCCGUCAUGUUGGACUUUGAAUGCCUCCAAAGCUUAUAAUGCCUACAAAUGAAGAGCAUACAAGCAUAUGGGAGAAUGGAUAUGCAAAUGGACAUGCAAGCAUAACGGGAUUGGAAACAGAGAGGGACGCAUGUAUACCAUGUCUUGCAUGUCAAUGCCGCUCACGGGCGUGCCUUGAUGCUCUCAAGGGUGGCACAAAACUUGUUGCGCUCUUGUUGUAUCACCCUCCAUCGCUUUGAAUGCGACACCCAACCACACUUGCUAUGCAUUUGGUACAACGCAAACUUCUUGCGUUCAUGGAACUCACGAUGGACACAGAUCCAAAAGGUUGAUGCCUUUUGUUCGGCGCCGACCUUGGGGUCUUGCCUAAUGUCCCUCCAACACUCACAAAAGAGCUUGUCCUAGGAUGGCGUGUAUGCCUUCGUCCCCUUGCUCUUGCGCUUCGACUUCACCCCGGCGGCUUGGUUGGCAAGCUCGUCCUCGAACAAAGGCUCUCCGUUGAUGUCCAUCUUAUCCACUUCCUCGAGGUCGUAGUCCUCCAGGAACUCGUGGUCGAGCGGGAAGCUUCCCAGGUGACCUGAUCUUCCAUGAAGGCGCCGUGCAUAUGAGCUUGAUCAUAGGUCGCCGACGUACAUGACGCUCGACUGUUUUGGCUUUAGGUCUCAUUAGGAUCGUAGGAAGCCGCGGCAUCACCGCUAGCAGAGCCAGUGGUUGCCGCACCACCUUCGGAGAUGAUGUUCUCGAUGAUGAAACGGUUGGUCGUUUCAUCGUCGACGACUGGUGGCAUUCUAUUGAACACGUUGCGGGCGCCGGGGAGCAUGUCGGCUGGCAUCUCCCGCGGGCGUUUCCUCACCCCUUCGAAGGAUCAUGCACCAGCCAUGGGUGUGGCGUUGAGGCUAAUGACCACAGGUGCAGGCGCGGGCGUGGGCGGUGCCACCACGCUCACCUUCGGUGAGCACUCCCUGAAGAAGCAGGAGGCUUGCGGAUAGACGUGGAAGUCGGGAAUCGGGUGCGUGGCAGACGCGCGCGGCGACUCUGGUAGCACCACCCGAGGAAAUGCGGACAAGCCCGUGCUGGCCGCAGCCACGGCGGCGCUGACGAGCACAUGAUGGCCAGGGUUUAAACCUAGGCAGAUUAGGGCCUCCCUCGUUGUUGUGGUGACUCGGGCGUUGGUUUCCUCCUGCUGUGCGGCGACGCCGAGGGCGGCGAUGGCCGCUGCUUCGUCCCUUGCGUUUGCUACGUGCCGCUGGUCCUUCCUCUUGGCUGACUGCACGGCCCGCUCCUCGGGCGUCAGCUGCUUCUUCUUCUUGGGUGGCGUGAUGGUCUUGCGGUGGUUGCCGUUGCCGGAGGGGACAGAGGUGAGGCCGGACGAGGCGAGGGAGGAGAGCCAGCAACCACCAUCUUAUUGACAACCCCCUCGCUGCCACCACCAUCCUGCUCGCCUGCCUCCUCGUCCCCCUCCCCAACCUCCUCCUCGAUAGAGGGUACCUCACUAGAGGAGGGCCUCGAAGAUAGCACCCCUAAGUUGGUGAGGGAGCGCUAUUUCUUGCCCCGACCCCCUCUAGGGGCUCUCCCCUCACCCCCUCCCCCUCUAGGGGCUCUCCCCCACCCCCUACUCAUCUAAGGGCACCUCUCCCUUGACCUCCCUAUGAGGAGUCAUCCUCAAGUAGUCGGGAGGGGGGGGGGGAGUACGGGGUUGAGCACUCCGACUAGCCAUGCUGACGACCUUGGCUAGGAAACCCGUGCCGUCGGCCUUCCCCUUGCCCAUGUUCCGCUAACCUGCAUUGAAAAGAGAAUAAACAAUCAGUACAUUAAUAAUGAAGAAAAAAGCAUAAUAAUAAGGAAUAAAACACAUUAAUAAAUAAGCAUAAAAAUGCAUAUUAAUAAACCAUAGAAAAAAGACAUGAAAUGUACAUAUGCUAGAACCCAUACGAAUCAUCACUGUUGUAACUGAUUCCUCGAUCGGUCUCAUCAUCACUAUCACGCAUAUCAUCUUUGUUGUCUGACGAAGGUGGAGGCUCUUCCUCGUCGUCAACGUCUUCGAGGAACUUUUGUAGCAUAAGUAUGUCAUUUUCAUUAACAAUGGUCUCACCAUCAUUCCGUGCAUCGUCAUAGCUGUGCCCCCGGAUCGAUGAGGUGUGCCCAACCGACACACCUCAGAUCGAUGAUGUGGCACGUGCCGCAUAUCGAUGACGUGGACCAAGACUAUGUCGUCGGCUUGGCCGUCGGCAUAGCUAUGUCGACGACCGCCGUUAGGGCCGUCGGCAUAGAUAUGACGGCGUCAAGCGGCCGUCAUCCACCGAGUCUCCGUUCCCACAUAUAUGCCGACGGGCGCUGUAGGCAUAUGUCACGCGAUGCUGACUACUUUACUAUGCCAAUGACAUUGAAUCCACCUACAUCUCUAUUAAGUAAUGAUCAGUCCUAAUCCCACCCAAGGAUGUGUAGAUUGAGUACGUUCUCCAUGCUCUACACCAUUUCAAGACAAAAAUUCGACAGCACCUCCCUGCUGUUGUCCAGAAACACGUCUCGGCAAAUAGCCGAGAGUAUGUGCUCCGGAGGUCUUGUGGNNNNNNNNNNNNNNNNNNNNNNNNNNNNNNNNNNNNNNNNNNNNNNNNNNNNNNNNNNNNNNNNNNNNNNNNNNNNNNNNNNNNNNNNNNNNNNNNNNNNNNNNNNNNNNNNNNNNNNNNNNNNNNNNNNNNNNNNNNNNNNNNNNNNNNNNNNNNNNNNNNNNNNNNNNNNNNNNNNNNNNNNNNNNNNNNNNNNNNNNNNNNNNNNNNNNNNNNNNNNNNNNNNNNNNNNNNNNNNNNNNNNNNNNNNNNNNNNNNNNNNNNNNNNNNNNNNNNNNNNNNNNNNNNNNNNNNNNNNNNNNNNNNNNNNNNNNNNNGGCCGGAGGUGAGGCCGGACGAGGCAAGCGAGGCAAGGCCGGCGGCGGCAUCGAGGGCGUCGUCCAUGGCGAGCGGCAGGGAGCACGAGCAGGCGGGAGGUUUUGGUAAAGUGAAGGGAAAUGAUGGUCACUGUGCCACAGGCUAGCGGGCCAGCGGGGAGUAGGCGUGCGUCACGCGCGUCCGUUUUGUGUCCGCACCGACGCAAAUCAAACUAAAAAUUGGGCCAGGAAUGGGUUGGCAAGCGGACAAAAUGCGGACGCGCGUCCGUUUGGGUCGGCGCAUUGGGCCGACUUUUGUGUCUGCAACGACCCAAACGGACAUGCACAGAAGAAAUGGGUCAGCGUGUUGGAGGUGCUCUAAACACAUCAACGACAAAGAUACCCAUACCCCUUCAUAAAAAAGAUAGGAUCGUCCUUUUUAGAAAAGAUGUUAUACGGCAAACCGCGGCAACACACGCACGUCCGCUCCAAGUACGUACAAAUACAUACGCUAGCGUUGCGCCGCACCGCGUGGCGAGUUGACGGGUGCUACCUCUUGAGCUUGCGUUGGUUUUUCCCUUGAAGAGGAAAGAGUGAUGCAGCAAAGUAAAGUAAGUAUUUCCCUCAGUUUGAGAACCAAGGUGUCAAUCCAGUAGGAGACAACGCACAAGUCACCGAAUACCUGCACAAACAAUCAACAACUUGCACCCAACGCGAUAAAGGUGUUAUCAAUCCCUUCACGGUUACUUGCAAAACUAAGAUCUGAUAGAGAUAGAUAGACGGUAAAGUAAAUAUUUUUGGUAUUUUUGGUUUAUAGAUUGGAAAGUAAAAGAUUGCAAAAAGAGUAGAUUGGAAACUAAAAUUGUAGAUCGGAAACUUAUAUGAUGGAAAAUAGACCCGGGGGCCAUAGGUUUCACUAGAGGCUUCUCUCAUGAUAGAAAAUAUUACGGUGGGUGAACAAAUUACUGUCGAGCAAUUGAUAGAAAAGCGCAAAGUUAUGACGAUAUCUAAGGCAAUGAUCAUGAAUAUAGGCAUCACGUCCGUAUCAAGUAGACCAACUCCUGCCUGCAUCUACUACUAUUACUCCACACAUCGACCGACUCCUGCCUGCAUCUAGAGUAUUAAGUUCAUAAGAACAGAGUAACGUUUUAAGUCAGAUGACAUGAUGUAGCAGGAUAAACUCAAGCAAUAUGAUGAAAACCCCAUCUUGUUAUCCUCAAUGGCAACAAUUCAAAACAUGCCUUGCUGCCCCUACUGUCAUUGGAAAAGGACACGCAAGAUUGAACCCAAAGCUAAGCACUUCUCCCAUUGCAAGAAAAACCAAUCUAGUUGGCCAAACCAAUUCAGAGAAGAUUCAAAUAAUAUUCAUAGAUAAGCUGAUCAUAAAUCCACAAUUCAUUGGAUCUCGGCAAACACACCGCAAAAAGGUAUUACAUCGAAUAGAUCUCCAAGAACAUCGAGGAGAACAUGGUAUUGAGAAUCAAAGAGAGAGAAGAAGCCAUCUAGCUACUAGCUAUGGACCCGUUGGUCUGAGAUAAACUACUCACGCUUCAUCGGAAGGGCAAUGGUGUUGAUGGAGAAUCCCUCCAUGACCGAAUCCCCCUCCGGCAGGACGUCGGAAAAGGCCCCUAGAUGGGUUCUCAUGGGUACAGAAGGUUGUGGCGGUGGAAAAGUGUUUUCGUGGCUCCUUCUGUUGGUUUUGGGAUAUAUGAGAAUAUAUAGGAGGAAGAAGUAGGUUGGUGGACUCACGAGGGGCCCACAACGGUGGGUGGCGCGCCCUACCCCCCUGGGCUCGCCCUCCAUCCUAGUGGCCGCCUCGUGGCUUCUCUAACUUGCACUCCAAGUCCUGCGGAUGUCUUCUGGUCCAAGAAAAAUCAUCGCGAAAGUUUUAUUCCGUUUCGACUCCGUUUGGUAUUCCUUUUCUGCGAAACUGUAAAACAAGGAAAAAACAGAAACUGGCACUGGGCUCUAGGUUAAUAGGUUAGUCCCAAAAAUCGUAUAAAAUAGCAUAUUAAUGUAUAUAAAACAUCCAAAACAGAUAAUAUAAUAGCAUGGAACAAUAAAAAAUUAUAGAUACGUUGGAGACGUAUCAAGCAUCCCCAAGCUUAAUUCAUGCUCGCCCUCGAGUAGGUAAAUGAUAAAAACAGAAUUUUUGAUGUGGAAUGCUACCUAACAUAUUUAUCCUUGUAGUUUCUUUUGUUGUGGCAUUAAUGUUCAUAUCCGUAUGAUUCAAAACAAAAGUUUAAUAUUGACAUAAAAACAGGAAUACUUCAAGCAUACUAACAAGGCAAUUAUGUCUUCUAAAAAUAACAUGGCCAAAAAAAGCUUAUCCCUACAAAAUCAUAUAGUCUGGCUAUGCUCCAUCUUCAUCACACAAAAUAUUUAAAUCAUGCACAACCCCGAUGACAAGCCAAGCAAUUGUUUCAUACUUUUGAUGUUCUCAAACUUUUUCAACUUUCACACAAUACAUGAGCGUGAGCCAUGGACAUAACACUAUAGGUGGAAUAGAGGGUGGUUGUGGACAAGACAAAAAGAAGAAGAUAGUCUCACAUCAACUAGGCGUAUCAACGGGCUAUGGAGAUGCCCAUUAAUAAAUAUCAAUGUGAGUGAGUAGGGAUUGCCAUGCAACGGAUGCACUAGAGCUAUAAGUUUAUGCAAGCUCAAAAAGAAACUAGGUGGGUGUGCAUCCAACUUGCUUGCUCAUGAAGACCUAGGGCAUUUUGAGGAAGCCCAUCAUUGGAAUAUACAAGCCAAGUUCUAUAAUGUAAAAUUCCCACUAGUAUAUCAAAGUUCAAAAAUAGGAGACUCUCUAUCAUGAAGAUCAUGGUGCUACUUUGAAGCACAAGUGUGGUAAAAGGAUAGUAGCAUUGCCCCUUCUCUAUUUUCUCUCAUAUUUUUAUUUUUUUAUUUGGGCCUUCUCUCAUUUUUUUGCCUCUUUUUUUCGUCGGAGUCUCAUCCCGACUUGUGGGGGAAUCAUAGUCUCCAUCAUCCUUUCCUCACAUGGGACAAUGCUCUAAUGAUGAAGAUCAUCACACUUUUAUUUACUUACAACUCAAAAUAGUACAACUCGAUACUUAGAACAAAAUAUGACUUAUGUGAAUGCCUCCGGCGGUGUACCAGAAUAUGCAAUGAAUCAAGAGUGACAUGUAUGAAAGAAUUAUGAAAGGUGGCUUUGCCACAAAUACGAUGUCAACUACAUGAUCAAGCAAACCAAUAUGACCGUGAUGGAGCGUGUCAUAAUGAACGGAACGGUGGAAAGUUGCAUGGCAAUAUAUCUCGGAAUGGCUAUGGAAAUGCCAUAAUAGGUAGGCAUGGUGGCUGUUUUGAGGAAGGUAUAUGGUGGGUUUAUGGUACCGGCAAAAGUUGCGCAGUACUAGAGAGGCAAGCAAAGGUGGAAGGGUGAGAGUGCGUAUAAUCCAUGGACUCAACAUUAGUCAUAAAGAACUCAUAUACUUAUUGCAAAAAUCUAUUAGUUAUCGAAACGAAGUACUACGCGCAUGCUCCUAGGGGGAUAGAUUGGUAGGAAAAGACCAUCGCUCGUCCCCGACCGCCACUCGUAAGGAAGACAAUCAAUAAAUAAAUCAUGCUCCGAUUUCAUCACAUAACGGUUCACCAUACGUGCAUGCUACGGCAAUCACAAACUUUAGCACAAGUAUUUCUGAAAUUCACAACUACUUACUAGCAUGACUCUAAUAUCACCAUCUUCAUAUCUCAAUACAAUCAAAAAGAAUCAAACUUCCCAUAUUAUUGAAUGCACUUUAUAUGAAAGUUUUUAUUAUACCCCUCUUGGAUGCCUAUCAUACUAGGAAUAAAUUUAUAACUAAAGAAAAUUACCAUGCUGUUUAGAGACUCUCAAAAUAAUAUAAGUGAAGCAUGAGAGUUCAUCAGUUUCUAUAAAAUAAAACCACCGACGUGCUCUAAAAAGAUAUAAGUGAAGCACUAGAGCAAAAUUGCCUAGCUCAAAAGAUAUAAGUGAAGCACAAAGAGUAUUCUAAUAAGUCACGAUUCAUGCAUGUCUCUCUCAAAAGGUGUGUACAGUAAGGAUGAUUGUGGUGAACCAAAAAGCAAAGACUCAAAUCAUACAAGACGCUCCAAGAAAAACACAUAUCAUGUGGUGAAUAAAAAUAUAGCCUCAAGUAAGUUACCGAUAGACGAAGACGAAAGAGGGGAUGCCUUCCGGGGCAUCCCCAAGCUUAGGCUCUUGGUUAUACUUGAAUAUUACCUUGGGGUACCUUGGGAAUCUCCAAGGUUAGGCUCUUGCCACUCCUUAUUCCAUAGUCCAUCAAAUCCUACCCAAAACUUGAAAACUUCACAACACAAAACUCAACAAAAAAUCUCAUAAGCUCCGUCAGUAUAAGAAAAUAAAUCACCACUUUUGGUACUGUUGUGAACUCAUUAUUUAUUUAUAUUGUUGUAACAUCUAUUGUAUUCCAACUUUUCCAUGGUUCAUACCCCCGAUACUAGCCAUAGAUUCAUCAAAAGAAGCAAAGAACACACAGAAAACAGAAUCUGUCAAAAACAGAAGAGUCUGCGAAGAUACUUUUAUAACUCCAAAAAUUCUGAAAAAUUAGAACAACAGAGGAAAUUCGUAUAUCAAUCCCGUGUAAAAAAUUCAGAGUUUUUCUAUGCUUCAGUAAAAAAUACGAAUUGUUUUCCUGAGCGCAAAAGUUUUUGUUUUUCAGCAGGAUUAAAUCAACUAUCAUCGUAAGCAAUCCCAAAGGUAUUACUUGGAACAAACACUAAUUAAAACACAAAACCACAUCUAACUAGAGGCUAGAUGAAUUAAUUAAUGCAAAACAGAACCUAACAAGCAAAAACAAAAAUAAAAUUGGGUUGCCUCCCGACAAGCGCUAUUGUUUAAUUGUUGGGUUCUACGGUAGGGUGUGUCGACUGCAAAUUAAAAUUUUCCUACGCGCAGAACAACCAAGAACAUGCUACGGGAGAUGGAUCACAGUUCGUUACCACUAGACGCGCAGUGCCGUGCAGCGAAAGAAGAGUUGGGGCAGCGCGUCCACGUGGAUCGUCUUCUCCUCGUCUGAUCGCCCUCGAACAGCCGGUCAUCGAAUCCCUCGCCCAGGUACGCUGGAACGGCGCAGGUGCACCGCCUCUAACGGUAUCCGCGUGUGCAGGAGGAACACCGUGCGGCGGACUGCUAGGUCCGAUCACACGGUUGGCGACGAGUGGAGGUGUCUGUUCGCAACACAUGCAAACCCUAGUGACAGCGCCGAAGCGAUCAAUCGCAUGAGUGUGCUGCACCUCCACUAUAUAUAGGCAUCUGUCGCGGGCUCAAUUCUUGGGCCUCGCACAGAUCCUAAAGCCCACAAGUCUACUCGUCCACAAUCCGAAUACUGCUCGGAUCACAUCUGACCAGUGUCCUCGGAUCCGACCUCGUAGGUUCCUUCCCUUAAGCGCGCGACCCUUUAGGUUCAAGCCGGCUUGGUCGUAGUUCGGAUCACCUCCGAACUGCACGGUUGGUAGCGGCCUCUAGCAAGGCAUGCCGAACACCAAGUAGACUAUGAAGCUGGUUAGCGAACCUGUACAUCACACUCCCAUUCCUUUUGCCACACGACAUAUGUUGUCGGGCUCAAGGCGAGUAUGUCAUCCUUGUGCUAGCCCGACCUCUUUAUCGUUCCAGUUAUGCCGACCACAAACCGGAUUAUCUCAUAAUCCUUGUCGCAUGGCCAUGCUUAUCCUGGUUGGAUCACACGAGGGGCCCAGAGUAUAUCUCUCCUGAUCGGAGGGGCAAAUCCCAUCUUGCUCGACCACGUCUCGCAGCAUGGGUCUGGACAAGCCCGAAACCUACCUUUGUAACUACCCGUCACAGAGUAGGUUUGGUCGGCCCAAAGCAGGUCUGUCACCAUCCCGAGUACAUGUGCCAGCUCAGGUCUAAGGACAUAGAAUGUAUGUUGUACUAGAGACUCACAGAUGACAUAUCGCCGCGUCUCAUAGUUGGGUUUGUCCGACUCAGACCUUAUCUCGACUCGGAUCUGACUACGUCGAAUCCGACCAGACCUUUCCAAGUCCAUAUUAUCCGGUUAGCAUCCAAUGCUCCAUGGCUAGUGAGACCAAGCCAUCGACCGUGUCAUAUGCUAGUCUAGUCGGCUACGCGUCCACACAGCCCUUUUGACUAGGGACCUUUUAGGACAGUCAUCAUACAAUGCAUAGUCCCACAAACAAGUCACGUACUUGCUGAUACACAUCAUUGAUAAUGUCCAAGGACUAUCUUUAUUCAUAAACACAUAGGAAAUAUCAUCAUACAUGAUUGCCUCUAGGGCAUAUCUCCAACAGUCUCUCACUUGCACUAGAGUCAAUCAAAUAGACAUCGAAUGCCCAUAGCUCUAACGUGCCCCUCAUGCUUGGGUUGUGGAAGCGGCUUAGUCAACGGAUCUGCAACAUUUGCAUCCGUGUGAAUUUUGCAUAACUCUAUAUCACCAUUCUUUACUUUCUUUCGUAUCAGGUGAUAUUUCCGAUCUACGUGUCUGACCUUGUGGUGAUUCCUCGGCUCCUUGGCUUGUGCGAUGGCACCAGAAUUAUCACAAUAAAGGUCCAACGGUUUUACCGAGGCUGGGAAAAUUCCAAGAUCAUCCAAAAGUUCCGGAUCCAAACACCUUCCUUCGCAGCUUCACAAGCCGCAAUGUAUUCGGCUUCUGUGGUAGAAUCGGCCACCGUAUCUUGCUUGGAACUCAUCCAACUCACUACUCCUCCAUUCAUGACGUACACGAAUCCGGACUGUGAUCGACAAUCAUCUCUGUCGGUUUGGAAACUAGCAUCGGCGUAACCCCUUACGACGAGCUCUUCCUCACCUCCAUAAACUAGGAACAUCUCUUUAGUCCUUUUCAGGUACUUCAAAAUAGUCUUUACCGCUGCCUAGUGACUCUCACCUGGGUUGGCUUGGUAUCUGCUUGUUAGGCUUGUUUCAAAAGCAACAUCAGGCCUUGUACAUAUCAUGGCAUACAUGAUGGAUCCAAUUGCCGAGGCAUACGGAAUCCUACUCAUCCUGCUUCGCUCAUCAGAUGUCGAAGGACUCUGAGUCUCGCUUAGCCUUAUACCAUGUGAGAGUGGCAAGAACCCUUUCUUCGCCUCACUCAUGUUGAACCGCUUCAACACUUUAUCUAUGUAUGUGCUCUGGCUUAAGCCAAGCAGCCUCCUCGAUCUAUCUCUAUAGAUCUUAAUGCCUAAAAUGUACAUUGCCUCACCAAGGUCCUUCAUCGAAAACUUGCCAUUCAAUGACUCCUUGACCGAGUUCAGCAUCGAAACAUCAUUUCCGAUCAGUAGUAUGUCAUCCACAUACAAGAUCAGAAACACUAUCGAGCUCCCACUUAACUUCUUGUAUAAACAAGAGUCCUCUUCGCUUUUGAUGAAACCGAAACUAGUGACGACCUCAUCAAAAUGAAUGUUCCAGCUCCGAGAUGCUUGCCUCAACCCAUAAAUGGAUCUCUUGAGCUUGCAUACCUUACUAGUGCUAGUCGGAUCGACAAAACCCUCUGGCUAUAUCAUAUACACGUCCUCGGUUAAAUUUCCGUGAAGGAAAGCCAUCUUGACAUCCAUCUGCCAUAUCUCGUAAUCGAAAUAUGCAGCUAUAUCUAGUACGAUCCUCACCGAUUUCAGCAUCGCUACCGGCGAGUAAGUCUCGUCGUUGUCAAUUCCUUGAACUUGUCCAUAACCCUUAGUGACAAGCCGAGCUUUAUGGAUCUGAACAUUUCCAUCCACAUCGGUUUUCUUCUUAAAGACCCAUUUGCAACCAAUGGAUGUUAUGCCAGGCGGCGGAUCAACCAAGUCCCAGACUUGAUUCUCAUCCAUGGACUUUAACUCAGAUCUCAUGGCCUCUAGCCAUGCCACGGAAUCUGGGCUCACCAUCGCUUCCGCAUACGUGGCCGGCUCGUCGCUUUCUAGAAACAAUACAUCACGCACUCUGCGCAAUCUCUCCGACCUCCGUAGUUCCGGUGCCGCUUCCACUACGGGUUCCUUGACUGACUCCGGUAUGAUCUCAUCACCAGCCGAGCCAUCCCCGAGUGGUCCUCGAAUUUCUUCGAGUCGAACCGUCCUCCCACUGGCCUCCCGACUGAGAAACUCUUUCUCAAGGAAAACCCCGUUCCGAGCAACAAACAUUUUGUUCUCCUCACAGUUGUAGAAGCUAUAUCCCAAGGUUUCCCUCGGAUACCCACGAAUAUGCAUUUAUCCGACUUGGGUGUAAGCUUGUCUGACAUAAGUCGCUUGACAAAUGCUUCACAACCCCAAAUCUUUAGAAAAGACAAACUAGGACUCUUCCCGGUCCACAUCUCAUGUGGUGUCUUGUCAACGGAUUUUGAUGGUACCCUGUUAAGUGUGAAAGCUGCAGUUUCUAGAGCGUAUCCCCAGAAUGACAAGGGUAAAUCCGAUUUGCUCAUCAUAGACCGAACCAUGUCCAACAAGGUACGAUUCCUCCGUUCCGACACGUCGUUUCUCUGUGGCGUACCCGGAGGUGUGAGCUGAGGUACUAUACCUCGGCUUUUCAGAUGAUCAUCAAACUCCUGGCUCAUGUACUCACCUCCACGAUCAGAUCGUAGAAGCUUUAUAGUCUUGCCGAGCUGGUUCUCAACCUCGUUCUGAAACUCUUUGAACUUUUCAAAAUUUUCCGACUUGCGCCUCAUCAAAUAGAUAUAUCCAUAUCUACACAAGUCGUCGGUAAAAGUCACGAAGUACUGAUAGCCACCUCUGGCAGUUGUGCUCAUUGGACCACACACAUCACUAUGUAUAAGUUCCAACAGCUCGGACGCCCUCUCGCAACUCUUUGCGAAAGGAGACUUAGUCAUCUUGCCGAGCAAGCAUGAUUCACAUGUCUCGAACGACCCGAAGUCGAACAAAGUUAAGAGCCCAUCAUCAUGGAGCUUCUUCAUGCGUUUCAGACUAAUGUGUCUGAUACGUCUCCAACGUAUCUAUAAUUUUUGAUUGUUCCAUGCUAUAUUAUAUUCUGUUUUGGACAUUAAAGGGCUUUAUUAUACACUUUUAUAUUAUUUUUGGGACUAACCUAUUAACCGGAGGCCCAGCCCAGAAUUGCUGUUUUUGCCUAUUUCAGAGUUUCGCAGAAAAAGAAUAUCAAACGGAAUGAAACCUUCGGGAAUGUGAUUUUCGGAACGAACAUGAUCCAGAGGACUUGGACCCUACGUCAAGACAUCAACCAGAAAGGCACGAGGUAGGGGGGCGCGCCUACCCCCCUAGGCGUGCCCUCCACCCUCGUGGGCCCCACGUUGCUCCACCGAUGUACUUCUUCCUCCUAUAUAUACCUACGUACCCCAAACUACCAGAUAUGGAGCCAAAAACCUAAUUCCACCGCCGCAACCUUCUGUACCCGUGAUAUCCCAUCUUGGGGCCUUUUCCGGAGCUCCGCCAGAGGGGGCAUCGAUCACGGAGGGCUUCUACAUCAACACCAUAGCCUCUCCGAUGAUGUGUGAGUAGUUUACCUCAGACCUUCGGGUCCAUAGUUAUUAGCUAGAUGGCUUAUUCUCUCUCUUUGGAUCUCAAUAUAAAGUUCUCCAUGAUUCUCGUGGAGAUCUAUUCGAUGUAAUCUUCUUUUGCGGUGUGUUUGUUGAGACCGAUGAAUUGUGGGUUUAUGAUCAAGUUUAUCUAUGAACAAUAUUUGAAUCUUCUCUGAAUUCUUUUAUGUAUGAUUGGUUAUCUUUGCAAGUCUCGUCGAAUUAUCAGCUUGGUUUGGCCUACUAGAUUGAUCUUUCUUGCAAUGGGAGAAGUGCUUAGCUUUGGGUUCAAUCUUGUGGUGUCCUUUCCCAGUGACAGUAGGGGCAGCAAGGCACGUAUUGUAUUGUUGCCAUCGGGGAUAACAAGAUGGGGUUUAUAUCAUAUUGCAUGAGUUUAUCCCUCUACAUCAUGUCAUCUUACUUAAAGCGUUACUCUGUUCUUAUGAACUUAAUACUCUAGAUGCAUGCUGGAUAGCGGUCAAUGUGUGGAGUAAUAAUAGUAGCUGCAGGCAGGAGUCGGUCUACUUGUCGCGGACGUGAUGCCUAUAUACAUGAUCAUACCUAGAUAUUCUCAUAACUAUGCUCAACUCUGUCAAUGGCUCAAUAGUAAUUUGUUCACCCACCGUAAUACUUAUGCUCUCGAGAGAAGCCACUAGUCUAUGGCCCCCGGGUCUAUCUUCCAUCAUAUUAAUCUUCCAACACUUAGCUAUUUUUAUUGCCUUUUAUUUUACUUUGCAUCUUUAUCAUAAAAAUACCAAAAAUAUUAUCUUAUCAUAUCUAUCAGAUCUCACUCUCGUAAGUGACCGUGAAGGGAUUGACAACCCCUUUAUUGCGUUGGUUGCGAGGAUUUAUUUGUUUGUGUAGGUGCGAGGGACUCGUGCGUGGCCUCCUACUGGAUUGAUACCUUGGUUCUCAAAAACUGAGGGAAAUACUUAUGCUGCUUUACUGCAUCACCCUUUCCUCUUCAAGGGAAAAACAACGCAGUGCUCAAGAGGUAGCAAGAAGGAUAUCUGGCGCCAUUGCCGGGGAGGCUUACGCAAGGUCAAGUCAAGAUUUGGACUCCCAACAACGAGCCUUUUCUGGUGCCGUUGCCUGGGAGUCUACGCAAAAGUGAACAUACCAAGUACCCAUCACAAACCCUUAUCUCCCGCAUUACAUUAUUUGACAUUUGCCUCUCGUUUUCCUCUCCCCCACUUCACCCUUGCCAUUUUAUUCGCCCUCUCUUUUCCGUUCGCCUCUUUUUCGCCCGCUUCUUGUUUGCAAGUGUGUUGGAUUGCUUGCUUGUCACGAUGGCUCAAGAUAAUAAUAAAUUGUGUGACUUUACCAAUACCAACAAUAAUGAUUUUCUUAGCACUCUGAUUGCUCCUCUUACCGAUACCGAAUCUUGUGAAAUCAAUACUGCUUUACUGAAUCUUGUCAUGCAAGAUCAAUUCGCCGGCCUUCCUAGUGAAGAUGCCGCUACCCAUCAAAAUAGCUUCGUUGAUUUGUGUGAUAUGCAAAAGAAGAAAUAUGUGGAUAAUGAUAUUGUUAAAUUGAAGCUAUUUCCUUUUUCGCUUAGAGAUCGUGCUAAAGCUUGGUUUUCAUCUUUGCCUAAAAAUAGUAUUGAUUCUUGGAAUAAGUGCAAAGAUGCUUUUAUCUCUAAGUAUUUUCCUCCCGCUAAGAUCAUCUCUUUUAGAAACGAUAUUAUGAAUUUUAAGCAACUUGAUCAUGAACAUGUUGCACAAGCUUGGGAGAGGAUGAAAUUAAUGAUACGUAAUUGCCCUACACAUGGUUUGAAUUUGUGGAUGAUUAUACAAUUUUUUAUGCCGGAUUGAAUUUUGCUUCUAGUAAUCUUUUAUAUUCGGCCGCGGGAGGCACUUUUACGCAAAUCACUUUAGGAGAAGCUACUAAACUCGUAGAUAAUAUUAUGGUUAAUUAUUCUCAAUGGCACACUGAAAGAUCUACUAAUAAAAAGGUGCAUGCGAUAGAAAAAAUUAAUGUUUUGAAUGGAAAGAUGGCUGAACUUAUGAAAUUAUUUGCUACUAAAAGUGUUUCUUCUGAUCCUAAUGAUAUGCCUUUGUCUACUUUGAUUGAGAAUGAUAAUGAAUCUAUGGAUGUGAAUUUUGUUGGUAGGAAUAAUUUUGGUAACAACGCGUAUAUAGGAAACUUUAAUCCUAGGCCGUACCCUAGUAAUUCCUCUAAUAAUUAUGGUAAUUCCUUCAAAAAUUCUUAUGGAAAUUUUAAUAAGAUGCCUUCUGAAUUUGAGACUAGUGUUAAAGAAUUUAUGAAUUCGCAAAAGAAUUUCAAUGCUUUGCUUGAAGAAAAAUUGCCUAAGAUUGAUGAAUUGGCUAGGAGCGUUGAUAGAAUUUCUCUUGAUGUUGAUUCCUUGAAACUUAGAUCUAUUCCACCUAAGCAUGAUAUCAAUGAGUCUCUCAAAGCCAUGAGAAUUUCCAUUGAUGAGUGCAAAGAAAGAACCGCUAGGAUGCGUGCUAAGAAAGAUUGCUUUAUGAAAGCCUGUUCUUCUAAUUUUUAUGAAAAUAAAGAUGAAUAUCUAAAAGUUAUUGAUGUGUCCCCUAUUAAAUCUUUGUUUUUCAAUAUGAAUCUUAAUAAUGAUGGGACUGAAUAUGAUCCACCUUUACCUAGAAGGUGUUCCAAAAAUUCGGAGUUUUUGAUCUUGAUGCAAAAAUUGGUAAAAGUGGGAUUGAAGAGAUCAAAACUCUAGAUAUUAAUGAACCCACUAUUUUGAAUUUCAAGAAAUUUAAUUAUGAUAAUUGCUCUUUCAUAGAUUGUAUUUCCUUGUUGCAAUCCGUGCUAAAUUCUCCACAUGCUUAUAGUCAACAUAAAGCUUUUACUAAACAUAUCGUUGAUGCUUUGAUGCAAUCUUAUGAAGAAAAACUUGAGUUGGAAGUUUCUAUCCCUAGAAAACUUUAUGAUGAGUGGGAACCUACUAUUAAAAUUAAAAUUAAAGAUCAUGAAUGCUAUGCUUUGUGUGAUUUGGGUGCUAGUGUUUCCACGAUUCCAAAAACUUUGUGUGAUUUGCUAGGUUUCCGUGAUUUUGAUGAUUGCUCUCUAAACUUGCACCUUGCGGAUUGCACCAUUAAGAAACCAAUGGGAAGAAUUAAUGAUGUUCUUAUUAUUGCAAAUAGGAAUUAUGUGCCCGUAGAUUUUAUUAUUCUUGAUAUAGAUUGCAAUCCUUCAUCUCCUAAUAUUCUUGGUAGACCUUUCCUUAGAACGAUUGGUGCAAUUAUUGAUAUGAAGGAAGGGAAUAUUAGAUUCCAAUUUCCGUUAAGGAAAGGCAUGGAACACUUCCCUAGAAAGAAAAUAAAAUUACCUUAUGAAUCUAUUAUGAGAGUCACUUAUGGAUUGCCUACCAAAGAUGACAAUACCUAGAUCUAUCCUUGCUUUUAUGCCUAGCUAGGGGCGUUAAACGAUACCGCUUGUUGGGAGGCAACCCAAUUUUAUUUUUAGUUUUUUGCUUUUUGGUUCUAUUUAAGAAUAAAUAUUUGAUCUAGCCUCUGGUUAGAUGUGUUUUUAUGUUUUAAUUAGUGUUUGUGCCAAGUUUAACCUAUAGGAUCUUCUUGGAUGAUAGUUAUUUGAUCUUGCUGAAAAUUCCAGAAACUUUCUAUUCACAAAAAUAAUUGUUAAAAAUCACCAGAACGUGAUAAAUAUUGAUUCCAAUUUCUGAUGAUCAAUAAACAAAUUGUCUAGGUCUUCCUAUUUUCGAUGAAUUUUUGGAGUUCCAGAAGUUUGCGUUAGUUACACAUUACUACAGACUGUUCUGUUUUUGACAGAUUCUGUUUUUCGUGUGUUGUUUGCUUAUUUUGAUGAAUAUAUGGCUUGUAAAAUAGUUUAUAAACCAUAGAGAAGUUGGAAUAAAGUAGGUUUAACACCAAUAUAAAUAAAGAAUGAAAUCAUUACAGUACCUUGAAGUGGCGUUUUGUUUUCUUUCGCUAACGGAGCUCACGAGAUUUUCUGCUAAGUUUGUGUUGUGAAGUUUCCAAGUUUUGGGUAAAAUAUUUGAUGGAUUAAGGAACAAGGAGUGGCAAGAGCCUAAGCUUGGGGAUGCCCUUGGCACCCCAAGAUAAUCUAAGGACACCAAAAAGCCAAAGCUUGGGGAUGCCCCGGAAGGCAUCCCCUCUUUCGUCAACUUCCAUCGGUAACUUUACUUGGAGCUAUAUUUUUAUUCACCACAUGAUAUGUGUUUUUUUUGGAGCGUCUUGUAUGAUUUGAGUCUUUGCUUUUUAGUUUACCACAAUCAUCUUUGCUGUACACACCUUUUGAGAGAGACACACAUGAUUCGGAAUUUAUUAGAAUACUCUAUGUGCUUCACUUAUAUGUUUUGAGCUAUAUAGUUUUUGCUCUAGUGCUUCACUUAUAUCUUUUAGAGCACGGCGGUGGUUUUGUUUUAUAGAAACUAUUAUUCUCUCAUGCUUCGCUUAUAUUAUUUUGAGAGUCUUAAACAGCAUGGUAAUUUGGUUAAAUUGGGAAAUUAAUCCUAAUAUGUUAGGUAUUCAAGACUAGUAAAAAACUUUCUUAUGAGUGUGCUGAAUGCUAAGAAAAGUUUGAUGCUUGAUGAUUGUUUUGAGAUAUGGAGGUAGUGAUAUUAAAGUUGUGCUAGUUGAGUAGUUGUGAAUUUGAGAAAUACUUGUGUUGAAGUUUGCAAGUCCCGUAGCAUGCACGUAUGGUAAACGUUAUGUAGCAAAUUUGAAACAUGAGGUGUUCUUUGAUUGUCCCCCUUAUGAAUGGUGGUCGGGGACGAGCGAUGGUCUUUUCCUACCAAUCUAUCCCCCUAGGAGCAUGCGCGUAGUGCUUGGUUUUUGAUGACUUGUAGAUUUUUGCAAUAAGUAUGUGAGUUCUUUAUGACUAAUCUUGAGUCCAUGGAUUAUACGCACUCUUACCCUUCCAUCAUUGCUAGCCUCUUCGGUACCGUGCAUUGCCCUUUCUCACAUUGAGAGUUGGUGCAAACUUCGCCGGUGCAUCCAAACCCCGUGAUAUGAUACGCUCUUUCACACAUAAACCUCCUUAUAUCCUCCUCAAAACAGCCACCAUACCUACCUAUUAUGGCAUUUCCAUAGCCAUUCCGAGAUAUAUUGCCAUGCAACUUUCCACCGUUCCGUUCAUUAUGACACGCUCCAUCACGGUCAUAUUGGUUUGCUUGAUCAUGUAGUUGACAUCGUAUUUGUGGCAAAGCAACCUUUCAUAAUUCUUUCAUACAUGUCACUCUUGAUUCAUUGCAUAUUCUGGUACACCGCCGGAGGCAUUCACAUAAGUCAUAUUUUGUUCUAAGUAUCGAGUUGUACUUUUUUGAGUUGUAAGUAAAUAAAAGUGUGAUGAUCUUCAUCAUUAGAGCAUUGUCCCAUGUGAGGAAAGGAUGAUGGAGACUAUGAUUCCCCCACAAGUCGGGAUGAGACUCCGACGAAAAAAAAGAGGCAAAAAAAUGAGAGAAGGCCCAAAUAACAAAAUAAAAAUAUGAGAGAAAAGAGAGAAGGGGCAAUGCUACUAUCCUUUGCAUGAUCAUGACACGUUCAUCAUUGUCAUAUUGCUUUGCAUGAUCAUGUAGUUGACAUCGUAUUUGUGGCAAAGCCACCGUUCAUAAAUUUUUCAUACAUGUCACUCUUGAUUCAUUGCUAACCCGGUAUACCGCCGGAGGCAUUCAUAUAGAGUCAUACUUUGUUCUAGUAUCGAGUUGUAAUCAUUGAGUUGUAAAUAAACAGAAGUGUGAUGAUCAUCAUUCAUAGAGCAUUGUCCCAAUAAAAAAAGAGAGAGAAAGGCCAAAUAAAAAAAACAAGGCCCAAAAAAAAGGAGAAUAAAAAGGGGCAAUGCUACUAUCUUUUUCCAUACUUGUGCUCCAAAGUAGGACCAUGAUCUUCAUGAUAGAGGGUCUCUUGUUUUGUCACUUUCAUAUACUAGUGGGAAUUUUUCAUUAUAGAACUUGGCUUGUAUAUUCCAACAAUGGGCUUCCUCAAAUGCCCUAGGUCUUCGUGAGCAAGCAAGUUGGAUGCACACGCACUUAGUUUCUUUUGUUGAGCUUUCAUGCAUUUAUACCUCUAGUGCCUCCGUUGCAUGGCAAUCCCUACUCCUUGCAUUAACAUCAAUCGAUGGGCAUCUCCAUAGCUCAUUGAUUAGCCGCGUUGAUGUGAGACUUUCUCCUUUUUUGUCUUCUCCACAUAACCCCCAUCAUUAUAUUCUCUUCCACCCAUAGUGCUAUAUCCAUGGCUCACGCUCAUGUAUUGCGUGAAGGUUGAAAAAGUUUGAGAUUACUAAAGUAUGAAACAAUUGCUUGGCUUGUCAUCGGGGUUGUGCAUGAUGAGAGCAUUCUUGUGUGACGAAAAUGGAGCAUGACUAAACUAUAUGAUUUUGUAGGGAUGAACUUUCUUUGGCCAUGUUAUUUUGAGAGGACAUAAUUGCUUAGUUAGUAUGCUUGAAGUAUUAUUACUUUUAUGUCACAAUUAAGAGAAUUACAUUUAUUACAUUUAUUACUUUUAUGUCACAACUAAACUUUUAUCUUGAAUCUUUCGGAUCUGAAUAUUCAUACCACAAUUAAGAGAAUUACAUUGAAAUUAUGCCAAGUAGCAUUCCACAUCAAAAAUUCUGUUUUUAUCAUUUACCUACUCGAGGACGAGCAGGAAUUAAGCUUGGGGAUGCUUGAUACGUCUCCAACGUAUCUAUAAUUUUUAUUGUUCCAUGCUAUAUUAUAUUCUGUUUUCGACAUUAACGGGCUUUAUUAUACACUUUUAUAUUAUUUUUUGGACUAACCUAUUAACCGGAGGCCCAGCCCAGAAUUGCUGUUUUUUGCCUACUUCAGAGUUUCGCAGAAAAAGAAUAUCAAACGGAGUCCAAACAGAAUGAAACCUUCGGAACGAACGUGAUCCAGAGGACUUGGAACCUAUGUCAAGACAACAACCAGGAAGGCACGAGGUAGGGGGGCGCGCCUACCCCCCCAAGCGCGCCCUCCACCCACGUGGGCCCCAUGUUGCUCCACCAACGUACUUCUUCCUCCUAUAUAUAUCUACGUACCCCCAAACUACCAGAUACGGAGCCAAAAAGCUAAUUCCACCGCCGCAACCUUCUGUACCCAUGAGAUCCCAUCUUGGGGCCUCUUCCGGAGCUCCGCCAGAGGGGGCAUCGAUCACGGAGGGCCUCUCCGAUGAUUUGUGAGUAGUUUACCUCAGACCUUCGGGACCAUAGUUAUUAGCUAGAUGACUUCUUCUCUCUCUUUGGAUCUCAAUACAAAGUUCUCCACGAUUCUCGUGGAGAUCUAUUCGAUGAAAUCUUCUUUUGCGGUGUGUUUGUUGAGACCGACGAAUUGUGGGUGUUUGAUCAAGUUUAUCUAUGAACAAUAUUUGAAUCUUCUCUGAAUUCUUUUAUGUAUGAUUGGUUAUCUUUGCAAGUCUCUUCGAAUUAUCAGUUUGGUUUGGCCUACUAGAUUGAUCUUUCUUGCAAUGGGAGAAGUGCUUAGCUUUGGGUUCAAUCUUGCGAUGUCCUUUCCUAGUGACAGUAGGGGCAGCAAGGCACGUAUUGUAUUGUUGCCAUCGAGGAUAACAAGAUGGGGUUUAUAUCAUAUUGCAUGAGUUUAUCCCUCUACAUCAUGUCAUCUUACUUAAAGCGUUACUCUGUUCUUACGAACUUAGUACUCUUGAUGCAUCCUGGAUAGCGGUUGAUGUGCGGAGUAAUAGUAGUAGAAGCAGGCAGGAGUCGGUCUACUUGUCGCGGACAUGAUGCCUAUAUACAUGAUCAUACCUAGAUAUUCUCAUAACUAUGCUCAAUUCUGUCAAUUGCUCAACAGUAAUUUGUUCACCCACCGUAAUACUUAUGCUCUCGAGAGAAGCCACUAGUGAAACCUAUGGCCCCCGGGUCUAUCUUCCAUCAUAUUAAUCUUCCAACACUUAGCUAUUUUUAUUGCCUUUUAUUUUACUUUGCAUCUUUAUCAUAAAAAUACCAAAAAUAUUAUCUUAUCAUAUGUAUCAGAUCUCACUCUCGUAAGUGACCAUGAAGGGAUUGACAACCCCUUUAUUGCGUUGGUUGCGAGGAUUUAUUUGUUUGUGUAGGUGCGAGGGACUCGUGCGUGGCCUCCUACUGGAUUGAUACCUUGGUUCUCAAAAACUAAGGGAAAUACUUACGCUGCUUUACUGCAUCACCCUUUCCUCUUCAAGGGAAAACCAACGCAGUGCUCAAGAGGUAGCAGUGUCCAAGCCGGCAAUGCCAGAAGUAUGUCGGAUUUAUCUCAUUAGGCUUAAGCCUCUUGACAUUCACGUUAUAGACUGGUUCCUGUUCCAGAUUCAAUAUAAAUAGCCCAUCAACAAUGGGUGCAUAGCCGUGGAACAUACCAUUCAAAUAAAACGAACAACCAUUGUCCUUUAAAUGGAAUUCAUAACCCUGACUCAUCAAACAUGAGGCAGAAAUAAUGUUCCGACUAAGUGCAGGAAUGUAAUAACAAUUAUUCAAUUCCAAAAUAAAUCUAGAAGGAAGCUGGAGCUGCAUCGUGCCGACCUCCAACGCAGCAACUCUUGCUUUGUUGCCGACCCUGAUGUCAAUCUCCCCUUGUGCCACACGCCUAGUUCUUACCAGCCCCUGCAUCGGGUUGCAAAUAUGAAGAACCGAUCCGGUAUCAAAUACCCAAGAGCUACUAGGUAUGUCAGCAAGGUAAAUGUCUAUAACAUAUGCAACAAGUGUACCUUUGCCUGAAGAAGCAUUUCCGACCUUCUUGCCAUGCUCUGCAAGCCACUUGCUACAGUCCCUCUUCCAAUGACCAGUUUCCUUGCAAUGAUAGCAAAUGGUCUUCGAGUCCGGUCCAGACUUUGGCGCAGCGGUGGAGGUUACCAUCUCCGUGCCCUUUGCCUUAGCCUUCUUCUUAGACCAACUCUUCUUGAACUUAGCCGAUCUGCACCAUGAACACUUGAUGCGUGCCUUUCUUAAUAUCCUGCUCUCCCACUUUUAGCAUCCCAUGCAAUUCAGUGAGCUUCUUGUCCAUGCCAUGCAUAUGAUAGUUCGAGAUGAACGUCCCAUAGCUGGGCGGAAGAUAAUCUAGAACUGCAUCUGUAGCCAGCUCAUCCAAGAGCGGGAAGCCCAACCUAUCCAAAGCUUGCACAUAUCCGAUCAUCUUGAUCACAUGUGGGCUCAGUCGAUCACCUUCCUUCAGCUUGCAAUCCAUCAAGGAUCACCAGACAUUGAACCUUUCGGUCCUAGCCUGUGUCUAAAACAUGUUCUUGAGACUCUCGAUCAUAUCGUAAGCCUCAACGUUUUUGAAAUGCUGUUGCAAAUCGGGCUCCAUACAAGCCAGCAUCAGACAGCUGAUCUCCGUUGAUUCAUCAACGAGUUUUUGGUAGGCAUUCUUAGCUGUGGCACUAGCAUUAUCGGCAGGUUCCUCUGGAAGUGGAUCCUCUAGAACAUGUUCCUUUUUAUCAUGCUUGAGAACAAUACUCAGAUUUCUAUACCAGGUGGUAAAGUUUGUUCCAUUCAGUUUAUCCUUUUCCAGAAUUGAUUUCAAUGCAAAGUUGGGUUGAGCAGGUGGUGCCAUUAAUCUACAACAGAAAAUAUGCAAUCACUAAGCAAUGUGUUUAUGUAGAGUAAUUCUAGCCUUAAACGAAAAUACUCCCACUGAAGUUGGCAUCCCUCCGCAAACUCUCAGUGAUUCAGGAUCCGACUAGCACAUGCGACUAGUGAGCUUUAGCGUCACUGCUAGACAACAUGCCUAUUAGGUAAGCAACUCCUUGCUAAUCGUAUCUCUAUUCGACUCCUGUCGGUCGGGAAGGUAUCUCAUACCCCGGCCCCCAACCUUCUUUGCCACAAGGCCCAAAACUGUUUUGAUAGCCUUGUCAAGUUAACCUGACGUAGUGCAUGUCCGUGUCCGACACGAACCCUUCAGUUCAAGGACACACAACAGCACCUUAAUUUUAUGAGCCCACUACUAGACGUACUUGACGUGCGAAGGUGCAACAUCGGGGAUGACAAUUCGCUUGAUAUUAACGAGGGAUCUUUCUACCAUUCUAACAUGCAUAUAAACAAAGAAGCAUAACAAUCACAAAUAAACACAUAUUGUGAAAUAGUAUGGCUCCUUCAUGGACGUUCUUCCAGGUCAGCUCCGACUCCGAUGACCAUCUAGGAACUCCAUCUUGUUUGUCAUACCGGGACGCCAAGCCACCAACAUGAUCUCUAUUAUCCAACUACUACAACUAGUAAUGAAUUUUACAUAGAGUCACAAGUCGACACGCAGGUCGUUAUACAAUAUAAUGACAACACUUUGGCUCCUGCCGGCUGACAAACAUGACACGCAGGCCAUGUAUAAUUUACACACAUGCAUCACAUACACAUGAGCCAUACUAUUCACAUCAAACCCUGCAAAAUAAAGUUAUGCAUAGAAUCGCAUUCUACCGGUUUGUGUGAUCGUGUACGAAAUACAAGGCGCUACGCACACGACGCAUUUUACCGAUUCAGAUUUACGUUUCACUGUUAACCCCGAUGGCGGAUAACCGACCGGUAGGGGUAGAUCGUGUCACGACCUCUCGAUCCCGAUUGACAGAAAACAUAGCCUCAUGGAUCCCCAUGUGCAGUUGAUCUCAUCAACCGUGCACACAGCCGAUCUCAACAAUGACAACAGAUCUCAUCUGCCGCCUCCACAUAUCUAAUAUGCGUACGAUCUGAAUCCAAAUCCUAUAACAGAGCUCUGAUACCACUGUUGGCUUCUAUGGUAGGGUGCGUCGACUGCAAAUUAAAAUUUUCCUACGUGCAGAACAACCAAGAACAUGCUACGGGAGAUGGAUCACAAUUCGUUACCACUAGACGCGCAGUGCCGUGCAGCGGAAGAAGAGUUGGGGUAGCGCGUCCACGUGGAUCAUCUUCUCCUCGUCCGAUCUCCCUCGAACAACCGGUCAUCGUAUCCCUCGCACAGGUUCGCCGGAACGACGCAGGUGCACCGCCUCUAAUGGUAUCCGCGCGUGCAGGAGGAACAUCGUGCGGCGGACUGCUAGGUCCGAUCACACAGUCGACAACGAGUGGAGGUGUCUAUUCGCAACACAUGCAAACCCUAGUGACAGCGCCGAAGCGAUCAAUCGCAUGAGUGUGCUGCACCUCCACUAUAUAUAUAGGCAUUUGUCGCGGGCUCAACUCUUGGGCCUCGCACAGAUCCUAAAGCCCACAAGUCUACUCGGCCAUAAUACGAAUACAGCCCGGAUCACAUCCGACCAGUGUCCUCGGAUCCUACCUCGUAGGUUCCUUCCCUUAAGCGCGCGACCCUUUAGGUUCAAGCCGGCUUGGUCGUAGUUCGGAUCACCUCCGAACUGCACGGUUGGUAGCGGCCUCUAGCAAGGCAUGCCGAACACCAAGCAGACUAUGAAGCUGGUUAGCGAACCUGUACAUCACACUCCCAUUCCUUUUGCCACACGAUAUAUGUUGCCGGGCUCAAGGCGAGUAUGUCAUCCUUGUGCUAGCCCGACCUCUUUCUCGUUCCAGUUAUGCCGACCACAAACCGGAUUAUCUCAUAAUCCUUGUCGCAUGGCCAUGCUUAUCCUGGUCGGAUCACACGAGGGGCCCAGAGUAUAUCUCUCCUAAUCGGAGGGGCAAAUCCCAUCUUGCUCGACCACGUCUCGCAGCAUGGGUCUGGACAAGCCCGAAACCUACCUUUGUAACUACCCAGUCACGGAGUAGGUUUGGUCGGCCCAAAGCAGGUCUGUCACCAUCCCGAGUACAUGUGCCAGCUCAGGUCUUAGGACAUAGAACAUAUGUGGUACUAGAGACUCACAGAUGACAUAUCGCUGCAUCUCAUAGUUGGGUCUGUCCGACUCGGACCUUAUCUCGACUCGGAUCCGACUACGUCGAAUCCGACCAGACCUUUCCAAGUCCAUAUUAUCCGGUUAGCAUCCAAUGCUCCAUGGCUAGUGAGACCAAGCCAUCGACCGUGUCAUAUGCUAGUCUAAUCGGCUGCGCGUCCACACAGCCCUUUUGACUAGGGACCUUUUAGGAUAGUCAUCAUACAAUGCAUAGUCCCACAAACAAGUCACGUACUUUGUGAUACACAUCAUUGAUAAUGUCCAAGGACUAUCUUUAUUCAUAAACACAUAGGAAAUAUCAUCAUACAUGAUUGCCUCUAGGGCAUAUCUCCAACAUUAACGCCCUUAGCUAGGCAUAAAAACACGAAUAGAUCUAGGUAUUAUCAUCUUUGGUAUGCAAUCCAUAAGUGGCUCUCAUUAUAGAUUCAUAAGGCAAUUUAAUUUUCUUUCUUGGAAAGUGUUUCAUGCCUUUCCUUAACGGAAAUUGAAAUCUAAUGUUUCUUUCUUUCAUAUCAAUAAUUGCACCAAUCAUUCUAAGGAAAGGUCUACCAAGAAUAAUAGGACAUAUAGGAUUGCAAUCUAUAUCAAGAACAAUGAAAUCUACAUGCACAUAAUUCCUAUUUGCAAUAAUAAGAACAUCAUUAAUCCUCCACAUAGGUUUCUUAAUAGUGGAAUCCGCAAGAUGCAAAUUUAAAGAACAAUCAUCAAAUUCACGGAAACCCAACACAUCACAUAAAGUUUUUGGAAUCGUAGAAACGCUAGCACCCAAAUAACACAAAUCAUGGCACUCACAAUCUUUAAUCAUAAUCAUAAUAGUAGGUUCCCACUCACUCAUCAUAAAGUUUUCUAGGGAUAGAAACUUCCAAUUCAAGCUUUUCUUCAAAAGAUUGCAUCAUAGGAUCAACGAUAUGUUUAGUAAAAGCUUUAUUUUGAUUAUAAGCAUGAGGAAAAUUCAACAUGGGUUGCAACAAGGAAAUACAAUCUAUUAAAGACCAAUUACCAUAAUUAAAUUCCUUGAGAUCCAAAAGAGUGGGUUCAUCGCUACUUAAAGUUUUGACCUCUCCUAUCCCACUUUUAUCAAUUUUUGCAUCAACAUCUAAAAACUCUGAAUCCUUCGGACGCCUUUAAACUAAAGUUGACUCAUCUCCAGUCCCACCUUUAUCAAGAUUUAUAUUGGAAACUAGAAGAUUCAAUAGGAGUCACAUCAAUUACUUUAAGAUCUUCAUCAUUAUUUUCACGGAAACUAGAAGAACAUGCUUUAUAAACCAAUCUUUUUUAGCACGCAUCUUAGCGGUUCUUUCCUUGCACUCAUCAAUGGAAAUUCUCAUGGCUUUGAGAGACUCGUUUAUGUCAUACUUGAAUGGAACAGAUCUAAGUUUCAAAGAAUCAACAUCAAGAGAAAUUCUAUCCACGUUCCUAGCCAAAUCAUCAAUUUGCGAACUCAUAAAUUCUUUAACACUAUUCUCAAAAUCAGAGGGCAACUUAUUAUAAUUUCCUUAAGAAUUGUUGUAGGAAUUACCAUAAUUAUUAGUGGAAUUACUAGGAAACGGCCUAGGAUUAAAAUUACCUCUAUACGCGUUAUUACCAAAAUUGUUCCUACCAACACAAUUCACAUCCAUAGAUUCAUUAUUAUUCUCAAUCAAAGUAUACAAAGGCAUAUCAUUAGGAUCAAUAGGAGCACUCUUGCUAGCAAACAAUUCCAUAAGCUCAUCCAUGUUUCCACUCAAAACAUUAAUCUCUUCAAUCGCAUGCACUUUUAUACUAGUGGAAGAUCUUUCGGUACGCCAUUGAGAAUAAUUAACCAAAAUAUUAUCUAAGAGUUUAGCAGCUUCUCCUAAAGUAAUUUCCAUAAAAGUGCCUCCUGCGGCCGAAUUUAAAAGAUUUCUAGAAACAAAAUUCUAUCUGGCAUAGUUUUUUUGUAUAAUCAUCCAUAAAUUUAAACCAUGAGUAGGGCAAUUUCAUAUCAUCAAUUUCAUCCUCUCCCAAGAUUGUGCAACAUGUUCUUGAUCAAGUUGCUUAAAAUUCAUAAUAUCGUUCCUAAGGGAGAUGAUCUUAGCGGGAGAAAAAUACUUGAAAAUAAAAGCAUCUUUACAUUUAUUCCAUAAAUCAAUAGUACUUUUCGGCAAAGAUGAAAACCAAGUUUUAGCACGAUCCCUAAGCGAGAACGGAAAUAGAUUCAAUUUAAAAAUAUCAUUAUCCACAUCUCUUUUCUUUUGCAUAUCACACAAAUCAAAAAAAUUAUUAAGAUGGGAUGCGGCAUCUUCAUUGGGAAGCCCGGAAAAUUGAUCUUUCAUAACAAGAUUCAGCAAAGCGGUAUUAAUUUCACAAGAUUCCGCAUUAGUAGUGGGAGCAAUCGGAGUACUAAUAAAAUCAUUAUUAUUGGUGUUGGAAAAGUCACACAUUUUGGUAUUCUCCUGGGUCAUCGUGACAAAGCAAGCAAUCCAACACACGAGCACACAAAAAACAAGCAAAGAAAACAAACGGAAGAGGGGCGAAGAAAAGGCAAAUCUUUUCGAAAAUCAUUUUAGAAGUGGGGGAGAGGAAAAUGAGAGGUGUCGCGGAAUUGUCACGGCAGAUGUCCUAGUGUGAGGACUUAGUCGUGAGGCCAACGCAUCUAUGUGGUAGCUUGAGAGGGGUUGAUCGGAAUCGAGAGAAGCAACGCAAGACAAGGAUUUAGACAGCUUCGGGCCCCGGGAAACAUCAUCCGGUAACAACCCUACAUGCUGUUUGUGGCUAGGUCUCAUUAUGCUCAUGAGUCGCCGCAUAAACCGGCUCUCCUCUAGUUGUGUCUAGCCUUAGAAGUUAUUUUCCUGUCCCUCUUGGGGUGCCCUGCCCCUCCUUAUAUAUGUUGAAGGGGCGUGUUACAUGACUAGUCCUAGUAGGAUUAGGAUUACUCUAUUACAAGUGGAGUCCUAGUCUUGCUUCCUUUGUAAGGGAAUAUUCCUUAUGCCUUUCCUCGUGAGCCGGCCCACCAUAGCAUGAGCCAGCCUUCUGGGCCUUGGGCCUUGUCAUCCAUCUAAAACACCCACCGGGUCACCAAUGAGUCACCAGGCUAGUGAGUCGGCAGACCAUUGAGCCGCCAGACCCGUGAGUCGCUAGUCCUCCGGCGGGUUAACGGUGAAGCGCCAAGUCCCAGCCGGGCCAUAACUCUGGCCGGGUCAUACCGCGGGGUAUAUCCCCGACAUUAUCCCCCAGUUUAAUUUGGAUUUAUCCAUGUUAAACAGAUCCUGCAAAAUAACUCAAGAACAAAUUUGACAGGUUGUGCUCCGGGUUAACAGUUUCUUGUAAGCCGGCAGUUGAUCAUACUUAAGUCCUUGUUAUUUCCUCCUUUUGGAAAGUCCAGGUCAAUAGACCAACUUCAUAAUCAAUUUUCUUGUAGAAGAAAUAUUGUAAAUAAAGACUCCAUUUGAGUCGGCCUUCAAUGCUCUGACUUGACAAAAAUAUUGGUCUUCAAACAUUCAACUGAUAUUCAGCCGACUUGAAAAUGUAGAACUUGCCGAGCUAUGAUUUCCAAAAUCGUCGGGUUAUAAAAACUGAUGAUUCCGGGUCAUGACUGUUAUAGACGCCGAGUCAUGAUUGUUGCCAACGCUGGGUCACACAAUUCAUCUUCCUGAUUUGCUCAAAACUGAGAAUUUUAAGAUGUUCCUCCUUUAUAUGCAUAUCACCCUGUAGCCCCCAAGUCUUAAGAAGGGAGCGUAGUAAUAGCUUAAGACUUGCUUCAAUAUAUAAAUGUUGCCACUUUGAAGAAAUCCAAGUUUGUUCAUCUCAGUCACCAGUCAAAACGGAAUAUUCCACAUAUGUAGCCCCCAAGUGCCGGAUUGUCAUGCUUGCAGCAACCCGGGACUUGAAAUUGCCUUAUGCUCAUAAAAACUUCAACCAGUGUAGCCCCCAAGGGCCGGGUCAUUAUGCAAUAAUGAGCAGGGACUUUGUAGAUACUGAAGGAAAUAUGCCCUAGAGGCAAUACUAAAGUUAUUAUUUAUUUCCUUAUAUCAUGAUAAAUGUUUAUUAUUCAUGCUAGAAUUGUAUUAACCGGAAACAUAAUACAUGUGUGAAUACAUAGACAAACAGAGUGUCACUAGUAUGCCUCUACUUGACUAGCUCGUUGAUCAAAGAUGGUUAUGUUUCCUAGCCAUAGACAUGAGUUGUCAUUUGAUUAACGGGAUCACGUCAUUAGAAGAAUGAUGUGAUUGACAUGACCCAUUCCCUUAGCUUAGCACUCGAUCGUUUAGUAUGUUGCUAUUGCUUUCUUCAUAACAUAUAUUGACAUGACCCAUUCCCUUAGCUUAGCACUCGAUCGUUUAGUAUGUUGCUAUUGCUUUCUUCAUAACAUAUACAUGUUCCUAUGACUAUGAGAUUAUGCAACUCCCGUUUACCAGAGGAACACUUUGUGUGCUACCAAACGUCACAACAUAACUGGGUGAUUAUAAAGGUGCUCUACAGAUGUCUCCGAUGGUACUUGUUGGGUUGGCGUAUUUCGAGAUUAGGAUUUGUCACUCCGAUUGUCGGAGAGGUAUCUUUGGGCCCUCUUGGUAAUGCACAUCACUUAAGCCUUGCAAGCAUUGCAACUAAUGAGUUAGUUGUGGGAUGAUGUAUUACGAAACGAGUAAAGAGACUUGCCGGUAACAAGAUUGAACUAGGUAUUGAGAUACCGACGAUCGAAUCUCGGGCAAGUAACAUACCGAUGACAAAGGGAACAACGUAUGUUGUUAUGCGGUCUGACCGAUAAAGAUCUUCGUAGAAUAUGUGGGAGCCAAUAUGAGCAUCCAGGUUCCGCUAUUGGUUAUUGACCGGAGACGUGUCUCGGUCAUGUCUACAUAGUUCCCGAACCCGUAGGGUCCGCAUGCUUAACGUUUCGAUGACAGUUAUAUUAUGAGUUUAUAUGUUUUGAUGUACCAAAGGUUGUUCGGAGUCCCGGAUGUGAUCACGGACAUGACGAGGAGUCUCGAAAUGGUCGAGACAUGAAGAUUGAUAUAUUGGAAGCCUAUAUUUGGAUAUCGGUAGUGUUCCGAGUGAAAUCGGGAUUUUACCGGAGUACCGAGGGGUUACCGGAACCCCCCGGGGGCUUAAUGGGCCAUAGUGGGCCUUUGUGGAGAAGAGGAGAGGCGGCCAGGGCAGGGCCGCGUGCUCCUCCCCCUAGUCCGAAUAGGACAAGGAGAGGGGGGCGGCACCCCCCUUUCCUUCCUCUUUCCCUCCUCUUUCCCCCUCCGCUCCUAAUCCAACUAGGAAAAGGGAGGGAGUCCUACUCCCGGUGGGAGUAGGACUCCACCUGGGGUGCCCCUCCUGGCCGGCCGCACCUCCCCCUUGCUCCUUUAUAUACGGGGGCAGGGGGGCACCCUAGAGACACAACAAUUGAUCGUUUGAUCUUUUAGCCGUGUGCGGUGCCCCCCUCCACCAUAGUCCACCUCGAUAAUACAGUUGCGGUGCUUAGGCGAAGCCCUGCGUCGGUAGAACAUCAUCAUCGUCACCACACCAUCGUGCUGACGAAACUCUCCCUCAACACUCGGCUGGAUCGGAGUUCGAGGGACGUCAUCGGGCUGAACGUGUGCAGAACUCGGAGGUGCCGUGCGUUGGGUACUUGAUCGGUCGGAUCGUGAAGACGUACGACUACAUCAAUCGCGUUGUGCUAACGAUUCCGCUUUCGGUCUACGAGGGUACGUGGACAACGCUCUCCCCUCUCGUUGCUAUGCAUCACCAUGAUCCUGCGUGUGCGUAGGAAUUUUUUUGAAAUUACCGCGUUCCCCAACAGUGGCAUCCGAGCCAGGUUUUAUGCGUUGAUGUUAUGUGCACGAGUAGAACACAAGUGAGUUGUGGGCGAUACAAGUCAUACUGCUUACCAGCAUGUCAUACUUUGGUACAACGAUAUUGUUGGAUGAAGUGGCCCGGACCGACAUUACGCGUACGCUUAUGCGAGACUGGUUUUACCGCCGUGCUUUGCACACAGGUGACUAGCGGGUGUCAGUUUCUCCAACUUUAGUUGAACCGAGUGUGGCUACGUCCGUUCCUUGAGAAGGUUAAAACAACACUAACUUGACGAACUAUUGUUGUGGUUUUGAUGCGUAGGUAAGAACGGUUCUUGCUCAGCCCAUAGCAGCCACGUAAAACUUGCAACAACAAAGUAGAGGACGUCUAACUUGUUUUUGCAGGGCAUGUUGUGAUGUGAUAUGGUCAAGACGUGAUGAGAUAUAAGUUGUUGUAUGAGAUGAUCAUGUUUUGUUGAAGCUAUCGGCAACUGGCAAAAGCUUUAUGGUUGUCUCUUUAUUGCAUAAGAUGCAAGCGCCAAAUAAUUGCUUUACUUUAUCGCUAUGCGAUAGCAAUAGUUGCAAGAGCAAUAGUUGUCGAGACGACCAUGUGACGACACAUUGAUAUAGAUCAAGAUGAUGGAGAUCAUGGUGUCAUGCCGGUGACGAUGGAGAUCAUGACCAUGCUUUGGAGAUGGAGAUCAAAGGCACAAGAUGAUGAUGGCCAUAUCAUGUCACAUAUUAUGAUUGCAUGUGAUGUUUAUCUUUUAUACAUCUUAUUUUGCUUAGUUCGGCGGUAGCUUUAUAAGAUGAUCUCUCACUAAAUUUCAAGGCAUAAGUGUUCUCCCUGAGUAUGAACUAUUGCGAAAGUUCUUCGUGCUAAGACACCACGUGAUGAUCGGGUGUGAUAGGCUCUACGUUCAAAUACAAUGGGUGCAAAACAGUUGCACACGCGGAAUACUCAGGUUAAACUUGACGAGCCUAGCAUAUAACACAUAUGGCCUCGGAACACUGAGACCGAAAGGUCGAGCGUGAAUCAUAUAGUAGAUUUGAUCAACAUAAAUGAUGUUCACCAUUGAAACUACUCCAUAUCACGUGAUGAUCGGACAUGGUUUAGUUGAUAUGGAUCACGUGAUCACUUAGAGGAUUAGAGGGAUGUCUAUCUAAGUGGGAGUUCUUAAGUAAUAUGAUUAAUUGAACUUUAAUUUAUCAUGAACUUAGUCCUAGUAGCAUUAGCAUAUCUAUGUUGUAGAUCAAUAGCUCGCGAUGUUGCUCCCCGUUUAAUUUUAUAUGUUCCUAGAGAAAACUAAGUUGAAAGAUGUUAGUAGCAAUGAUGCGGAUUGGAUCCAUGAACUGAGGUUUAUCCUCAUUGCUGCACAGAAGAAUUAUGUCCUUGAUGCACCGCUAGGUGAUAGACCUAUUGCAGGAGCAGAUGCAGACGUUAUGAACGUUUGGCUAGCUCAAUAUGAUGACUACUUGAUAGUUUAGUGCACCAUGCUUAAUGGCUUAGAAUCGGGACUUCAAAGAUGUUUUGAACAUCAUGGACCAUAUGAUAUGUUCCAGGAGUUGAAGUUAAUAUUUCAAGCAAAUACCCGAGUUGAGAGAUAUAAAGUCUCCAACAAGUUCUAUAGCUAAAAGAUGGAGGAGAAUAGCUCAAGCAGUGAGCAUGUGCUCAGAUUGUCUGGGUACUACAAUCGCUUGAAUCAAGUGGGAGUUAAUCUUCCAGAUAAGAUAGUGAUUGACAGAAUUCUCUAGUCACCAUCACCAAGUUAGUAGAACUUCUGAUGAACUAUAGUAUGCAAGGGAUAACGUAGACGAUUCCCGAGCUUUUCAUGACGAUGAAAUCAGAAAUCAAGAAAGAGCAUCAAGUGUUGAUGAUUAACAAGACCACUAGUUUCAAGAAAAGGGCAAAGGGAAAGAAAGGGAACUUCAUGUAGAACAGCAAGCAAGUUGCUGCUCAAGUGAAGAAGCCCAAGUUUGGACCUAAGCCUGAGACUGAGUGCUUCUACUGCAAAAGGACUGGUCACUCGAAGCAGAACUACCCCAAAUAAUUGGCGGAUAAGAAGGAUGGCAAAGUGAACAAAAGUAUAUUUGAUAUACAUGUUAUUGAUGUGUACUUUACUAGUGUUUAUAGCAACCCCUCAGUAUUUGAUACUGGUUUAGUUGCUAAGAGUAGUAACUUAAAACAGGAGUUGCAAAAUGAACGGAGACUAGUUAAGGAUGAAGUGACGAUGUGUGUUGGAAGUAGUUCCAAGAUUGAUGUGAUCAUCAUCGCACAAUCCAUAUAACUUUUGGGAUUAGUGUUGAACCUAAAUAAGUGUUAUUUGGUGUUUGCGUUGAGCAUGAAUAUGAUUGGAUCAUGUUUAUUGCAAAACGGUUAUUCAUGUAAGUUGGAGAAUAAUUGUUGUUCUGUUUACAUGAAUAAAACCUUCUAUGGUCAUACACCCAAUGAAAAUGGUUUGUUGGAUCUCGAUCGUGGUGAUACACAUUUUCAUAAUAUUGAAGCCAAAAGAUGCAAAGUUAAUAAUGAUAGUGCAACUUAUUUGUGGCACUGCCGUUUAGGUCAUAUUGGUGUAAAGCGCAUGAAGAAACUCCAUGCUGAUGGACUUUUGGAAUCACUUGAUUAUGAAUCACUUGAUGCUUGCGAACCAUGCCUCAUGGGCAAGAUGACUAAGACUCCGUUCUCUGGAACAAUGGAGCGAGCAACUGACUUAUUGGAAAUAAUACAUACUGAUGUAUGUGGUGCGAUGAGUGUUAAGGCUCGCGGCAAGUAUCGUUAUUUUCUGACCUUCACAGAUGAUUUGAGCAGAUAUGGGUAUAUCUACUUGAUGAAACACAAGUCUGAAACAUUUGAAAAGUUCAAAGAAUUUCAGAGUGAAGUGGAGAAUCAUCGUAACAAGAAAAUAAAAGUUUCUACGAUAAGAUCGCGGAGAUGAAAUAUUUGAGUUACGAGUUUGGCCUUCAGUUAAAACAAUGUGAAAUAGUUUCACUACUCACGCCACCUGGAACACCUCAGUGUAAUGGUGUGUCCGAACGUCAUAACCGUACUUUAUUAGAUAUGGUGCGAUCUAUGAUGUCUCUUACCGAUCUACCACUAUCCUUUGGGGUUAUGUAUUAGAGACAGCUGCAUUCACGUUAAAUAGGGCACCAUUUAAAUCCGUUGAGACGACACCGUAUGAACUAUGGUUUGGCAAGAAACCUAAGCUGUCGUUUCUUAAAGAUUGAGGUUGCAAUGCUUAUGUGAAAAAGUUUCAACCUGAUAAGCUCAAGCCCAAAUCGGAGAAGUGCGUCUUCAGAGGAUACCCAAAAGAAAAUGUUGGGUACACCUUCUAUCACAGAUCCGAAGGCAAGAUAUUCGUUGCUGAGAAUGGAUCCUUUCUAGAGGAGUUUUUCUUGAAAGAAGUGAGUGGGAGGAAAGUAGAACUUGAUGAGAUAACUGUACCUGCUCCCUUAUUGGAAAGUAAUUCAUCACAAAAAUCUGUUCCUGUGACUACUACACCAAUUAGUGAGGAAGCUAAUGAUGAUGAUCAUGUAACUUCAGAUCAAGUUACUAUCGAACCUCGCAGGUAAACUAGAGUGAGAUCCGCACCAGAGUGGUACGGUAAUCCUGUUCUGGAGGUCAUGUUACUUGACCAUGACGAACCUACGAACUAUGAGGAAGCGAUGAUGAGCCCAGAUUCCGCGAAAUGGCUUGAGGCCAUGAAAUCUGAGAUGAGAUCCAUGUAUGAGAACAAAGUAUGGACUUUGAUUGACUUGCCCAAUGAUCGGCGAGCCAUUGAAAUUAAAUGGAUCUUCAAGAGGAAGACGGACGCUGAUAGUAGUGUUACUAUCUACAAAGCUAGAAUUGUCGCAAAAGGGUUUCGACAAGUUCAAGGUGUUGACUACGAUGAGAGUUUCUCACUCGUAUCUAUGCUUAAGUCUGUCCAAAUCAUGUUAGCAAUUGUUGCAUUUUAUGAUAUCUGGCAAAUGGAUAAACAAAACUACAUUCCUUAAUGGAUUUAUUAAAGAAGAGUUGUAUAUGAUGCAACCAGAAGGUUUUGUCAAUCCUAAAGGUGCUAACAAAAUAUGCAAGCUCCAGCGAUCCAUCUAUGGACUGGUGCAAGCAUCUCGGAGUUGGAAUAUACGCUUUGAUAAGUUGAUCAAAGGAUAUAGUUUUAUACAGACUUGCGGUGAAGCCUGUAUUUACAAGAAAGUGAGUGGGAGCACUACAACAUUUCUGAUAAGUAUAUGUGAAUGACAUAUUGUUGAUCAGAAAUAAUAUAGAAUUAUUCUGCAAAGCAUAAAGUUGUGUUUGAAAGGAGUUUUUCAAAGAAAGACCUCGGAGAAGCUACUUACAUAUUGAGCAUCAAGAUCCAUAGAGAUAGAUCAAGACGCUUGAUAAGUUUUUUCAAUGAGUACAUACCUUGGCAAAAUUUUGAAGUAGUUAAAAAUGGAACAGUCAAAGAAAGAGGUCUUGCCUGUGUUACAAGGUGUGAAAUUGAGUAAGACUCAAAGCCCGACCAGGCAGAAGAUAGAAAGAGAAUGAAAGUCAUUCCCUAUGCCUUGGCCAUAGGUUCUAUAAAGUAUGCCAUACUGUGUACCAGAUCUAUUGUAUACCCUACACUGAUUUUGGCAAGGGAGUACAAUAGUGAUCUAGGAGUAGAUCACUGGACAACGGUCAAAAUUAUCCUUAGUGGAAUAAGGAUAUGUUUCUCAAUUAUGGAGGUGACAAAAAGGUUCGUCAUAAAGGGUUACGUCGAUGCAAAUUUUGACACUGAUCCAGAUGACUCUAAGUCUCAAUCUGGAUACAUAUUGAAAGUGGGAGCAAUUAGCUAGAGUAGCUCCGUGCAGAGCAUUGUUGACAUAGAAAUUUGCAAAAUACAUACGGAUCUGAAUGUGGCAGACCCGUUGACUAAACUUCUCUCACAAGCAAAACAUGAUCACACCUUAGUACUCUUUGGGUGUUAAUCACAUAGCGAUGUGAACUAGAUUAUUGACUCUAGUAAACCCUUUUGGUGUUGGUCACAUGACGAUGUGAACUAUGGGUGUUAAUCACAUGGUGAUGUGAACUAUUGGUAUUAAAUCACAUGGUGAUGUGAACUAGAUUAUUGACUCUAGUGCAAGUGGGAGACUGAAGGAAAUAUGCCCUAGAGGCAAUAUUAAAGUUAUUAUUUAUUUCCUUAUAUCAUGAUAAAUGUUUAUUAUUCAUGCUAGAAUUGUAUUAACCGGAAACAUAAUACAUGUGUGAAUACAUAGACAAACAGAGUGUCACUAGUAUGCUUCUACUUGACUAGCUCGUUGAUCAAAGAUGGUUAUGUUUCCUAGCCAUAGACAUGAGUUGUCAUUUGAUUAACGGGGUCACAUCAUUAGGAGAAUGAUGUGAUUGACUUGACCCAUUCCUUUAUCUUAGCACUCGAUCGUUUAGUAUGUUGCUAUUGCUUUCUUCAUGACUUAUACAUGUUCCUAUGACUAUGAGAUUAUGCAACUCCCGUUUACCGGAGGAACACUUUGUGUGCUACCAAACGUCACAAUGUAACUGGGUGAUUAUAAAGGUGCUCUACAGGUGUCUCCGAAGGUACUUGUUGGGUUUGCGUAUUUCGAGAUUAGGAUUUGUCACUCCGAUUGUCGGAGAGGUAUCUCUGGGCCCUCUCGGUAAUGCACAUCACUUAAGCCUUGCAAGCAUUUCAACUAAUGAGUUAGUUGUGGGAUGAUGUAUUACAGAACGAGUAAAGAGACUUGCCGGUAACGAGAUUGAACUAGGUAUUGAGUUACCGACGAUCGAAUCUCGGGCAAGUAACAUACCGAUGACAAAGGGAACAACGUAUGUUGUUAUGCGGUCUGACCGAUAAAGAUCUUCGUAGAAUAUGUGGGAGCCAAUAUGAGCAUCCUAGUUCCGCUAUUGGUUAUUGACCGGAGACGUGUCUCGGUCAUGUCUACAUAGUUCUCGAACCUGUAGGGUCCGCACGCUUAACGUUUCGAUGACAGCUAUAUUAUGAGUUUAUAUGUUUUGAUGUACCGAAGGUUGUUCGGAGUCCCGGAUGUGAUCACGGACAUGACGAGGAGUCUCGAAAUGGUCGAGACAUGAAGGUUGAUAUAUUGGAAGCCUAUAUUUGGAUAUCGGAAGUGUUCUGGGUGAAAUCGAGAUUUUACCGGAGUACCGAGGGGUUACAGGAACCCCACGGAGGCUUAAUGGGCCAUAGUGGGCCUUUGUGGAGAAGAGGAGAGGCGGCCAGGGCAGGGCCGCGCGCCCCUCCCCCUAGUUCGAAUAGGACAAGGAGAGGGGGGCGCCGCCCCCCUUUCCUUCCUCUUUCCCUCCUCUUUCCCCCUCCACUCCUAAUCCAAUUAGGAAAAGGGACGGAGUCCUACUCCCGGUGGGAGUAGGACUCCACCUGGCGCGCCCCUCCUGGCCGGCCGCACCUCCCCCCUUGCUCCUUUAUAUACGGGGGCAGGGGGCACCCUAGAGACACAACAAUUGAUUGUUUGAUCUUUUAGCCGUGUGCGGUGCCCCCCUCCACCAUAGUCCACCUCGAUAAUACUGUAGCGGUGCUUAGGCGAAGCCCUGAGUCGGUAGAACAUCAUCAUCGUCACCACACCGUCGUGCUGACGAAACUCUCCCUCAACACUCGGCUGGAUCGGAGUUCGAUGGACAUCAUCGGGCUGAACGUGUGCUGAACUCAGAGGUGCCGUGCGUUCGGUACUUGAUCGGUCGGAUCGUGAAGACGUACGACUACAUCAACCGCGUUGUGCUAACGCUUCCGCUUUUGGUCUACGAGGGUACGUGGAGAACACUCUCCCCUCUCCUUGCUAUGCAUCACCAUGAUCCUGCGUGUGCGUAGGGAUUUUUUUGAAAUUACUGCGUUCCCCAACAGAUACUUCAUUGAAAAUAACAUCAUACAAGGUUAAGAGUCUUGUCCUCUGAGCAACUGAGCAAUGAACCCUUCAAUAUAAUGGAUUAAGGCUUGUGUACCUUGAAUUUUUGACAUGAGUGGUAGCCCCCAAGGGCCGGCUCAUUACAAUGUGAUGAGUCGGGUCUUUAAUAAGGUGAGCAAAAAAGACUGUGCAUUAGCCCCCAAGUGCCAUGGUGCAUGCUGGCAGUGACAUGGGACUUGCAUAUUUGUUGUAAUCUCAACUUGGAUAAUGUAGCCCCCAAGUGCCGGGUCGUAAGCCUGCAGCGACUCGGGACUAUUCCUUCGAUUGUAGAGUAAAUUAUAUUCAUUGAUAAAAUAAUAGCCAUUGCGCUGAAGCGACUUUUUAAAACCUCAAUCAUAAUAUUGGUAAUUGAUAACCAUAAUAAAAAUCCAGCCAUGUUGGCUAUUAAAAAUUUGAAUAAUAUAACCUGGUUUGAAAAAACCAAUUCCUGCCAUAUAAACCGGUAUAUCCAUGCACAUAUGAUACAUGCUAUGAUGAUGUAAUGAUGAUGCAAUGCAUGAUGAUGUAUGUGUAUGAUGCAAUGUAUGAUGAUGUAUGUGUAUGAUGACAGAAUACUUCAAUGAAACUAGCCUAAGCCACUGGAAGGUAUGUGCUUUCCGUGAGCCUGACUCACAGUACCCAAUCGACAUUUGAACCCAGAUAAAGUCAGGUCUUGCUUUAUAGACUUAUCAGGAGUACGCGGGGUUAGAAUAACAACAUACAUCACGGGCCGAUUUAUCCAAGUUUCAAGGAAGGCGGCUUAUGAAGCCCGGAUCUAUCUUGACUAUCUGUAAACCGUGCUCUCGCAUGAAAAACCGCCAUAUUAACCUUAACAAGCUCAGGAUCUUUGGUCGAAUACGCCGUAAAGAUUGAUCAUUAAGAGUAUGGCGGGUCAAUCAAGAUUACCCGAUGGAGUUGAAGCAGCUGGCUAUAGGUAGGAUGACCCGGAAAGGUUAUAUUCUCUUUGGUCGAAUACGCCUAUGUUUGAAUAUAACCUGGUCAAAAAGGGUAGUCACGCUAUGUUCUCUUUGGUCGAAUACGCCUAUGUUUGAACAGGAAGCCCCCCAAGUGACAUAUUCGGUCAAGAGGGUAGUAACGCUAUGCUUCGAAUACGAGCAGGAAGCCCGCAAGUGACCAUAAUGAGCCAAUAAUGGCAGGAUACCCAUGUUUGAACCGCGCAUCAUGGCAGCAGGUCCUCUUCGGCAACCUUUAAUUUUUUCUGAGAACUCAAAAUUUGCGAGAGAUAAUAUUCUUCUUGAGCCGGAAUUUUAAACUGGAUUUGAGAGCUUUAGAGCUUUGUGAGAGAACAUAUUUCCCUUGAACCGGAUUUUAAACCGGCAUUCUUCAUUUUGAGCCGCAAAUUUUUCUGACAGCCUUUAAAUUUUUAUCAAUAUAGCAGUAGUCUCCGGGGCCGGGUUAUUUUUUCCUCCAAUUUUGCCGAGUCAUGUCACUAUAGCCCCCCGAGUCUUAAGAUGACUCGAGGAGUUGUCUUGAGAUUCUCCAUACUUGGCCGUGAUAUAAACCGGCGUAUAGCUGAACAGCGAAACGCUGUAAUAUGUUAAAGCUGGAAGGAAGGUGGCGAGUUAAUGAUCUCCGCAGAACUCAUUAUAUAUCCUUGGCGUUGAUAACACGAUGUGAAUCCACGGAAACUUGAGGUUGACCGUGGCAGGUUAUAAAUGACCCCUUAUGAUUUAUGUCAGUAACCCGGCCAGCGGUUCAUCCCAGUUGGUUGUUUAACCAAAAUGCAGUGGCGGCGAUUUGUAUGCCUAUCCAAUGAGCCCUCUGGUGGAGGCAGAGGCUGACACUAUAUCAUGACCUUCUUGAGAGUUGUUGUAACAAUAGACCGGGCAGGAGGAGCGGUGACUUGCACGCGCUCAUUAAACAACUUGUGCACACAAGCGCGGCCCGGUGUGUUGACGUAGACCAGACUGCGAGGGACGGACGGUAAAUACAACUGUAGCAUCAGAGGCGGCACAGACAGCUGAGUUGGCCGCGGUGUUGUAAGUCGGCGCGGGCGGGAGAGUGGGCCGCGGAGGUGGACGGGUGAGUUAUUGCUACCUCUUGAGUUUGCGUUGGUUUUUCCUUGAAGAGGAAAGGGUGAUGCAGCAAAGUAGCGUCAGUAUUUCCCACAGUUUUUGAGAACCAAGGUAUCAAUCCAGUAGGAGACUACACGCAAGUCGCCUCAUACCUACACAAAAAAUUAGAACCUUGCAACCAACGCGAUAAAGGGGUUGUCAAUCCCUUCACGGCCACUUGCAAAAGUGAGAUCUGAUAGAGAUAAUAAGAUAAAUAUUUUUGGUAUUUUUAUGAUAUAGAUUGGAAAGUAAAGAUUGCAAAAUAAAAGAUAGAUUGGAAACUUAUAUGAUGGAAAAUAGACCCGGGGGCCAUAGGUUUCACUAGUGGCUUCUCUCAAGAUAGCAUAAGUAUUAUGGUAGGUGAACAAAUUACUGUCGAGCAAUUGAUAGAAAAGUGCAUAAUUAUGAGAAUACCUAGGCAUGAUCAUGUAUAUAGGCAUCACGCCCACGACAAGUAGACCGAAACGAUUCUGCAUCUACUACUAUUACUCCACACAUCGACCGCUAUCCAGCAUGCAUCUAGAGUAUUAAGUUCAUAAGAACAGAGUAACACAUUAGGCAAGAUGACAUGAUGUAGAGGGAUAAACUCAAGCAAUAUGAUAUAAACCCCAUCUUUUUAUCCUCGAUGGCAACAAUACAAUACGUGCCUUGCUGCCCCUGCUGUGACUGGGAAAGGACAUCGCAAGAUUGAACCCAAAGCUAAGCACUUCUCCCAUUGCAAGAAAGAUCAAUCUAGUAGGCCAAACCAAACUGAUAAUUCGAAGAGACUUGCAAAGAUAACCAAUCAUACAUAAAAGAAUUCAAAGGAGAUUCAAAUAUUGUUCAUAGACAAUCUUGAUCAUAAACCCACAAUUCAUCGGAUCUCGACAAACACACCACAAAAAGAAUUACAUCGAAUAGAUCUACAAGAAGAUCGAAGAGAACUUUGUAUUGAGAUCCAAAGAGAGAGAAGAAGCCAUCUAGCUAAUAACUAUGGACCCAGAGGUCUGUGGUAAACUACUCACACAUCAUCGAAGAGGCUAUGGUGUUGAUGUAGAAGCCCUCCAUGAUCGAUUCCCCCUUCGACGGAGCGCUGGAAAAGGCCCCAAGAUGGGAUCUCACGUGUACAGAAGGUUGCGACGGUGGAAAUAGGGUUUCGUGGUGCUCCUGGAUGUUUUCGGGGUAUAUGGGUAUAUAUAUGAGGAAGAAGUAGGUCGGUGGAGCUGCGAGGGGCCCACGAGGGUGGGGGGCGCGCCGAGAGGGGCAGGCACGCCUCCCUGCCUCGUGGCCUCUUGCUUCUUUCUUGACGUCCACUCCAAGUCCUCUGGAUCACGUUUGUUCCAAAACUAACUCCCCCGAAGGUUUCAUUCCGUUUGGACUCCGUUUGAUAUUCCUUUUCUGCGAAACACUGAAAUAGGCAAAAAAACAACAAUUUGCACUGGGCCUUCGGUUAAUAGGUUAGUCCCAAAAAUAAUAUAAAAGUGCUUAGUAAAGCCCAUUAAACAUCCAAAACAGAUAAUAUAAUAGCAUGGAACAAUAAAAAUUAUAGAUACGUUGGAGACGUAUCAAGCAUCCCCAAGCUUAAUUCCUGCUCAUCCUCGAGUAGGUAAAUGAUAAAAACAGAAUUUUUGAUGUGGAAUUCUACCUAGCAUAUUUCUCAUUGUAAUUUCCUUUAUUGUGGCAUGAAUUUUCAGAUCCGAAAGAUUCAAGACAAAAGUUUAAUAUUGACAUAAAAAUAAUAAUACUUCAAGCAUACUAACAAAGCAAUCAUGUCUUCUCAAAAUAACAUGGCCAAAGAAAGUUAUCCCUACAAAAUCAUAUAGUCUGGCUAUGCUCCAUCUUCAUCACACAAAUUAUUUAAUCAUGCACAACCCCGAUGACAAGCCAAGCAAUUGUUUCAUACUUUUGAUGUUCUCAAACUUUUUCAAUCUUCACGCAAUACAUGAGCGUGAGCCAUGGACAUAGCACUAUAUGUGGAAUAGAAUGGUGGUUGUGGAGAAGACAAAAAGGAGAAGAUAGUGUCACAUCAACUAGGCGUAUCAAUGGGCUAUGGAGAUGCCCAUCAAUAGAUAUCAAUGUGAGUGAGUAGGGCUUGCCAUGCAAUGGAUGCACUAGAGCUACAAGUGUAUGAAAGCUCAAGAAAAGAAACUAAGUGGGUGUGCAUCCAACUUGCUUGCUCAUGAAGUCCUAGAGCAUUUUAAGGAAGCCCAUCAUUGGAAUAUACAAGACAAGUUCUAUAAUGUAAAAUUCCCACUAGUAUAUGAAAGUGACAACAUAGGAGACUCUCUAUUAUGAAGAUCAUGGUGCUACUUUGAAGCACAAGUGUGGUAAAAGGAUAGUAACAUUGUCCCUUCUCUCUUUUUCCCUCAUUUUAUUUUUAUUUUUUAUUUGGGCAUUUUUCUCUUUUUAUGGCCUCUUUUUUCUUUUCUUUUUCUUCGUCCGGAGUCUCAUCCCGACUUGUGGGGGAAUCAUAGUCUCCAUCAUCCUUUCCUCACUUGGGACAAUGCUCUAAUAAUGAUGAUCAUCACACUUUUAUUUACUUACAACUCAAAAAUUACAACUCAAUACUUAGAACAAAAUAUGACUCUAUGUGAAUGCCUCCGGCGGUGUACCGGGAUAUGCAAUGAAUCAAGAGUGACAUGUAUGAAAGAAUUAUAAAGGUGGCCUUCCCACAAAUACGAUGUCAACUACAUGAUCAUGCAAAGCAAUAUGACAAUGAUGAAACGUGUCAUAAUAAACUGAACGGUGGUAAGUUGCAUGGAAAUAUAUCUCGGAAUGGCUAUGGAAAUGCCAUAAUAGGUAGGUCUGGUGGCUGUUUUGAGGAAGGUAUAUGGUGGGUGUAUGAUACCGGCGAAAGGUGUGCGGUAUUAGAGGGGCUAGCAAUGGUGGAAGGGUGAGAGUGCGUAUAAUCCAUGGACUCAACAUUAGUCAUAAAGAACUCACAUACUUAUUGCAAAAAUCUAUUAGUUAUCGAAACGAAGUACUACGCGCAUGCUCCUAGGGGGAUAGACUGGUAGGAAAAGACCAUCGCUCGUUCCCGACCGCCACUCAUAAGGAAGAAAAUCAAUAAAUAAAUCAUGCUCCGACUUCAUCACAUAACGGUUCACCAUACGUGCAUGCUACGGGAAUCACAUACUUUAGAACCAGUAUUUCUCAAAUUCACAACUACUCAACUAGCAUGACUCUAAUAUCACCAUCUUCAUAUCUCAAAACAAUUAUCAAGUAUCAAACUUCUCAUAGUAUUCAAUGCACUUUAUAUGAUAGUUUUUAUUAUACCCAUCUUGGAUGUUCAUCAUAUUAGGACUAAUUUUAUAGCCAAAGCGAACUACCAUGCUGUUCUAAAAGACUCUCAAAAUAAUAUAAGUGAAGCAUGAGAGAUUAAUAAUUUCUAUAAAAUAAAACCACCACCGUGCUCUAAAAAGAUACAAGUGAAGCACUAGCUAGAGCAAAAUUAUCUAGCUCAAAAGAUAUAAGUGAAGCACAUAGAGUAUUCUAAUAAAUUUUGAUUCAUGUGUGUCUCUCCCAAAAGGUGUGUACAGCAAGGAUGAUUGUGGUAAACUAAUAAGCAAAGACUCAAAUAAUACAAGACGUUCCAAGCAAAACACAUAUCAUGUGAUGAAUAAAAAUAUAGCCUCAAGUAAAGUUAUCGAUGGACGAAGACGAAAGAGGGGAUGCCUUCCGGAGCAUCCCCAAGCUUAUGCUUUUGGUUGCCUUUGAAUUUUACCUUGGGGUGCCUUGGGCAUCCCCAAGCUUAGGCUGUUGCCACUCCUUAUUCCAUAAUCCAUCAAAUCUUUACCCAAAAUUUGAAUACUUCACAACACAAAACUCAACAGAAAAUCUUAUGAGCUCCGUUAGUUUAAGAAAACAAAUCACCACCAUAAGGUACUGUAAUGAACUCAUUCUUUAUUUAUAUUGGUGUCAAACCUACUGCAUUCUAACUUUUUUAUGGUUUAUACCCUCCAAUACUAGCCAUAGAUUCAUCAAAAUAAGCAAACAACACACGAAAAACAGAAUCUGUCAAAAACAGAACAGUCUGUAGCAAUCAGAUUUGUUCGAAUACAUCUGGAACUCCAACAAUCCUGAAAAACUAGUACAACCUGGAAAAUUUGUGUACUGAUCUACUGCAAAAUGAAUUGAUAUUUUAUCAUGUUCUGGUGAAUUUUAACAAUUAUAUUCGUGAGUGCAAAGUUUCUGUCUUUUUCAGCAAGAUCAAACAACUAUCACCCAAGAAGAUCCUAUUGGUUCUACUUGGCACAAAAACUAAUUAAAACAUAAAACCACAUCUGACGAGAGGCUAGAUGAAUUAUUUAUUACUAAAAAGGAACAAAAACAAGAAACAAAAAUAAAAUUGGGUUGCCUCCCAACAAGCCCUGUCAUUUAACGCCCCUAGCUAGGCAUAAAAACAAGAAUAGAUCUAGGUAUUAUAAUCUUUGGCAUGCAAUCCAUAAGUGGCUCUCAUAAUAGAUUCAUAAGGUAGUUUAAUUUUAUUUCUAGGAAAGUGUUCCAUGCCUUUCCUUAACAGAAAUUGGAAUCUAAUAUUUCCUUCUUUCAUAUCAAUAAUUGCACCAAUCAUUCUAAGGAAAGGUCUACCAAGAAUAAUAGGACAUGUAGGAUUGCAAUCUAUAUCAAGAACAAUGAAAUCUACGGGCACAUAAUUACUAUUUGCACCAAUAAGAACAUUAUUAAUUCUUCCCAUAGGUUUCUUAAUGGUGGAAUCCGCAAGCUGCAAAUUUAAAGAACAAUCAUCAAAUUCACGGAAACCUAACACAUCACACAAAGUUUUUGGAAUCGUGGAAACACUAGAACCCAAAUCACACAAAGCAUAGCAUUCAUGAUCUUUAAUCUUAAUUUUAAUAGUAGGUUCCCACUCAUCAUAAAGUUUUCUAGGUAUAAAAACUUCCAAUUCAAGCUUUUCUUCAUAAGAUUGAAUUAAAGCAUCAACGAUAUGUUUAGUAAAAGCUUUAUUUUGACUAUAAGCAUGAGGAGAAUUUAGCACGGAUUGCAACAAGGAAAUACAAUCUAUUAAAGAACAAUUAUCAUAAUUAAAUUCCUUGAAAUCCAAAAUAGUGGGUUCAUUGCUAUGUAAAGUUUUGACCUCUUCAAUCUCACUUUUACCAAAUUUUGCAUCAAGAUCUAAAAACUCUGAAUCAUUGGGACGCCUUUUAACUAAAGUUGACUCAUCUAGAGUCCCAUCAUUAUAUGCAAAACAAAUAUUUAAUAGGAGACACAUCAAUCAUUCUUAGAUCUUCAUCCCUAUUAUCAUGAAAACUGGAAGAACACGCUUUUACAAAGCAAUCUUUCUUAGCACGCAUCCUAGCUGUUCUUUUUUUGCACUCAUCAAUGGAAAUUCUCAUGGAUUUGAGAGACUCAUUGAUAUCAUGUUUAGGUGGAAUAGAUCUAAGUUUCAAAGAAUCAACAUCAAGGGAAAUUCUAUCUACGUUCCUAGCCAACUCAUCAAUCUUAAGCAAUUUUUCUUCAAGCAAAGCAUUGAAAUUCUUUUGAGAAAUCAUAAACUCUUUAACACUAGUCUCAAAAUCAGAGGGCAUCUUAUUAAAAUUGCCAUAAGAGUUGUUGUAGGAAUUACCAUAAUUAUUAGAGGAAUUACUAGGAUAUGGCCUAGUAUUAAAAUUUCCUCUAUAAGCGUUGUUACCAAAAUUGUUCCUACCAACAAAAUUCACAUCCAUAGAUUUAUUAUUAUUUUCAAUCAAAGUAGACAAAGGCAUAUCAUUAGGAUCAAUAGGAGCACUCUUAUUAGCAAACAACUUCAUAAGUUCAUCCAUCUUUCCACUCAAAACAUUAAUCUCUUCUAUCGCAUGAACCUUUUUACUAGUAGAUCUUUUGGUGUGCCAUUGAAAAUAAUUAACCAUAAUAUUAUCUAGGAGUUUAGUAGCUUCUCCUCAAGUGAUUCCCAUAAAAGUGCCUCCCGCGGCCGAAUCUACAAGAUUUCUAGAAGCAAAAUUCAAUCCAGCAUAAUUUUUUUCUAUAAUCAUCCAUAAAUUCAAACCAUGCGUAUGGCAAUUACGUAUCAUUAAUUUCAUCCUCUCCCAAGAUUGUGCAACAUGCUCAUGAUCAAGUUGCUUAAUAUUCAUAAUAUCGUUUCUAAGAGAGAUGAUCUUAGCGGGAGGAAAAUAAUUAGAGAUAAAAGCAUCUUUGCACUUAUUCCAAGAAUCAAUACUGUUUUUAGGCAAAGACGAAAACCAAGUUUUAGUGCGAUCUCUAAGCGAAAAAGGAAAUAGCUUAGAUUUAACAAUAUCAUUAUCCACAUCUGUCUUCUUUUGCAUAUCACACAAAUCAACAAACUGGUUUAGAUGGGUAGCAGCAUCUUCACUAGGAAGGCCAGAGAAUUGAUCUUUCAUGACAAGAUUCAACAAAGCAGCAUUAAUUUCACAAGAUUCAGCAUCGGUAAGGGGAGCAAUCGGAGUGCUAAGAAAAUCAUUGUUGUUGGUAUUGGAAAAGCCACACAAUUUAGUAUUGUCAUGAGCCAUCGUGACAAACGAUCCAACACACAAGCACACAAGAAGCAAGCAAAAAGAGAUGAACGGAAAAGAGGGCAAAUAAAACAGCAAGGGUGAAGUGGGGGAGAGGAAAAUGAGAGGCAAAUGGCAAAUAAUGAAAUGUGAGGGAUAAGAGUUUGUGAUGGGUACUUGGAAUGUCUUGACUUGGCGUAGAUCUCCCCGGCAACGGCGCGAGAAAUCCUUCUUGCAACCUCUUGAGCUUGCGUUGGUUUUUCCUUGAAGAGGAAAGGGUGAUGCAGCAAAGUAGCGUAAGUAUUUCUCUCAGUUUUUGAGAACCAAGGUAUCAAUCCAGUAGGAGACUACACGCAAGUCGCCUCGUACCUACACAAACAAAUAAGGACCUUGCAACCAACACGAUAAAGGGGUUGUCAAUCCCUUCACGGCCACUUGCAAAAGUGAGAUCUAAUAGAGAUAAUAAGAUAAAUAUUUUUGGUAUUUUUAUGAUAUAGAUUGGAAAGUAAAGAUUGCAAAAUAAAAGAUAGAUUGGAAACUUAUAUGAUGGAAAUAUACCCGGGGGGCAUAGGUUUCACUAGUGGCUUCUCUCAAGAUAGCAUAAGUAUUACGGUGGGUGAACAAAUUACUGUCUAGCAAUUGAUAGAAAAGUGCAUAAUUAUGAGAAUAUCUAGGCAUGAUCAUGUAUAUAGGCAUCAUGUCCGCGACAAGUAUACCGAAACGAUUCUGCAUCUACUACUAUUACUCCACACAUCGACCGCUUUCCAGCAUGCAUUUAGAGUAUUAAGUUCAUAAGAACGGAGUAACCCAGCAGGCAAGAUGACAUGAUGUAGAGGGAUAAACUCAAGAAAUAUGAUAUAAACCCCAUCUUUUUAUCCUCGAUGGCAACAAUACAAUACGUGCCUUGCUGCCCCUGCUGUCACUGGGAAAGGACACCGCAAGAUUGAACCCAAAGCUAAGCACUUCUCCCAUUGCAAGAAAGAUCAAUCUAGUAGGCCAAACCAAACUGAUAAUUCGAAGAGACUUGCAAAGAUAACCAAUCAUACAUAAAAGAAUUCAGAGGAGAUUCAAAUAUUGUUCAUAGAAAAUCUUGAUCAUAAACCCACAAUUCAUCGGAUCUCGACAAACACACCGCAAAAAGAAUUACAUCGAAUAGAUCUCCAAGAAGAUUGAGGAGAACUUUGUAUUGAGAUCCAAAGAGAGAGAAAAAGCCAUCUAUCUAAUAACUAUGGACCCGAAGGUCUGUGGUAAACUACUCACACAUCAUCGGAGAGGCUAUGGUGUUGAUGUAGAAGCCCUCUGUGAUCGAUCCCCCCUCCGGUGGAGCGCCGGAAAAGGCCCCAAGAUGGGAUCUCACGGGUACAAAAGGUUGCGGCGGUGGAAAUAGGGUUUCGUGCCGCUCCUGGAUGUUUUCGGGGUAUAUGGGUAUAUAUAGGAGGAAGAAGUAGGUCGGUGGAGCUGCGAGGGGCCCACGAGGGUGGGGGGCGCGCCUCCCUGCCUCGUGGCCUCCUCGCUUCUUUCUUGACGUCCACUCCAAGUCCUCUGGAUCAUGUUUGUUCCAAAAAUAACUUCCCCGAAGGUUUCAUUCCGUUUGGACUCCGUUUGAUAUUCCUUUUCUGCGAAACAUUGAAAUAGGCAAAAAACAGCAAUUUGCACUGGGCCUUCGAUUAAUAGGUUAGUCCCAAAAAUAAUAUAAAAGUGCUUAGUAAAGCCCAUUAAACAUCCAAAACAGAUAAUAUAAUAGCAUGGAACAAUAAAAAUUUAUAGAUACUCGAGGACGUAUCAGUUAUCUAUGGUAUUGUAAACCGGCGCGGUGUUGUUGUUGUAGGCUAAGCCACAGAUGUGAGGGUUUGCACACAUAUUUGUUGAACAACGCGGUAUGGUUGGAUGCAGGCGCUUGAUAAUAUUGGCGUGAGCUUUAUAUCCGGGACAUAACGAUCAUUUUUGCUGUAAAUAAUUGUCCUGCAUAAACAAUAUUGCAGACCAUGGCAAAGAUAAUUUGUUCUUUAAUGAAAAACAAUAUGUGUUAACAAAACCGAUUUAAACUGAUAUCACCUGAUUUACUUGGUCAACCGAUGAUCGAUUCAUCGCGACAGAAACGGGUCAGGUAAACCGGCGACUCAAUAUAAUCCCGGCGGUUUGAGCUGACUGGCGUCUCCGACGGCUCAACACGGCAGAGGCGACUCAGCGCGGCGCGUCUGCGGCUAGUUCUAUUGAGUGGCACGGCACAAACGAACGUCCCCUUUUCUCUUUUAUACGACAGCAAAACAAUUGCAGCACCACGCCCCCCUUUCUUCAGCCAGUAAGUAACAGGGUAGCACGUAAGGGCACCGCGACGAACAGGGUUGUCCACACACACCUGGGUUGAUGUCCUCGAACCAACACAUACAUGCAUGCAUGCGCUGCUCCAUUAUCCUCCGGCUGAAACCCCAGUUUUAUUUUGCUUUGUACCAGUGAGACAAGAUCACACCAGCAGGGGGUGUCUUGGCAGAGCGGAGGCGAAUCACAGCGGAAGAAAACGCAACCGCGGCUCAGCCAAAGCGCAGGCCCGUCAACGGCCGGGCCACUGGCUGUUGACACCAGAUUUUGGCACAGUGAAGAACUUAAUUAAUAUGGCCUCAAAUGGAGAAGUGAUCUACAUUAAAAAGUUUCGUAUUGUCGAUAUGAACAUCUUUGAAGUUUGGGCCAUCGCCAUCCGAUCUCAUCUCGAAGACCGAAGUUGUGUUCGAAAUACCGAGAUUUUGUAUUCAGAACACUAUUCAGCUGAUUACGGCCCCAGGACUGCCUCGUAUGAAAAAAUGAUCUACAUAAAUUGUCUUUGUCUCGUCGAAACGAUCGAUUUUGGUAUAAAAGUCAUCUUAAGCCGUGGUCGUAUGCAACCUGUGGAGGCAAAACAAGGCCUGAAACAAAAGCUGUGGAGUCAUUUCGGACCGACCGAGUUGUUUUGAUCAGUGAGACCGAGUUGGUCCGAAAAUUUACCAGAGAGUUGGCAAUGUACACUCAGUAGGACCGAAGCAAACCAAUCGGUGGGACUGAGUUGAUCUGAGAAAUUACAGAAGGAUACAGAGAGUUGGCAACGUUCACUCGGUGGGACCGAAACGAACCAAUCGGUGGGACCGAGUUGAUCCGGGAAAUUACCAAAGAUUCCUGUCCGAGUUAGGUUAGGGUUUUUGAUGUUUUGGAUGGAAUUUUUAGUCCUUUUCUUGUACGGGAAGUCCAGCCGCCUCAUAAAUAGAUGAGAGGUGACGGCCGAUUAAACAACACACAAUCGCAAAAAACACAUCUACUACUUUUUCAUCUACGUUUUGUCCCUCCCUCGUUCUUGCUCCUUCGUUCUUCACCCUUCUUCGUGUUGGAGAGCUGCGAAUAUGGAGGCUCUAGGGGCGGCUUGACCGACCUAGGGCAGCCCAUAGCCGCCGCACUCCCCGACAGGGUCCCUCUCGCCGGUCGACUUGCGAAUCGCGCUUCCGGUGAGACUCCUUCGACAUGAGCUGUGGUGCAUCACCCCCGGCGUCGAGGGUACAUGUGACGUGUUAGUGUGCGAACACACUUUUUGGCGACUCCGCUGGGGAAAAAGAGUAAUCAUCAUCAUCCAUCAUGGUCGAUCUUCCCAAGCCAUCUGAAGUGGAUGCCGAUAACAUCAUCAAGCCCAAUUUUGAGGAAUUAUCGGCAGAACAUCGCCAAGCUUGUGAGGAGUACAAGAAGGCGCAUGAAGAGAAGGAGAUGCAGGAGUUCCUUGCUAAGUUCAAAAAGGAUCGCCAAGGCAACAUCACUUCAAUUGAAGAAAUCAAGUUUCCUCCUCUUCACAAUGAGCAGGUAGAACCGGCCGUAAGCAAAAUCUUCUCUCCUGAACAGUCGGCUGAAAUUACUACUCUUAUUACUCAGAAUAAUGAUCUUAUUUACCAAGCUAUCAUAGACAAUAAUACUACUCGAAAUAAUACUCCUCAGUCAUAUCAUGGUAGUGGUAGUAUGUCUGCUGGUGUGGAAAACUUUAGUCCAACUUUACCUAUUUCAUCGGCGCCUCCCGUGCCGUUGAAUUAUUAUCCCAGUCAGACAAACCAACUUGUUGCUUCUCCCUUUAAUCCUGCCAUGAAUGUACCAAGUUUAGUGAAUCCAACUACAUUUCUAGGUUACGGUUCGGCAAGUCCAAGUGGAUUGCUGCCGAACUAUGGUACAACAUACACACCACCAUCUCUUCCGACUAGCACUGUACCAACUAUUAGAAAUCAUAUUCACCAUGCGCCACAACCACACACAAAUUCACUCAAUACGAGUGAUAUUUUGGCUAAUGUCAGAGAGGAAAUGUCUAGGAUGUUCCGAGAGCAUUGUGGGAUUGAACUACCUAAACCACGAAUUUCUAGGAAACCAUAUCUAGAAAUUUUUGAUGCCAUGCCAUGUCCUCCCGGAUAUAAAGUUCUAGGUUUUGUUAAGUUUAGCGGAGAGGGAAAAAAGACUACAUGGGAGCAUGUUAGUCAAUACUUGGCACAAUUAGGUGAGGCAAGUUCACGAGACGAGUGGAAAGUACGUUAUUUUCCUUUAUCUUUAACCGGUACUGCUUUCUCGUGGUUUUCUGCAUUACCACCUGGUUCUAUCACUACAUGGAUUCAAUUGGACCAAAAGUUUCAUGAUCACUUCUACAGUGGUGACAAUGAGCUUAAACUAUCCCAUCUUACAUCGGUUAAGCAAAAGCAUGAUGACUCGGUCUCCGAUUAUGUCAAAAGAUUUAGAGAUACGAAAAACCGGUGCUAUAGUUUGGUGAUAACCGAGAGAGAUUUGGCUGAUCUUGUGCUUAGUGGUUUGAGAACUCACAUUAGAGAAAGGCUAGAAGGACAUGAGUUUUUAAAUAUCAACCAAGUCUUGCAAAGGGCUUUGGCUCAGGAAAGCCGAAGCAAAGAUCUUAAAGAGGUGCAUAGAUAUAAAACUGAUCGUCCUAAGAUGAAUAUGGUUGAGUAUGAUAGUGAUCACUUGGACGAUGAGGGUGAUAUUUAUGCUGCUGAAUUUGUUUGGCCAUCUAAGGCCAAACCGUUUACUUGCAAUGAUUUAAAGCCGAUUCAUAAGAAUCGUGAUGAAGAGAUGAAAUUUACUUUCAACAUUGCUAAGUGUGAUAAAAUAUUUGAUGCUUUGUUGCAAGCCAAGAUUAUUAGAACAUCUCAUACUUUACCGCUGUUCGAAGAGCUGAAACUGCGUGCUUAUUGCAAGUAUCAUAAUUCUUUUUCCCAUGCUACUAAUGAUUGUAAUGUUUUUUGACGACAGAUACAAUCGGCCAUUAAUGACGGAUGAUUGAUUUUUUCUAAGAUGCAAGUUGAUAAGCAGCCUUUACCAAUAAACACCAUGGAUUUGGAGGGGAAGAGGAUGUUAAUUCGGCCCAAUAUAGCCGAAUCAGCUAGUAAAAAUAAUAUUGUCAUUGGUGAGCCAAGGAAAAAUAAGGAGAGCGACAAGGUCUUGGGGACACAAGUUGUGCUUGACAAGCAACCCGGUGGCAAGGAGGUAAUCAAGAUCACCAUCAAGAAUCCUACACUCGGGGGGCAACCACAAGUGCAAGAGAACACUCAUGUCAAAUUUGUUAAGCCCAAGAGUCCAGAGGUUGGCAAGUGGAAGACGAAUGAAGCUAAAGUGCAGCGCAAGAGAAUCAAGCCAACUUUUGAUAUGCUGUUGUCCAAGUAUGCCAAUCAAGCGGCCGGUUCUAGCUCUGACCGGGCAUUAAAUUUGAAGCGCUCAAGGUCACCUCCUCGGCAAGAAUUUCAGCAUCAUGCAAGGCCAUAUGGGUCAUGGGCAGCGGGACCAUGUAUGGCGCCACCCCCCUAUGCGCCAUACUACAUGGGAGGCUACAAUGGAGGAUGGGGGCAGCCCCCAAUGGCCCCUUAUGCUUUUCAUCCGGGUUGGGCUGAACCAAGGAGGCCCGUUCAUGAGAGGCUUUCUUAUCCGACACGAGGCCGUUUGAACAAUGGUGUCAAUCGGCCAAUGCAAGAUAAUCAUGGAAGGGUUGGCAAGCAAGUGUGGCGUGCUAAAUCACCAAGUGCUGAAAUUUCAGAGCCUCGCAAGCAAAAGGGGAAGAAUACUAGUGCUGAAAUUAUUAUGAUAGGCACUAAAGAAUUAACAAUCAAAGAGCCGAUUAUUGGUGAUAAUCCGGUUGAUUCUAAUAAAGAUGUGGCUACUGUCCAGCAGGGUCCCAUGGCUAAUGAUCAUAAAGCUAGCACAAGCAAGGCCAAGUCGAGGGAUCCAAAAUAUACUCAGCCUAAGUGGUGUCCUUCCGGUCUGACCAAGGCGCAAAAAAGGAGAUUGCAGCGCAUGAGGAGUCAUGAGAAGGAGGAACAAGAAGCAGAAAAGCUAAGGGAUAAAUAUUUCAAUGAAAGUCGUCCCAUGGUACCCUCGAAACAAGUGUGGAGGCCAAAGCAAAAGGAAAACAUAGCAGCUUCUGCAUUGAUCAUAGCAACACCUACACCACCAACGGAGGACGAUGCGGCUACUAUUACAUCAUCCACUUUGCCUACUACUUGCUCUUCCCUUGAAGAUAUUUCGGAGUCAGUGGACAUGCUUGCGGAAGAAGAUGAAAUGCUUGAUUAUGAGUCUACACCGGUUCAUGAAGGUAUGUAUAUUAAUAUGGUGUAUUACUUACCCGCUGAAUUUCGUGCUACAGAUGAAGAAAGGGAAGUAGCUCAGCUAGAUUUUGGUCUUAAAAAUGCUAUAUUCGAGAAGCCAAAAGAACCGGUGACGCACUUGAAGCCAUUGUUCCUUAAAGGUCAUAUUAAUGGAUCGCCGAUUGCUAGAAUGCUUGUCGAUGGUGGUGCUGUGGUGAAUCUUAUGCCAUAUUCGGUCUUCAAAAAGUUGGGGCUGCGUGAUGAAGAGUUAAUAAAGACCAACAUGGUGCUUAAUGGAUUUGAAGGCAAAGAGAAAACUGAAGCCAAAGGUGUAAUGUAUGUGGAGCUUACGGGGGGAAGCAAAACUUUGGCUACCGCAUUCUUUGUCGCCGAGGUGCAAGGUAACUACAAUGUGAUAUUAGGCCGCGAUUGGGUUCAUGCAAACCAAUGCGUGCCAUCUACUAUGCACCAGUUUUUAAUUCAAUGGGUUGAUGAUGAAGUAGAAGUCAUUCAUGCGGAUAAGUCGGCUUGUGUUGCUUUGGUCGAUGCAUUGGUGGAUUGGCAACAUCCCAAUGCUACUUGCUUGACGGGGCGCGACUUAUCAGAAUAUGAUUUUCUUAGCGCCACGAAAAGUGGUUUUGUGCCCUUUUCUUUAAAGCCGGUUGGCGGUAAUCAGCUCCAAGGUAUGAUGUAUUUAAAUGGAUCCUAACUCAGAGUGGUUACAGAAACGUCUUGUAGAAUAUCGGUCCGAUGAGAACGAUAUGUAUGAGUCCAUAGAAGAGUUAGAUGAUAUGGAUAAACUAGGACAAGGUUUUACAUCGGCCGAUCCGUUAGAAGAGAUAGAUAUAGGAGAUGGUUCAAUUCCUAGGCCGACAUUUGUAAACGAAAAUUUAAGAGCCGAUCAUAUGGCUAAGUUGAUCGAGCUAUUAAAAGAAUAUGUUUGUUGCUUUGCAUGGGAAUAUCAUGAGAUGCCAGGUUUAAGCCGAAAGCUAGUGGAGCAUCGGUUACCUAUAAAGGCCGGUUUUCGGCCAUACAAGCAAUCGGCCAGAAAGUUUAAUCCAAAAACGUAUGACCGGAUCAAGGAAGAGAUCGGUCGUUUGCUUAAAGCUAAUUUUAUUAGACCUUGCAGGUAUGCCGAGUGGAUUUCUAACAUUGUACCAGUAGAGAAGAAGGGCUCCGGCAAGUUGAGGGUGUGCAUUUAUUUCAGAGAUUUGAAUAGAGCUACACCUAAAGAUGAAUAUCCUAUGCCAAUAGCCGAUAUGCUUAUUAAUGAUGCUUCUGGACAUAAGGUCAUUAGCUUUCUUGAUGGUAAUGCGGGGUAUAAUCAGAUUUUUAUGGCCGAAGAGGACAUGUCCAAAUUGGCUUUUCGAUCACCUGGUUUCCUUGGUUUAUUUGAGUGGACAGUGUUGACCUUUGGAUUAAAAAAUGCCGGUGCCACGUAUCAAAGGGCUAUGAAUUUAAUUUUUUCAUGAUUUACUUGGUGUUAUACUUGAGGUUUAUAUUGAUGAUAUUGUUGUCAAAUCGGAUGCUUUUGAAUCUCAUCUAGACGAUUUGCGCUUAGCUUUUGAAAGAAUGAAGAAAUAUGGGCUGAAAAUUAAUCCUUUGAAGUGUGCCUUUGGUGUAUCGGCUGGGAAGUUUCUGGGUUUCAUUAUUCAUGAAGAUGGCGUGGAAAUUGAUCCCAAAAAGAUAGAAGCUAUACAGAAAGUAGAGGCUCCAACAUGCAAGAGAGAUAUGCAAAAGUUCCUUGGCAAGGUUAAUUAUUUGAGGAGGUUCAUAGCCAAUCUAUCAGGGAAGGUUGAUGCAUUUACUCCUAUCCUUCGGUUAAAGAAUGAUGUUGAUUUUACUUGGUGGUCAAAACAGCAAGAGGCAUUUGAUAUGAUUAAGAAAUAUUUGUGCACUCCUCCGGUUAUGAAAGCGCCCAGGCAUAGGGAGCCAUUUAGACUUUACAUUGCAGCGGAGGAAGGUGUUAUUGGUGCUGUUUUGACUCAAAAGACCAAAGGAAAGGAGCGUGCUAUUACUUAUUUGAGCCGAUGCUUAUUGGACGCCGAGACAAGGUAUACAUUUAUUGAGAAAUUAUGCUUAUGCUUAUAUUAUGCUUGCACAAAAUUGAGACAUUAUCUAGUGCCUAGUACUUGCAUUAUAGCUUGUCAAACCGAUGUCAUCAAAUACAUGUUGCAUAGGCCAAUUCUUAGUGGUAGAAUUGGCAAGUGGGCUUAUGCUUUAAUUGAAUAUGAUUUGGCUUAUGAAUCUCUGAAAUCCAUGAAAGGCCAAAUUGUUGCUAAUUUUAUUGUUGAGCAUCGGAUUGAUGACAAACAUGAUAUUGAUAUAAACCUUGUCUCAUUAGUACCAUGGAGAUUAUAUUUUGAUGGUUCAGUUUUUAGUAAUGGCCAAGGUGUUGGUAUUGUUUAUAUAUCUCCUCAUGGUGCUGUUUUUGAAGCUUCAUGCCGCUUAGAAUACUUUUGCACAAAUAAUCAAGCCGAAUAUGAAGCAUUGUUAUUCGUCUUAGAGAUGUUGCUUGCCAUAGGUGCUACACAUAUUGAGGCUUUUGGUGAUUCGUUAUUAGUAGUGCAAAAAAUAUCCAAAGUCUUUCAGUGUUUGGACGAAUCACUUAAUGUUUAUCUUGAUAAAUGUCUAGAUAUAAUUUCUACUUUGGAUUAUUUUAGCAUUGCUCAUAUAUCUAGACAUGACAAUUGGAGAGCAAAUGAGUUGGCACAACAAGCAUCCGGCUAUCAUGUUGCUCGUGGCAUGUUUCAUAUUUCUCAAAGGCCGAUGUCUAGUCUUGCCAACAUAGGGGAGGCUGAACCGAAGCCCACCGUUUUGGCCACUAAUGAAAUAUUUAAUACAGGAGAAAAUCAAGAUUGGAGGAAACCCAUUAUUGAUUAUUUGUGUGAUCCUAGUAAAAGGGUGGACAGGACCAUUUGGCGUAUGGCUUUCAAAUACACAAUGAGAGAUGAUGGUCUCUAUCGCCGAUCGGUUGAUGAUGUUCUUUUAAAAUGCUUGGACGAGGACCAAGCGAGUGUUGCUAUGGGAGAGGUCCAUGAAGGUAUUUGGGGCACUCAUCAGUCGGCUCCCAAGAUGAAAUGGUUACUACGACGUGCUGGGUUUUAUUGGGCGACAAUGGUUAAUGAUUGCUUCCGAUACUAUAAAGGAUGUGAAGCUUGUCAAAAGUUUGGUGAUAUUCAGUUAGCUCCCGCUGCUUUGUUACAUCCUAUUAUCAUGCCGUGGCCUUUUAGAGGUUUGGGAUUGGACUUUAUUGGAGAGAUUUAUCCUUCUUCUUCAAAGGGGCAUCGGUUCGUGUUGGUGGCGACUGAUUAUUUGACUAAAUGGUCUGAAGCAAUACCACUCAAAAAUAUGACUCAUACAGAGGUAAUUCAAUUCAUAACUGAGCACAUUAUUCAUAGAUUCGGCAUUCCUCAAACAUUAACUACAGACCAAGGUUCAUCCUUUGUGUCACAUCAAGUUAAAGAAUUUGCCAAGUCAUAUAAGAUAAAGUUGCUCAAUUCCUCUCCAUAUUAUGCCCAAGCCAAUGGACAAGCUGAGUCUAGCAAUAAAAUAUUGAUCAAGCUCAUCAAGAAGAAGAUUGAGGAUAAUCCAAGGAGAUGGCAUGAGUUACUGUCCGAAGCUUUGUGGGCACACAGAAUCUCAAGGCAUGGUGCUACAAAGGUAACUCCAUAUGAGCUCGUAUAUGGUCAAGAGGCUGUUUUACCAGUGGAAGUGAAUUUGAAUGCUUUGAGAAUAGCCAAAUAAAAUGAUUUAUCGGUGCUGGACUUUUAUAACUUGAUGAUGGACAAUAUUGAUGAAGUCCACUACAAGAAAUAUGUCAACUAGUGACCUUCUGUCAGUGACCCUGGAAGAAUUGGUCAUAGAUCUACGACCAUUUGAGACCAAUUGGUCAAAAGUUGCUCGGGGGGCUCCAAACCCUCAACUAUAUCGACCAUUUUGGCCAUAAAGGUCGUAAUUUCUUUACACAAAAUGGUCAUAAAGCAGACAACACUGAUCCGCUGCCUUAUUUCUAGCUGAUCACGACUAAUAUAGAUGGUCAUAACCUUGUAAGUUGUGGUGGAUUGCUAUGACUAGGCGCCACCUCAUCAGUUUUGCAUAUGUGUCAUGUCCAUGUGUCAAUUUUUGCCCUAGGUUGUGAAGCAACCCAUAUUUCUGUUAGGCCCAAAAUUCCGGAAAAAAUCUCAUAAAUUCUUUGGAUCAUAUCUUCGUCAAAUAUGUCAAAAACCUUCCUCGCCUAGUUAAAAUAUAAUUCAACAAUAUUCAUUUUCCUAUUCUGUUUAGAAUAGCACUUUGUGAAGGAAGUGCUAUUUUUAUAUUCUUGAUUGCCCUCAAAAUGUUUGGGCACUCUUUCCUAUCCAAAUCAUUGCCUCAUGACAAAAUUCAGCUCCAUUUGCCUAGUAAAUGUUCCUCGGCAAAUUUCCAAGGUUUUUGUUCAUCUAGAAGCUUUGUGAAGGAAGUACCAUUUUUAUAUAUCCAAAUGAUAUGAAAUUUAUACAGUUCCUUCGUAUGCCCAGAUUAUCACCCUCCUCCAAAUUACAGCUCAGUCAAAUCAUCUAUGUGAGCCCAGGUUCAAUUUAUAUUUUAUGGCCAGAUUAGCACAUUGCAAAACAAGUGUUAUCUAGACCCCUCCUAUUACCCUCAAACUUUUUGGGCACUCUUCCAUACCCAAAUCAUUGCCACAUGAUAAUAUUCAGCUCCAAUUUUGCUGGUAAAUAUUUCUCAGGAAAUUUUCGAAGUUUCUAUCUCGAGAGAAGCUUUGUGAAGUAAGUACUAGCUAGGCUUACCCAAAUGGUCUAAAAAUUUACCAGGGCAUGACCAUACCUAUGUAACUUACCUACACAAAAUUUGAGCUCAUUUCAUUUAUCCAAUUUCUCUCGCUAAUUUUCCCAAGUUUCUGUCCGGAGAAGAGCAUUGUGAAGGAAGUACCACUUUGGCAUGUCCAAAUGGUAUCAAUUUUCUACUGUCCUUUCCCAUGCCCAAAUAACCAUCCUCCACCAAAUUUCAGCUCAAUACAUUCAUUAUUUUGAGCCCAGCUACAACAUUCAUAUUUUUGUCCAGUGUGGUACUUUGCAAAGCAAGUACCACCUAGGAUCCUCCUUUUGAUCUGAAAAUUUGUGAAGACAUUCUUCUUAAUAGAUGAUCAUCCUCAGCCAAAACUCACGCCCAUUGUCCAUGUGCUAAUCAAACACUUGGUUGCUAAUUCAUCUUUGAGCAUAGUUCGGUCUCCUCGUGAGAUUCUUCUGUUGUAAUUUUCUUCCUAGCACCUACCUAGGGAGUUCCCAACCCACUAGACAUACCUAGGCCUCCCAGAACACAUGUCAACGCCAAGGUCACGCGGUGACCAUGCGGCGGGCAUGCGAGUUUACGCACUUUGGAGUUGGGGCCCUGGGCCACCGUCCAAACCUCGACGUAUCGCUACCAAACCAUGUAUUUAUGCUUAAAUAUAUACUUAUGUAACUAGAAAUGAUUUUUGGAAAAAAGAAAGAGCAAACAAUAAGGUAGCUGCAGUUCAAAUUUGACCCGCUUCCAGCUGAAUCGGUGGACAUUUGUCUUUUUCACCAGAGGUGGAUCAAAAAUUUUAAACCCAACCAUUUUGUCAAUUUUGCAUUAAAUAUGGCCUAGUAUUUUAUAAAUUGAUUAGGUCCAAUUUUGCCAUAAAUAUAUGGUAGGUCCUUCACAAAAAAAACUCAUUUCGGACACUCAAAAAAUGGAAAAUGAAUUUUCCGUGCAAAGAAAAUGAAAACUCCCUUAGGUAACAUUGUUUGGAAUUCCAAGAUGCACCCUUGUGCACAAUAUGAGAUCAUUUGAACAAACUAUGCCAUGAAUGUGGCCAUAAGAUUGAUCAUUUGGCUUGAAAGCCAUGAAUCUUCACACAUGAUAGCUCGUUUCUGAGAACACUUUUUUUAAUAAUUCCCGUAUUACAAGAUUAUUUUUUUCCUGGUAACUUGGUCACAUAUAAUGACACAAUGCGAAGGUUUUCCAAUUUUUUAUUUUUUUUGAAUUUUUUAUGCCCGUUUAAAAAUGCGGUCAAAACGGCGGGCUUCACCGUUCCUAGCUAGUGGUUGAAUCUUGGAAAUUUUUUGAUAUUUCUCUGAUUAAAUAUAUACUUAUGUAACUAGAAAUGAUUUUUGGAAAAAAUAAAUAGCAAACAAUAAGGCAGGUGCAGUUCAAAUUUGACCCGCUCCCUACUGAAUCGGCGGAAAUUUGUCUUUUUCACGAAAGGUGGAUCAAAACUUUUGACACCCAACCAUUUGGUCAAUUGUGAAUUAAAUAUGACCUAGUAUUUUAUAAAAUUGUUUUCGUCCAAUUAUGCAACAAAUAUAUGGUAGGUCCUUCACAAAAAAACUCAUUUCGGGCACUCAAAAAAUGGAAAACGAAUUUUCCGUGCAAAAAAAUGAAAACUCCCUUAGGCAACAUUGUUUGCCAUUUUCAAGAUGCACCCUUGUGCACAAUAUGAGAUCAUUUGAACAAACUAUGCCAUGAAUGUGGCCAUAAGAUUGAUCAUUUGGCUUGAAAGCCAUAAAUCUUCACACAUGAUAGCUCAUUUCUGAGAACACUUUUUUAAAAUAAUUGCCAUAUUACAAGUUUAUUAUUUUUCCUGGUAACUUGGUCACAUAUAAUGACACAAUGCGAAGGUUUUCCAAUUUUUUGAUUUUUUUUGAAUUUUUUAUGCCUGUUUCAAAAUGCGGUCAAAACGGCGGCAUGACCGUUCCUAGCUAGUGGUUGAAUCUUGGAAAACCUUUGGUGUUUCUCUGAUUAAAUAUAAACUUUUGUACCUAAAAAUGAUUUUUUUGAAAAAUAAAUAGCAAACUAUGCGGUAGCUGGAGUUCAAAUUUGACCCGCUUCCAGCUGAAUCGGCGGAAAUUUGUCUUUUCCACCAGAGGUGGAUCGAAUCUUUUGACACCCAACCAUUUGGUAAAUUGUGCAUUAAAUAUGGCCUAAUAUUUUAUAAAAUUGGUUUGGUCCAAUUUUGCAACAAAUAUAUUGUAGGUCCUUCACAAAAAAAACUGUAGCGACCAGACCCCAAAUGGUCUGUGCUGCUGUGCACCAGUGUCAUCCCUGGAUCAGUAAUGGUGACACGCACAGUACAAAUGGAGGAUUUAUAACAGAGUAGCAAUCACACACUUAUUACAUCGAAUAUCUCCGAAGAGAUUAAGUAUGAUAAACAUGGCUUAAGGCCAUCUAAUAACGAUAACAGCGGAAGACUUGGAAGAUAAGUGAGUCCAUCACUCCAGCGGCAUCACUGAGUAUAAGACCACGACCUAAGGCACCUUACUCGUCGUCUGAAAAGUCUGCAACAUGAAACGUUGCAGCCCGAAAACGGGUCAGCACAUAGAAUAUGCUGGCAAAGUAACACAUAGAGAGCAAUGAACAAUAAUAAUGCUAUACUAUAUGCAUAUAUGGCUGGUGGAAAGCUCUAUGGUUACAGUUUUUGCGAAAAGCCAAUUUUAUCCUACUUCAAAGGAAUAAAUUUUAUUUAACUAUCAUGGUGGUUGUGAAACAUUGAGAAGGUACCUCCAACUCAAUCCCAAUUAAGUGUCAUCAUUAACCCAACAAAAUUAAUUAUAAGUAUCACGGUGAUGAGAUUCAAAUGAUAAUCCAGGUACUAGAUACUCAAGUUGUCCAUAACCGGGGACACGGCUAACCAUGAUUAGUUUGUACACUCUGCAGAGGUUUGUGCACUUUUCACCACAAGACUCGAUCGCCUCCGCUUGAUUCUCGCACUGCAUGAUGUUUGAGAAACGGAUGACCGAGACACAGUCUUUCAGAAACAAUCCCUCUUUACUCUGGAUGGACCGGUACACCUACUUUCCCCUACAUCUGCUAGUCCACCUCUUCAAGAGAUCCUGUAACCUACUCAGCUAUGCUAGAGCCCAUAAUAGCUUGUGGCUGCACACAGAAGUUUCUAGCAUGAAUAAUCUUAUGAUCCCUUUGAGCCUGGGUGGCGGACCUUAUACAUACAGGCAACACUGGGUUCUCCAGGUGCCUCAAUCCACCCAGAUGUGAGUUUUAGUUGCCACCUUAAGUUGAACCAUUAAUAAACAUCUCACACCUUUAGUUGCCACCUUAAGCAUGGCAAUAAUAAAAGCAACGUAGAAGUAUCUCCCAAGGGUUUGAUAAGAAAAACAGGUAAUAGGCACUACCUCAACUACUUCCCAAUACCCACAGUUUAAUUAGAUCCUAAUCAUGCAAGUGUUUGAGGAAAACAGAUCUAAUGCAAUAAAACUGGGUAUGAACGGGAUAUGAUCAAAGUGUUACUUGCCUUGCUGAUGAUACGCAAAAGCUACCGAGUCGAAGUAACAAGGGGCACACUCCGGGUACUCUAUCGCAAACAAACAAGCAUACAAUUAGUACUCAUCUAAUGCACAGGUAAAACUCGAAUGAAAGAUCCAACCAGAAAGUUCAACUUAAGAACUCCGGUUUGCAAAAAGAAUCAACUCGAAAGAAGCAACGAAAGUCAAACGGCGAAAGAAAGAAACUUCGUUGGCUAAUCUGGAUCUAGGUCAAAUUUUACUGUAGCAAAAACUUGUUUGAGUAGGUUAAACGGAAAGAGAAUUUCGAGACGAAACUCUAGGCGCUUGAAUCGCCUGAUUCCGAUAAACGAGCGAGAAGUUAAACAAAAUCGAAGAUUCGAUCAGAAAUCGAAUCUGAGAAAAUAACGAGAAAAAUCCGACGAAAAAGAAAAACGGACGAACGGCUAAAUAACGGACGUUCCUUAACAGAGAAAAACCGACGAACGCGUUCGUUAAAACGAACGGUUCGGUGAACGCUCGCAAAAUAAUAAAACCGAAAAAAACCGAUCUAGGGUUUUUUUUUUAAAACAAAAACCNNNNNNNNNNNNNNNNNNNNNNNNNNNNNNNNNNNNNNNNNNNNNNNNNNNNNNNNNNNNNNNNNNNNNNNNNNNNNNNNNNNNNNNNNNNNNNNNNNNNNNNNNNNNNNNNNNNNNNNNNNNNNNNNNNNNNNNNNNNNNNNNNNNNNNNNNNNNNNNNNNNNNNNNNNNNNNNNNNNNNNNNNNNNNNNNNNNNNNNNNNNNNNNNNNNNNNNNNNNNNNNNNNNNNNNNNNNNNNNNNNNNNNNNNNNNNNNNNNNNNNNNNNNNNNNNNNNNNNNNNNNNNNNNNNNNNNNNNNNNNNNNNNNNNNNNNNNNNNNNNNNNNNNNNNNNNNNNNNNNNNNNNNNNNNNNNNNNNNNNNNNNNNNNNNNNNNNNNNNNNNNNNNNNNNNNNNNNNNNNNNNNNNNNNNNNNNNNNNNNNNNNNNNNNNNNNNNNNNNNNNNNNNNNNNNNNNNNNNNNNNNNNNNNNNNNNNNNNNNNNNNNNNNNNNNNNNNNNNNNNNNNNNNNNNNNNNNNNNNNNNNNNNNNNNNNNNNNNNNNNNNNNNNNNNNNNNNNNNNNNNNNNNNNNNNNNNNNNNNNNNNNNNNNNNNNNAUAUAUAGGGGGGGGGGUUGCGGCUUGGGGAAGGGGGCACCGGGCGGCGGCGUUGCCGUGGCGGACUCCGGCGGCGAUCCCGUCUCCGGGACGGAGACGACGGGCGGCGGGGCUGGGCCGUCGGCUGGGCCUUUGGCCCAGUCGGCGCGCGGGCGUUUUUUUUAAAUAAGUUCCGCGGAAAAUAAUUAGUAUAAAAAUAAAUAAAAAUCAGAAAAAUAUGAAAUAAAUUUUCCCCGUCUAGUGAGAAAAUCUAGAAUAGGGUGAACAUUUUUUUAAAUCAAAAUAAAUGUUUUGAAAACAUGCAAUAUUUUUAAUGCAAUAGAAAUUGCAAAUAAAAUCCAAAUAAAUUCCAAAUAAUGAUUUUAACAUUUUUCCUCCAGUAUUUCAAUUGUUUUGGAGAAGUCAUAUUUUCUCCUCUCGUAUAUUUUAAAAGUGAAAUAUUUUUCCAGAGGGAAAAUAAUUAAAACCAAAAUCCUCGUCUUAUUAUUUGAUAAAAAUCAAAUAUGAAAAUUUAAGAAAAAUCCCCAACUCUCUCCGAGGGUCCUUGAGUUGCUUAGGAUUUAUCGAGGAUUUGUCAAAAUGCAAUAAAACAUGAUAUGCAAUGAUGGUCUAUGUAUAACAUUCCAAAUUGAAAAUUUGGUAUGUUACAAAAACUCAUUUUGGGCAUUCAAAAAAUGGAAAAUCAUUUUUUCGUCCAAAGAAAAUGAAAACUCCCUUAGGCAACAUUGUUUGCCAAUCCAAGAUGCACCCUUGUGCUCAAUAUGAGAUCAUUUGAACAAACUAUGCCAUGGAUGUGGCCAUAAGAUUGAUCAUUUGGCUUCAAAGUCGUGACGUUUCACAAAUCAUAGCUCAUUUCUUAGAACAAUAUUUUAAAAUAAUUGUCGUAUUACAAGUUUAUUAUUUUUCUUGGUAACUUAGUCACAUAUAAUGACAAUAUGCGAAGGUUUUCUAAUUUUUUGAUUUUUUUGAAUAUUCUAUGCCUGUUUCAAAAUGCGGUCAAAACGACGGGAAUGAUUGUUCCUAGCUAGUGGUUAUCUUGAAUUUUUUUGGUGUUUCUCUAAUUAAAUAGAUACUUAUUUACCUAGAAAUGAUUUUUGGAAAAAAUAAAGAUCAAACUAUGAGGCAGCUCUAGUUCAAACUUGACCCGCUUCCUGCUGAAUCGGCGAAAAUUUGUGUUUUUCACCAGAGGUAGAUCAAAUAUUUUGACACCCAACCAUUUGAUCAUUUGUACAUAAAAUAUGGCCUAGUGUUAUAGAAAAUUGAUUUGGUCCAAUUUUUCAACAAAUAUUUGGUAGGUCCUUCACAAAAAAAACUCAUUUUGGGCAUUCGAAAAAUGGAAAAUGAAUUUUUCGUGGAAAGAAAAUAAAAACUUCCUUAGGCAACACUGUUUGCCAUUACAAAAUGCACCCCUCUGUAUAAUAUGAGAUCAUUUUUUGAAUUUUUCAUGUGAAAAAUUAGAAGAAAACAAAAGGAAAAACACAUUUACAUGUGCUCUAUUCUCAUUGCUGGAAUUAGCUGUCACACGGAUCGAUGACAUGGCGCCCAUCCAUCCAUCCAUCCAUCCAUCUCUCCAUCCCACGUCCAUCCAUCAAUCUAUCUUCAGAAAAAAAGAAAAAAGAAAAGAAAAAUUGUAACCCCCACCCCCAGCCGCAGCCCGACCAACCAAACCCUAACUCCUCCCAUUGCACUCCUCCUUCCUCAUCACCUCGCUGCCGCCACCUCCUCCCCGUCCUGCAGCUGCGCGUCCCGCCACCUCCCCCUCUCCGUCCUGCAGCCACCUCCUCCUUCCUUGACGCGUCCCACAGCGGCGCCCACCGCGUCGCCUGCCGGCCUCCCCCUCGGCGGGUGGCUGCGUCCGCCAGCCCCACCGGCGACCUGCUACCCCAUCGCUGGCCUCCCCCUCACCCCUCUCUAACCCUAGCUUCCCGUCCCCGGUGGCGGUGCCCUCCUUCCCUCGCGCUGCACCUAAACCUCCCUCCCGCUCCUAGCUUUUCUUCUUCCUCCUCCACCGCUAGGGUUUCGUCUCCCGGAUCCCCAGUCCCCGAAGCUCGGAUCCAGCAGAAGCAGGGAUAACGGCCGCGGGAGAUUCUCUCCAAGGUUCAGGCCAAGCCCGCUGAUGAAGCUGCAGCCGCCGGAGGUGCCGGCGCGUCGGAUGCGACCGCCGCCCCGGCCGCCCCCGCCGAGGACCUCAAGAUCUGGGGUGCGCGUCGGAUGCGCAUCCCCAACCACGACAACGACGAUGCCGUGAGGUGAGCCCUGUACUGUACUAUAGCUGCUAGAGUAGGUUAUUCUUCUAAGCUGGAUCUGUGCAAGGUUGCUGUGACACCCCUGAUUUGACCAUACACUAAUCAUGCACGCAAAUGUGUACGAUCAAGAUCAGGGACUCACAGGAAGAUAUCACAACACAACUCUACAACAUAAGUAAGUCAUACAAGCAUCAUAAUACAAGCCAGGGGCCUCGAGGGCUCGAAUACAAGUGCUCGAUCAUAGACGAGUCAGCGGAAGCAACAAUAUCUGAGUACAGACAUAAGUUAAACAAGUUUGCCUUAAGAAGGCUAGCACAAAAGUAGCAACGAUCGAAAAGGCAAGGCCUCCUGCCUGGGACCUCCUAACUACUCCUCGAAGCCGAACUCCAUGUAGAAUCAUCCUCGGGAUCUCUAGCUCCUGGACUCCAGCAUCUGGUUGCGACAAUCAGGUAUAGAAAGAGGACAAGAGGGAGAAAAGCAACCGUGAGUACUCAUCCAAAGUACUCGCAAGCAAGGAGCUACACUACAUAUGCAUGGGUAUUUGUGUAAAGGGUCAUAUCGGUGGACUGAACUGCAGAAUGCCAGAAUAAGAGGGGGAGGGCUAAUCCUGUCAAAGACUACGCUUCUAGCUGCCUCCAUCUUGCAGCAUGUAGAAGAGAGUAGAUUGAAGUCCUCCAAGUAGCAUCGUAUAGCAUAAUCCUACCCGGCGAUCCCCUCCUCGUCGCCCUGUUAGAGAGCGAUCACCGGGUUGUAUCUGGAACUUGGAAGGGUGUAUUUUAUUAAGUAUCCGGUUCUAGUUGUCAUAAGGUCAAGGUACAACUCCAGGUCGUCCUUUUACCGAGGGACACGGCUAUUCGAAUAGAUAAACUUCCCUGCAGGGGUGCACCACAUUGUUGGAAAUAUGCCCUAGAGGCAAUAAUAAAUGGUUAUUAUUAUAUUUCUUUGUUCAUGGUAAUUGUCUAUUAUUCAUGCUAUAAUUGUAUUGUCCGGAAAUCGUGAUACAUGUGUGAAUACAUAGACCACAACCUGUCCCUAGUAAGCCUCUAGGUGACUAGCUCGUUGAUCAACAGAUAGUCAUGGUUUCCUGACUAUGGACAUUGGAUGUCAUUGAUAACGGGAUCACAUCAUUAGGAGAAUGAUGUGAUGGACAAGACCCAAUCCUAAGCAUAGCAUAAAAGAUCAUGUAGUUUCGUUUGCUAGAGCUUUUCCAAUGUCAAGUAUCUUUUCCUUGGACCAUGAGAUCGUGCAACUCCCGGAUACCGUAGGAGUGCUUUGGGUGUGCCAAACGUCACAACGUAACUGGGUGACUAUAAAGGUGCAUUACGGGUAUCUCCGAAAGUGUCUGUUGGGUUGGCACGGAUCGAGACUGGGAUUUGUCACUCCGUGUGACGGAGAGGUAUCUCUGGGCCCACUCGGUAAUGCAUCAUCAUAAUGAGCUCAAUAUGACUAAGGCGUUAGUCACGGGAUCAUGCAUUGCGGUACGAGUAAAGAGACUUGCCGGUAACGAGAUUGAACAAGGUAUUGGGAUACCGACGAUCGAAUCUCGGGCAAGUAACAUACCGAUUGACAAAGGGAAUUGCAUACGGAUUGAUUGAAUCCUGGACACCGUGGUUCAUCCGAUGAUAUCAUCGUGGAACAUGUGGGAGCCAACAUGGGUAUCCAGAUCCCGCUGUUGGUUAUUGACCGGAGAGGCGUCUCGGUCAUGUCUGCAUGUCUCCCGAACCCGUAGGGUCUACACACUUAAGGUCCGGUGACGCUAGGGUUGUAGAGAUAUAUGUAUGCGGAAACCCGAAAGUUGUUCGGAGUCCCGGAUGAGAUCCCGGACGUCACGAGAGGUUCCGGAAUGGUCCGGAGGUAAAGAUUUAUAUAUGGGAAGUCUUAUUUUGGUCGCCGGAAAAGUUUCGCGCUUUAUCGGUAUUGUACCGGGAGUGCCGAAAGGGGUCCGGGGGUCCACCAAGGGGGUCCACCAGCCCCGGGGGGCCACAUGUCUGUCAGGGGUGCGCCUUGGCCUAUAUGGGCCAAGGGCACCAGCCCCAAGAGGCCCAUGCGCAAGAGAUAAGAAAGAAGGGAGAGUCCUAAAGGGGGAAGGCACCUCCGAGGUGCCUUGGGGGGGAAGGACUCCCCCCUGGCCGCACCCUUCCUUGAAGGAAGGGGCAAGGCUGCGCCCCCCCCUCUCCCUUGGCCCUAUAUAUAGUGGGGGGAAGGGAGGGCAGCAACAUCUAAGCCUUGGGCGCCUCCCUCCUCCCCUGCAACACCUCUCUCUCUCUCGCAGAAGCUCGGCGAAGCCCUGCCGGAGACCCGCUACAUCCACCACCACGCCGUCGUGCUGUUGGAUCUCCAUCAACCUCUCCUUCCCCCUUGCUGGAUCAAGAAGGAGGAGACGUCGCUGCACCGUACGUGUGUUGAACGCGGAGGUGCCGUCCGUUCGGCACUCGGUCAUUGGUGAUUUGGAUCACGGCGAGUAUGACUCCGUCAUCCACGUUCAUUGGAACGCUUCCGCUCGCGAUCUACAAGGGUAUGUAGAUCCAGUCCUUUCCCCUCGUUGCUAGUAGACUCCAUAGAUGCAUCUUGGUGAGCGUAGGAAAAUUUUAAAUUAUGCUACGAUUCCCAACACACAUAACCCAACACGCUCGAUCCCAUUUGGCCGGACACACUUUUCUGGGUCAUGCCCGGCCUCGUAAGAUCAACACGUCGCAGCCCCACCUAGGCUCAACAGACAGGUCAGCACGCCGGUCAAAAUCCUAUGCGCGCAGGGGUCUGGGCCCAUCGCCCAUUGCACACCUGCACGUUGCGAGGGCGGCCGGAAGCAGACCUAGCCUAGCAGGCGUUCCAGUCCAAUCCGGCGCGCGCCGCUCCGUCGCUGACGUCAAGAAGAGCUUCCGCUGAUACCACGACGUCGAGUGCCCAUAACUGUUCCCGCGUAGUUGGUUAGUGCGUAUAGACCAAAUGGCCAGACUCAGAUCAAAUACCAAGAUCUCGUUAAGCGUGUUAAGUAUCCGCGAAUGCCGACCAGGGCCAGGCCCACCUCUCUCCUAGGUGGUCUCAACCUGCCCUGUCGCUCCGCCACAAAGUAUCAGUCGGGGGCCGUCAGGAACCCAGGCCCACCUCUACCGGGAUGGAGCCACCUGUCCUUUCAUCCCCCUCAUCAGAAUCACUUGCGGGUACUCAAGGAGCCGACCCGACUUUAGUCACCACAUGUGUCAUGCAUAUAAAGUAUAUAAUAUAUACCCGUGAUCACCUCCCGAAGUGAUCACGGCCCAGUAGUAUAGCAUGGCAGACGGACAAGAGUGUAGGGCCACUGAUGGAACACUAGCAUCCUAUACUAAGCAGUAGGAUAGCAGGUAAGGGUAACAACUGUAACAACAAUGACAGGCUAUGCAACAGAAUAGGAUUAACCGAAAUCAGUAACAUGCUACACUACUCUAAUGCAAGCAGUAUAGAGAAGAAUAGGCGAUAUCUGGUGGUCAAGGGGGGGGGGGGUUGCCUGGUUGCUCUGGCAAGGAGGGGUCGUCAACACCGUAGUCGUAUUGGGUAGCAGCGGCGUCGGUCUCGAGGUCUACCGGAGAAGAAGAGGAGGGAAGAAAUAGUAAAUACGGAGCACACAAGACAUCUCAAAACAUAACAUGGCAAUAAGCGGCGCUAGGGUGACCUAACGCAGUGCUAGAAGAUACUGGCGAAGGGGGAAAACAUCCGAGAAGUUUUCCCGGUGUUUCUUGUUCUCGGGCAGGUGAUCCGGAGGGGGAAAGUUGUGUGUUCUCUAUGCUAGGGAUGUGUGGCGGACGAACGGGCUACGUAUUCGGAUUCGUCUCGUCGUUCUAAGCAACUUUCAUGUACAAAGUAUUUUCAUCCGAGUUACGGAUUAUUUUAUAUUAUUUUUCAAAGUUUUAUUCAUUUUCUGAAUUUAAUUUAAUUUGAAAUAAAAUUGAAUUGCUAGGUGCACCCAGCUCUGGGUACACAUAAGUGUACCAGAGGGGCUGACAUGUGGGUCCAAGGGGUCCUUGUUGACCAGUCAAACUUUGACUGGUCAACAGGGGGUGGGUCCCCCUUGUCAUAUACUAUCUUACUAACCUAACAGAUUAAAUAGUCUAAUUAGGUCAUCAGUUUAACUAACACAGGUUAAUUAAGUUAAUUAACUCUUUAAUUAAUUAAUUAAUUAAUAGUUUUAUUAUUAUUUAAUCUUCUUUUUUUAUAUAAAUGUUUCAGGGGCGUGGGCCCCCUUUGUCAUAGGCCCCUGGGGGCUCAACGGGGCGGGUUAACGGGCGCGGGCGAGGCUGCCCAUUUGGGCGCCCGCACAGACCAGUGGAGGCGCCGGGGCGUCGUAGCCCGCGGCGAGGUGCGUCGGGCAGCAGGCGGGCGAACGUCGGCGGUAGUUGAUGCAGAAGCUGCAGGCCGCGCGUGAGAGGGGAGGAGGAGCAGGAAGGUCGCGCGGGUGCGAGCGGCGAUGUGGCUUGGAGCGCCGUCGACGGGGAUGGCCACUCGCGGGUGUUGACCGAGGCAUGCGCGAGCGGGCGUGGACGUGCGCGAGGGGGGGCGUGGCCCAGGCGGGCUGAGGCGACGACGCCGGCGGGCAGAGGCGGCCAGCGGGCACGCGUGGCGGAUCCACUAGGGAGGAAGAAGGGAAGGGGAGCUCACAGCGCCCUGUAGUUGAGCGAGGCGUGCUCGGGGAGGAGCCGGGGUCGACGGCGACGUGGUUUCGAGGUGGUAGGCUGGCGAGGAGGAGGAGGCAGGCCGACGACGUGGUGGUGGCGACGACNNNNNNNNNNNNNNNNNNNNNNNNNNNNNNNNNNNNNNNNNNNNNNNNNNNNNNNNNNNNNNNNNNNNNNNNNNNNNNNNNNNNNNNNNNNNNNNNNNNNNNNNNNNNNNNNNNNNNNNNNNNNNNNNNNNNNNNNNNNNNNNNNNNNNNNNNNNNNNNNNNNNNNNNNNNNNNNNNNNNNNNNNNNNNNNNNNNNNNNNNNNNNNNNNNNNNNNNNNNNNCGAGGAGGAGGAGGCAGGCCGGCGACGUGGUGGUGGCGACGACGGGCGACGGCAUCGGGUCGGCGACGAGGCGAGGACGCAGCUUCAGGCGGGCGUCGUGCGAGGGAGAGGAGGGGCACGAAGGAGUCCGAGAGGGGCGGCGCCGGCGGCGGUUUGCACCGGGCACGGGCGUGCGGGAGCAGGGGAUCGAACAGGGGCGCCCCUCUCCCUGGCNNNNNNNNNNNNNNNNNNNNNNNNNNNNNNNNNNNNNNNNNNNNNNNNNNNNNNNNNNNNNNNNNNNNNNNNNNNNNNNNNNNNNNNNNNNNNNNNNNNNNNNNNNNNNNNNNNNNNNNNNNNNNNNNNNNNNNNNNNNNNNNNNNNNNNNNNNNNNNNNNNNNNNNNNNNNNNNNNNNNNNNNNNNNNNNNNNNNNNNNNNNNNUGAAUGUGUGUGUUGUGUGUGGCGGCGCUGGGUGGAGGGGAAGGAGGGGAGAGAUGGGGAUCGUGGGGGGGGGUGCGGGGCUAGGGUUCGGUUCGGUGUGGGGUAUGUGUAGGCCGGGGGUGGGCCGGCCUGGCUGGGAGAUGGCCCAGUUGGGCCGGAGUCUUUUCUCUUUUCUGUUUUACUUUUUUUUGUUUAUUAUUCUUUUACUGUUUUUAUUUUAUUUUAUUAUAGUUUUGUAAAAUACCAAAGGUGUACCUAAUUUAGUUUUAAUAAACAUGCCACUGCCCCAAUAGUUUUGGGAAAUUAAAUAACUCAGUUAAUAUUUUAUUAAUUGAAAAAGGCAUUUAUUUAUUUGUUUUUGUUAUUGUUUUGUUUAUUUUUGAGCAUCUAACUAUUUUACCAAAAUGUGGUUUCUCCACCAUAAUUACUCAUGAUUUAUUUGACCCAUCUUGAACAUUUUAGUUUUAACUUUUGGAAACUUUAUUUGUUUGACUUGUUUUUGAAUUUGACUUUGAACGAGAUUUGAAUCAUCAUGAGAUUAGCAACAGUAAUCGCGGUGACGUGGCCUCAUUAGCAGGGAAUUACUGUAGCUUAAUUAUCCGGGCGUCACAAUUCUCCUCCACUACAAGAAAUCUCGCCCCGAGAUUUAGGAGCGGGAGUAAUCGGAAAGGGAUUUGGUUACGAAAUUCUAACGGGUCUUCUCUGUGUUGGUUGCUCUUCUCGAAGAGGUCAAUCCAUUACAUCGAUGCCUUCAUUCCUCUGCUCCAGGUCAUCAUGAUGAAGUCGUCCUCCUUUCUUCGGAAAAUACCGCCGUACUUACAAAUAGGUAAGGGGCUGCUCUAAAACGAUAGAAUGGUGCAAGGGGAACUCAUUUGGGGUUAUCCCAGGAAUGAACCCAUGAGUAUCUCUCAAGUUGAACAUAUAAAAUACAUCCAGAGUAAGGUAUGAAGGUACAAUAAGAGGUUCCAAGCGGAUAGAUAGUUGCUCGAAGUCUGAACCAGAGAGGAAAAGGGGUUCAGGGUAGCGGGAGUAAGUAUUGCGUUUGAUACCAGAGUAGAGCACUAGGAAGGUGGCCUGUGAAUUAAAUACGAAGUCAAGCGUGAGGAAUAACCAUUAGAGAUAGGGUUGUACAAGAGAGUCAGGUUUUGAUCCUGUGGAACUGUGGGUUAUGGGCCCACCAUGUGAGUUAAAAGUAGGAAGGGCGGAGACGUCUUGCGUGAUCAUGCAAGCAAGGCAUGUCAAAGGGUAGCCUGUCUUUUAUGUCAGCAACAACAUUGGUACCAAGGGCGAGCAACGAAGAGAACCAUUUUCCUGCUCGUCGAAACGAGGCGGACCAAUAGGCAAAGUUCUCGUCCAUCGGUGGUUACCAGAAUAUCAUCGACCAUAGUAACAGGUUCUUACUGACAAAGUCGUACACCGAGGUGCUUACAAAAGCAGUGACUUAUUACUGCUCAGAUCUUAUAAAUCACAAGAAAGGUUAAACCAAACAAUGGAAAGGAAGAUAUGAUUAUCAGAUUUAAACAGAACAAUGGAAAGGAAAAUGUAUUUAAACACAUAUUUCAAGGGUAUAUCCUUCCCAAGGACAAGCAGAGCAUGAUAUCCAGGACAGGAUAUAAUGUAGAAAACUCUUUAGGUAAGGUGAGAGAAACUUCAUGACAUUACCCAUACAACGGUGUUUGGAUAAUUGAGCGAGAAACAUUUAGCAUUGGGCUUCAAAUGUUCUUGUUGAAAAUUGGAUUACCACAGACAUGCAUGGAGAUAGCCUUGACAUGGUUAUCAGGUGAAGAUCAGACUUUAGAAACAAAAAGGGUCCAUCGAGAACCGCUUGUAGAAUAAGUCUUACAAUUUCCUCAUGGAAUAAAAGGCUAGCCUUGCUAAAAGGAAAUGGUAACAAUAGGUCAUCCGGCCAGGUGUGCUAGGCACGACAUCACCUUACCGGGUCAUAUAAAGACCAAUGUUAUAACUCUUGGAAAUAUGUUCCAACCAUCAUAUCUGACCGAGAUUCAGUUCUGAUUGGUGUCAGGAUACCUCAGACUUAGGAUGCCUGAGAAGAGAAGGUGCGGCACAAUUUGACGAGAUGACAUUGUAAGAUUCUCGGGAAAUGAACUAUGGAAGCAAGUUCCGAACAAGGGUUCAUCAUUAAUCAAGGAGAGGUGAGGAGGUGACUGAUUGACUCAGUGACAAUCCAUUGAGAUUUCCAAAAGAUGGAUUUCCACAACUAUGUGAACAAGGAGAUAACAUUUGUCAGAUCAAAUGGUAUAAUGAUGUAUGCUCGAGGGAAACAUACACAAUUAAACAUUGGUUGAAAUGUGCACCCGAAAUAUGGGCUAGGUAGCACGAUCAAUGUUCGAAUGAUGAUUCAAUAAGCAACAAACUUAGAAUGAAACUAUCGACCAUUAACUUCAAAGCAAUAAGGUUACUAGAAGUUUUAAAUUUACACAUCACAGGCCAUUUGUCGGCAUUCCGGUUUAGAAACAACACGGACACCAAGGAAAGAACGGUGAUGGUAAUAAGUAUUACUUGUAUCAAGAAUUCUUAAGGGGUGGUGAAAAUUCCCAUGACAUUCUUGACAUAAAAGAUGGCAAUACUCCAAGGUAAAGAAGAACAAAUGCUGGAUAGCAAGGAUCUCAAGGUAUAACACAAAACACGAACAAGUUUGUGUCAAACGGAAGGCAAUAAAGUGGUCAAAGAUAACACAAAUCAUCGGGGCAAGGAUGGUAUUUCUCAUCAUGAACUCAAUUGAUAUCCUGGAAGAGCUCAAAAGGUUGAUGAUGAUCACGACACAUUUGUCGAGAGAUUUCAUGAAGAUGUAAUGAAUCAGCGACGACAUCAAGUCAAAGGAAUGAUGAAGCGGUAGGUUAUUGGAACCAUGGGUAGGACACAAACUUGAAAUUAAGCUUGCUGUUCAAGAACCAAUGAUAUGACGAGGAAGAACGAUGUAGGAUUAGCUCACCAUCGAAAUUUGUGCUCCGGGAAGAAGGACCCGGUAGCACAGUUAAAAUUGGCACGACAAGGCUAUAGCCAAGCAGGCUAGGAAUGACGUGAUUGAGUUCAAACUCGUAAGUAAUGAAGGUUACCAAGACUUGCUCAAUCGCGAUGCGGACUCGAUUCAGUUAUCGAUGUCCUUGAGUGUUUAAUGACUCGGAGCCCGUGAAAAAUUGGAAUCAAUGAGAAUGUAAUACUUGAUGGAGAACUCAUAUGAAGUUAUGCAGUUCCGUGAUAAUCUCGAGAUACUUGAGGGUACUACUCAAGGGAAGAUCAGCAUAGAAACUGAACUGGAGUGAAGACUUGCAAUAGCAGAUAUUUUAAUCUUGUCAUGAUAGAUGAGGCAAUGGAAUAGUUUCCUUCCAGAUGUAUUGAAUAUGGUUAGAAUGGUUGAAACCAUAACUGCAAGGGAUCCAAUUUACUACACCGGAAGAAUCAUUCGAAUGUUUAAAUAUUCUUACAAGAAGCUUUCAUGAUAAGUUCCACAUCGUGUCCGUGGGCAUGAACACAAAUGUUCAAGGUUGACUCCCACUUCUCCAAUGCAUAACCUUUGAUUUACCUCUCGUAUUUCGAAAAUGACAUUAGUUGUUGAAAGUUUUUUUUACCUGAUGUAAUACCAGAUAAGUAUGACCCGUGAAAUCUUUCGGGUUCACACGGAUUAGGGAAGGCGUCGGUUCAACCCAUCCGGGCAUCUUAGGAACAUAUACCACAAACUUCGGAGUAAAUAAUACAAGCUCGAAAGUAGAGCAUGGUUCACAAAGCAGAGGAUACAAUUUACCAAAGGCAUUAUGUAUCCGAGAAAAGACUCACAAAGUUAUUGAAUAUGAAGGACGUCGUCGGAUAAAAUCCAACAAGGUUCUGAUGGUCCAUAAGGGAUCUGGUGUGAGCAUCGGUACUCAACCAGAAGAAAAAGCAUGUAAGGAGAUCAGAUGAUAGAAACAACUGACUACUUCAGAGCUCAUUUGCAAAAGAAUUAUGAAUUCCAAGACAAGGGAUCAGAAGCAAUGCUCUGAUUAGGGAUGGAUAAGCUGAAUAGCCUUAGGGGUACAAACGAUGACGAUUUGAUUGGUCGAGAUCCAGCUCAUGUUAAAAAUGAUGUCUGAGCCGGAAGGAUGAAUUCUAGGAUCUGAUUGAGGAUUGCGAGCAUUCGCAACAUAUUGAAUCAAUGGACUCAAAAAGAUAAUGACAAAGGGUGCCAAUAAGAUUUCGAGACUUAUGGGAUUAAUCAUAAUGCUAGUAAGCAAGAACUUUAAGAGCAAUAGGCUCCUGAGGAUUUUCGGAAGAUCGAAUGGUAUUCUGAACACUUUUGUGAAAUACUUGAAUCAACUGGGGAUGAGCGGAUACUCGGUAAGUGCAAGAAUUAUCCAUAGGGGUAUUCAGGUGACAAAGAACAGCAAGGCAGUAAGCUCAAAGGAUUCUCGGAACAACAGAGGGAAUUUCAGGGUAUCUUGUAAUAACAAGAUCAACUGGGAAACAUUGUAUGAAUGGCGAGUAUACGUGGUUAUCUAUAGGAGUUUAUCGAUGAAAGGGAAUUGCAAAAGCGAUGAACACAAGUUCUCGGGUUAAUAGCGGAGAGUAUCUUCAGGAUCUUCAUGUGCAACAGACGAUCACCAGUAAUAAGGGGCUCUCCGGGUGAAAGUGAUAACGAGAUCCUAAUGUUAGAUUUAGCAAAAUUUACUUAACCCGAAUAGAAGAGAGAUCAGAGUCCCAGAGUAUAGACAAGGAGUAAAAGAUCCUAAUACCACCCAAUGGCGACGUGGGCCCGUAAGACACACAGCCAUGUUAGUAAAAGUUUUUGCAAUGUCUAGACUCGACUUCGGCCAAGGAGUUGGAAAGGAGGAUUCCUACAGGCAGUCGGCUCUGAUACCAACUUGUGACGCCCCCGAUUUGACCGUACACUAAUCAUGCACGCAAAUGUGUACGAUCAAGAUCAGGGACUCAUGGGAAGAUAUCACAACACAACUCUACAACAUAAAUAAGUCAUACAAGCAUCAUAAUACAAGCCAGGGGCCUCGACGGCUCGAAUACAAGUGCUCGAUCAUAGACGAGUCAGCGGAAGCAACAAUAUCUGAGUACAGACAUAAGUUAAACAAGUUUGCCUUAAGAAGGCUAGCACAAAAGUAGCAAUGAUCGAAAAGGCAAGGCCUCCUGCCUGGGACCUCCUAACUACUCCUCGAAGCCGAACUCCAUGUAGAAUCAUCCUCGGGAUCUCUAGCUCCUGGACUCCAGCAUCUGGUUGCGACAAUCAGGUAUAGAAAGGGGAAAAGAGGGAGAAAAGCAACCGUGAGUACUCAUCCAAAGUACUCGCAAGCAAGGAGCUACACUACAUAUGCAUGGGUAUAUGUGUAAAUGGUCAUAUCGGUGGACUGAACUGCAGAAUGCCAGAAUAAGAGGGGGAGAGCUAAUCCUGUCGAAGACUACGCUUCUGGCAGCCUCCAUCUUGCAGCAUGUAGAAGAGAGUAGAUUGAAGUCCUCCAAGUAGCAUCGUAUAGCAUAAUCCUACCCGGCGAUCCCCUCCUCGCCGCCCUGUUAGAGAGCGAUCACCGGGUUGUAUCUGGCACUUGGACGGGUGUAUUUUAUUAAGUAUCCGGUUCUAGUUGUCAUAAGGUCAAGGUACAACUCCGGGUCGUCCUUUUACCGAGGGACACGGCUAUUCGAAUAGAUAAACUUCCCUGCAGGGGUGCACCACAUAACCCAACACGCUCGAUCCCAUUUGGCCGGACACACUUUUCUGGGUCAUGCCCGGCCUCAUAAGAUCAACACGUCGCAGCCCCACCUAGGCUCAACAGAGAGGUCAGCACGCCGGUCUAAAUCCUAUGCGCGCAGGGGUCUGGGCCCAUCGCCCAUUGCACACCUGCACGUUGCGAGGGCGGCCGGAAGCAGACCUAGCCUAGCAGGCGUUCCAGUCCAAUCCGGCGCGCGCCGCUCCGUCGCUGACGUCAAGAAGAGCUUCGGCUGAUACCACGAUGUCGAGUGCCCAUAACUGUUCCCGCGUAGUUGGUUAGUGCGGAUAGACCAAAUGGCCAGACUCAGAUCAAAUACCAAGAUCUCGUUAAGCAUGUUAAGUAUCCGCGAACGCCGACCAGGGCCAGGCCCACCUCUCUCCUAGGUGGUCUCAACAUGCCCUGUCGCUCCGCCACAAAGUAUCAGUCGGGGGCCGUCAGGAACCCAGGCCCACCUCUACCGGGAUGGAGCCACCUGUCCUUUCAGCCCCCUCAUCAGAAUCACUUGCGGGUACUCAAGGAGCCGACCCGACUUUAGUCACCACAUGUGUCAUGUAUAUAAAGUAUAUAAUAUAUACCCGUGAUCACCUCCCGAAGUGAUCACGGCCCGGUAGUAUAGCAUGGCAGACGGACAAGAGUGUAGGGCCACUCAUGGAACACUAGCAUCCUAUACUAAUUAGUAGGAUAGCAGGUAAGGGUAACAACUGUAACAACAAUGACAGGCUAUGCAACAGAAUAGGAUUAACCGAAAUCAGUAACAUGCUACACUACUCUAAUGCAAGCAGUAUAGAGAAGAAUAGGUGAUAUCUGGUGGUCAAGGGGGGGCUUGCCUGGUUGCUCUGGCAAGGAGGGGUCGUCAACACCGUAGUCGUACUGGGUAGCAGCGGCGUCGGUCUCGAGGUCUACCGGAGAAGAAGAGGGGGGAAGAAAUAGUAAAUACGGAGCACACAAGACAUCUCAAAACAUAACAUGGCAAUAAGCGGUGCUAGGGUGACCUAACGCAGUGCUAGAAGAUACUGGCGAAGGGGGAAAACAUCCGGGAAGUUUUCCCGGUGUUUCGCGUUCUCGGCCAGGUGAUCCGGAGGGGGAAAGUUGUGUGUUCUCUAUGUUAGGGAUGUGUGGCGGACGAACGGGCUACGUAUUCGGAUUCGUCUCGUCGUUCUGAGCAACUUUCAUGUACAAAGUAUUUUCAUCCGAGUUACGGAUUAUUUUCUAUAAUUUUUCAAAGUUUUAUUCAUUUUUUGAAUUUAAUUUAAUCCGAAAUAAAGUGAAUUGCUAGGUGCACCAAGCUCUGGGUACACAUAAGUGUACCAGAGGGGCUGACAUGUGGGUCCAAGGGGUCCCAGUUGACCAGUCAAACUUUGAUUGGUCAACAGGGGGUGGGUCCCCCUUGUCAUAUACUAUCUUACUAACCUAACAGAUUAAAUAGUCUAAUUAGGUUAUCAGUUUAACUAACACAGGUUAAUUAAGUUAAUUAACUCUUUAAUUAAUUAAUUAAUGUUAAGUUUUAUUAUUAUUUAAUCUUCUUUUUUUAUAUAAAUGUUUCAGGGGCGUGGGCCCCCUUUGUCAUAGGCCCCUGGGGGCUCGACGGGGCGGGUUAACGGGCGCGGGCGAGGCUGCCCAUUUGGGCGCCCGCCCAGACCAGUGGAGGCGCCGGGGCGUCGUAGCCGGCGGCGAGGUGCGUCGGGCAGCAGGGGUGGCGAACGUCGGCUGUAGUUGAUGCAGAAGCUGCAGGCCGCGCGUGAGAGGGGAGGAGGAGCAGGAAGGUCGCGCAGGUGCGAGCGGCGGUGUGGCUUGGAGCGCCGUCGACGGGGAUGGCCACUCGCGAAUGAUGACCGAGGCAUGCGCGAGCGGGCGUGGACGUGCGCGAGGGGGGCGUGGCCCAGGCGGGCGGAGGCGACGACGCCGGUGGGCAGAGGCGGCCAGCGGGCACGCGUGGCGGAUCCACUAGGGAGGAAGAAGGGAAGGGGAGCUCACAGCCCCCUGUAGUUGAGCGAGGCGUGCUCGGGGAGGAGCCGGGGUCGACGGCGACGUGGUUUCGAGGUGGUAGGCCGGCGAGGAGGAGGAGGCAGGCCGACGACGUGGUGGUGGCGACGACAGGCGACGGCAUCGGGUCGGCGACGAGGCGAGGACGCAGCUUCAGGCGGGCGUCGUGCAAGGGAGAGGAGGGGCAUGAAGGAGUCCGACAGGGGCGGUGCCGGCGGCGGUUUGCACCGGGCACGGGCGUGCGGGAGCAGGGGAUCGAACAGGGGCGCCCCUCUCCCUGGCAAGAUGCGUGUGUGUGUGUGUGUGUUGUGUGUGGCGGCGCUGGGUGGAGGGGAAGGAGGGGAGAGAUGGGGAUCGUGGGGGGGGGUGCGGGGCUAGGGUUCGGUUCGGUGGGGGUAUGUGUAGGCCGGGGGUGGGCCGGCCUCGCUGGGAGAUGGCCCAGUUGGGCCGGAGUCUUUUCUCUUUUCUGUUUUUACUUUUUUGUUUAUUAUUCUUUUACUGUUUUUAUUUUAUUUUAUUAUAGUUUUGUAAAAUACCAAAGUUGUACCUAAUUUAGUUUUAAUAAACAUGCCACUGCCCCAAUAGUUUUGGGAAAUUAAAUAACUUAGUUAAUAUUUUAUUAAUUGAAAAAGGCAUUUAUUUAUUUGUUUUUGUUUUUGUUUUGUUUAUUUUUGAGCAUCUAACUAUUUUACCAAAAUGUGGUUUCUCCACCAUAAUUACUCAUGAUUUAUUUGACCCAUCUUGAACAUUUUAGUUUUAACUUUUGGAAACUUUAUUUGUUUGACUUGUUUUUGAAUUUGACUUUGAACGAGAUUUGAAUCAUCAUGAGAUUAGCAACAGUAAUCGCGGUGACGUGGCCUCAUUAGCAGGGAAUUAUUGGAGCUUAAUUAUCCGGGCGUCACAGUUGCAACGUUGGUUCUAUAUUUUCGUUGACGGAGUAGAUGAAUUAGUUGUAUAGAUGUAGAUGCUGAGUAGAUGAUCUGGUGUACAUUUUGUGGUCUGGAAACAAAAUUACUAAGCAAGGUGAAGCCCUAAGCUUGACUAUCUCUCUAAAACAUGUGCAAUUUGAAUCCGAACAAUCCAACCUGGUAGUGGCAGAUUUUGCCUUGUUAGAGUUGUAUUGUGAUUUAAUUUAGUGCUACAUGGUUUUAGAUUUCUUUGUUAACUUGAGCAGGAAAACUAAGUAAGAUGCAUAUUUGACACAUGGUAUCGGCAGGGACAGAAUGGCUUCUGAUGUGUUGUGCUUAUGUAUUAUGCUUGCAGCUGCCGACCUCUUCUUGGGCUUCGCAACCAGCUUCCAGCAGGUCUACGCGCUGGCGCAGUGCGACGUUUACUGCAGCAACUGCGUCACCCAGGCAGUGCAGCGCGUCGCGGUCGAGUGCGGCGGCGCCCCCUCUGGCCAGGUCUACCUCGACAAGUGCUAGGUUACCUACAGCUACUACCCCCACUAUUUCAUGAAUGGUUCAUUACAGUAGUUCUUUCUGCAAUAAUUUUAGUGUUUCAUAGAUUAAGAUUACAGAUGUAUGUUCAUGAAUGAUGAGUAGUUUCAGUUAUUUCCCAACUUGAAAGAAACCGGAAUAGGCAGUAGUAGGACAAUGAGUCAUCCUGCACUAGUACAAGUACAUGAACAAGUAGUAUUAUACGAGUCAGUGUAAUACAUAUGGUGUUGAUUUUGAAAUUUGAUGCUCUCUAAUGUUCCUAUAUUUCCAUUGAUCAGAAAUCUAUAAGUUUCGAUAAGUUUCUCCGAAUUAAGCGCUUCUCCAUUCUCAGUACACCAGGAGAAACAUAUAAUAGUUUUCAUGAUUGUUCACGUGCCCUCCGGAAUCUGUUAUUCCUCUAAUGAUUGCUCAUGUUAUUAUUUACAAGUUUUAGAGUGGUUGGGCUUUUUUAGAACCGUUCGUUGAUGUCGAUCUAACGGCAGACAAAUACGAAGUACUGGGUAGUACUCCGAUGAAAGUACGCGAAAGUACUAAAACGAGUGGGGCCGGUACUCGUGACAAGGUGGGGACGCGUUUUAAUAUAGGGGCAGUUUAGUCCUAGGAAAAUUUGCACGCGCCGCCCCUCUCGUCGAAUGCAAAACCGCCGCCAUGGUGCUACACAUUCCACAAUUACUCAUCGACGGCCAUCUCCGCCCUCUCCUCCAAGUCCACCGCAGUCAUCUCCACCGCAGUCAUCACCGGCGGCGAGAACACCGACUUCGUGCAGAUCACCGGCGGCGACCAGGUCAAGUUGGCCAGGUUGAGGGAGAUCCGUUCUUGGUUUGACAACACAAGGCAGAUGAGCUGGACGGCAAUGGCCACUCUCAAGAAUUUGACGAAGAAGGAGAGGGCAAAGCUUUGCCCCCCGCCCGCACAACCGAUUCACAAGAUCAAGAUCCUCCUCUGGGCGAUGGAGCAGGCCAAUUCGUCCAGCAAGUGGACCAGGCGGAGGUGCUGGGCGUUCAGAUCCAGGGUAGAGCAUCCACUGGAUCAGGAACCCACCGUGCACGAGGUGCCGUUGCAGAUUGUGCAGCCUCCAACCGAGUCAUCGGAGACUCCGAAGCACAAGAUGAGGAGGACAGUGGUCGCGACCUCACUUCCCCGCUGUUCUCCACGCUUCCCUCGCAGCUCUCCUCGUCUGAACGGCGGCGGUAAGUAUGUUUAGAGUAAGCUUCCCCACUCCUCAUCUUCCUACUGCUCGUGCUUACAUCAUGGUGAUACUGAUCGUAAUAGCUCAGAGAGGGAAUGCUAUAUGGCAUUUUAAUCUCAAUGAAUUGCAUGAAUAUUUGAGUACAUGGAUUUGGAGGAUGAUUAUGAUGUAUGUGAACCCUAGGCAUCAUAUGAACCCUAGGAAAAGUUAGUAAUGUUCUAGUGGUAGACACUGAAAUAUUUCGGUACACACCGGUAGGCACUGAAAUAUUUCGGUACUUCCCUAGGAAAAAUUUGUAAUGUUGUAGUGGUGGACACUGAAAUAUUUUGGUACACACCGGUAGGCACUGAAAUAUUUCGGUACUGCCCUAGGCAAAAUUUGUAAUGUUGUAGUGGUGGACACUGAAAUAUUUUGGUACACACCGGUAGGCACCGAAAUAUUUCGGUACUGCCCUAGGCAAAAUUUGUAAUGUUGUAGUGGUAGACACUGAAAUAUUUCGGUACACACCGGUAGGCAAUGAAAUAUUUCGUUACUACAAUUUCAGUACACACCGAUGCACACUGAAUUAUUUCAGUACUGCAGUUUCAGUACACACUGGUACACACUGAAAUAUUUCAGUACUGCAAAUUCUAUACAAAGUUGGCAUUUUGUCAUGUAUUUGUGAAUUAAUCCAUGCAUCAUAUGUCCUAACUUUGUACAUGAGUUUGGGUCAAUUUCAUGUCUAUUUAUUGUUAAAAUUAUUGUCAUGCCAUGAAACACAAGACAAGUCACUGACCCAAGCUUGCAAAGAUGCCAUAUCAAUGUUGCUGAUAUGAAUAUGCAUGUUUUCACCAAGUGUUGUGUCUGAAUUAGAACUGAGCAUUUUUUCUUGAUGGUAUCCAUGGAUCUAGAACUCCUAUGAAUUUUCUCAUGUUGGAUGUUUUGUUCUCCAUCAUUUGUACUAGCAUUCCGUGCGAUUAGAUGCCAUGACAAGACCCCUGGCAAAUUUAUUUUCUUGCCUCCAACAUCCCGUGUGUGUUUUGCAGGAAAAAACCUGGAGUUCACCAGGCUGGCUGAAGUUGUGAGGCUGGGAGGCUGAUGGUGCUGCUACUGGCUGAUCCUUCUUCUUUCAGCUUUUGUUCGUCCUUUCUCAAGCCGUUGGACUAGGGCUACUUCCCUAUGUGCUGUUAAUGUAUUAAGUAGUUCCUUCGAAUUUGUAGUAUUAGUUAGUUUGAAUGUGGAAGUACCUUAAUUUUUAGGAACGAAAUGUUGCUUUGUAUGACCAAGGGUUUGAUACCUUAAUCUUUGGAUAAUUAAUUAUGUGAACUGUUGGAUGUGGCGCACAACGAAACGCCUCUACCAUUGAUACUAGUUCAACAUGUCGGUCCAAUUAGAGACCAACCACUACCAUAUAGAACAGUUAGCAUUUCAUACUACAACCUGGCACGUACAAAACAUCACACAGUGGAAUAAUCCCAGCGAGUAGACCACUAAAUACCGAAAACAUCACAACAUGUCAGAAGUGUUUUAAGCAUUUUAUCGUUGCAAAAACCUUAGAAAAUCCAUAAAAAUGCCGACAACCUUAGCAAACUAGUCAUGAUUGCUUUUCAUGUUGAUACAAAGAUGUAGAAAAAUAUUGGGUCCGUUUACAACCUUAGCAAACUUGCUUCUCAUGUUUACAUCACGGCCGCCGGGUGAAGGAGGAGAAAAGCCCACCUACCUAACAUGAGUUUUCUCACACACCACGGCCUGCAUACGACUACAAACCCAGUGAUAUGGGCCACGAUGCAGGCCCGUGGGUGGUUACAGAAUGGAAGACGAACAUCACGAGCCCCACGACCCCCACGAUCACGAUAACGACGAGCGCCUCCCUCACGCGACGAACCGCCUCCCCCAGAACUCAAAAAGGCACCUUCUCCUCCAUUCCUCCGUCAUUAUGCGAACCACGUCCAUCUACUCCACAAACUGCAACCACCGUCUCUGUCUCAAAAUGGCCGUCGCUGGAGAAGGGCAAUGGCGGAGGAGCCAUCUACCAAGCGUCACUGUGGCGAGACGUCCGACCAGAGCAUCAAGGAAGACGACGUUCAGGUCCCCGGUGAGAAGCGCGACUACACCACCAAACUUGACAAGGUGGAACUCCACGGCAAAGAGACGCUGGAGGUCGUCUGCACCAGCAAUCCAGACACUGCCGACGAAAUGCUCACGAGGCUCUUCAUGAAAGCCGUUGGCAGGUAUCCUAGAUUCGUCGGCGUUGAUGUGGAGUAUACCAGGGAUGACGAACCUCCGCAGUACGCAGCAGUUGUGCAGUUAUGCGUGGAUGAACUCUGCCUGGUCUACCACAUCGCUGCGGCCACAAAAUGGUGAGCCAUCCUACUCAUAUACCCUAGUUUCUCAACUACAUGUACCAGUGUAGAUUGUGAAGUGGACGCACUAGUGUGGUUUCUCAAGUACAUGCACUGGCAUAGAUUUUUACCCUGAUGCACUGGAUUAGUAUCUUAUAAUCUUGCACCAGAUUAAUCACCAUACUUGAUAUACUAGUGUAGUUACUGAUCUUGAUGCAUUAGUAUUGUGUCUACCGCUUUGGAAGCAUUAGUGUUAUUUUCUGAAGUUGAUGCACUGGACUAGAUGUAUUAGUGUUGUGUCUACUAGUGUAGUUUCUGAUAUACUAGUGUAGUUUCUGAUAUUGAUGCAUUAGUGUUGUGUCUACUGGUGUGGAUGCACUGGACUAGAUGUAUUAAAAGUUGUUUCUGAAGUUGAUGUAGUGAAGUAGUUUGUUGUAGUGUUAUUUUCAACUGUAUGAUCCAAAAAGAGAAAUAACAUCAUGUACUUCAUGCAUUCAUCACUCGUAUUGUUUGGUUCUAGCACUAGCAUUGUCACACUUUGCCACAAUUUUUUGCCAAGUUUGCCUAAGGUUAGUUCAUCAAAAUGAGGGCCACAAGUUGGCAAGCCUAAGGGAAUCUUGCCACACUUUUUGUGUGUAUGCCAUGUGGGACCCAAGUGUGGCUUGCCUAAGGUGUGGCUUGAACCAAACACACACCUAAGUUGGUCAAACUUGCCUAACCUUAGGUGUGGCAAUCUUUGGCAAACUUAGUCACAAACCAAACAACUCCUAAAUCUUCAAAAUUACUACUAAUCUUCAAUAUGUCUCUCCCUUUGAAGGCCCAAGCACCUCAGGAGCUUCCUCCAGGAGAAGAAGUUGUUCACCUUUGCCGGUUUCCGCAUUCCUAAUGACAAAGAGAUGCUGAAGAUGUCUAGUUUGGAGAUCAACCCCAAAAAGUACAUCGACAUUCAGAAAAACUAUAGAGUUCCAUAUGCCGGCAGAAAGAAGCAGUACGACUCCUUGGCUGAUGUUGCAGCCAGCGUCAUCCACCCAUUUUACCAAAACAUGAAGAAGAAGAUCAACAGGACCGAAGACCAUAAACUGUGGGGGAUCAGCCCGCUGCCAGACUACCUCGUCGAGUACGCAGCGAAGGAUGCGUACGCCACCUACAAGGCUUGGAAGAUAAUAGACAACAUCAAAUCAGGUGUGGAAAUUUCAGAAGCACAGGAGGCUGACCCCUACUACCACUGCCACUACGCGGCAUGAAGAGAGAUCAAAGUCUGCCUUCAAGUUGCUAGCGCAGUGUCCUUUUAUGAUAUCUAUGUUUCUUUGUUGUUCGGUGUGUCUGAACUUAUGUCCUAUGGUGUGUCUGAACUUAUGUUGUGCGGUGGUUGAUCUGCCGUUUAUCUUAAGAGUUUGCUGCUACUCUGGUUUAGUGUUCCAAGUUGUUAAUACUAUUUUGGUGAUGCAUGAUAAGCCUUGUACAAUGCUUGAUGCGUACGGUGGUGCUUAGAAAAAUAAACAUGGUUUUUCUGAAGCACUGGUGCCUAUUUCUACAGGAGAGAUGCCUAGUUAAGCAUCUACCCUGUACAAAUAAGCACCUGUGCUUAAGAAAAGCUUCCUAUUUUGUUUAUGCAUUAUUUCAAAUUCAUAGUAGCUUGUGAAUGGAACUUUGUGGCAGCCAGCCUCUACCAUUGAUACUAGUUCAACAUGUCGGUCCAAUUAGGCCUUGUACAAUGCAGGGUGCUUAGGAGAGGUGCUUAGAGAAAUAAACCAGGUUUUCCUUAAGCACCAGUGCUUAUUUGUACAAGGUAGACGCUUAACUAGGCGUCUCUCCUGUAGAAAUAGGCACUGGUGCUUCAGAAAAAACUGCUUUAUUUUUCUAAGCACAUCCCUAAGCACCUUGCAUUGUACAAGGUCUUAGAGACCAGCCUCUACCAUAUAUAACAGUUACCAUGUCACACUACAGUCUAUAAAACAUCACAGAGUGGAAUAAUCAUAGCUAGUAGAGCAUUAGUUACCAGUUAAUAAUAGUUGCAAUCCAUCACAAGCAAUAGUACCUAGAUAUGAGUAGAUAUAGGUACGGUAAUACACGACAAGUACUCGCAAACAAGAGCUAACAUAACAAGUUCUAAAUGAGGUGGAUGGUGAUCAUCAUCCUCAAGUCAUGGCGACUGGUGUUCGCAAUAGUGAGUAGGAUGGCCUGUCCUACCCGAAGAUUCUUGCCACGAAGGAACUUCUUCCAGCCUGCCCUUCUCAAGACAGUGCGACCGUCCAUGUCCACUGCAUAGGCACAGCUGGUGAUGGAGCCCGUUCUGGUAAGGCGUAGUCCAGCAGCCAUGCCUUCUUUGUCCGGGUCGAUGCCACAGCUAUCAAGUAACCUCUUAGGUAAUUUCUGAAAACAGUUGACAUGAUAUAUGAUCAUGUCACGUGCAAUUAUCAACAAAGCAUACACUUCAAGACACAUAUAUCAUUGGAUUCAACACUGAGCAUAUAUAUCAUCACAUCACUACACUAUACGCCAAGCAUCAAAUUACUACAGUAAUUAGGCAUAUCAUUAGAUUACUGCGUACACUAAGCAUAUCAUCGCAUAUUACUACACUACAUGCAUGUCAUAAAAUUCUUCACUAAAUGAAUUCUAAACUAGGCCUCUCAUCACAGCACUACAACAUGCAUAUCAUACGAACUACUACACUAACUAAGCAUGCAUAUCAUGUAAUUACCACACUAAGUAACAUACCAUGAUAUGCCGUUUAACAUUCGUCCUUGUGAGGCGGGUCACGAAUGGCUUCCCUAGGUAGUCUUCACUUAGCGGAAGCAUGUCCCAGAGGUUGCCGAUUUCCUCGUCGCCCAGUCUGAGUCCUCGGGCAUACAGGUAUUCAACAAGUGGGUUCUCAUCAUCAUCUGAAUCGUCAUCAUCUGAAUCAGCACCAUCUUCCUCCUCAUGAACUUCAUCCUCACUAUCCGGAAUCAAAUUUAGAUAGAUAACAGAAAUCCUGGGCCUAUCUCUUCUGAAGGAGAAGCGGAUCAAUUCACCCCCACUAAGACGCAUGCGGGCGAUGAAACGAUCCCAAUCAUCUCCUCCUAUCUGGGUUAUCUUUCGCCCCUUCUCGACCUGCAUAGUGUAUGGGCCCCCAAGAGCGUCGAAGGUCACGGUGUCUCCGAUGAGCUCAUUGAAUGGCAAUCUCACAUUGCAUGGUACGAUCUGUGUAAGAUAAAAACAAAUAACACACACAAUACAUUAGUGGAAAUAGCAAAAAAAAAGAAUGUACUGUCAGAAGGUUCAUAUAAAUUGUUACCGCUGCAACAACAAAAGAAGGCUGGCAGUAGAUGCCGAACAGCGUGGCAGUAGAAAGGCUGGUCCGGCACCGUGAGUUGCGGCGUCCACAUGGUGCUUCCUCCAUUCUACACAGAACAUGUUGAACUCUAAGUUGAAUUGUACAUAGUACAAUACAAAGAUCAUACAUAUAAUAAAUCAUAGUGAUAACCUAUACUGGGAAUGGCCAAUCAAUCUAUUUACUAUCAUCUACGUAAUAAAGCAAUGCCAAUGACAAUGGCAAUGCCCGUCUCAUCUAAACCUGGGAAUAGUUUGGCAUCCAAACUAAAACGAGUCCAAUCCACGGCACACAUCAAAACCAAACCAAUCCAGAUAUUUUCAUUUAGAAUCUAGACCAAACCGAACUAUACAUGCUAGUCAUCCAACCCAGUCCAAACCGUUUUCAACUUUUGGAUCUAGAUCAGACAUGACAUCGAGAGAUCCGACGAGCUCUGGCCGGCAACAGCCAAUCGGCUCAGAUCCGCCUCCGUAGGGAGACGCGGUUGGGGAAGGGAAGAAGAGGGGAGAUCUCACGUACUUGCCGGAGUUGGCGGCGGCCGCGCACCGGCAGCGAAGAGAGGGGUCGUCGGGAGAUGGCGGCGGCGGCGCUGGUCGAGAAGGGGAGAAAGAAAGAUGUGGAGUGGUCGAGACGGGGAGAAAGAAAAAUGUGGUACAUGUGGUGGCGUGGUUGUGUGGAUGACAAGGGGACCCACUUGUGAGACCGAUAGCAAUUGAUGGCAAACCGCAGGAAGUGCACGACCGCGUGCACGACAUCCACGUCCCCACGAGGAAUGGGGACGGCCGGGUGGGUGUGUCAAGUCAAAUCGGCACCCGCAGCUUCUCGGUAACUCCAACAGGCAGGAGCAGUGCUUUUCUUCCCCAAAUCGGGUAGAAAACCCUCGUCCUCUCCCGAACCUAACCACCCUCUCUUCCUUCCUCACCAGCUCACCACCCUCUCCUCCUUCCUCACCACCCUCCUCCCUUCCUACGCCUCCCUCCUCCUGUCUUCGACCGACGAUGAAACGCGGGCGUGAAGAUGCGGCGGACGAGCCGGAGGCAACCAUCGGAGCAGAGCAGUCUGCUGCCGUGGCUGCAGCCGUGGGUGGAGCGGCUGAGUCCGCCGUAGCGGUGAAAGCUGGCGGUGCAGCGACCGUUGUGCCUGCUCCCGCUGCCAUCGCCGCCGUGGAGGCACCCGUCGGCGAGCAGAAGGUCGGGGAAGAUCUGGAGGAGGAGGGGAUGAGAAGGCUUAAGCGCAAGGUGCAUGACGAAAUCGAAGAGCUCUACAAGGAGAACGCCAUAAAGGAGUUCGACGUAGAUUGCAGGAAGGGCAGCGACUUCGACGAGGAUGCCAUCAACGAGCUAUCUGAGGUAGUACUCUGUUUUGUGCUCUGUUUUUUUCAUGACAUUGGGGUUUUUCUUGUUAACUAGAUGAGCAUCAAUUUCACUUGGGCGUGCUAGUUGUACAUAUGUAGGAUUGUAGGGAUUUAGCAUAGAUCUUCAUGUUGGAUCUGGAUUUUUAAAUCUGAUUCCAGCAGAUACUCUGGUUUUUUUCAUGGCAUUGAAGUUUUUUCUUGUUAACUAGAUGAGCAUCAAAUUCAUUAGGGCGUGCUAGUUGUACGUAUGUAGGAUUGUAGGGAUGUAGCAUAGAUCUUCAUGUUGGAUGUGGAAUUUUAAAUCUGAUUCACAUUCUGAUUCCAGCAGAUACUCUGUUUUUUUUCAUGGCAUUGGGGUUUGUCUUGUUAACUAGAUGAGCAUAAGUUUCACAAGGGAUACAUUAAUGAAAGAAGUGGGGUAAUGAACCCAAAUACAAGAAAAUGUUCAUGGCAGGGAUACAUUAAUGAAAAAAGUGGGUUAAACAAUGGAUAUAUGGCAGGAUUCUCCAUUGGCUUCCCUAGGACAGUGACAAACUGCUGCAAUUCCUGAUUCAUUUUAGUUUAUGUAGAUGAAUUAAUUUGCACACAUGUUCAUAGAUGAUCAGCUUGCACACAUGUUCAUAGUGAUCCAUUUGCAAAUUCUGUACAGAUUUCCAUUUUGCAAAGAAAGCGAUUGCUCCCUUAAUAAUUAUGGGCUGACACAAAAUCAAAACAUUUCAUGUAGCCAAUUUUCCCCAGUAUAUUAUCUAGAUGAUCACAGCCACAUCUCUCAUCAAUAUGAGCAGUGAGACACCCCAUAGCUCCUUUACCAAUUUCCUACUGAAACUUAUCAGGGUCUAACAAUGUUGGAGAAGCAGUAUUGCCGCUGUCAGAAAGAAUAAUGGUUUCUUCAUUCCAGUAGAUAGAACAAACCCCCCUUGUGUGAAACAUGGAGGGGUAUAAUGAAGCCAUUUUUCUGAUUCCAAUCAGAAUUACACCUGUAACAAGUAUCAAAUAUCAUUAAACCAAGCCAGUUCAUGAAGUGUUUCAUGUGUUAAUUAUGUACUACUUGUGCACUAAUCUAUAAAUGCAACUAUUCCACCGUCCAUAUUUAUGCAUGUCAAUUUCUUUGGCUCAAUUAUGUAUGUGCACAUACACCUUAUUUCUAGCAAAUAGAUAGUUGCCAUGUUACACAUGUGUACUUUCAAAACAUUGUAAUUAAGGCAAUGUACCAUAAUAGAUUAGCUGAGUUCUUCUAUGUGUACUAAUUCACUAAUUCACAGGAGGAUGACGACGACGUGGACUACGGCAUGGACAGCAGGCACAGCAAGAGCCGCUACACCCUGAGGCAUCUGAUUGCUGGCAAGAUCAAGUACCGUUUCUUUGGCAAGAUUGGGUGCCCUUUCUGUUGCAAGGUGAUCCGUGGCGGCAUAGAUGGCAUGAUCCAGCAUGCCUUCAGCACUGGCAAUGGACAUGGUAAGAACCAUAAGGCCAGUACUCUGGCUAAACAUGCGGCCUACGCACGCUUCCUCGAGAUUGUCAAAGUCAAUGAGCCCUACAACCUCCAUUGAAGAAGGGAGAGAAGUGAUGUGCUGCUAGAGUGCUGCUACUGCCCCAGGACCGCCGUGUCCACUUAUGUUAUCUAUGUUUCUUUGUUGUUCGACUCUAAAACUGAUGUCCUAUGGUGUGUCUGAACCUAUGCCGUUUAUCUUAAGAGUUCGCUGCUACUCUGGUUUAGUGUUCCAAGUUGUUAAUACUAUUUUGGUGAUGCAUGUUAAGCCUUGUACAAUGCUAGAUGCUUAGGGUGGUGCUUAGAAAAAUAAAUAGGGUUUUUCUGAAGCACCGGUGCCUAUUUCUACAGGAGAGACGCCUAGUUAUGCGUCUACCCUGUACAAAUAAGCACCUGUGCUUAAGAAAAGCCUGGUUUAUGACUAUGGUAGUUAUAGCCUGGCAUGAUUAUGUUUAGUGUAUAACUCAGCAUGAUUAUAGCUUCACAAAAUUAAAGCAUGCAAAUGAUUGCCGAUUCCACCUAUUGCCAAAUCAAGCUUUGUACUGAUGAUGCAUUAGAUAUUGCUAUAAGUAGAGGAUGCUCAUGAUUGCCAAAAGUACCUAUUUCCACUUUCUGAUAAGAACUAAGCGUGUAUGAAAUGAUGCUAAAAGUAGAGCAUGAGCAUGAGCAUUUAUCAAUUGAUGAUCAAUUGAUGCUACCUAUUUGUGUUUGAAUGGGCUCAAUAAAACUGGUGCUAGUUUAUGCUCUCUGCGUGACCGUGAUGGUAACGAAGACACUUGGUUGGCUAUGGUCUUGCUGUCAAAUUUAAGUUUCAGUUCUUUAAGACUCUUUGUUUUUGCUGCUUCCUCGAGAUUGACUAGCUUUCUCGGGCGUCCAUGUGCUCUCUUCCUUUUUGGGGAGUUGGGUGCACCACUUUUGGGGGAGUUGGGUGCACUGGUAUCCUUCUGGGAGUUGGAUGUGUCGGGUUCGUUGGAACCAUCAGGAUUGUUGACUAAUUGUACGUCGUCUUCUGAACCAUCAGGUAGAGCUGCUUGCUGGGCAUCGUACACCUCCUUCGGUAUAAGAGAGAGUGCUGCGUUAGUUCUAAUCAUGAGACUUAUGAAAUGAAUGAUAUAUUCUUGAUGUAGCACUAACCGUUAUGGGGAACUUAUAUGAUUCGAGACGAAGCGCGUUGCAAUUUGAAUGCAGUAAGGCUGUACAUAUUUUCCACCUGAAAAUAUCUAUCCUUGCCUAUAUUUGAUAACCUACACUUACGUCAGCAUAGCUUUCAAGCUAAACAAAGUACAAAUGUAAAUUAGGCAUUCAAUUACCUGGUUGAAAAUAUCGGUCAUUUCAUCCCCGUUCCAUGACAACAUGUACUGCAGUGUCCAAACCGCACAGGAAGUCCUGUGAUGUUUAGUUAAAGAUCAGUAAUCUUUUUCGUGUAGGCAAAUAAUAAUUUAUGAGGCCAUGCGUACCCAUCGGUCUGUUGUGGUAUGUUCUCAGAGCGUUUUUUGGUCCAUUCGGCAAAAUUGAUGUUCUUAGCUGGUGAUAUCAACCCAUUCUUGACAGCUUCGUCGAUGCAGAACUGAAUCGAGUCCACCUAGGGUACGACGAGUUAUACAUAGGGUUACGGUACUUUGGGAGCUCAUGUGCCAUGCGGAUCAAAAGACGCAGCAAGAGAACACUUACAAGAGAAUCUUCCUUGGUCUUCUUGCAAUGAUAAUUCAUGGAGUUCAGAGUCUGAAUUUCUUUUUUGUCAAAAUUAAACAUCAUUAGCAUCCAAUGGUUUUGGUGUACAUUCAGUGGGACAUGCACCUGCAGUAAAAUUUGGGUUGGGUUGAGAACCGAAAUUUGUCGUGUACAGUGUGUACAUAAACUAUGAAAGUGAGGAAAACAUGUACCUUUUGGCGCCCUACAAAUUUUUCUGCUACACGAGCUAACCAUGAGGCUGCACGUCCAACAGGAACCACCCCCUUCAUUUGUAACAGCUUUUCGGUUUCUUCAGGGGAUAUGAUUGAGGUAGUAUCAUUCUCAAUUUGGCUAAUGCGAGCAUAUGCCAUAAUAACCUGCCAAAUUUUCAAUCAUACAAUAAUAAGAAAGUUGUUGCAGUAAUGAUGUAGACUAGAGUAUAAUGGGCUUACAUCACCAUAAAUGUAUUUGUCGUCCAAAUUUCGCUUCAGUUUUUCUGCUGUGAGGGUAAUGUCUCUGAUUCUAGCUAUUUCAACAGGGUCGUAUAUUCCGCGGAUGUAAAUGGUUGUCUCUAUGUCCUCAUCCGUGAACUUGUAAUCAUUACCAAAGACAGGCUUCAUCGGAGUUAAUUGUGGUUUCUCAUUGUUUUCCGUCACAUGUCUUGCACUUGGUGUAGUCGAAGUCCGUGCCGUGAAUUGGCUAGCCCUAGGAGUUCCUGUCAGUGAUGAAUUGCACACAUUGACUUGAUCCUACAAAGAACAAAGGUAGUUCAUCAUUAGUUUGUUACUUUUAGAUAUUAACGUGUUGGGCCAUAAAGUUCACCUGCACGCCUCCUUUCUGUGACACUGAUUGUCGGUUGCUUGUAAAUUCGUAUUUUAAUUCCUGUAACAAUGCAAACAAUAACGAACAUGAAGGAACAUAUUCAGACAAAAUAGAAAAUGCACAGUAUGACAUACAUGUAGUUCCCUCCUUAAGUCUUUAAUUUCGUCCUCGGCCUUCGACAACCUAGGAUUAGUGCCAGUUUUAGUCUUCAUGUCGAUCAAGUCUUCACCUAGCAUCUGGUAUUUGACAUCAAAUCUGUGCUCAAUUUCCAUUAACUUCCUGCCUACCUUCUUUUCAUGAUCAGCUAAGCGUGCAUUCAUGGCUUCAACUACCAUGUCAAUCUGUGUAAACAAAAUAAAACCCCGUUGAUAACAAUAGCUAAAUGAAUGAGGUUCCAUGACACCUAUUUGUGAUAUUGCAAAAACAAAUAGUCUUUGGAGUACAUACUUGCUGGCUACUAAAUUGCUGUCCUUGUGAUGGUGCUCGAUACGAAUCAUGUUGAUGCACAUGUUCAUCAUUUUUUCUUGGAAAAUUAUUGGAAUUCUCAGACGGUCGUGGAGGAGCACAAAUUUCCAUGACAGCCUUUUUUUAUAAAAUAUAAUGAACCAUUAGUACCAAAUAAAAAAUCGGAUAUAGAAAGUUCAAUUGUAGAUAGGUACCAGCCCGUUAUGAAGACCUCCUUUGUCGUAAGCGUCGCUUCUUAAAGUAGCCGUCAUUUCGUCCCAUCGUGCGAUCAAUGGAGGGGGGUCUAGAAGCAUACAUCAAUCGGCCACUACGCACGUGCUCCCAGUACCAAUACUACACAAUAAAUUAGUUCAUCACCAUACAGAUAUGUAACAGAACAAUAAUUAAAGGACAUUAAGUAGUAAUCUAGCACUAACCUGGAGCAGAAUUAGAUUUCCUUGUAGAUUUACGUGAUCUCGAUUUAUAAACUUGUGAACGGACUUGAAGAAGUGAUUAAGUGUGAAACAUCCCCAGUUAAAUUUCCGAAGGUUUUGAAGAUCUGUAACAAGGUUGAGAAAUUUCGAGUCCACAUAAUGUUGUGCUGUUGGUGCUAGAACAGUACCAAUUGCGUAUAGAAUGAACCGUCUCAGGAAAUCGCCGUCUGGGGCUUUGGAAGCUCGGAUCGCCGUUUCAAGGUCAGAAAUCAAAAUUUGCCCAUUGUUUGCAUAGGCGGUAAACAAUUCUGUGUCGGUUUGCAUUUCCAGAUGUGGCUCUAUAUCCUCCCCUUCUAUCGGAAUGCCAAAUAUACACUGCACGUCCUCUUUUGUUAUAGGAAUUGGCGUUUUUCCGAUGGUAAUGGAUUGAGUGUCCAUAUCUAUGCUCGUGGCUAGUCUAACCAACAUUAUGCGCCGUAGAGUCACUUCAUGCAUCUGGGUUAGACCACCAAGACAGGUUUCUGAUAUGAUGUACUUUUUUGGUCUGGUGACAACAGUUUCAUGGUUUUUCCGAACCUUGUCUGUGAGCAUACUAACUUCAUAUGACCAUGCUUUUCGCCGAGUUCCUGUUACAUGCCAUUAAAUUAUACUGAGUACACAUGAAUUAUGUGUACGAAACGAUUGUACACAAACAGUCAAUUACUUACCGCAUCGGUAAUUUCGGAGAUGGGCUUUUCUCCAUUAUGAAGGUUCGUAUCUGAAACAGACAUUGCCGGCUCAUAUGCAAUGAUAAAAUCCGGCUCAAUUAAUCUGAACAAAAUUGGAAAAUGUAUAAAAAAAUUAGCAGCGAAUUAAUUUUGACAAAAUUACUGGGUCAUUUAACAUAUGAUCCACUUAUGGGUUUAAGCACAGAACCUAUUUGGGUGCAAAACCUAUGAGGGUUCAACUACUAAAGGAGCGGCCGACAACGAUUAUAAAGAGUUACGAUCAGGUAAUACCUUCUCUCGGAGACGGUGCCGCCGAGUAGAUGGCGGCGGUUAGUGCGUCGCAAACUAUAAGUGCCGGUAUAGCGAGGUCGACGGCGCAAAGGAAAAACGGCGCGUUCACGCGAGGAGGAGGCGGCGAGAAGAACACUGACGUCCGACCCCUCAGAUCACGUUGGCGGUGGGCGGCGAGUGGUGGCCGCCGACUCCUGUAUUCCGUGGGCAACCGGCGUCUCCGAUCUGAUCUUGCAGCGGUCGUGGGAGGUGCGGACGGCCCGGGUGGUUAGAAUGCGGAGCUGUAAUCACGGGAUUUAGGGAGGGGUGGGCCGCGUGAGUUAUGUGAGAUUUGGAUAAAUGAUAUAAAAAAAAUAAGAAAAUCUUGUCAACUCGUUUAGGGGUUUAGGGGUUUAGGGUUAUUAUGGUUUAGGGGUUUAGGGGUUUAGGGUUUAGGGUUUAGUGGGGGGGUUAGGGUUAUCAGGGUUCAGGGUUUAGGGUUUAGUGGGGGGUAGGGUUAUCAGGGUAUAGGGUUUAGUGUUGACAUGCAAGCCCGGAAAUGCGCGUGUCAGAGAUCGUACUUGCGUGUACAUGUACUAAUGAUCCCAAACUUUCUUAAUGGCAUCCCAUGACGACAUAGAGAAUGCAUGCAUAAUGGUUUCCAUGUGGGGCAAAAUUUUGAAUGUUUUUACGGUUUAGUGGGGGGGUUAGGGUUAUCAGGGUUUAGGGUUUAAGGGUUUUAGGGUCGACGGAACUAUGUUUGUCUUACAGUGGACAUAGCACACACACCGGACAUUGGUGGAGCGUUGGUCUACAAUGGAUUCCCUCCGGUAGCAUCGAUCCGGUCCGUUGACUGGCUCGGCCGACAAACUUCGUCCCACAUAGAGCAUGCAUCCAUCCACUGGACCGGAUCGAUGUUGGGUUGGUUUCAUACAGGUGAGGAACCCAGCUAGUGCUUUCGGGGUGUUGACAUGCUAGGCCGGAAAUGCACGUGUCAGAGAUCGUACUUGCGUGUAUAAUCCCAAACUUUCUUCAUGGCAUCCCAUGACCCCAUAGAGAAUGCAUGCAUAAUGGUUUCCAUGUGGGGCAAAAUUUUGAAUGUUUUUACGGUUUAGUGGGGGGGGGUUAGGGUUAUCAGUGUUUAUGAUUUUAGGGUUGACGGAACUAUGUUUGUCUUACAGUGGACCUAUCACACACACCGGACAUAGGUCGAGCGUUGGUCUACAAUGGAAUCCCUCCGGUAGGAUCGAUCUGGUCCGUCGACUGGCUCGACCGACAUACUUCAUGCCACAUAGAGCAUGCAUCCAUCCACUGAACCGGAUCGAUGUUGGGUUGGUUUACAUGUACAUGUACAGGGACCGGAAAUGCGCAUGUCAGAGAUCGUACUUGCGUGUACAUGUANNNNNNNNNNNNNNNNNNNNNNNNNNNNNNNNNNNNNNNNNNNNNNNNNNNNNNNNNNNNNNNNNNNNNNNNNNNNNNNNNNNNNNNNNNNNNNNNNNNNNNNNNNNNNNNNNNNNNNNNNNNNNNNNNNNNNNNNNNNNNNNNNNNNNNNNNNNNNNNNNNNNNNNNNNNNNNNNNNNNNNNNNNNNNNNNNNNNNNNNNNNNNNNNNNNNNNNNNNNNNNNNNNNNNNNNNNNNNNNNNNNNNNNNNNNNNNNNNNNNNNNNNNNNNNNNNNNNNNNNNNNNNNNNNNNNNNNNNNNNNNNNNNNNNNNNNNNNNNNNNNNNNNNNNNNNNNNNNNNNNNNNNNNNNNNNNNNNNNNNNNNNNNNNNNNNNNNNNNNNNNNNNNNNNNNNNNNNNNNNNNNNNNNNNNNNNNNNNNNNNNNNNNNNNNNNNNNNNNNNNNNNNNNNNNNNNNNNNNNNNNNNNNNNNNNNNNNNNNNNNNNNNNNNNNNNNNNGGGUUGGUUUACAAUGGAUUCCAUCCGGUACCAUCGAUCCGGUCCAUCCACUGGCUCGGCGGACAACCUUCGUGCCACAUUGUUCACAUUGUCCAAUUAACACUUUGUAUAGAUUUUUUGGGUAGAAAAUGAACGAAAUAAUGCAACUAAUCUGAACGUAACGUUUGGCAUGUAUCAAACCAAGUAGCCACUAUUCCUCAAAAAAAAAAACAGUUAGCCACUAAUUGCGCCAAAGAUGUCACGUAAUUACCAACGAAAAUGGGUUGACAAUUAUUUCUGGAAAUUCUUGGAAGGAAUUUAUUGCUCUUCCUUUUUUAGAGAACAAUAAGUUACAAAUUUUAUUUUGGAAACAAGAAAUCAGUUUUCAAUUUUAUUUGUCCUCUCCAAUUUUGAAAUAAUUUGUCUGGUCAUACAAGGCAUUAAGCACACAUGACAUUGCUUAUACAGAAGGUGACUGAAAUAAUUUGUUAACAACUACUAACGACUGAUGAUCAACAAGUAAACAAAUCCCACAACAAUUAUUGAAAAAUAAAAUCCCGCGGCCGUCAGAUUUGCGUGCUUCUUCAGAUCGAUCAACUGCCUUAAGUUCUUGUUGAUCUUCUUCAAUUCCACCUUGAGUUCCGCAUCCGCCACCAUCGGAGGAACAUUGGCAUAGCCCUUAUUAUCCACCGCCGAUGGCAGAUCUACCUCUAGGGUUGCCCCGUGCCUCAAAUCAAUUAAGCCAUCCGUUUGAAGCCUCUCAACGUAUUCAUCCAGCCACUCAAAAUGCUUGCAUGUUUUCAGCUUCUGAAAAAGGGAAGGGAAACCCUAAAUACCAAUUCCGAGGAAAUAUAAAUAAAUCUGGGGUCAGAAUUCAUAGCAAAAAGACACAACAGAACAUAGAUUUAACCUUCCCCGCUUCUGGUUUGCUCUCGCAUUUCACAAAUUCCCGCCCAUGGUUUCCAUUCUUCUCCGAUAUGGUUGUCAAACGCUUCAGUGGUGCGAUGCGUGGGCAGUCGGGGCAUCUGGUCAUCGGUAGUGAACCAUACCGCGGCCAUGAUGACGGAGAGGCCGAACUUGACAUGGACAUCUCUUGUCUCUCACCGUCCGCCGGCGAUGGAAGGCUUCAUCGCCGGAGAAGAAUAAGAAUUUGGUGGGGCAAGGGAAAGGGAGGCAAUGGUGGGCCGCGGGUUGGCACGGGCACGGCGAUGGCUCGGGCUUCCGUGAUAUGUGGUUGGACCCGCGGUCAGUGCACAUGUUUUGGAAGCCCCCAAAAGAUCGUGCUUGUUAAAAAAAACUUGCAUCGAAGCGCAUUACUUCAAAAUAACUAAUUAACCCUACAAUCACGGAUAUAUACCUUCCCAUUCUAUCGCAUAUCAACCCUAUCCUAACCACCCCCAUCUACCUUGUUUCUCCUCACAUAGCCAUCGUCGGGAUCGCGCCAUCGCUUCUCAAGCGACCACGCCGACGCCGGAUUAAAAAGGUCUCCUCCAUGGCUCCUCCCAUCUUUGAUUGCAGUGCUGAUUAUUUUUUCCAUUGAUUCGACCAAGAAGUCAUUUCCGAAGAGAUUAGAAAAUACAGCCUUUGCCAUAGUUGAGUUGUUCUGGUGUAAUUGGAGUACAGGAUGUCAUGCAAGAGCUUUUUGAUUGAUAGUUUGUAGUAGUUGUUCGUACGAACUGGUUAUGAAUAUAUUUUCUCGGUGGUAUUGUUAGGAAUUAGUUGGAUGAGGUUGUGGAUACAGUUUUCAUACUAUGGGUAUAUGUGUUGUUGUAGGGACCAUGGUCUCAGAGGCGCAUAACAACCGUGCGGAGUACGACAAGUCUUUGCAUGACGCGCGCCGGGAGAUUGACUUGAAGGUGCAAAAGGAUCGCGCUGAGGUAGAUAAGAAACUCAAAAAAGAACGUUCAUACGUGGACAGGAUGAUAAAGGAGGAGCAUGAGGAGUUUUCCCAUAAGAUGGCGAAGAUGCGUCUUGAGAUUGAAGAAAAGUAUAAGCGGGACUGUGAGGACAUGGAAAAAAAGUUUUUCCUUGGCUACAAGGAAAUGCAUCAAACGUUGCAGAAGGACCGGAAGCUUGUGGACAGUAUUAUACAGACAGAGCGAGUCAGGAUGGAUGCCUAUGUGUUGCAGGCACGUUCGGAUAUGGACAGCAAGCUGCUACAGGAGCGGUCGGACAUGGAUUAUAAGGCCAUGGUGGAGAAGGUCCGUUUGGAAGGACAACAUGUCUUCAAUUUUUCUCCCCCUGUAAGUAUCUCGCACUGAUUGUAUAUAUUAAGGACCUACGUAUUCUAUGAUACAAACAUCUUCAAUUUGUGGCAACCUUAUGUCGGCGAUUGUAUGUAGGCUAAGCAUCAUGAGACGGCACCGUCGCCAUCCACUCGAGACAUUGCGAUAGAGUCACCCGUUCAAUGCCACAUCACUCCACCCCAACAACAUAUCUUCAAUUCUCCCCUUGUAAGUACCUCGCAACGAUGCCAUACCCAAGAUAUGGUAUGACCUUUUAAAAUUUGUGUGUAAACCCACUGUCGACGUUUCAUACGCAGGAUAAGAAACGUGUGAUGGUAGAGUCCCCAGUCACACCACAUGAAGGAUACAUUCCACAUAAAAAGGUGAGAAGGUUUGAGAUGGCACAAUCCCCAGUCACUCCACAUGAAGGAUACAUUCCACAAAAGCAGGUAACAACAUCGCAAUGUUGCUAUGCACAUAAAAAAUUAUGUUUGCCCCUUUACUCAUUGAAUGUAUUAACUCUGAUGUGAGAUACUAGGUGCUGGUCAUGGAAUUUUUUGUUAGUAGGGAUGAUGAGAUGUCACAUGUCCCGAGAGCAUACUUUGAUGAACACCCGGUAGAAGUCAGAAUUUUUGAACCCGCCAAAGUGACCUACGAUCUCAUUAUGAGUGAAAUGAGAGAUACUUUUGGUUGCAAACUGGGGGCAGAACUGUACUACUUCUUACCCGAGUCUGCGUGGAAGCUGCCAGAAGGAAUGUUCUUGAUUGCAGGACCAGAUGAUGUAGAAAAAAUGCUUUUUGAUCUGAGUGGCAGCAAGACAUGUCACCUGUACAUUGUGUACAAUAGAACUACGGGUUGUUUUCCCGAGGAUGACAUUGAUCCAGAGGUUCAAAUUUUACAUGUUACAUGCAUCUAGUUUAUGGCUACGUCAUUUUUAAGUUCUUCCUAAUACAAUUCCUAUGGUUUUCUAUAGGAAGUGAUAAUCCAUGAAAUGGAGGGUCUUGCUAGAGAGUUGGCGGAGAAAGAACAAGAACAACUUCAGUUGUAUGGUUACAUUGAUGUUAAAGAGAAAAAGAUUGAAGCACAUGGGUCGUCGCCAAGCCCGACGCAAUCUCCAACGUCGCAACGCAAGAGGUCACUAGAUUUUGGCAGUGCAGAAGACCAUAUGGAGUAGGCUCAAUUGUUUUUCAACCAGUUUAAGCUUCAAACCAGGAUUAUUUUGUUGCAAACAAACAUUCUUUUCUGUUUCACACUAUGUUCGCAAUUAUGGUACAAUUUAUUCAUGAGACAGUUCUUUGAACAACAACGCAUGUGUUUUAUGAUCAAUCAUACAGUUGUUUCUGAGUUGUUUGUGAGAUGGCAUUGCAUCUACGGAAGUUUCCAUCUAUAAAACUUGUAAAAAAAUCAUUUAUGUUGUCUUUGUUGAAACUGUUUUUUCGUGCCUUUCAUCUACACGUGUAAUCAUUAUAGCCUACAAAACCAUACAACGUCGCAAAACAAUUUCCAGUUGGCAUGGAUGCUUGUCAUGUUGGUACAAGGGUUUCAAAAUUUUUUUGGGUCCAUUUCAAGCAUGCCAAAAAAAUCCGUCUUCCCAGACGGAACAUCCCCUGCUACCCGAACGGCUAAGUUGAAUGACACCAAUUUUUUCCAUCAAGAGCGCAAGCACACCCCCGUGGGCCGCGUGAAAUCUGAGCUAACCCCAAAACUUGCUGGUUUUGACGUCAAAUAAGAUAGAAAUAUCAAGGGAAGAAGAUAGAAAUAGCAAGCAAAACACAGAUAACCAACAACAUAUCAAAUAGACGGGUAGAAAUCAUAACAUAGUUCGGAUAGAUAAAGUUCACGGUAGAACCAACAACAUGAUUUAAUAGAAAUAUUUAAAAGAUAAAAAACUUGCCCUAACACGCUAGGGCAAGACAAGCUGACGAGACCGGGCCUUCACCACCAUCUUCACUACGCCUCCUCUCCAGUGCUCCUCUCCAUCCCGUCCUCGCCGAUGUAGUAGGGGAGGGUGUGCAUACCAUCGCGGGUGGGGAAGACGCAGUCGAAGUUUGUGAAGAUGUUGUGGGUUGUGAAUGCGAUGAAUUUGCAUCCACACCAAAACACCUUGCCGAGGAGGUAGUACGCAUCAAAUCUGUUGGUGAAGGUGACGGUGAGCCCUAUCGGCGGAGACCAGGAGUUUGGACGCACUUCAUCCAGUCGGAACAUCACCGGAGAGCCCGCCGGGAGGUGGGCAAAGCCCGCACGGAGGAACCAUUGGGCAAAGCCCCUUGCACCCCUCCAGCGUGAAAACGCCCACACGCGAAGCGUGCUCUCCACGACGACGCCGGCCGGAUACUGUCUCUCCGGCACGGUCGGUGGGAGCCGGUAGGUGGGGCCGUUGUACUGCAUCCUCGCGGCUCGCUCAGAGAGUGCUCUAGGUUUGGGGAAGAAGAGAAGGGCGGCACAAAUGGAUGUGUGCAGAAGGUGAGGGCUGGUGGUUUAAAUAGGGAAAGGGGAAGGGAAGGGAACCGACCGCGCUUACGUUCAAACUAGCCGCGUCGAACGAUCCAUAUGCCACUUUAAUUGCCACGUUGAAUAGAUGCGGGUGGAUCAAAAAAGUGUGAAACCAAGGCUUUAAUUGCCAUGUUGAAUACAUGCGGGUGGAUAAAAAAAGUGUGAAACCAAGGUUUUAAUUGCCAUGUUGAAUCGAAAAGUGUGAAAACAAGGUUUUAAUCGCCUCGCUCGCAUGCAUGCACGUCCGCCACCCGUGCAUGCAAACCCACGUCGCCGCCCUUCCCAUGCAUGCAGGCCUCAGGCGCAGACAACGAGAUGGCCCAACGGUCCAUCCAGCGACCCAGCGGGUGAGGCUGGCGUGGGACAGCCCACCCGAAUUAGGCCCAAGCAAGCUUCGCGCUGGGCACAUCCCAGGGGUGUAGGGAGUUUAGUCCCACCUCGCCGAGCGAGGGGAGCUAGCACCGGUUUAUAUAGAGGGCUGAGCUUUCCCUCUCAAGUUCCUUUCUAAAGCGGGCAGCACAUUGCCUAACCGUCUCCGUCCCUGCCCUGUGGGGCCUACUUGCUACCUGUUUUCACAUUCUGGCAGGCCUCUGCAUCCUGGCCCAAUAAAUGAUUGGGUUACUAGUCGUAUGCAGGCCGUUGAAUUGUGAAAGCGGGCAAGUAGGCGGGCUUUUUUUGGCUAUUUCAUUUUUUUCAUUUGUCACCAUUAUUUCCAUUAGAGCCUGUCCAUCAUGCUGCAUUUUGGCAAGAACAAGCUAGAGUUGUACACACCCUGAUUUAAUGCUCAAAACGUCGGUCUAUACCUCAAGGGGACAUUGUAAAAUAAUUGUUUUAAAAAAUUUCUUUCAUAGACAUGUUGCACACAUGAUCUCUUCCACAAACAAAACUAGGUUUCCAAGUUUUUGUAUUUUUUUGAAAUUUUUUGAAUUUAUAAAGCCCUCUAGACUGAUUGCUGAAAACAUCGGUCUAUGCCUCAAGGGGGCAUUGUAAAAUAAUUUUUUUCAAAAAUUUCUUUCAUACACAUCUUUGGCACAUGUGCGUCACCAUGUACAAGAAAAUUUGGGUGAUUUGGACGCGGUGGAAAAAUUCACCUUUUUUCAAAAACUGGCUGAAGUUAGACCAAAUGGUCCCUCCGGAAUGCGGGCAUUUUUUCGACCACCUCCAAAUCACCUCAAUUUUGGCACACAUGAUCUCUUGCACAAACAAUGCUAGGUUUCCAAGGUUUUGUAUUUUUUUUGAAUUUUUUAUGCCCUGGGCAAUGUCAGUUCGAAACACUCUAGAGAUACUUCCUCAACCAAUGAUGCGACCCAAGGACCUUCAUGCAAAAACCAGGCACCUGCAUGCAAGAGUCGGGGACCUGCAUGUGAAUAGUGAUUCAUCAAGGCCUUGACAGCUGCUGGCACAGCGGCUGCUGCCCGAUUUGCAUGCAGCGAAGAUGAACGUGCAUGGAGGUUUCUCAAAUAUUUCCAAGCACACCCCACUGGGCCCCGCUUAUUUAAAAAAUACGUCAGUCAUUAAUGAUCUCUAAAUGAAGAAUAUGCAUGAUGAUUAUGAAUAUGCAUGACAACCAUAGUAAGGGUGAAGAAUCAUUUUCAUCCUACAAUGAAUCACCUCGAUGAAGGUAUUUAAGCAAGUAAAGGAGCUGGUCGAGGGGCGAGGUGGGACUAUUUUUAGUUACACGAGAACAACGCGCGAGAUCGUACCUGACGUGGGCCGUCCGGAGCUGCAACCUCGGAUGGGCCGGUGUUUGGGUCUACGUAGGAAAACGGCUUGCGAUGCAUGAGCCAUGCAGACCUUGGGAUCACGCGGGAGAUCCGUCUGGCGGCCGUGCGUGCGUGCAGAAAUACAUCACAAAAAUUAUUCUACUCGACAAUAACAAGUGCUCCAUGCUAGCCCUUAUUCCUGUUCGAAAUACAUCAUCAUUCUUAAAGUUGGACAUCAAAUGAUACACACAGAAAAUGGAAACGAAAGAUGUCAAACUAAUACAGUAACAUGGCAGUACAACCGCACUUCACUAAAUUAUUGUCAUGAUGAAAUAGAAUGUAAAGACCACGUCACAGAAAGCUGAAUGGCACACGACUUUCUCUGGCUCAUCGUCGGUUCAUGCUGUAUGUAGACAUCACAGUUCAGCCUCAAGAUCCUACACAGAAGAAUAGAAUAAAUCACAUGGACAUCAAUUAUGAGUAAAACACAUGCAUAAAAUAAAUAUGAAAAUAUUUCGUACCUCUAGCAAUUUAGCGCAUUUACGUCGAUUGUGACCAGGAUUCUUGCAAUAGCCACAGAUAUUCUGUGAUCUUGACUUCUUUGUCUUUGCCUGCAGCCUUUUCUUCGGUGCACCUCGGCCUGGCACAUGCACGGGAUCCAGAACCUUAUCAACUUUCUCCGAGUGCGGCAUCAACGGGCCAAACCUAAUGUUGUUAUGCUGAGCAUUAGUUGACUCCUUGCUGUCAGCUUAUUCAAAACUUGAUUGCUUGCCAUGAUGUUGUGCUUGCAAAAGCAUAAUUAGACGGUGAUAGUCCUCAUCAGAGUGGCAUGCCUUGAAACUUGCGGCGUGACUACAAUUCCGCAACUCGCGGUACCUCUGCAGGCUUACCGAAUAGUCAUACAUCUGGUUUUUUCUGGUAGGUGCGUAUGCACAUUUUUCAUUCAUAGUCCACCUAGUGGGAACGCAACAACUGGGCAGAAUUGUUUGUUUUAAAAUCCCCAGUAUGUAAAAAAUGUGGGAACAUGGUGUGCCUACGCAUUCCAGCUUACGGCAAGAACAACUCACCCUGUGCAAAAGACCUCCUUGCUCUUCAAUGCGCACUCCAAACUUUUUAUCCAUUCUUUCCUGCUUGGACACAACAUAAGUGGAAUCUUCUGAUCCAUCUAGUAUCUCUCUGAUCUGACAUUUGCUGACAGCAUCUAUGCUCCAUAAGACCAUAUUAAAGACACUAGGUGUGAAAACUGUUGCGGCGUGUUUCUCAAGCGGCGAAGCAUUUUCCUCUGUAAAUGGAACGGACUGCAAGGCUUCGACGUCAUGGAGAGCUUCGUUAAUCCGUCGCGACGCAAGGCAACGCUCAUAGUGCUCUAGCAUUUCAAACAACGACAUCUUACCCUCAAGAUGCGUAUGUAGCACAGAGUUCAAGCUCUCACUCCUCUGAUUGCUGCUCAAUCCUAGGAAACAACGCCCCUCAAGAUAUGGAGCACACCACAACUUUCUCAUUUGAUACAUCUGAUCCAGCCAAGACUCCUCACUGGUUACUUUAUUCCGUUGUAAGAAGUAUAUCCAUUCUAUCUCAUGCUCUUCAAUGGAAGAAGUAUCAUAAAUGAAAGAUCUGAAUUCCUCCUUUACGUCGUCAUCAUGCAGAUGGCCUACAAUGUUCUACUGAAUGUGCCAUAUACAUAGUCUAUGGUUUGAGUCUGGCCAGACCACCCUGAUUGCUCUCUGCAUUGCAAGGUCCCCAUCUGUGAUCACAGAUAUCGGAUGCUUCUGUGCCAUGCAAUCAGAAAAGGUCCGCAACAUCCACUCGUAUGCCUGGCUUGUUUCAUGAGAAAUUAUACCACAGCCAAAAAUGACAGUGCUCCGGUGGUGAUUCAACCCGACAAACGGCACGAAUGGCAGAUUGUAUUUGUUGGUUCUGUAUGUGCUAUCGAAAACAAUGACGUCUCCGAAAGCCUCGUAGUCAAGUCGCGAUUGACUAUCAGCCCAGUACAGUCCCUUCAAAUGGCCAUGCUCGUCUACCAAGUACUUGAAGAAAAAAUCCACAUCUCGCUCUCGCCUCGCCAUCAUGUGCAUGAUCACCGUAUUAGCAUCACCGGCACUGAUUGUCUCCUGCUUAUUAGCAUGGCAGAAAUUAUAAAUGUCCCUCUUUAUGCAUCCAACCUUAUCAAAUCCACCAUAUUGAAAGCACAAAAUAUCCAUAAUACGGUAUUUGCGGAUCCCACAUUUUUCCAUGUCCGCAAUGUCCGCUUUCUGCUCAUCGCUAAUUCGUCUGUGCGAACGCAGCAGACAAGAAAGAUCCCGUGGGGCUAGAGGAUGGCUGUGCUCAUCGAUGAAAUCCUUGACAAACCACCGACCGGUUUCCUCCUGUCUCGUAAUGACCAAUUUAGCAUUACACCCAACACGAGUUAAACUUCGUGGCCUCCUCUUUCUAUCUUCCAUCUUUCUUUUCAUGUGCUUCUCUUCGCGAAACCCUUGACGACUACACACAAUUUUCCUUAAAAUUAUGUAUUUGUUGGAUCCAUCCCACUCAACGUAGCUUUUCCUCACACUAAAACCUUUUUCAAGAGCAUAUUCGUUGUAGAAUUCAUAGCCUUCAGCCUCACUAUCAAACAUCUUGCUGACAACAUUUAGAUACUCGAACAUACUCUCAUCAGUUGCAUACGCCAUGUCUUCCUGCAUAUGACAUGUGAGGGAAACCAAUCAUCAACAUCUUUCUCUUUAUCAAUGUUGCAGGUGUAAAAUAGCUCAUAGGCAAAGACAAGUGCAUGGAAAAGACUUUGCUCGUUUGACAUGUGAGGGAAACCAAUCAUCAAUGCCCAACAAGUACUAUCCUAGCAUGGAUGAUGACUCUAAUAAACUGGAUUCAUACCUGGUACGCGCGAAGAGAUGGGAUCGUCCGCCGCCGUCGCCGCCGAUUCAGCAGGCGCAGAUCCGGCCUUCUUCUUCUUCUUCGGUGACGGCGUGGGGGGCUGGGGUUGGUUGGGUGGAGGACGAGGAUGAUGAAUUUAUUCCUCUCACCGGGCAGGUCGAGGACGGAGAAGGUCAGGAGCGGCAACGAAUAGAUCGGAGGAGGAUUCUGAUCUAGAUCGAGUAGACAUGGAUCUGGUCCUCAGGUGAUCGGUUCAAGAAAAGAUAUUUCCCUCUGGACCAUUAUGCCCUUAUCGCAAUUAACAUAUUAAAUUUAAUCAAGUUUAAUUCCCCGCAAGAUCGGACGGCUAAUAAAAAUCAGACGUGAUCAGAGAUGUAAGUACUGCUAAGUACUCCGAGUACUAACCCAAUCACCGUAAAACAGCUCGUUAUUAUUAUAUUUUAUAUUAAAGGGUACUCUCCUUUUAACAUGUUUAUUAUUUCUUGUAGCCGCUGGCCUUGUCCUCCUCGAGGAGGAGGAGCAGGAGGGGCACACCCAGCAUCGGGAGAGGAGAGGAGAGGGAGAUCCAUGGCGGCCGGCGGCCAGAUCCGCGCCGGGACCGGGCCUGCUAGUCAAGGAGACCCAUGGCAUGGACCAGUAGCUCAAGAAGUCUUCUUUUCUUCCUGCCCAUCACCAUCUGCAGGUUGUCAUCCUCAAGGCCUCCACCAUCUGCAGGUCUUCCUCUUCCAUUCCAUUCUCUGCUCUGUUCUUCUCUGCUGCAGUGUCUACAGUGGAUGCAAAUACCUGAUUGUAUAUGGAUGGAUGGAUUGCAGGGUCUACAAUGCACCACCUUGAUUUGUUGAUUCGGUCUGGAGCAGCAGCAGCAACAGCUCCUUCCUUCCAUGUAGAUGGAGGGCAUGACCUGCACAAGGAGCUCCAAGGAGACAAAGGUAUCUGCUCCCUUGCUGUACAUGUUUGUGGGUUCUCUGUGAUGAUGAAACCACUGAUUGGAUGUCCUGAUUAGAUAUAAUGCAUUCCAUUGAGCCGUGGGGACAACAUGAGUAAACUUUGAUGUUUUACUGUACAGCUUUUGUGGGGUAAUAUAUGUACAGUGAGUGGAGGACAACAUGAGUAAACCGUGGGGACAAUAUAUGUGGGACAACGAAGGUUGUGGGGUAAUGCUUUUGUGAAUCAGUUUGCUAUUUGUAUCCAAACUGAGUAAACUUUGAUGUGGUUACUGCAAAUGCUCUUGUUUUAUAUCUAACUGUACUAGGUAUUUUUUUCAUGAAAUGUACAAUAAGUGACCUGGGAUCCCUCACAUGAAUCUGUACCAACCAUGUUUGAUCCGACGGCCCAGUAUCAAUUUUUCUAUUCUUCUACCACAAGCCCAAGUUCUACUGUAGUUGCUCCCUAUUAAUUCUCAGACCAAUGAUAAGAUGAUGAAAUUUCUUACUGCCUUCAAGGUCAACUGUGCUGCCAUCUUUCUUGCUAGAAAAUCUUAGUUUUUUUAGGCAUAUAAAUUGGCCUAUGCAUUUGGCAGAUAUAGUAGGGUUUGUACUAGCAGAUUGAGCACAAACAUUAUUUGUUAAGAGGGCCUGCAGUUAUAUUUUGGCUGCCUUUUGCUCCUUCAUUUUUAUGUGUUUGAAAAUCAAUACAACUAACAUGCUUUACUUCUUCCACGUGCAGUGAUUGCUAAAAAUGACAGGGAUGAGAUCCACCGCCAAGAAUGAUGCAUAGCUUAACUGCUGUCGUAGUCGAUUUCCAACAGGGAAUACCUUUCUAGACUCCAACCUUCACAGUUCUCGUUGAUUCAUCUUGCUAGCAACUGAGUAGCUUUUUUGCAUACUUCUGUCAACAGCUCAAUGCCACCAAAUGUUUUUUGCCGAUCUUCUCUAUUAUACAACAUCUGUUAUACAUCAUACAGUGCCGAGCUCCUCAUACACCAACCAUUUUACAAACAUAUCAUGAUUGGUAGGAAAUUUUUGAACCUGUAGUAUGUCACCUUGUUUUCCAGAUGGGCAAUAGACGCCGUCAUACUGUACUGUAAUAGUGUCUUACCGGGUUUCAGUUUGGUUUGCUUUGUACAAUGCUUGCACUGGAAAUGUUGAACUAUCGAGCCUCCCCUACUCUGUUCUGAUGUAUGAUUACAAUUGCAUUAGUAUUAUUGGAUCUGUUAAUCAGUGCCUACAUGUUAGAUCGGCUUGAUUUUGAGAUGCAGCGAGACUCUGAUGUUUCUGAAUAAAUUCUGAUGUGAAGGCAUGUCUACAUCAGUACAACUUUGCAUGCAUAUUUUAUUGACUAGAUAUAUACGUGUUGACUGUCUGUUCCUCUAGUUUCCUGAUGUGCAUGUUUAUUUGGAUCCACUGAACCUUUGCAUGUAGUAAUAGUUCUCUGAUAUACAUGCAACCUGAUGGAACUUUCAUGCUCUGCCAUUGACCUACCAUGAAUAUAUAUUACUACAGCAGCCUGUUACUAUUACUACAUGCCAUCUUUUUAUUUUCAGUAGUGAUUUUGAUGCAACCUGAUGGAACUUUCAUGCUCUGCUGGUGAGAAUAAGAUGUUAUAGUCUAGAUAUAUGAUGCAAAGUAUGUUGUAUUUACACACUUGUAUCAAACUGCAGCAACCCCACGGGUGAGUUGAGGCAGGGGAUAGAGAGGUUGAGUCGCUCGGGUGCUGAUCAUGUACAGCGGCGCUCUUUCCAGCGUCGACCCGACCAAACCAAUGACGCAAGGCUUCUGCUGUUGUUGCUGCAUGUCUUCACCAACUUAGUUAUUCCACAAGGAGAGAUAUAAAUCCUUCACUUGUUCACUUUGUAAUCUGCAGAUUACUUCUUCCAUUAAUCACCUAGUGCUCCUGUUAGUGAGAUUCAUCUAGUAUUUUUUUUUGCAAAGCAUGCAAUGGUUUGGAGUAGUUGAUCAUGGCCUGAUGGAACCUCUAGCUGAACAAUAAGAUAGGUUAGUUUGUGUAGUAGAGGAAGAAAGAUGAUAUAUUUAUUAUUUGCUUUUGUUGCUUCUAUAUACACAUGUAGUUAUGUUUAGUUAUUCGACAUGCUUCUGAAAUUGACUGUGGUUUUAGACCGAAACACUAUGCUUGUUCAAAGAGUGUCCAUGUUGUGUGAUAUAUGAUGCUGCUCCGUUGUGCAUCUCUCUUUUCUUGUGUGCUGCAUCAUUGCAGAUAUGCUUGAUAGAGUAAAUGAUUUCAGUUCUGGUUGUGCCAAAUCUUUACUAUGUACCAUGCUUAGUGUUUAUUUUACUAAGGCAUUGGGCAUUGGAAUUUAGGCAUUUAUGUAUAAUUUUAGUUCUGGAUGUGUCCAAUGCAAACAUUACUGUCAACUGUCAAGUUGAUUCUAAAAUGUAUUAUUAAGUUCAUUUCAGAUGGUUAUUUCUGGAUUUAGUACCAAUUUAUUGUUGACCUGGCCUAUGCUCUGUACCUUGCUCUGUACCAAUUUAUUGCAUUAUUCUGUUAUUUAGUGUUAAAUAUGCUGUUAGAUUUACUUUUAUUUUGUUCCUAAACAUUUUGUUCUAUAAUGUGCAGAUAUUGGCCUUUCAUGUUUCUUUGCGAAUAUCAGGCAAAGAAGUCGGAGGAAGCAUAGUUCUAGCUAAUUGGAGCUAAUCCAGAGAGUAAUAUGAUGUAGCAGAACUUUGCUCAUGUGAUUGUACACUUGUAGAGCUUGUUAUCUGAUUAUAUACUUGUAGAGCUUGUUAUCUGAUUGUAAUCUUGAUGCUGAUCACAUUUGUAUGUGUGUUAUAUGAUGUAGCACUUUGAUGGUUGAUAAUAUUUGAAGUAUUUCCUGUAUUUUUUGUGUGCCAAUUUAAAUACUAGGUAUUUAUUUAUGUUAAAUUAAAAAAUUGAAGAAUAUGGCCCUGACAGCUAGGACCUAGUACCAGCACCUAACAAUGCGGACCCACUUGACUAGUGAACCCAUAUUAUAUAUAAAAAAUUGAAAUUGUUGAGACAAAAAGGCCAAGGCCCAAAAAUAAAAGGGCUGCAAUGUUGGGCUUGGCCAGGAAGUCGACCAAAAUUGACAGGAAAAAUAUAUAUAGAAAGGCUGAAUUGUUGGGCUCGACCCAUGUAAAACACCUAAUUGGACCAGGCUGAAUCUUAUCAACGACCUUUUCAAUUGGUCUCAAUUUUGCCACGUCAGAUUGCCACGUCAGAUCCGACGUGGCCUAGGCAGAGAGCUAGUAACCAAAACAGAAGGUCAUAGAAUCGACGACCAUUUGUUUUGGUCAUGGAAUUCCACGACCUUCUCACAGAGAAGGUCGUUAAUUUCAGUUUACGACCGCCAGCUUUUGACCUUCUAUUUUUGGUCACAAAAAGGUCGCAAAUGAAAAACAACGACCUUUCAGUGACCAAUAGUGAUGGUCGCAAGUUGACAUAUUUGUUGUACUGGUCGUCGAUAAACGUUUGGUUGCUUUGGAGGCCAUAGAGAGAGAUAAGUUGAGGGUGGCAAGAGAUUACAAUAAAAAGUUCAAGUUGAAGACUUUUCAAGUUGGCGAUCUCGUGUGGAAGGUGAUUUUACCAAUUGGUUCGAAAGACAGAAAAUUCGGGAAGUGGUCUCCAAGUUGGGAAGGUCCUUUUAGGAUUACAAGAGUGGUUCCCGAAAACUCAUAUUUGGUGGAAUCUGUACAAGGCACAUUAUUACCUCGAGCUCUCAAUGGCAAAUAUUUAAAGAAACAUCACCCAAGUGUGUGGCAAGAAGCCUAGAUAGGCAAUGGCCGAUAUAUCACUAUCGUCCUAAGUAAAGACAUGGCCGAUAAAUAACUAUCACCCUUAGCAUAAACAUGGCCGAUACAUAAGUAUCGUCAUGAGAAAAAUAAUGGCCGAUGGAUUGUUAACAUCGUCCUUAGAACAAAUGCAUUGCAAAUUAUUUUUCGCCACGCAAGUUUUGCCGAAAAACAGGGGGGCAUGUGUUGACCCCAGAUUUUGGCACGGUCAAGAACUUAAUUAAUAUGGCCUCAAAUGGAGAAGUGAUCUACAUUAAAAAGUUUCGUAUUGUCGAUAUGAACAUCUUUGAAGUUUGGGCCAUCGCCAUCCGAUCUCAUCUCGAAGACCGAAGUUGUGUUCGAAAUACCGAGAUUUUGUAUCCAGAACACUAUUCGGCUGAUUACGCCCCCAGGACUGCCUCGUAUGGAAACAUGAUCUACAUGAAUUGUCUCCGUCUCGUCAAAAUGAUUGAUUUUGAUAUAAAAGUCAUCUCAAGUCGAGGUCGUAUGCAACCUGUGGAGGCAAAACAAGGUCAAAAACAAAAGCUGCAGAGUCAUUUCGGACCGACCGAGUUGUUUUGAUCGGUCAGACCGAGUUGGUCCGAAAAUUUACCAGAGAGUUGGCAAUGUUCACUCGGUAGGACUGAAGCAAACCAAUCGGUGGGACCGAGUUCAUCCGAGAAAUUACAGAAGGAUACAGAGAGUUGGCAACGUUCACUCGGUGGGACCGAAACGAACCAAUCGGUGGGACCGAGUUGAUCCGGGAAAUUACUAAAGAUUCCUGUCCGAGUUAGGUUAGGGUUUUUGAUGUUUUGGAUGGAAUUUUUAGUCCUUUUCUUGUAUGGGAAGUCCAGCCGCCUCAUAAAUAGAUGAGAGGUGACGGCCGAUUAAACAACACACAAUCGCAAAAAACACAUCUACUACUUUUUCAUCUACAUUUGUCCCUCCCUCGUUCUUGCUCCUUUGUUGUUUGUCGUUCUUCGUGUUGGAGAGCUGCGAAUACCAAGGCUCUAUGGGCGGCUUGACCGACCUAGGGCAGCCCAUAGCCGCCGCACUCCCGGACGGGGUCCCUCCCGGGAGUGUGGGGUUUCGGGUCCCCAAAAGCUCUCGCCGGUCGAUUUGCGAAUUGCGCUUCCGCUGAGACUCCUUCGACGUGAGCUGCGGUGCAUCACCCCCGGCGUCGAGGGUACACGUGACGUGUUCGUGUGCGAACACUGGCAUCGGCUGCGUGAUCGGCAGCUUGGAAGCGGCCGGAACGACUUUACGCAUAGGUGACUCGGAUAGGAGGCGAGACUCGACGGACGGCGGCUCAGCGACGAAGAUGGAGGCAGAGACCAAGUCCGUGGCCUCCUCCAGUCCCGUCGUUUUUUCCUCUCUUUUUCUUUUUUUCGAGCUUGAUCUUGGUGAACAGACCGAACAUAGCUUUGGCCAUUGGGGAAUAGUCAAUCAGCCUAGUUCUUCACGUGAGAUGAACUUUUAGGCAAUAAUUAGCCUGGGAACUUGUGACUUUGCAGGUUUGCCUCUCCUUGUAGCCAAUGGAUAUUUAAAAAGUGCAAAUUGACUUGCAGGACUUGGUCUUUACGCCAGGGAGUAGUACUCCAUCUAGUCUGAUUGAACAAAUUUGCCUUCACAUAGAAAAAUACCAACACAAAAACGCCUUGGUUUGGCCUGCUGCCGCCGCUGGGAAUUUACUUUGGACUUGUGCGUAUACAUAGCCACACGAGGUCUUCAAUGUGUUGAAUGAGCCUAGCAGAUGAUCGCAGAACGGCGAGGUGACUUCAGGUGACAGUUGUGACUUGCUCAAAGCGCAAUGGAAGAUGGCGGCCAGCAAGGCGGAGAAGGCCUGAAGGUGCAGGGGCGAGACCGCGAAACGGAUGCCCUCUUGGCGACUCAAACCGAAGGCCAGGCUAGCUCAGCGCGCAGCAGGCGCGGCUCAGCGUUGCCACGGCGGCUUGGAUGUGAAGGUGAGUGCGGCAGAGGUACGAUCGUGGCCAGUGGGAAGGCAACAACGAGCUAGCGCCGUCUUGCAAGAAAGAGCAGGACGGGUUGUGGCCACGGCGGCCUUGACGCGCGGGCGAAGAAGCAGGGCAACAAGGCGAAGGCCGCUCAGUGGUGACCCGACGGUGACUCUCGGCGGAGCGAGGCCGUGGCCAUGGCGGCCGAAUCAUGGGCGUGGCAGGCCCGGGGCGGGUCAAGGCGCGAGCUCGUGCUGACAGACGCGGCGGCUCGGCGCGAGGCUGCGGCAGAGGCGGCUAAACGAGGCCGGGGCUCAUUCGCCAUCGACUUGGCGAAAACGGCUUGAGGCCGGGGUGCCCGUGGCGGAGACGAACCGGGGCGGUUGACCCCGAGUCCACGCCCAUAUGCGACCCAGCGCCGUAGCCUUUUGCCUUGUAGUUUUGAAAACCGGAGAUCGAUCCGAUCUUGCAUCGGUUAAUCAUAUGAAAGAAAAUUCCUCAUUCGACUUUCAUUAGAGAUCGGUGCCUCGUCUCAUCGGACAUUGAAGACCGUACUCAGUAUGUAUACGCCCUGAUUGAUCUGAUGUUUUAAACAAUGAAAUAUUAGCACGUCUCUUGCCAGAAUCACAACCAUUGCCGAUGACGGAAUUUGCGCAUGCCCAAACGUGAAUCGGCCGGAUACGAUCUUGAUGAAGUUGAAGUGGACGAAGCCACGACUCCGGCGCGUAAACGUCCCAUGGACGGAGUAAUUUUUUUUCCUGAUCUCGAUUCAUGAACUCAAAGACGAUGUAGAUCCUUUCCAAUCUGAUCUUCAUCCGAAAAUUGUGAACUUCUCGAACCCUAAGAGAGAUCCCUACAAGAAUUCAACACCACCGUGCGCGAGCCCCACGGUGGGCGCCAACUGUCGUGGAAUUGUCACGGCAGAUGUCCUAGUGUGAGGAGGACUUAGUCGUGAGGCCAACGCAUCUAUGUGGUAGCUUGAGAGGGGUUGAUCGGAAUCGAGAGACGCAACACAAGACAAGGAUUUAGACAGCUUCGGGUCCCGGGAAACAUCAUCUGGUAACAACCCUACAUGCUGUUUGUGGCUAGGUCUUAUUAUGCUCAUGAGUCGCUGCAUAAACCGGCUCUCCUCAAGUUGUGUCUAGCCUUACCAGUUAUUUUCCUGUCCCUCUUGGGGUGCCCUGCCCCUCCUUAUAUAUGUUGAAGGGCGGGUUACAUGACUAGUCCUUGUAGGAUUAGGAUUACUCUAUUACAAGUGGAGUCGUAGUCUUGCUUCCUUUGUAAGGGAAUAUUCCUUAUGCCUUUCCUCGUAAGCCGGCCCACCAUAGCAUGAGCCGGCCUUCUGGGCCUUGGGCCUUGUCAUCCAUCUAAAACACCCACCAGGUCACCAGUGAGUCACCAGGCUAGUGAGUCGGCAGACCAGUGAGCCGCCAGACCCGUGAGUCGCCAGUCCUCCGGCGGGUUAACGGUGAAGCGCCAAGUCCUAGCCGGGUCUUAACUCCGGCCGGGUCAUACCGCGGGGUAUAUCCCCGACAAGAGGCGAAUGGCAAAUAAUGUAAUGCAAGAGAUGAGAGUUUAUGAUGGAUACUUGGUAUAACUUGGCUUGGCGUAGAUCUCCCCGGCAACGGCGCCAGAAAUUCUUCCUCCUACCUCUUGAGCUUGCGUUGGUUUUUUCCUUAAAGAGGAAAGGAUGAUGCAGCAAAGUAGAGUAAGUAUUUCCCUCAGUUUGAGAACCAAGGUAUCAAUCCAGGAGGAGACAAUGCACAAGUCACCGAAUACCUGCAAAAACAAUCAACAACUUGCACCCAACGCGAUAAAGGGGUUAUCAAUCCCUUGACGGUUACUUGCAAAACUGAGAUCUGGGAAAUGAUAUAAACCCCAUCUUUUUAUAAACCCCAUCUUUUUAUAAACCCCUUGUCAAUCCCUUGUCGAGGGAUAAACUCAAGCAAUAUGAUAUAAACCCCAUCUUUUUAUCCUCGAUGGCAACAACACAAUACGUGCCUUGAUGCCCCUACUGUCACUGGGAAAGGAUACCGCAAGAUUGAACCCAAAGCUAAGCACUUCUCCCAUUGCAAGAAAAACCAAUCUAGUUGGCCAAACCAAAUCGAUAGUUCUAAGAGACUUGCAAAGAUAUCAAAUCAUGCAUAUAAGAAUUUAGAGAAGAUUCAAAUAAUAUUCAUAGAUAAGCUGAUCAUAAAUCCACAAUUCAUCGGAUCUCGGCAAACACACUGCAAAAAGGUAUUACAUCGGAUAGAUCUCCAAGAACAUCGAAGAUAACAUCGUAUUGAGAAUCAAAGAGAGAGAAGAAGCCAUCUAACUACAAGCUAUGGACCCGUAGGUCUGAGGUAAACUACUCACGCUUCAUUGGAAGGGCAAUGGUGUUGAUGUAGAAGCCCUCCAUGAUUGAAUCCCCCUCCGGAAGGACGCCGUAAAAGGCCCCUAGAUGGGAUCACACGGGUACAGAAGGUUGCGACGGUUGAAAAGUGUUCUCGUGGCUCCCUCCAUUGGUUUUGGGAUAUAUGAGAAUAUAUAGGAGGAAGAAGUAGGUCUGUGGAGUCACGAGGGGCCCACAAGAGUUGGGAGCGCGUCCUACCCCCCUAGGAACGCCCUCCGUCCUUGUGGCCGCCUCGUGGUUUCUCUGACUUGCACUCCAAGUCCUCUGGAUGUCUUCUGGUCCAAGAAAAAUCAUCGCGAAAAUUUUAUUACGUUUGGACUCUGAUUGGUAUUCCUUUUCUGUGAAACUCUAAAACAAGGAAAAAACAGAAACGAGAACUGGGCUCAAGGUUAAUAGGUUAGUCCCAAAAAUCAUACGAAAUAGCAUAUUAAUGCAUAUAAAACAUCCAAAACAGAUAAUAUAAUAGCAUGGAACAAUAAAAAAUUAUAGAUACGUUGGAGACGUAUCAACGGGCAGUUGAACAGGUCACGUGUGGUCAGUUUGACCUGUCGCAUCCGAUGUGGCGUGGACGACCGCGGUCAGUGACGCUACGCACCGUUGCACCGUCAUUAAACCGAAUAAGUGUGACAACUGGCUGGGGUCUCCUAUGAUGGCGGUUCCGAUGGCCGCUAUUAGUGUCAGCGUUACACCGACCACCGGCCUCACCCGCCAGGCGACUAUAAAACCCAUCCUCGGCCGCCCUCCCCCGCCACACCACUUCUCCCUCCCCCUGGCACAGUAGUUCUGCCUUCCGUCCUCCUCGAUGCACUUCUCUUCAGCCAGCUUCACCUGACGAUGUCCUCCGGCAUGCAGAACCAGCCGUGGAAGCGUACGACAUGCUGGAGGCGGAAGAUCUCAACUCCUACGACAUCCUCAUGCUGUCGGUUUACAGGCCUGUCGAGGACAUGGCACAUAAUGCCGAUGGGUACGCGGUGGAGGGACUCCCCUUCCCCCGCAACAAACUUCAAUGUCAUCUCGACGGCCAGUGGAACGCUUGAGGCUUCCGGGAGUUUUGGGAAAGUCGUAACUGGGACGACAUGCAACAAGUUCCGACGGCGUGACAUUCACGCCGCGCACCCAUGCCUCAGGUGGUGCGCGCUGACCCACAUGUGAUUCCGGUUGCACGUGAGGCGCGUGCCGGAAGCCUUGUGCCUCCAGCAGCACUCUAGGAUGUGACAGUUACAUAUUGAAUCUCAACUGAAUAUCCAUCUCUACUCCAUGCGUACGCUUUAAUACUAUUGUCUUUGCUCAAGGUAAUGCUACUAAGUUGGUUAAUUUUUUUUCUAUUGCUACUGUUACUUUGUUAUCACUACUAUAAUAUUAUUGUGCUGCUAAUAAAUUGCUGCAAGGAAGUGAUUCUCAGGUGUGGUUGAAUUGACGACUCAACUGCUAAGGCUUAAAAAUAUUGUUUUAGCUCUCCUAUGUCGAAUCAAUAAAUUUCGGUGAAAUACUACCCUCGAAGAUUGUUGUGAUCCCUUAUACUUGUGGGUCAUCAGUCAUCAAUUAUGAGUUAUUAGUAAGUAAAAGUGUGAUUCCAUUUAAAGUGUGCCUCCAUCUGUGAGAUAAAAAAUGAAAAGAGGCCAAAAAUCCCAUGAAAAAAGGCAAAAAAGAGCUCACCAAAAAAUAAGGGAAAAGGAGAGAGUGGCACACUACUAUCCAUAAUAGAAACGCGUGCUUCAAAGUAGCACCAUGUACUUCAUAUAGAGAGUUAUCAUAUUUUUCAUUUUCAUAGUAGUGGGAUCUUUUACAUUAUGGAACAUGACUUGCAUAUUCCAAUGAUGAGCUUCUUCAAAUGCUUGAGGCCGUGAGAAAGGAGUUGGAUGCACACACACUUAGUUCAUAUUGAGAACUUUCAUAUACUAGUGAUUCCGUUGCAUCGCAAUCUCUAUUCCUCUCACUAUAUAUCAAUUAUAAGGCCUAUCCAUUGCCGAACGAUAAGAUGCAUUAGUGUGAGACUUUCUUACCUUUUAUCUUCUUAUAAAAGCGCCAUCAUCAUUCUAUUUUUCAUCUAAGUGCGAAGACCAAUGCUUGUAGCUCGGGCAUUAAGCAAAGUGUUGAGUAGUUGAAAAGGGCUUUCAUGGAUUUGGUGACUUGACUGAAGCACGGGGUUGUGUUAUGAUAAGAUGUUUAAAUAUGAUAGUCUUGAGUAAUUGGAACAAUGAAAAUGAUACAUAAUAGUAUUGGUUGUUAUUACAUGAAAACACUGAACCAUGAAAAGCAAGAGUAAUUUUGUUUGCACAUUUCGAUGUUACUUGCGUGUUAUCAAUUAUAGAUCAUUGCCUUGAAUCACUUUUAUCUCGAUUUCACAAACGCAUUACAUCAUUUGAUCAAGUUUAUGCUAGGUAUCACUACACAUAAAAAUUAUCUUUGUUUUAUUAUCUACCCACUCGAGGACGAGCAGGAUUAAGCUUGGGUAUGUUGAUACGCCUCAAACGUAUGUAUAAUGUCAGUUUUUAUCAAAUAUGCCCGCCAUUUGCAAUACAAAAAACAAAUUGACCACGCCUACAUACUGCGAUGACGGUUAUGGAAGACAUAAUUGUCAUCCACGUCAGCACAACAAUGGGACCACAUGUUAGAAUCAUUGACCGGUCAGACGACACAUCGUCACUGAAAAUAGAAUGCCUGGUCCCAUAUGAAAGCAGCCACAUCAGCAUCUUCAUGGCCCAUAUGUUAGCACCAUUGACCGGUUAAACUGACGUCCGACUUAUUAAUGGCGGGACCGUCUGCGAUAAAACCGAUGGGGGACCCACAUGGUAGCAUCCACGGCAACAACUACUGGCCCCACCUGUCAGAAUCUUUGACCGAUCAAACCAGCGAAUCGAUCACUGGUGACGAGAUUAUCGUUGCCAAAAAGAUCUUAGGUGAUAGAUUGGGUAUCAUAGGUGACAAUCUGGGCCGUCAACGAAAACGACAAUCAGUGACAUUUUUUGGCCUGCCACUUAAAAUGCGAUCUUGCGCGAGAAAAAAAGUGGUACCGUCAAAAUUUUAUUUUCCAUGAUGCGCUUCGGUGACGGUGGGGUGACAGCCAGAGAACAUCACGUGUGUAUUUUCCGUGACGAAAAAGGGUUAUACGUGACACAAGUGAAACAUCACAAAAUAGAGAAAAUUUUCUAGUGAAGAAGUAGAUGAUUAGAUGAUUGGUUCUCCUAGUUUAGUAUGAGUAUAAUUGUUUACUAAGGUGUGCGCAAAUGUUGUGUAUAGUCAUUGAUGUAAUUGGAUGUUUAAUUUGAUUAUGCAAUCUUGUUCGUAUAAGUAUAUAUGUUUUUGUUCUGUAGACAAAGUAUAGAUGUUGUGCAGAUAGAGCAAAUCAAAUCGCACAAACUAAACUACGGAACCCAUCAGUGAUGAUUUCAUCAAUCGCUGAAAAUUAUAUACCAGCAAGAGUUUGCCCACAACACACACAACUUAUUAGUAGGAACCAAAUGUGUUAUCGGUCUUCCUCUAUAAUUCUGAUUACUACUGUUUGCCAGGUAUCAUACACAUCUAGUUAAGUCAAAUCACUUCUGUUGUUUUGGCUCAUCGCAAACAGUUGAUUCGAGUGACAUGUAUGCCGUCUAUCGCACGCACCUUGAUCUGGUUAAUCGUUUAUGUUGUUUUCUCUCACCGCAAACAGUUCAUCCAAGUGACAUGUAUACCGUCUAUCGCACACAAUUGAUCUGGCUAACCCUUUUUGUUGGUUUGGUUCAUCGCAAAUAAUUCAUCUGAAUGACCUGUAUGUUGUCUAUUGCACACAAAUUCAUCUGGAUAACCGUUUCUGUGGUGUUGUCCCAUCAUAAAAAACUUGUAUGGACUAACUGUAUGCCAUGUAUCGCACACGCAACUCUUUGCUGAAUCGUGCUUGAUGGAUCCGCCAUCGCACAUAGCUCAUUUAAUUGGUUACUGUUUUAUUACCAUACCGUUUGUGAUUCAUGCAUCACACUGAUCGAAUGGUCUCCUAUACAUGUGUCGUGUUAGGACCUUCCUGUAGUAAUGCUCUAUCACUAUCUAUUUGUUUUUAAUCUUAUAACUAGCAAGACAAGGGGCCUGACAACCCCCUUGCCAUGUUGGGCGCAAGCAAUUUGAUUUGUUUGUGUGCGGGUGAUGUUUACGUUGUUAGUUUGCUGACUCCUACUGAUUCGAUAAACCUUGAUUCUUAGCUGAGAGAAAUACUUUCUGAUGUUGUGCUACAUCACCUUUCCCCCUCGGGGAAUCCAACAACUGCUACAGGAGUAGCAGCGUACAUGGCAUGACCGAAUCCGACACAGGCUAACGGCUGAGCACACCAUGAAACGCGCAAGACGGAUCAUGUGGUCACAACGAAAAAUGUCAACUGAAUCCACAUGGUGAAUUCCGACGCUCGUAGGUCGACCAGCCUUCCCAUCGCGUACAGAGUAGCGUGGGAGCACUACCAAAAAAAGACACAUCCGUGACAUUUUGGGCCGAACGAAUUUUUUUUCUGUCAUACUUAUGACACUUCUAUGAUGAUAAUUGUGACAAAAUCCGGUAUCAUCAUAGAUGUGGUGGGGUCCUACUUCUAUGAAAAAAAAUCAUGACAGAAAAUGGGCUUUUCGUCCUUGGCGGGCCGGAGACGCAAUGGCAUGACAUUCUUUGGGCCGUCCAUGAAAGAAAAAACCAUGGUAGAAGCGAGGGCGAGGAAAAUAUCGGGGUGUUCCCGGUUACGGUGGGUGGUCGGGGCCGAGCGAUGCACGUUUCUCUCAUACACGGACGCGCGUGGGUGCGAGGCAUUGGGCUCUAACUGAACCCGAGCGAGGCGUUGGGCUCUAACUGAACCCAAGUGAUUGCACUGCAGGCUACGCGUUACUGAACCCGAGCGAUCAAUCGAUGGCUGUUAACUGAACCCGACCGAGCGAUUCCUUCGCUACUGCUGCUAACUGAAGCAGAUCGAUGCUGCCUCUGGAUGAACAGUGAGCGUUGCUGGGGGGUUCGGAUGAAUAGUUCCCGGUGGGGGUGGAUGAACAGGACCCCGUGGUGUUGCCUCUGGAUGAACAGGACCCCGAUCGAUCGAGCCGGUUGGGGCUGGAUGAAAAGGACCCCGUGGAGGGCAGGAUGAACAGGACCACCUCGUGGAGGGCUGGAUGAACAGUAGACGGUGGAGGGCUAGAUGAACAGUAGCCCGUGGUGGGGUGGUUGAACAGGAGCCCGUGGAGAGGGCUGGUUGAACAGUAGCCAGUGGAGUAGCGCGCGGUGGAGGCUGGAUGAACAGGAGCCCGUGGAUGAACAGUCGCAGGUGGAGGCUGAGGAGGUCGACAGUGGAUGAACAGUAGCCCGUGGAGGUUGGAGGGGGUCGACGGUGGAGAUGAACAGUAUCCCGUGGAGUCCCGUUUUGUGGUACGCCACACCCCUCCCGAUGAACUGGACCCCCGUUUCGACCGUAGCGUUCCAACACAAGUCCGUUUCCCCCGUUUUGCGGUACGCCACACCCCUCCCGAUGAACAGGACCCCCGUUUUGACCGUAGGACGUCCGUUUCCUCCAUUUUGCGGUACGCCAGACCCCUCCCGAUGAACUGGAUCCCGUUUCGAACGUGGCCGGUCGAACACAAGGCCUUUUCCUUCGUUCUGCGGUACGCCAGGCCUCAUUUCCAUCGGCUGUUCCGUCCAAGCCCUGCUGAUGAACACGACGACACAUUCCGUUCCGACCCAGCCGGUUGGCUCCCCAUGAGCACGACGACAACGCAGUUUCUCCGUUCCGACCCAGCCAUGUACAAGAGCCCUGGCCGUACGUAUGCACGAGUAGGCGUUCGAGACCCUGCCCGUAUGUACGUACGUGGCCGUAUUUUCUUUCUUGCAUACUGGCCACUGUAUGUAUGUGUACAUGCUACGUGGGCGCCUAUACUACGACACGUGCGCGCCUCUACAUCGACCAGUAUGUACGUAGACGUUCGCGACCAGAAUGAGAACGCUACGUACGCUUCGACCAGGUGGGUCCUGUCGGUGUAAAAACCGGCGGAUCUCGGGUAGGGGGUCCCGAACUGUGCGUCUAAGGCGGAUGGUAACAGGAGGCGGGGGACACGAUUUUUACCCAGGUUCGGGCCCUCUCGAUGGAGGUAAUACCCUACUUCCUGCUUGAUUGAUCUUGAUGAUAUGAGUAUUACAAGAGUUGAUAUACUAUGAGAUCGUAGAGGCUAAACCCUAGAGGCUAGCCUAUGGUAUGAUUGUUGUUAUCCUACGGACUAAACCCUCCGGUUUGUAUAGACACCGGAGGGGGCGAGGGUUACACAUAGUCGGUUACAAGGGAGGAGAUCAACAUAUCCGUAUUGCCAAGCUUGCCUUCCACGCCAAGGAGAGUCCCAUCCAGACACGGGACGAAGUCUUCAAUCUUGUAUCUUCAUAGUACAACAGUCCGGCCAAAGGAUAUAGUCCGGCUGUCCGAGGACCCCCUAAUCCAGGACUCCCUCAGUAGCCCCUGAACCAGGCUUCAAUGACGAUGAGUCCGGCGCUCAGAUUGUCUUCUUCGUUGCAAGGCGGGUUCCUCCUCCGAAUACUCCAUAGAAGAUUUUGAACACAAGGAUAGUGUCCGGCUCUGCAAAAAAAAUUCCACAUAACACCGUAGAGAGAAUAAUAUUUCCACAAAUCUAAUCUGCUGACGCAUGUUGCAGCAUGACAUCACACCACAGCCCGGUCAUUAUUCAAACCAUUUUUUCACAACCAUCCACUGCACAUAUCGCGAGGCGGUUUCCUUGGCACGUCUUGUCGAAGUAGAGAUCGUGUCCCCUUAUCACAGGAUUCUCAUCAAUACAGGUAUGGGUAACCCAACCGAGCCAUCAAUUACGGCGCUUGGGGAAUAAGCGGUUUUACCAGGUAGGUGGGGAGGCGCAUAGCUUCUUCCACCCUUACAAAGGGACAAGGAUUCACCCUUUUUACCCACGCCUUCUUCCUCCUUGAUCAUCCAUUCUUGCGCACUCGAGCUCCAGCGCCCAAGUUCGCGUUUUUCUCCUCACACCACUCCAAGCAUGUCCGGAGCGGGAGGCAAGUGGAUGGUCUCCUCCGUUACGGAGGAGAACAUCACAAAGCUGCGGGGUGCCAGAUAUCUGGCUGCGGAUAUCACGCACCGGCUGCCAGAUGCGGGGCAGAUCAUCCCUACUCCAGAACCCCAUGAAAGGGUGGUUUUCCUUACCCACUUCGUCCGCGGACUAGGAUUUCCCCUCCACCCGUUUGUCCGCACGCUCAUGUUGUACUACGGGCUGGACUUUCACGAUCUGGCCCCCAAUUUCAUCCUCAACAUCUCGGUGUUUAUCAUCGUGUGCGAGGCCUUCCUCCGCAUCAAGCCCCACUUCUGCCUGUGGGUGAAGACCUUCAAUGUUAAACCGAAGGUGGUGGUUGUCCAGCAAGCGGAGUGCGGAGGUGCCAUGGUGGGCAAAAUGCCCAACGUCACCUGGCUCGAAGGCUCCUAUGUGGAGACCAUAAAGGGGUGCAAUCGGGAUGGUUCUACAUCACCGAGCCGCGCGACACCAACUGGGUGGCGGCCCCCAAAUUUUGAUCCGGAAUCCCCAUGCGGCUCACCUCCUGGAAAGAGAAGGGCCUGUCCUGGGGUUCCCCGGUAGAGCUGACCGGACUCCAGACAUGCAUCAAGAACAUGAUGAGCAAGAAAAUCUAGCUCGUCAACGUGGUCCAAGUCAUGCUCUUCCGCCGGAUCCUCCCGUGUCAAAGGCGGGCGUUCAAUUUGUGGGAGUUAGACCCGGCCAAGCACCAGACGUUGUGAGAGCUCUUCGACACGACACACAAGGAUGUCUGGAAGGUGUUGUUCAAGGACGCCGAGGUACCUCCUCCCCUUACCGAGGACCGCGGACUCAGCGCAAAGCGCCAUGCCAAUCCGGUAAGUCGUUGAUAUCUCAUAAGAUGUUCAUUUUCCCCAGCUUAACCAUGUGCGGGAUCUAAGCUUCCACACUAUUUAACAGGACUGGGUAGAGACAGCGGAGCAGAUCGAUUGUCCAGCCCCCUGCCCGAAGAUCCAGCAGACGCUCUACUAAUGGAGAUGCUGGUUCCGGCGCCUUAUGAAGUGCCAGCGAAGAAGGCCAAGAAGAAGGCCACGGGGACCAGGAAGGGUCUCCGGCGCAAGGUUAUAUCGGACUCAUCGUCCGAAAACACCGAGACGCACUCCUCCCACGAAAACGAGGAGGAGGAAGAGGAAAGUUCUCCCCCCAUGCCUGGGGAGACAAGAAAAGGAAGGCCGCCCCAUCUGGGGAGUCCGAAGGGUCCAAGAAGGGAAGGACUCUCCUUCCAGACUGCUCCACGACGGCCGCCUAUAGCGACGACGAGUGGUUGCCCAGGGACAAGCCCCUGGCGAAGUCGUAAGUAUCCGGAUACCAUAAUAAUUCUUGGUAUGUUUUAUUGAACUGCUUCUCAUCACGCCGAACAUGAUUAUGCAGUCCGUCCCGAGCCCGUAUCAAUGUAUCCUCAUCGGAUGGUUCUUUGGACCCGUCGGAUCUGAACAGCGAUUCACUUCCGACCGCCUCCUCCCCUCGCCCUACAGACAACGUCGAAGUGUUGUCUCAAAGGGCACCGAGCCGAGGGGAGGUAGUCCUGGAGGCGCCUCAAGGCGACAUUCCGGAUGCUGGGCGCAAGGGGAGCAAGACUCCCAUGGGCUCUGAUGGUGGGGGCAGCAAAUUCGGCCCCCAGCCGAAUACUGCGCCGGAACCUCCAGUGGUUCCGGACUCUGUCAGGGAGCCCCUCGCUAAAAGGGGCAAACCGCCUAUGCCGAUGGCCUCUGUCUAUCCAGAGGCAUCGGACAACUUGCUGGAAGCGCUUCGCGGCGCUUCCAUCGACGAAGAACACCGCACUAUUAUGAGUGCGGUGGUCAAGAAAGUUCAGUCCGCCAAGAGCGGACUGACUGAAGCCUGUGCCAGCCUCCUAACAGGCUUUGAGGUAAGUAACCAGAUUAUAAGAGAAUGUUACCGGGACACUAGCCCCUGAUGCUCUGUUUGGCGUUUGCGAAGAAAGGCCGAAUAGAGGAUCAAAUAAUAACUGCAGGAGUCUAAUCGAAAUAUGUCUAUGCGCAUAUGCAGGCUUCACUGCUAGCCGCUGCCGCACGUACUGCAGAGGUCGCCGCACUGAAGCGGAAUCUUGAGCGGUCCAAGGAAGAUCUCGGCCUUGCCAAAAGGCAGCUCGAAGAGAACAAAGGUAAGUUAUACCCCGUCUGUAUAUUAUAAAAAAUUUGGUUUUAGAAUAAUAGGAUUGUCACAAAUUUUGCUAGGGGCCACGACCGAAGUGGCGACCCUGCAGAAGGCGCUAUCCGAGGCCGAAGACAAAGCGGCCAAGGAGCAAAUUGAGCGAGAAAAGCAAGAGGCCCGGGUGUGCGAGGUGCAGCAAGAGCUCCAGGCUCUCGUCAAAAAACAUGAGUCCUUGGAGCUUGACUCUAAGACGCGAGAGUCCGAGCUUGCGAAGGCCCUCGAAAGCGCACAACAUGCCAAGGCCAAAGCCCAAGAGGCCCUCCAGGAAAUUGAGGCGAUUAAGAAGAUAGCGGCGGGUAAGGCAUUCAUUAUGCAAAACAAGCAUGUGAAAGAAAAUUUCCUUUUACUUACCCGAGUUUGGAGCUCUCCAGGAGCGUUCGUAGAUCUACCCUGCAGUGUGUCAGAUGCCGCGGACUUCUACCGGGCCGAGGGUGGGAGCUCGACAGAGAAGUUGUUCUGGUCUCAGUAUACUGGGACCGAACACCCCAUGCCCUUGAGCGACCAGCUGAAGAAACUGGUCGAGCUCCACAAGGCGGCCGAACAGGCCAUGAAGGGUCUUAUAGUCCGGAUGUGGCCUGGCGAUCCCCUGCCUGAUAGCUACUUCGGCCUGGUGAGGCGGCUUGUGAAUGCCUGCCCACGGCUUGAAGUCAUAAAGCGGUCCGUCUGCAUCGAGGGUGCGCGCAGGGCUUUUGCCCGGGCAAAGAUGCACUGGGCGAAGCUGGACGCCGAGAAGCUGGCGAAGGAGGGACCGCCGGAAGGCAAGGAGCAUCGCCACCCCGAAAUGUAUUAUAACAGUGUCCUGAAGGGUUCUCGCCUUGUGGUGGAGGAGUGUGCUAAGGAUGUAAUAUUCGAAUGAAUGUACCCAUGUGAUCCUGUAAUAUGAAACGAGUUCAUUUGCGCUAUGCAACGCUUGUGAAUUUAAAAUAUUACCUUUUGUGUGGCCGUUUAUGAAAUCUGAGAGUUGGCCAGUCGUCGGCUUCUGCCCCCAUGUAACUAGUACUGAGGUGUUCGGGAUAAACCUGAGCACUCUUUAUCCCAAUUUUGGGUCCUUCGAGGGAGGUGUUCAGCACAACGAACCAGGCAAUCGGACUAUAAGGCUUUAUCACUCUCACUUAGCCAUAGAAGUCUACAAUUUUAAAUUUUGGCGAAGCCCCUAGUAUUCGGAAGGCCGAAUUUGGGGCGCUAUAUACGCCUAAGUCGGGUAAGCCCGACUCCUCGCCCGAAGCGGAAAAAGUCUUUAAGGACUUGAGACCUCUCGAACAGCGACCAGCUCUCGCCUUAUCAUGACAGUCAGUUUUCGGCUUUUUCUACGGAGGUGCUCGUCCGGAAGAACCGGGACACAAUCGCAGUAGUUCUCCCAACGCUACCUUAGCCGAUAUUGCGGAACAUAAGGUACCAAAACAUGGGAGCCGUGCAAACCCAACUAUUGACCCAAGACAUGAUUCGGAGCUGAUGCAUAUAAUGCUAUAAGUUCGGGGUGCUGCACUGUCGAAAGUGUUCGGACUUCUCACGCCGUGUUAAGGGGUAUACUGAAGCCCCUGGCGUACUGGUCGUACCAGAAUGUACGGGAGCAAUUUGUCGUAAAUAAACAGACAAGGAAAAAGGGAAGGGAAAUGCAAUAAUAGACUAAUGCUAUGCAUUGUUAUUUAAAAUAAUACGUCAAAGCGUACUGAUACAAUUAGUGCAAUAAGCAAAAAAUAGGACUAUUUGAGAUGUCCUAUCCAAGGGCAAGCUGCGUAUGGGUAUUUAAAACGGGUACUUCGAUCGUUAUUAGAGACCACCUGGGUAUUCCCUUGUACGUCUUAGCUUCUUGCCUCCUUGGUUUUUCCUUCCCGUAAUGUGUCCAGCAAUCAGACUGCCGAAGAGGGGCUUCCAGAGAGUAAGGUCCUGAAAGAGAAAAAAGAUAAAGAUAUACAUCCCCUGAGGCGGUUGAGCCGCAUUGUGGGAUGUGCCCUGGUCGUGCCCCCACCUAUGCCCAUGGUAUUUUUAGUGCGUAAUUAUGUACGCGUGGCACAGAUUUCGUCGCUUGACUGGGACUAGGACGGGGGCCGAAUUGCUAGGCGAGCUCUGAACGUGCCAGGCGAUCCUGUUGCAGGUUAAUCCGGAUUCGCUUGAAGGUAUCCGGGGGCUUUAUCGCCGAAUUGGCGGUUUGCCUUAAAAGGCUGCUUUGUGCCUCAGCUGCGAGGGCCGCAGUGUGCUCCUCCGUGCGGAGCGAGCGUUCUGUGUUUCCAUUGACUGUUAUAACCCCACGAGGUCCUGGUAUUUUGAGCUUGAGGUAUGCGUAAUGCGGUGCCGCAUUGAAUCUGGAAAAUGCGGUUCGCCCGAGCAGUGCGUGAUAGCCACUGCGGAACGGGACGAUAUCGAAGAUUAACUCCUCGCUUCGGAAGUUGUCCGGAGAUCCGAAGACCACUUCCAGUGUGAUUGAGCCCGUGCAAUGGGCCUCUACACAUGGGAUGACACCUUUAAAGGUGGUUUUAGUGGGUUUGAUCCUCGAGGGGUCUAUACCCAUUUUGCGCACUGUAUCCUGAUAGAGCAGGUUUAGGCUGCUGCCGCCGUCCAUAAGGACUCGAGUGAGGUGAAAUCCGUCGAUGAUGGGGUCAAGGACCAAUGCGGCAGAUCUGCCAUGACGGAUACUAGUGGGGUGGUCCCUGCGAUCGAAGGUGAUCGGACAAGAGGACCAUGGGUUGAACUUUGGGGCGACUGGCUCCAUUGCAUAGACGUCCCUUAGUGCACGCUUCCGUUCCCUCUUGGGAAUGUGGGUUGCGUAUAUCAUGUUCAUCGUUUUCACUUGUGGGGGGAACCUCUUCUGUCGUCCUGUGUUCGGCGGCCGGGGCUCCUCCUCGUCGUCGCUAUGCAGCCCCUUGUCCCUGUUUUCGGCAUUCAACUUGCCGGCCUGCUUGAACACCCAGCAUUCUCCGUUGGUGUGAUUGGCUGGCUUAUCGGGGGUGCCGUGAAUUUGACACGAGCGAUCGAGUAUGCGGUCCAAACUGGACGGGCCCGGAUUGCUUCUUUUGAACGACUUCUUUCGCUGACCGGAUGUAGAGUUAUAUGGCUCAAGUCAUCAGCAUCCGGUAGUCGCACAUAAGUGCCCUGGAAGUUGUUAAGGAAUGCAUCUUCCAAAUCCUCCCAACUACCAAUGGAGUCUGCUAGCAAGCUAUUCAGCCAAUGCCGAGCUAGUCCUUUGAGUUUUAGUGGGAGGUACUUGAUGGCAUGUAGAUCAUCACCGCGAGCCAUGUGGAUGUGGAGGAGGAAAUCCUCGAUCCAUACCGCGGGAUUUGUUGUACCAUCAUAUGAUUCAAUGUUUACGGGUUUAAAACCCUCUGGGAAUUCGUGAUCCAUUACUUCAUUAGUGAAGCAUAGGGGGUGUGUGGCGCCUCUGUGCCGGGCUAUAUCACGACGCAGUUCAUACGAGUCUUGUCUGCUGUAUUCGGCCCGGCCAGAUUUGCUUUUAGUGUAUCCAGUGUGACGAUCAUCGUCACGCGUUGGGGCGCGACCCCGUGAUCUGUAGAUCGAUCUUGCAUUUUUUGCUUUGUUUUCCAACACGCCUCGCAGGUCCUGCGUGUUGCCCCGGGCCUUGGUAUUUUUGUUUGGAUGGCGGCAGGGUGCGGGGCUGGACUUCGGGCUGAUAUGCCUCUGUCUCGGCCACGAGGUGGCCGAUCAGCCGGAUCAUACGCUGGUGAUGUGGGUUUCAAUGCUUCCUCCUCCAGUUGAGGUAGCAACCUGCGCUUUGGGUAACUCUUGGUUGGGCGCUCGAGUUCAUAUUCCUCGGCUGCCAGGACUUCAGUCCAUCUGUCCGCUAGCAGAUCCUGAUCAGCUCGAAGUUGUUGUUGCUUUUUCUUCAGGCUGUUUGCCGUGGCUAUAAGCCGGCACUUGAAGCACUCCUGCUCGACGGGAUCCUCAGGAACGACAAAUUCUUCGUCGCCGAGGCUCACUUCGUCUUCGGAGAGAGGCAUGUAAUUGUCAUCCUCUGAUUCUCCGUUUGCUGCCUGUUCCGGAGGGCUAGCUUGUUCAUCCUCCCGCUCGAGGUCUGGCUCGAGGGGAUUGUCGUCAUCUUCGGCACUAUCUGGAGUGUUAUUGUCUCUUGUGCCGGUAUCACUGCUUUUGCUAUGGAGGGACUUAGAGUGGCGCCGCUGACAUCGGUGCUUGGAUUGCUUCUUGGAGGGAUUAUCCCCCGUUGCCUUAUCGCCAUCGCCUUCUUUGGGGGUGUCCAUGUAUAUAUCAUACGAUGAGGUGGCAGUCCAGCGCCCUGUGGGCGGUGGUUCUUGUUCGUCUCCUGCAUCGUCGUCCAUACCGUCGAUGUCUUCGGGGCCAAAGUCGAGCAUGUCGGUUAAAUCGUCGACAGUGGCUACUAAGUGGGUGGUGGGUGGGGCGCGAAUUUCUUCGUCGUCCGUAUCCCAUUCUAGCCGGACAUAGUUCGGCUAAGGGUCUCCUGAGAGGGAGAGAGACUUCAACGAGUUUAGUACGUCGCCAAAAGGCGAGUGCUGAAAGAUAUCCGCGGAGGUGAACUCCAUGAUCGAUGCCCAGUCAGAUUUGGUGGGCACGGACGCAUGCGGCUCGGAGUCCGUGGCCGGGGACGAAUCCAAUGGUUCGGCAGCACGGGUCUCGUAGGAGGUGAAGUCAGUAUUCGGCUCUAUCGCUGCUAAGUGUGCGGCCUCCGUGGCGGGGUCCAUCCACCCGUCCUCAGAUGGUGCAAUUUGUUCCGGAUUGAGGGCCGGAGUGGUUGCAGGUGUGAUCUCCCGAACACUGUCCGACGGCAGAGCUAAAUCAUGCUCGUCGUGAUUGUGCGGCGCACCUGACAUGGGCUUGAAUCCGUCAAAGAUCAUGUCUCCGCGGAUGUCAGCAGUAUAAUACAAGUUUCCAAACCUGACCUGAUGGCCAGGGCGUAGCUAUCGAUCUGCUCCAGAUGGCCAAGCGAGUUGGCCCGCAGUACGAAGCUGCCGAAUACGAAGAUCUGUCCGGGGAGGAAAACCUCACCCUGGAUCGCACCGUUGCCGAUGAUCGAAGGAGCCAUCGAGCCUUAUGGUGACGGCACAGUGGAACUCUCAUUGAAAGCACCAAUGUCGGUGUCAAAACCGGCGGAUCUCGGGUAGGGGGUCCCAAACUGUGCGUCUAAGGCGGAUGGUAAUAGGAGGCGGGGGACACGAUGUUUACCUAGGUUCGAGCCCUCUCGAUGGAGGUAAUACCCUACUUCCUGCUUGAUUGAUCUUGAUGAUAUGAGUAUUACAAGAGUUGAUAUACUAUGAGAUCGUAGAGGCUAAACCCUAGAGGCUAGCCUAUGGUAUGAUUGUUGUUAUCCUACGGACUAAACCCUCCGGUUUGAAUAGACACCGGAGGGGGCGAGGGUUACACAUAGUCGGUUACAAGGGAGGAGAUCAACAUAUCCGUAUUGCCAAGCUUGCCUUCCACGCCAAGGAGAGUCCCAUCCGGACACGGGACGAAGUCUUCAAUCUUGUAUCUUCAUAGUCCAACAGUCCGGCCAAAGGAUAUAGUCCGGCUGUCCGAGGACCCCCUAAUCCAGGACUCCCUCAGGUCCCGACCGUCACGCACUUCCUUGCGUGAGAAGAUUUAGCUGGUGGGUCCCAGCAGUCAGGGGAGCGAAUCAUUUUUUUUGCCUGGACGCACUUCCUUGCGGGCGAAGAUGUAGCUAGUGGGUCCUAUAGGUCAGGGGGAAACAUUUUUUUGUGAAAUACGGUAGCCCGUCCGGUGGGUCCCCGCUGUAAGGUGGAGGAAUAAUUGUUUUGCACAUAAUAAGGAGGCACUUCCUUGCUGCGGCCGUGGACCCAGCCGUCAGCCUCUCCACAUACAGUCCAUGUCCGAUGGAAGCCGUUCCUUGACCACGUUGACCACGCCGCGCCGAGAGCACCAGGGCGGUCGACGACAGUGAGGCCUAGGAAGGGGACGACGCGGAGCCGGGGAAGACGCGGCAGUGGAUGCCCACGCGUUGAGGAGUAUGAGGGUUCACUGGUUCGCCGCGGUGUGAGGCUGCCAUCGUCGCAGAAUAACAGGGGGUGUGGGUGAGUAGAGGGAUGGCCUGGCCAGCGGUGGGAGUAGUAGGGGGCGGUAAGGCCUCCGCCGCAUCACAGCCGGCCACGGGAGGCAGGAGCACGAGGCACGACCGGCGCUGGUUUGGGCGGCUGAAGCAAGAAGACCAGAGUUUGAAGAAGCACUACGACCGUUGGAUGGACAUCGUACGGUCAGUGGAGCUAGAAUCGUGCAUAUUGACUAAGUUGAAAAAGCCCUCCGUCCCCGUCAACUUAGUAGGCCCACAAGUCAGCCUGCCACUAUACUGGGUCCUAGCUAGCGGGGGCAGUAUUCAUUUUUUUGUGCGUAAUAAGGAGGCACUUCCUUGCGUGCGAAGAUAUAGCUGGUGGGUCCAAGCUGUCAGCGGCGGUAACGUUUUUUUCGCAAAAUACAGAGGCCCUUUCGGUGGGUCCAAGAUGUCAGGUGGAGGAAUCAUUAUUUUGCGUGUAAUAAGGAGGCAUUUCCUUGCGUGCGGCCGUGGACCCAGUUGUCACCCUCUCCACGCACAGUCCACUUCAGAUGCAUGUCAGUCGUUGACCACGUUGACCAGGCCGCGCCGAGAGCACCAGGGCGGUGGACGACGGCGAGGCCUAGGAAGGGAACGACACGGAGGCAGGAAAGAGUCGGAAGUUGUUUCCCACGCGGAGGGGAGUACGACUGUACGAGGGUUUACUGGUUCGUCUGCCAUCACCGGAAAAUAACAGCAGGUGUGGGUGUGUAGAGGGAUGGCUAGGCCAGCGAUGGGAGUACGGCGGGGCGGUGAGGCCUGCGCGGCAGCACAGCCGGCCGCGGGGAGGAGGGAGCAAGCAGUCCUGUCGGCGGUUGUUUGAGCGGCUAGAGCAGGAAGAUCAGAGAUUUAAGAAGCACGACGGCCGUUGGAUGGAAAUCCAACAGUCACUGCUUGUGCGUCAACCUUUUUUUUAGGAAAGCCUCAAAUCUGUGGAAAACAUCAUACAGCCCAUCUGCCAUUAUUUCUAAUAAUUUACAGCCCAUUUGCUAAUUCUUAAGGUUUUUUGGAGCCCAUAUUCUUUUUGUUAGCAUUACAACCCAUAUUGUGGCCACGGUUAAAAAAUUAUACGAAAUUUUGCAUAUUUCAGCGCGGUCCGAACUGUUUUUAAUCCCGAAAUUUCGAGUCACAUUCAAACUGAUUUUAAAAAUAAAUGUAUAUCAAUAUAAAAUCCAACAAAUAGUCCACGCAUAAAAAUCAAUGCAAUUUAAAAUCUCAAAAUGAAAAAAAGAAAUUUGAAACUAAUUGCUGGUUUGAUGUGUUUUAAAAAUGUACAACCAAUUUCUCAUGACUGAUAGGCCAUUUUCUCGGCCAGCCGAAUGAAGCUCUCCUCGUCUUGAAAGAUUUGCAGCCCAACAGGCCUGACAAAGCGACUUACUUGGCAAAUCACAAAAAAAUAGGCUGUGGCCCUGGACCCAGCUGUGGCCGUGGACCCAUCUGUCAGCCUCUCCACGUACAGUACUCUUCCGAUGGAAGUCGGUCAUUGACCACAUUGACCAUGCCGGGCUGAGAGGACCAAGGCGGUGGACGACGGCGAGGCCUAGGAAGGGGACUUGCUGGGCUGGGUGAAAAUAUAAUGUUGGGCUAGACGGAGAAAUGUUAUAAAAAUAGAAACACAUGAUUGCACGUCUAUUACUGCAUUAGGCUAGACGUGGGACAGUUGAGUUGGUUCUAGGGAAAAGUACUGGGAGAAAACUCAGUUUACAUCAAAAAAGAAAGUGGGAGAAAAUUCAGAUAUAGGAUUAAUGAAAACGAAAAAUAAAGGAAGUGGGAAGGUCUAUAAAAUGGUUGGACGAACGACAGGUUUAACGGAAACUUAUGUUGUUUCUAAUAUAUAUAUAUAUAUAUAUAUAUAUAUGUGUGUGUGUGUGUGUGUGUGUGUGUGUAAUAAAAUAAGAUAUAAAUAUAGGUUCAGUUUUUCAUUCUUAUAGAAAAAUAGAACUGAGCUAUGCGUCGUCUUGAAAAAACAAACAUAACUUGGGCUGCUGAUCUUAUAGACAAGUUAGGUUGGGAGGCCCAGAGGCCGCUUGAUACCUGCUGGAUCCAAAAAAUGUUGAAACAUGUCGUGGGCUGUCCAUGUUAAACAACAAAACCUAGGCCAUUGACCUGGUAGGCCCAGGACUGUCAGCCUCUCGAGGAACAGUUGUCUCCCAAUUCCUCUUGUUUAGCUGACCAUGUUGGGAACGACAGACGGCGGCGCCGCGGCUAGAGCACCAAGGAGGAGGACGAUGUCGAGACCUCGGACCGAACGAACCAGAGCGGGGGAAGACGCAGGCGGAGGGGACUACGAGGGUUGACUUGUUCGGGUGCAGGGUGGGCCGGUGGAGCUGCCGCCGCCGGACAAUGUGUGGUAGUAGAGGGAUGGCCUGACCAACGCCAUAGGCUAUGAUGGCCAGCCGUUGUAUAGGAAGAGGACGAAAGAUUAAACAAAAUAAAGAAAUACAAAUGGAUAGGUGGUUGGUCCCAUAUGUUUGUGUACGAGACCUGCUGGGUCCACCUGAGGAGGGGAAUAUGUUGGAGGAAGGAGAUUCAAAGCACGGCAGCCGAGUGAACUAGUUUUUUUAACGGACAAGUGAACUAGUUACAUAGAUAAGCAAAUAGCCACUAAAAAAAGCAAACAGGUUAAUGGGUUCUUAAAAGAAAUAUUUCGGACAAAACAGAUAAUUACAACACAUAGGCUAAUGCAUGAAACACUCAGAUGAUAAAGGUGCUUAUAAACAGACAAAGUACAACAUCUAGACCUUCCUGGCACGCUUGAUCAUGACGCUGCGGCUGUCCGUGUACUCGUCGGUUACGGGAAGCAGACACGCCCUCAUGUCCAACAUCUGCCUAUACAUGUCGUAGCAUGCGUAUGCGUCCUUGGCCGCGUAGGUUAUGUAGGCUAGAUUCAGAGGUACCUCCCACGUGUUCAGGUCCUGGUAUCAUUGUCUUCUUUCAUGUUGGCGUAUCAGGGGUCGAUGAUGGUCUCGGCAAGGUCAACCAUGGAGUCCUUCUCCUACCCGUUGCUGAUGAUCUUGUAUUGCUUCUGGAUGUCGACAAGCUUGUUGCACCAGAUGGCCGAAUCGUCGUGUUCUUCCUUCUCUCCACCGUAGCGAAGGUGCAGUCGGCGCUGCCGAUGAAACGGGCGAAUGCUCCAGAACCUUUGAUGGCCCUACAGAAGUGGUAGAUGAGAACCUCGUCCCGCACACAUACCUGGGCGACGGCGAUGGAUGGAGAUGAAUGGAUGGGCACAAGGUAUAGUCCUGCAACUUUGUGCUUUCUCGUCCUGUAGGUACUGCUUGAACUCGGCGAGGCAGAGCUUCACCGAGUCCGGAUCAUUGUUGUACAUCAAAUUCAAGUUGGUGCAGCCAUAGGACUGAACGGCGAACUCAAAGGGGAACUCCUUGCUGAAGUCCAUAUCCAGCAGGCUCACCCCUCGGAUCGCCAUUGGAGUCUCUUCAAGUGAACAAGUGUGUAGGCGGCGGCAGGAGUUCGUUUUCAGCUCUUGGGGAACUGGAUUCAACAGUAAACUGAGUGUGUACAGGCGACAACAGUUACUACCCCUCCCUCGUCCGUUGCACGCCCGGCAGAAGAUGCACCCUCGGCGCAUUCAAACCCCUCCAUUAAGAAACCUAUUCCGGCCACACGUCAGUUCACGAGCGGUUCUGUAUUGGUAUUGUAAUAACAGGAGUUAGUGGUCACUUUACAUAAAUUUAAUUAGCUUUAAUAGAAAUUUAUACUUAAAACAAGCAAUGCAUUGGCUCGUUCUAUUAGUGCCACAGGAUCAACAUGCACAACAACUAGAAUUAUUAUUCUCACGACGCACACGAUCAACACAUUUGUCGCACCUUCAUAAAGAUAAUACUACCAACUUUGAACUGUUUGUUAUGGUUGUUGUCCUCUGCAUCAACAUGCCGUGUUUCCUAGCUUGCAAGAUCCAGAACCAACAAAUAAGAUCCAAAUAAUAAGUACAACAAAGAUGCCUACACAUCUCAUUGAUUCCCAGCUUGCAAGAUUCAGAACCAACAAAUAAGAUCCAAAUAAUAAUUACAACAAAGAUUCCUACACAUCUCAUUGAUUCCCAGCUUGCAAGAUUCAGAACCAACAAAUAAGAUUCAAAUAAUAAGUACAACAAAGAUGCCUACACAUCUCAUUGAUUCCCAGCUUGCAAGAUUCAGAACCAACCCAUUAGAGCCUUUUGCUAAAGUGAAUAUCGGGAUUAAAUCCAUCUUGGCUAGCCAUGUCGUACAAUCGAAGAACUUGGCGAAUGCUCUUGACCAUCACAACAUCUGUAGUUGAGUAUUCCUGUUUGCACAGCACAAACAAGAAGAGCAUGAUUUCACUUCAAUAGUGGCCUCCUUGAACUCAACCUGCAGCUCCACUCGGAUGAGGCCUGCCUGGAGUUCCAUGAUUCAAUUCUUGCGCCUUUUCUGUAGUUCACCUGAAAUGAAGCAAAUAUUGCAUCAUUCAGCUAGCAAGAAGUACUUGCUCUCGUGAGCUAGGAAGUUCUUCUUUAGUAGUUGCACUAAAAUUGAUGAACAUUAAGGUUGGCUGUCCGGCUCAUGUAAGGUGCAACUAUAAUUUUCUUAUCCUUUUGUGCAGUUCCACUAAAAUAAAGUGCCAUUGUGGUGACAGUGACGGCUCAUCUUGCAAAGGCUAAUAAAAUGUUGCACGAGAUUACCAGCAGAACUUGACGGAGAUUUUGGAAACUCCAAUCACCAUUUUGUGCAGUUCCACCAAAAUUGAGAGAUGUUGCCCACGUGACAUUUUAGUUGAUCUGCACAAGACACUCAUUCCAAAAAAGAGUGUUUUGUGCAGUUCACCAAAAGGUCACAAUAGCAACAAGGUGAAAUGGAUAUCCCUAUCUGCACAAAAAGAUAGAAAGUAAACAGUUGCUGGUCAAUAAGAAUAUACGAAACAUAUACGAAAUGAAAAGAAGCAUCUUAAUUAUGUUCAUGGCAAUCACGCAAGGACAGUAGAAAUUUUCAAAUGUCAGCAAUGCUUCAUGUUACCAAAAGCAUUACGAUCAACAAUGAGAUUCCUCAAAUAUGGGAUUACUUUUAUGGUGGCAUUGCUUGUUUACCAGAUACAGUAAAUCAACAACAGCUAAAGAGUUGGUUUAAGGGCAUGGGACCAUGGGGACACCAGGACACUCAACAGCGUAAAGGAGCAACUUACUUAUCAUACUGGGGAAAACAGCAGGAGUGCCAUUUGUAACACAGUUUAAUUGCAUCUUAUCACUAGAGGCAUUAGAUUAACAAUAACACUGGUUAGACAUGUCCCUAAGGUAACAGUGUGAUCGCUUCAUUUUACAUGCGCCCUUACAUUAACAACAGCAAAAGGUUGGUAUAAGGACAUGCGACAGUGAACGCAUCAGCACAAUGUACCUACAAGGAGGCAUAAAGUGGUGAUGCCGAGUUUGUUCAUGCUAUGUGAGGGCAUCAAAUCUAAUCCUGGAGACUUUUUACUAUGUGAGGGCAGCAAACCUAAUCCUGGAGACCUUGUACUAUGUGAGGGCAGCAAAUCUAAUCCUGGAGACCUUUUACUAUGUGAGGGCAGCAAAUCUAAUCCUGGAGACCUUUUACUAUGUGAGGGCAGCAAAUCUAAUCAUGACCUUUUACUAUGUGAGGGCAGCAAUUCUAAUCCUGGAGACCUUUUACUAUGUGAGGGCAACAAAUCAAAUCCUGGACAUACUCUGUUGACUUGUCCACCAGUCGCCACUUUCUAUCCUUUUUUUAACCAAUAAUAGAUCUGUUCCUUAUCCAGUUUGUACUGCGUUUUCCCAUUAUUUCCCUUUUCAACCAAGAGACCUGUUGGGUACCGGUCUCUACUACUUUCACCAUAUUAUUUCCUCUUUGAAUCAAGUCCUAGAUUCAUGCUACAACUUUCCCCCUUUCUUCGUUGUUUGAACAAAGCCCUAGAUUAGAAUGCAUGAAGUAGCUUUACCUCUAAUAAUACUAAAAAUUUAGGUGGCUUUGGAAGAGCUGAUGGGAGUAGAAAAAGAUGCACAUGCAGACACGUGGGGAGCUGGGGCAGUAGAGCAAGGCCGCUUUCGAAGAACUUAUACCUGAGGGUCGUCGGGAUGUCGGCGGCGGCAGGUCGGAUCUGCGGACAAUACGGCAGGGAGGAAGAAGGGUAGGAGGACCUCCCGAGCCGGCGCUGUGUCGGAGAGAACGACACGGACAGAGGAUCGGGCCCCUCCGGCAGCUGUGGGUUUCCUCCCUCGCCGGUGAUGACUGCGUGAACGAUGCACCUAGUCCUCUACACACACCAGCCGAAGGGAUCCGGCCGGAUCUGUGACCAGCGGUGAGCAGAGAGAAAAUGUCGCUACCGCUGUCUUGUUUAUAUCUAGAGAGGAUGAGAGAAUGAAGAGAGCAACCCUAGUAAAGCAAAUGCUCAGGCCCAUGCGUACAUAUAUAGUGGAGUGAUUAUCUUUUUCUCUCCACAACAAGCGUUUCAAUUUGUGUACGUGGCAUUAAAGAAAAGAAACUCUCUAUUUAAGGUGACUACAUGUACGACUCCUACUUACUACUACUAGUAGUAGUAUUGUUCACUUGUGCUCCCCGGCCCUCCAUUCAUUGAACAACCCCACGGGUGAAUAAACAUACAGUACUAGUAUUUAUAUAGAACGAACAAGCUCGAACUAUUUUCACGUAGUUAAAAGUUGAGGGCGGGGCUUUUCCCGGGCAGUAGGCGCGGCAGUUUUUGCGUAGGCAGUUUGACAGAGAGGCGAGGAGAGUGAGGGAGUAGCGGAUUCAACUUACUUACUGCUGGAAAGGUCGGGCUGUGUGAUUUGACGGCGCGUUACUGUUUGGAUCCAUGUGUUAGAGUUAGUUUGGUUUAGUUUGAACUCAACUAACCCAAAAAUAUCCAAACAGGAGGGUUAGUUUGGGUUACUGUUUGGAUCCAUGUGGUAGAGUUAGUUUGGGUUAGUUUGAACGCAACUAACCCAAAAAAAAUCUAACCCACCCAAGAGGUGCUUAUUUGGGUUAGUUCUUCUUGGGACACUAAAAAACACAUUUUUCUCUCGCUCUCCCCGCAGCAGAUCCCUCCCCAUUUCCUCGAAGCUUCUCGUCCUCUCCCUCUAGCACCGCCCAUGAAGGCACCUCGCCGUAUCCGCGCUCCAUCUAACCCUGUCAUCCAGACACCUCUUUCGCUAGAGUUACUUCAGGGUUAGUUCAAGAUUAGAAUCUAACUCUAACUUUAACUGAGUUAGAGUAUCCAAACAGGGCCAGGCGGUACGACCGGGGUGAUGCCCCCCUUCCGUUCCGCACUCUAAUCUGGUGCAUGACACGUAUUACGUCGUCCCGGAUGCUGCUGGCUGUCCCACAUGUCGGCGAAGUAGUACGUAGUAGUAAGAAGAAGCAAAGCAUCAUGCGGUAUAAGUCUUUCUCACUAGAACAAAAACCUCCCUAUACCAACGGAUGUGUACCAACGAUUUUAAAAGAUGUGUUUUUUGUCCCACCUCCCACAUGGCCACAUCCCACCUCCCGCACCUCGAGCUAACCGGUACCUCCAUAGAUGCCUCCUCCAUCCAAAUAUCACGCAACAAAACAUUUUUAUCCGCCAUCUGUCUCCCAAGAUUCCUCUCUCUCUCUCUCUCUCUCUCUCUCUCUCUCUCUCUCCCGACUUCCAUGACCAGCGGCCNNNNNNNNNNNNNNNNNNNNNNNNNNNNNNNNNNNNNNNNNNNNNNNNNNNNNNNNNNNNNNNNNNNNNNNNNNNNNNNNNNNNNNNNNNNNNNNNNNNNNNNNNNNNNNNNNNNNNNNNNNNNNNNNNNNNNNNNNNNNNNNNNNNNNNNNNNNNNNNNNNNNNNNNNNNNNNNNNNNNNNNNNNNNNNNNNNNNNNNNNNNNNNNNNNNNNNNNNNNNNNNNNNNNNNNNNNNNNNNNNNNNNNNNNNNNNNNNNNNNNNNNNNNNNNNNNNNNNNNNNNNNNNNNNNNNNNNNNNNNNNNNNNNNNNNNNNNNNNNNNNNNNCAAACCUCCCAGUACUCUCCUCAUAUAUUCCGCCGUGGCGACGCCCUCUGCGUCCCUGCACGCGUCUCUAUGGCAACCGUAGUCGCCACGCGUUGCCGGCGCCCGGCACAGCUCCCACGCCUCUAGUUUGGAGGGCCACCACCCAGCGUCUCAGCAUGCGCUGCUGCCGGCUUGGGCAUGACGGUGCUGCUCCGCCUCGGCUACCUUGUGUCGACGGUCAAUCAGGAUUGCAGGUUGGAUCUGAAACAAUUUGCGGUGUAGGGUGCUGCUCCCUUCUCUCGGUGCUGGCUGGCAGUGGAGACAGGUUCGAGGUAGGAGGAGCUCGGGCUGGAGCCCCGUCCGUAUUCCUCAAUUACCAAUGGGAUCCCGCCUGUGUUGGUGGUUCUUGCGGCUCGCAAAGCCUUCGGCGGCGAUGUGGCUCCUUUUGUAUUUAUUUUGGUGCCCGUCCUGGUCCUGUUCCAAUUCCUGGCUCGCGUGCAUGUGCCCGUGAUGUGUGCGCGUGCUGAUGGAUAUUACAACCCUUCGUGACGCUGAUUGUUUGCUACCACCGUUGUCUGCUAUUGCUUUUGUCGCUGACUGCUAUUGCUACUUCUGCUCAUUUUUCUGCUAUUUAGUACUAAUACAGUAGAUAGAAGAUGAUCUGCAUUCCCAAAGAAAAUAAAUAGAAGAUAAUCUGUAUGUUUGAAAAUUGUGAACUGAGCCAACUACUUGUUAUCUCUUCUCUAAACUUUCUCUUGAUCAGAUUCUCUUUUGUGCUGCAAAAAUUACUCAAUACACAUAUAAUUAAUGUGUUCACUAAAACUCAUGGAAAAAUCCAGCUCCUUAUUGAUUCCAUGGUCCCUUUUCCUUACAAUUGUUUCCUUUAUGUGUCUCGCUUCCAAUUGCAGAGAAAAUAUUUUUCAGAAAAGGAAAGUAGGAUUUCAACGCUAUGCGCCCGUGCUCCACACCUGAGGUACGCCAUCGUCCCGUAUAACAUGAGUACUAGAAUUUAUAUGAUCAUAUCAUGAAUAUCCUUGAAGUGGCACACUCCCUUGCUGAUGUAACUCCGAGCGUGGACUUUUGCUAUUGUAUUAUUGUUUGACAAUCUUGUAUGGAUUUCUGGUAGGUACUAACUAUGUGAUUUGUACUAUGUUUUUAGUUUGAUCCAACUGGAAUUCGUGGUGUUCAAGAAUGAUGCCUCAUCGUGUAAACAGGUUCAAUUUAAGUGGGAGCCAUGAAUAAGUUUGAAAAAGUAGGGUUGUAGACUUGUAGUCGAUAUAGAGACAAGAGCUGACCAAUGUGGAGCAGACUGACAAUAUUAAUGGAGAUGCCCAGUCUCGCAUGCUUUAUUCUUAGUUUAUGCAAUAACCGUGAUGUUUACAAGAAACUGUCCUACAUUACAGGUCAGGUUUCAAACUGUUGACAAUAGACGCGUAAAUAGAUAAGAUUAUGUUGAAAUCUUUAUUUUUUUGGCGGAUUGUGCAAGGAAUUAACUUGCUUUAAUGUCGUGCAGCUUCAGGGGCAGAUGGAUAUGUAUGGCUUACUACCUCAUCGCAGAAUGUGGGGCAACCCAGUCGCUUCCUUGAAUACCGUCCCCUGGUUCAGGCCACUAAGGUGUCCGUUUCCACAUCUUCUCAUGUUGUAGCACUCUUAUUUAUUCCAUAUCUUCAAUUUUUACACUAACUGGUCCAACGAGUCUUUUUUAGUUAAGUGUGCCCAUAUAUGUCUAUAUUUUCCGGUCUUCACUUUUGUCCAGUCCCAUAUUUUAUAGAUUUAUAUUGGUAUUUAGUUAUUAAAUGACAUGACAAAUGAUACUCCCUCCGUUCCGGAAUACUUGUCGUGGUUUUUUUAGUUCAAAAAUUUGAACUUAAACCACGACAAGUAUUUUGGUACGGAGGGAGUACAUGAUUAGGGAGCUGAGUAGUGACCAAAGAUGAAAUUCAAUUGAUUAUAUGAUAUGCCACAUUGGCAGUAAAGGCGCAUGGGUAGUGUUUCUUAAAACUGGGUAUGUAUUGACAAAUAAUUGUUCAUUUAGCUGAAUUCUUCUCAUCGUUGAUAUAAUAUAAGCUUUGGAUAACUGUUAGUAGUGAAUGCAUGUUGAUGCUUGUUCACAUUGUGCAGGCACAUCCGAUUGGUCAAACAUGAUCGGUGUUCUAAUAUGUACGCCUAUUAAGUUAUUUAUCAGUUAUACAUAGCUUAUGCCCCCCACCCCCCAAUGAUCUUUUCUUGCACACUUGGUAAUUUUGAAUUUAUGCCUAAUAGCAUUAUGAUUUUUCUUUGUAGGUUGAGAGUUUCAAUACUAGAUUAUUACUUGGAUCCUUUGAAGAAUAUAUGCUGAUUCUUGGUACUUGGAGGAGAAAGAAGACAGUUAUAUCACUGUUUAGAAAUAUGUAUUCUAUUUUUUCUAAGUGAUGUACUCCUAAUUGAUGAUACUUGCAAUGUAAUGUAACAGAUUGUUCCAUUAAAUCAAUAUAUCAGUUUCAUUUCUACUCCAUCGAUUUUUAAUAAAGUUAUACUACCUCUGUUCUAAAUGUAGGAUGUUUUGGCAGUUUAAACUGCCAAAACGUCUUAUAUUUAAGAAUAGAGGGUGUCUUAUAUUUAAGAACAGAGGGUGUAUCAGGAAGGGUGUACCUUGUACUGCCAUUGGAACUACAUGCAUAUAUAAAUGGAAUAUAUAUGCUGGUUAUUCUAUUUCUCAAGCACGAACGCAUAGAAACGUUGUAUGAAUCUGUUGUUGCCUUGCAAGGCAUUAUUUUGCUGGUUACCAACUGAUCUAUAUAUGUUGUUGAAGAUGUUAGCAACGCCACCAACACAACACAUAUGAAUCCGUUGGUGUAGACCUUACCAACGCUUAUAUGGACAAACGACAACGCAUUGAUGCGUUGCUAAAGGGGGGUUCUUGUUGUAGUGUCUAGAGAUUCCAACAAGUGACUAGACUACACCGCGUGUAGUAUCUCAAAUCUCAAAUCUCCCUUCCGGUUUAUAGGGCUCAAAUCUCAAAUCUCAUCAACCAAGGCAUUUGGCGAUUGGAGGAAUGUAUCUUGUACUUUACAAAACUACCCUAAUUAAACUCAUGCAUUAAUUACGUAGUUCUCUCGUUUUCCUCUCCGCCUUGGUCGCAGUGCACAAUAUUGACCACUCCUACUGUAUAUGACUAGCCGCUCUAUCUACAUGCGGGACAUCAAAGCAUCCGGGUCCGCGUGCCAUCCACCAAAUCACAGCGAGGUGCUACAGUCGAAACUCACCGGUCACCCCGGUGUGGCCGUCAUGACCCGUCAUAUCACAAAACCCACACCUUUACUAGUAGUGGUAAAGUGGCCUCGAAGUUGGACUGGACGAAGCAACCAUCAUUUCACUGGAACGCUCGUUGAAGCCCUUUCUCCCCUUUCUUGAAGAAAACCUCACUCCAGGCUACUCACUUCUGCCGUUUUUCUUCUGUACCGACGAAGGAAAGGUGGGCGAAUCAGUGAUGCUGCUAUAUUUUCAUUCCAAGAAUCUUCUUUUUGCGAAGCACCGACCGAUUCUCACAGCCUAUUCUUUUCCCGUUUUCAUUGCGAUUGUGGUUUCCUUUCGAUUGCUGUUUGUUUGUCAGUUCAUUGAUGGAUCCUGGAGCACUAGGCAAAGAGUUGCCGGCGGAUAACCCACUGGAGACAGCGAUCUCCAGGAAGCGAGCACCGACCAAGGAGUUGACCAUGUUGGCGGGCCAACCCAUGGAGACGAAGAACUCCAAGAAACAAGCACUGGCCAAAGAGUUGACGACGUUGGCGGAGGAACUCCUCAAAGAAAGUUGGAAGAACAGCAAGGGCCCCACCAUGCCUACCCCAGAAACUCUGAUGGCCACCUAUCCAAGUCUCAAGGCCGAGUUUGAGGAGAUAGUCGCCGUUGAGAAGCAGUAUUCCCCUGGCAAGGUGAUGGCCCCCAUCGAGGACGUGGAGAUGGCCCCCGGAGGGAUGGGAUCGCCCGGUGAGCUGCACAAGGUAAAAAAUAAUGGCUUAUUACCGAAAGUUGUGGUUUUUGAUUAUUUGCAAUGUGCUUGCUAAUAUGUUAGGGUUGUGUAGGUGCCGGUGGACGUCCUUGAUGAUUCCGAUGUCGCGGCCCAUCCUGUGGACAACGCCCCAGAGAUCGUUUUUGAUGUCGCGGUCCGUCCUGUUGGCAUCGCCCCAGAGAUUGAUUCCGAUGCCGAUGUCCAUCCUAUGGACAUCGCCCAGAGAUCGAUUCCGAUGUCGCGGUCAGUACUGUGGACAUCGCCCCAGAGAUCGAUUCCCAUGCCACUGUCCGUGCUGUGGUCAUUGCCCGAGAGAUCGAUGACAAGAAAUAGUUGGUCGCGCUAAUCCUUCAGGGUAGUUUGCAUUGCCCUGUGUUUAAUUACCAGAACGAUGCGUGUUAUCAAACCAUCUUAGGGCUAGUGCACUGUCUUGUGUGGGCAGUACUUGCUACUUUUGUUUGAUAGUGAAUCAUGCGAACCCUCUCCGAGUUAUGGAAACAGAUGUAUCCUCACCAUCUUUUGAUGUAAUAUAUGGCAUGCUUAGAUGUAAGUUUGAACUGUUUAUCAUAUCAGCAGGGCUUAUUUGAUGAUUCUUGGUGUUAGUAGGCUAGCUACUGUGCGAGCUAUAGUACUUGCAAAACACUCACUGAAGAGAAAUGUUGGGGCUGAUGAGCUCGUGGUACGCUUAUACUGAUCCGUCGUCGAUCGGCCAAUAGCCCAAGCUCCUAAAAUUGUAGGCUUAGCGAUCGAUCAGACAAUAGUCGACACGGAUAGAUUCAGGCCUCAUUUGGUUCAUAGGGUAGGAAAAUCAUAGCAAAAGUACAGAGACGUACAACACAAAAUCAUAGUAGUAUAGAGACGUCCCUCCGUUCCAAAAUAGAUGAGUCAACUUUGUACUACUAGCUUUGAAACGGAGGGAGUACAAAUCCUAGGCGGGCUAGUUUGGCCUAGUGGGUUUAGUGAUAUGACGUGGUACAGUGCCGUCCAGUCUUCGCGUGUGGUAGCAGUACUGCGGGUAGAGUAAGUUUUCAUGAAGAAGCGGAAUUCAACGAAGUCAUGAUGGUUCCUUCGUCCGACUAACUUUGUGCAUGGCAGGUGGACGAGGAUAAUUUUGUGCAUGGAAGGGGGACCAGGAUGGUCGACGUCCCACAUAUCGGCGAAUGAAAGUAUUCUUUCCGAUAUAGUGGACGAGCAACGAGUACUCAUUGUUUAUUUUUGAUGAAACCUAUUGUCUCCACUGUUACGACGGAGGAGUGUGAAACACGGUAGCCCAGUGAACUUGGCAUGUGCACCACUCCCUCCUUCCGCAUGUAAUACUACCAUAGUGUUGACUAUAAGGUUACAACUUUUUCUCACUCUCUCUCUCUGUCUAUUUCCUCUCAAAUGUUUUUUACCUUUCUUUUUUAGACACAAUUGUUUUUAUGCCUCUUUUUUUAGAAUUAGUUUUUUAUACCUAGGAGCACGUGUAGAGACGGGCUCCUGCAGAUCCCACUCCUUGACUUUGUCAAUGCCUCUCUCUCCUCCACAUAAGCGGGCUUGUCGAGAAGACAAGAGAUGAUCUCUUAGCACAAUAUUUUCACCAUGUUUUUAGGAAUAACUAGUUAUUGAAGAUAAGGCUAAGAGAUGAUCCAUUGUACACAUGUUUUUUUGUCAUCUCUAAAUUACAUGCAAGACUUAUGAUAAGACUAUCUUAUCAACCAUUGUACAUGCCCUUUAUAGCCCAGAAUUUUACUGGUUCUACUUGCUAUGAAUGCGGGCAGCUGGCCUCUGAGGGGGGAGCGCGCGUGGGGAGGUGGUGGGGUGGGGGAGGGGUUCUGGUGGGCCAGGGCAGUAAGAAGCGGGCUUCGAAGCGGUGCGGACUCCCGCAUGGCCCACCUCACAAUAUCACCACAUAUUUCUUGGAGUCUGUGCAUGGCGGGCGGGCGAUCUCUUCUCCCUCCCCCGUCUCUCUCCUCUCAGCCGACGCCCGCCGAGCGAUUAGAUUUCGGCUAUCGACGGUUUAUUCAAUUGCAGUCCCACAUGUCAAUGAAAAUGCAAGACAACGCGUGUCCCCUCUAGUGAGCGGCGUGCGAGCCGGACUGUCGGGGGUGCGACGUGAACGCGAUGCGUACGAGUUGUAAGUGUGCCACCUUUUCCUUUUGAACUUGCAAAGCGUAACAUUUUCGUGCGAUCGAUUGAUAGAAAUCCAGAACAAAAUGACGAGGGCGGUGCUUUCCCGCACGUUAGGCGGGCUAGUUUGAGUGAUAUGACGUGCUACAGUGCCGUCCACUUGCUCCAUUUUUAUAUAAGCAAGAGUCUACACUCUUACGUGGGAGGAGUGCGAAACACGGCGGAUCUGAUUUUGAUCGAGGGAUAACUAUUCCCUGCGAAAUAAUGGAGCACUGUUAGCGAUUAUAGCAUGAUAGUUAGGGCAUCUCCAUCGCUCACUACUAGGAAAAGGCUAAUUAGUGGCGCACCUGUUUUGGCCAUUAAUGGCGCACUAUAGGUGCGCCACUAUUACCACGCCACUAGUAACAAAUACUAAUGGCGCACCUCUGGUGCGCCAUUAGUAUUCCAGGUAACAGUGGCGCACCUUGUAGUGCGCCAUUACUAUUGCUACUGGUGCGCCACUGGUAACUUUUUUUUGAAUUUUUUUGAUAUUUUUGUGAAUUUUGAAGGCGGGAAAAUAGUAGUGGAGCACCGUCUAACCCCCACCGUGCGCUAUUGCUAUUUUUGAGUUUUGAAUUUGGAUCUGGAUCGCGAUUUUUUUGCCCUUUUUCUGCUCAUUUUUUUGCUCGUUUUUUUGCACGAUAUUUUUUCAAAUUUUGUUCUCGUUUUUGGAUCUUGUACGUUCUUUUGCCAGAGAGGAGUUCGUCGGAGAGGAGGGCCGAGGUCACCGGAGAGGAGGAGGAGGAGGAGGUCACCGGAGAGGAGGUCGCCUACAUCGCCGGAGAGGAGGAGGAGGUCGCCGGAGAGGAGUUCACCGGAGAGGAGGGAGGAGAAACCGUGAGGNNNNNNNNNNNNNNNNNNNNNNNNNNNNNNNNNNNNNNNNNNNNNNNNNNNNNNNNNNNNNNNNNNNNNNNNNNNNNNNNNNNNNNNNNNNNNNNNNNNNNNNNNNNNNNNNNNNNNNNNNNNNNNNAGGGGAGGAGAGGAGGGAGGAGGAGGUCGCCGGAGAGGAGGAGGAGGAGGUCGCCGGAGAGGAGGAGGGGGGUAUGGUGGAGGAGAGGAGGGGAGAUGGAGUGGAGGAGAGGAGGAGAUGGAGUGGAGGAGAGGUGGAGUGGAGGAGAACAAUGAAGAGGUAAGGAGGAGAGGACCCCGCCCAGCCAUAUAUACGGCAUAGUAAUGGCGCACCGUGGGAAGGUGCGCCAUUACUAACUUUUUUUGAUUUAUUUUGAAUUUUGAAGGCGGGAAGAUAGUAAUGGCGCACCUUUGGCAGGUGCGCCAUUACUAAUUUAUUUUUAUUUUUUUAUAUAGUUUGAAUUUUGAAGGCGGGAAGAUAGUAAUGGCGCACCAUGGGUAGGUGCGCCAUUACUUAGUUUGAUUUUUUUGAAUUUUUUUGACUCUCCAGAUCUUGAAAGCCCCUUAACUUUUUUUCUGUUAGGUUUUUGGGGAUUUUGAAAAUGUUCAACGGGGUUUCCCCAGUUGAAUUCGGAUGUAACUUUUCGAGUAGAUGAUUUUUCAUAUAAAAAACUUUUUCAUCGGAGUUCGUAUGCAAAAGUUAUGCCCAUUUUACAAAUUUUCGAGAGAUUUUGCAAAAAAGUUGAAAAUUCAUGUUUGUAAAUUUUGCUAACAACUAGACCACAUAUCACAUGGGAAUCUUAUUUUCUUUUAUUUUUUUGACAUUUAUAUCAUUUUCAUUUUUUUUGAAACUGAAAAGGCGGUCCAGGGGGUGCAUUUGAUGAUGUGUAAAUGUUAGUAGCGGCGCACCAGGGAACAGUGCGCCAUUACUACUUAAAACUAGUAAUGGCGCACUAUCCCACUACUGGAAUCAGCUAAUUUGCCAUCUGCCAGCUCUUUGCCAUCUGCUAGCUGACGGCAAAGAAGCUCUUUGCCAUCAGCUACCCAAAAGCAGACGGCAAAGAAAGGGCAGACGGCAAAGAAGCUCUUUGCCAUCUGCCAGCUCUUUGCCGUCGGCCAGCGGACGGCAAAGAAUCUUUGCCGUCCGCUGGCGGACGGCAAAGAGUGAGGUGGCCCCCACCCCCCGCCCGUUUUUGAAAAACUUAACGGGCCACCUCUUUGUCGUCCGCUAGCAGACGGCAAAGAGGCAAAAAAGCGGACGACAAAGGGGGGCGGACGGCAAAGAGCCUACUACCUAACGGCCCGUACCCCCCGCCCGUUACUCACUUCUUCCCACUCCCNNNNNNNNNNNNNNNNNNNNNNNNNNNNNNNNNNNNNNNNNNNNNNNNNNNNNNNNNNNNNNNNNNNNNNNNNNNNNNNNNNNNNNNNNNNNNNNNNNNNNNNNNNNNNNNNNNNNNNNNNNNNNNNNNNNNNNNNNNNNNNNNNNNNNNNNNNNNNNNNNNNNNNNNNNNNNNNNNNNNNNNNNNNNNNNNNNNNNNNNNNNNNNNNNNNNNNNNNNNNNNNNNNNNNNNNNNNNNNNNNNNNNNNNNNNNNNNNNNNNNNNNNNNNNNNNNNNNNNNNNNNNNNNNNNNNNNNNNNNNNNNNNNNNNNNNNNNNNNNNNNNNNNNNNNNNNNNNNNNNNNNNNNNNNNNNNNNNNNNNNNNNNNNNNNNNNNNNNNNNNNNNNNNNNNNNNNNNNNNNNNNNNNNNNNNNNNNNNNNNNNNNNNNNNNNNNNNNNNNNNNNNNNNNNNNNNNNNNNNNNNNNNNNNNNNNNNNNNNNNNNNNNNNNNNNNNNNNNNNNNNNNNNNNNNNNNNNNNNNNNNNNNNNNNNNNNNNNNNNNNNNNNNNNNNNNNNNNNNNNNNNNNNNNNNNNNNNNNNNNNNNNNNNNNNNNNNNNNNNNNNNNNNNNNNNNNNNNNNNNNNNNNNNNNNNNNNNNNNNNNNNNNNNNNNNNNNNNNNNNNNNNNNNNNNNNNNNNNNNNNNNNNNNNNNNNNNNNNNNNNNNNNNNNNNNNNNNNNNNNNNNNNNNNNNNNNNNNNNNNNNNNNNNNNNNNNNNNNNNNNNNNNNNNNNNNNNNNNNNNNNNNNNNNNNNNNNNNNNNNNNNNNNNNNNNNNNNNNNNNNNNNNNNNNNNNNNNNNNNNNNNNNNNNNNNNNNNNNNNNNNNNNNNNNNNNNNNNNNNNNNNNNNNNNNNNNNNNNNNNNNNNNNNNNNNNNNNNNNNNNNNNNNNNNNNNNNNNNNNNNNNNNNNNNNNNNNNNNNNNNNNNNNNNNNNNNNNNNNNNNNNNNNNNNNNNNNNNNNNNNNNNNNNNNNNNNNNNNNNNNNNNNNNNNNNNNNNNNNNNNNNNNNNNNNNNNNNNNNNNNNNNNNNNNNNNNNNNNNNNNNNNNNNNNNNNNNNNNNNNNNNNNNNNNNNNNNNNNNNNNNNNNNNNNNNNNNNNNNNNNNNNNNNNNNNNNNNNNNNNNNNNNNNNNNNNNNNNNNNNNNNNNNNNNNNNNNNNNNNNNNNNNNNNNNNNNNNNNNNNNNNNNNNNNNNNNNNNNNNNNNNNNNNNNNNNNNNNNNNNNNNNNNNNNNNNNNNNNNNNNNNNNNNNNNNNNNNNNNNNNNNNNNNNNNNNNNNNNNNNNNNNNNNNNNNNNNNNNNNNNNNNNNNNNNNNNNNNNNNNNNNNNNNNNNNNNNNNNNNNNNNNNNNNNNNNNNNNNNNNNNNNNNNNNNNNNNNNNNNNNNNNNNNNNNNNNNNNNNNNNNNNNNNNNNNNNNNNNNNNNNNNNNNNNNNNNNNNNNNNNNNNNNNNNNNNNNNNNNNNNNNNNNNNNNNNNNNNNNNNNNNNNNNNNNNNNNNNNNNNNNNNNNNNNNNNNNNNNNNNNNNNNNNNNNNNNNNNNNNNNNNNNNNNNNNNNNNNNNNNNNNNNNNNNNNNNNNNNNNNNNNNNNNNNNNNNNNNNNNNNNNNNNNNNNNNNNNNNNNNNNNNNNNNNNNNNNNNNNNNNNNNNNNNNNNNNNNNNNNNNNNNNNNNNNNNNNNNNNNNNNNNNNNNNNNNNNNNNNNNNNNNNNNNNNNNNNNNNNNNNNNNNNNNNNNNNNNNNNNNNNNNNNNNNNNNNNNNNNNNNNNNNNNNNNNNNNNNNNNNNNNNNNNNNNNNNNNNNNNNNNNNNNNNNNNNNNNNNNNNNNNNNNNNNNNNNNNNNNNNNNNNNNNNNNNNNNNNNNNNNNNNNNNNNNNNNNNNNNNNNNNNNNNNNNNNNNNNNNNNNNNNNNNNNNNNNNNNNNNNNNNNNNNNNNNNNNNNNNNNNNNNNNNNNNNNNNNNNNNNNNNNNNNNNNNNNNNNNNNNNNNNNNNNNNNNNNNNNNNNNNCCCGAAAAGGUGUUCUUUGGCCUUCCAGAAGCCGACGGGGUCAUAUAUUUGUGAAUUAUUAGUUAGGUCAUAUAUCUUUCGAUUUUGUUAUGAAAAACAUCAUAUAUAAUUGUGUUGAUCGGGUAGUUUUAAAUGUGCAGUUGUUUCAUCGCUGCGAGGUUUGGUGUUCGACGACCUCGCCGUGCGUUUGACGAGCUCUGCCCCUUCGUUCGUGGGUGAGCACAAAUGACAUGUCCUCCUCCCCCAUUAAUUAUUUGAUCUAUUCCGAUGAAACUUGAUAGCUAGCUACAUAUGUGUCUUGAAUCAUCAGUAUGCGUAACCAAUAUGUGUCUCCCGUUCGAAAGCGUCAUAGUUAUAAAUAUGCAUGCAUUUGCAUAUUUAUAACCUUGAUUCUUUCGAAUUGUCCAACGCUAUCCAUGGACAGCCCGAGUAUGUUUAGAUUGGGUUCGUUUUCCCAUAUGCUUUGCUCCGGAUCCGACGCAUAAAUUUUUUCAGUGCCUCCCCUGUUGUUCUCCGGGUACACAUCCUCUCUGUUUAUUGCAGAGACGUGUAUCAGGAGAACAGCGGGGAGGUGCUGCCGAAAUUUUGCGUAGGAUCCGGAGCAUAGCAUGGGAAAAUGAACCCAAUCUAAACAUACUCGGGUGGGAUUAGGACCUAUCAUUACCUAUUAGAGUGUAGGUUGCAUGGACGUAAUAAAAUUGACAAAGUAGAUCAACUGAUGAAUACAUACAUGGUGAAUUAUAUAUAUAUAUAUUUGUUGUGUGUCUAGUAGCUCUGAAAGUCAAGAUGAGUGAUCGUGCGUGGAUGUACACCGGUCACACUGGUCAGAACAAAUGGAGCACUGAAUGGUUCACAAAAACCAAGGGGUUUGUGCGAGCCACAUUUGCAAAUGGCCAGAGGAAAACCUGGUGCCCCUGUUUACGGUGCGGCAAUUGGGAAAAGAGGACAGAGGCUGAAAUGGGCAAACACCUGCAGAAGAGUGGUUUUACGCCCGAUUAUACGGUGUGGACAUUUCAUGGUGAGUCUGCCCAACGUGACCGAGCUGAGGUGGAUCGUCGUCGCACCGACGAGCAUGGUACCGGGAUGGAAAACAUGGUGCAAGACUUUGAUGAUGCUCGGGAUUCGGACAAGGAGAUGGAGGAAUCUGCAAAGGCCUUCAAUGAAAUGUUGGAGUCUUCAAAACGUCCGCUCCAUGAGCACACUGAGCUUUGUCAGUUGGAUGCCAUCUCACAAGUAAUGGCUCUGAAGGCUCAGUUCAACUUGGGCAGAGAAUGCUACGAUGCAAUGAUGACAGUAUUUGGACGCUUUCUACCCAAAGGCCAUCUAAUGCCUGCAAACCUAUACCAGUCGGACAAAAUCCUCCGUGCACUGAAGAUGCCCUAUGAUAAGAUACAUGCCUGUGACAAAGGAUGUGUCUUGUUUAGGCUUGACUAUGCGGACUUGAACUAUUGUCCCAUUCGCAAGUCUUCCAGGUAUGUUGUGGUAGACAACGGUAUGGGUGAGAAGACACAGACCAAAAUCCCCGUUAGUGUUCUUCGGUAUAUGCCAAUCGUACCAAGACUUCAACGUCUUUUCAUGGUCGAAGAGACGGCCAGACAGAUGACAUGGCACAAAACGGGCAAAAGAACCGGACUAGUGACGUGUAGAUGACAUCAUAAGGCGGACGGCAAAGACCAGAGAAAUUUUGCCGUCUGCGGCGGACGGCAAAGGUCUGCCGUUAGCCACUUAACGGACUGACAGCGCAAUUAUUGCCGUCCGCCCUCUUUGCCGUCCGCCGCCAGGAAGCAGACGGCAAAGCAGCUGUUUACCGUAGCCUUCUUUGCCGGAGCCUUUUGCCGUCCGCGGCUGACGGCAAAGGUCUUUGCCGUCCGCCUUUCGAGCCUUUGCCGUCCGCCAUGGCAGACGGCAAAGUAGCUGUUUCCUGUAGUGUCCCCUGGUGCGCCAUUACUAGUUUUGAAAAAAAAGUAAACAAAAUUGUUAGUAGUGGCGCACAGUGUGUGGCGCCAUUACUAGUUUUGGAAAAAAAAUUGUUAGUAAUGGCGCACCGUGUGUGUGGUGCGCCAUUAGUAAUGAGGACACCAAUGGCGCACCUUUAUCUGGUGCGCCACUGCUAUAUAGCAGUGGCGCACCACAUACAUGGUGCGCCAUUAAUGUCCAUAUUAGCUAUAGCCCUUUUCCUAGUAGUGGCUGGCCCUCAAAUUUAUACCGGCAUCUGUCCGAGGACACUGAUGGAUGCCAUCCAAUGCUGCCCGCAUACCUUUCGACAACUAUAUGAACUAACUGGACGAAAUUCGUGCAAACAAAGCAAAUUUCAAAUUGACUGGAUGAAAUUCAUUACAUUUCGAGAACUUUCCCUAUAAACUGGACAAAAUUCAUUACAUAUUUCGCACAAACCGUACUAAAACCUACUGUAAACCUAAUCUAAAUGAUCGCUGGGCCCCAACCAUCAUGUCCGGCCAUGAACCCGAGAAAGCCGGCCAUUGCCUUUGCCUCCUCCUUAUCCGCCUCGAUAACCUUCUCCUCCGGAGCACAAUGUUAUGAAGAUUUCCGCCUCCACGUCGCCGUCAAGAGGCUAAUCAGCCGCCGAUUUUUAUCCCAACAAGCUUGGCGUCGACUGAGUGGAGGAGCGGUGGCCUUCCCGGGACCAGAGCGUUGGCGACCUACCAUGUACUACUCUUCCUCGCUGCCGGCAGCGCCCGCGCACGCGCGCCGGCUUCGUUGUCGUCGCGGCGGAGGGUGACCGGGGGGAGCCGGCGAUCUCCUUCAUCUGCUCCAGCGAGAGUACGUCCAAGAGAGCUUUGGAGUGCACCCGGAGCGGAGCCACCGAUGUCCUUCGUCUGCUCCUGCGACAGUAUGUCCAAGAGAGCUUUGGAGUGCCCAGAGGCCAUGGUUGGAGUGGUGCCAACAGAAGGAAGGGACCGGAGGAGAAUGAGUGUGGGUCUUUGGCUAUGGCUGGGAUCUGGGGCUCAAGUUAAUAUAGUGGGAGAAUGGCAAUGAGCCGCGGCCGACGGAUGGACGGCUGGCACCGGAGUAGGUUCGUCGGCAGCCGUGGUGUCAUUAACGCGGAGCAGUCGCUUGCACCGGGAUGCCGCGCGGGUGGCGCUCUCUCGGCCGUCGCGCUGCUGCAAUGCCGACGCCAGUGAGAGGUCGCGUCGGGCGUGAAUGCGGAUGCUGCUUCAGUGACUUAACCGCAGGUGCGUUGUCCCACUGACAUGUGGGCCCAACGGGCAUCAGGCCCGCAUGUCAGUGACACACCAACUGCACCUGCAGUUAAGGCCGGUGAAUGCGGCAUUGACGUUCUGGAGAGACGGUGAUCGUUUCAGGCGGGAAGCACGCGCUAGCGAUGGAAGGGGUAUCGGUAGGCCAGGGCGGUCAGACGCUGGCGUGGUGGUAAAAUGUGAACUCAUGGAUGACGAGCCUUUGAAGCGUAUGCGGCACGUAUUGACAACCAGGUGUCCAUGCAACUGCUCUUGUCGCCAGCUAGCACUCGACGACCACCAUUAGACACCACACAACCAUACAUAACUUACGAAUAAUGGACGAAUCGAUCAGACACACACUCGUGUGCAGUGGCACUAUGAUCGGUUGCUCACGAUAGUACAAACUCCGCACCAUAGUACCCUCUCUAGCUAGGCUGUUUUAUAGAUUGUCGUUGUGAUGGACGAUAUACAUGAGCAAGGCGCCGAGUCACGAGUAUGACCGUUGGUGUUGAGCCAGGUGAAUACAUGCUCGGUGUUCGCGGAGGCCUCCAGCAAACGUCUAAACAGUAAUGUCAGAUAUGCAUAAUUUUGGUUUUUAUUUCUUUCUCCACUGACGGGUAGGCCCGCAUAGAUAGAUAGAUAAAGAACACGAGCUGAUGAGGCGCAUGCGGACUGUUUGACUGGUCAACCAGACAAAUACGGAGCUAUACGCUGAGCCAGUGACCGUAUAAUCACCAUAUCUCGUAUACAAUGAUCAAAGUGAGCUAUCAAGACAAGUUCAAUGACUGCCAAUGCAUUUUACUCGGUAAUAAAUGACCAAGAUUGAAGGGGAAUCCAAAUUUCCUUCGUCUUCUGUCCUUGAGCUCUUGACAAACCAAUGCACUUGACGGUUGUCCGGCCACUCCACCCCAGAGCUGUCACCAAGCGUCGUUCAUGCCACCGCGCCGCACACUAACCAGUAAGGAAGCGAUGGCAUCCCGCCGCGCCGAGUUCCUCGCCGCCCACGACCGCACACAGAAUGGUAGGCAAGCGGUGGCAUCCCGCCGUGCCGAGUUCAUCGUCGCUCGCAAUCUCACACCUAUGUGGGCGGAAUUUGAAGCUGCCAAGGCCGAAUGGGCGGUAGAGCAAGAGGCGGCCAAAGCCACACAGAGGGAGCAGAAAGUUAGAAAGCACUCAAGAAAAGAGAGGCUCGCCGCCGCAAGAAAGAACAGGACGCACGUGCUGCUGCGGAGAGGUCGGCGGAGAUCCAAGCACAGUGGGGUGUCGCCAACAAAGCCGGGAAGGAGAAUGACGGCAUCUGACCAGCAUGUGAGAAAUAGUAGUACUAGUAGUUAGUGUGUGUGUGUGUCUGUGUCGCCCGUACGUUUGUUUAAUUAAUUACGAGCAUGUAACAGUACUACUAGUUACUACUGUAGUUUUUAGAGCAAAUUACCAGUACAUUAGCCUAGACUCAAUGGAAAAAUUCCUAUCCUAUGCAUCAAAUGGCAUCUCUUUCUCUAUAGGAAUUGAGAUGCAUGUCAUCUCACUUCCUAUGAUUUUCAGAUUCCUAUAAAAUUCCUAUCCUAUGAACCAAAGGAGGCCUCUGCUGGAGUAACUACUGUAGCUAGCAGUACAGUAGUUUUCUUCAAGAAGCGGAAUUCAACGAAGUCAUGAUGGUUCCUUCGUCCGAGCAACUUCACAGUGGGUAAGGUUGGGCAUGUGAUUUGAUGGCUCAUUAGUAAUUACUGCGGCGCGACGACCGGGGUGACUCUCCCUUGGAGUUCUACGGGCAUGGCAAGUGGACCAGGAUGGUCGACGUCCCACAUGUCGGCUAGCGGAAGUAUUCUUUCUGAUAUCGAGGAGAAAGGAAACCGCGUGGUAUAGUAUCACUGGUGAUUUAUAUUUAUUUUUUAUUUCUAAUGAAUGCUAGCGUUUCAAUUCUUACGACGAAGGAGUGCCAAACACACGACACGUGCUGGAUGUCGCACGCGUCAGCGAAAGGAGUGGUUCAUGAACAGCGUGGUAGAGCGUCUCCACUUCUGGGUCGGAGACCACACGUAGUAGUACUACUAUACUAGUGGUAUGAACGAUACAAAGUGCGACCCGGAGAGAAAGACACGUCUAGUUGGAAGGUCUCGGGGCAUACACGUAAACAAAUAUAAAACCUAAUAUGUGCCUCCAAUUAAUAUAGUAGUAGUAGAGUACUUAGUCACGUACUCCAUAACAUCACCGGGCAUUGCACGUACAACAUUUAGUGGUAAUAAGAUACAAAUGCAUGCCUAUAUGCCGCGCAUGUUCAUACUAUUUGUGCCUUUCUACUUCACUUACUGCGCUACAUUACACAGGCUCGCACGCCCACUCCUGGGUACAUGACCUUCUCGCAGUUCCAUUCCCACGUGUUCUUCAUAUAGAUGGAAUGAUCCUUGCAUGACACAUGCACCUUGAUGCUAAAUGUGUUGCAUGUUGGCAAAAGGAUGAACAAAGCUCACGUAAAAAAAGAGUGGAAGAACAUAGAUUCCCGACGACCGAGAAGGAGCAAGGAACCUCGGGGUGGAGCGUCUGCACUCAUAAUAUUUUAUAUUAUUCAGCGAUAUAAAAUCAACCAAUCAUCUCCACAGUGGACUGGAAGAGUACGAAACACGGCAGCCCAAUGUAGUUACAUCAUACUAGUACAUGGCUAACCAACGCUAUCACCAUAUUUCUUGGCUUCCGUGUGACACCUAUCUCUAGUAAUCCAGCAGCCCGUAUCGCUUCUCCCUCCUCGUCUCUCUCAAAGUGCGGCGGGCUGGCGUUUUUGCCGUCUAUUGAGGUCGGUUAACUCAUCACAAGUUAGCCACAUGCCAAGAGCAUUCUAAAAAAAAUUCCUUUCACGUUUCAUUUUCAAAAAUAAAAAAUCCUUUCACGUACGAAUUUGACUGUAUGCUUUGAGCAACUUGCAUGUCCUAUACUGCUCCUAUUUGGAUACUCUAACUUAGCUAGAGGUUAGACUAACUCAUGACUAACCCGGAACUAACUGUAGCCAAAGAGGUGUUUGGGUGACAGGGUUAGAUUGACAAUAAAUGCACUUGAUGGAGAGAGAGAAGUGAUUUUUCAGUGGUCCCAAUGAGAACUACCUCCAGUUAGCACGUCUUGGGUGGGAUAGUUUUUUUUGGUGGGUUCGGUGCAACUUGCUCCAAUUUAAAUCCUCAUGCUUGGAUACUUUAGGGCUAUUUGAGCCCCAACUAGCUCAAACUAACUCUAACCCAUGGAUCCAAACAGGGCCUAUGGCCAGCCUCGACGCGGAGCAGUCGGUGCACCGGGGAGCGGCGCUUUCUCGGCCGUCGCGCCGCUUCAAAGCCGGCGCCAGUGAGAGGUCGCCUCCGCUCUGGCCGGGCAUUAAUGCGGCACUAACGCUCUAGGGCGACGCUGACCGUUUCACGCGGGAAGCGCGCGCUGGCAAGGGAGUAUAGGUUUUGAACCGUUUCAGGUGUAGUACUGGUAGUUUGCAAAACUACUCAAUUAUUGCACUCAGUUUCCUAAGAAAUUGUGGUAAGAAACGUUACUCCACAGCCCGCUUCCCUUCUCCUUCCUCUUCCACCGCCCGCGCACGUCCGCGGGAAGCGACCGGUCAACCCAUAUAUAGGAGUGCUAGCACAAAAAGAAGCAUGCAUGACCACUAAAAUUUCCAGAUUAAAGAGCCGCUUCGGCGGGAGUAUGGCGUAUGUUGUUACCUUCGGCCGGGCCAUGGCUACCGGGCGGGACAUGGAUCCUCUGACGUGGCUAUCACUGCCUUACCCUGCCUUUCCUUCGCUGACUGGUGGGACCCAUGCUUGGGUGUCCCACAUGUCAGUGAUAGAAUGGUAGGAUUGUUCACGUCAAGGGAUCCUCAUCCGGGCGACGGCGACCAGAGAAGAGGCGGCCGGAGGGGAAUGAAUGCAGCUACUUUUUGGGUUUGCCGUCCGGCUUAAAUAAAUGCGCAGCAUCACGUGUACCCGCGGGUGCACAGAUUGUAACAUACGUGUCUGCUUAAGUGGGCGUCACGUAACUGGUGUGUGUGUGUGUGUGAGAUUCUGAGAGACAGAGUGCGUGUGUGCGACUCUACUCUUCGGACAUAUACUCAACCUUUUGCAUCGGGAUAUAAGUAUAACGGCAUUUACUUUAGCUAGUGAUUUACGUGGCCAUGUUAACGUGGUUGUGUAAAAAAAAUGUCACUUCCUGCUCGUGAUUUGCGUUAUAUAAUUACGAGCAAGAUGCUCGUGCAUUGCACGGAACAUCAAUAUGCAUUUUUUUACAAAACACUUGUUGUGAUUUACCCAUGCAUGAGUAAUCCCAUGUGUAAAAACUAAUGAUAUUUCGAGAAUUUUAUUGGAAAACUGGUAUCUCGAGAAUGUCAUCGAAAAAAAUGAAAGAUGAGAGAUAAGGUGAGGAGGAGUGGAGCGUGGUGGUGACUGGUGGUCGAAAUGGGCGGAGGCAUGGGGAUGGACGGCGCCGGCAGGCGGCUGCGGCCACCAUGUUAGAUUGUUCCGAAGACUUUCUUUUUUAAUUUCUCGGCAAUGAGGUGUGGGAGAUAAGGAUGUGGAGAGAGGUGCGGCUAUCUUUUGUAAAAUUAUCAUAGUUUGCUUUCUAUCCGUCAGAUAUAGAUCCGACGGUCUAUUUUACAAGAUGGCAGGCACACCAUAAUCGCCAACUCGGUUUUUUAUAAGGGUACAGAUGAUAAGUUUGCUAACUACUAAAGUAAAGUGGAAUUUGUCCAUGUUAUACAAGUAAAUUAAGGUGAUUGUUUAUCAUACGUGUCGUGGAAUUGUCACGGCAGAUGUCCUAGGGUGAGGACUUAGUCGUGAGGCCAACACAUCUAUGUGGUAGCUUCAGAGGGGUUGAGCGGAAAUGAGAGACGCAACAUAAGACAAGGGUUUAGACAGCUUCGGGCCCCGGGAAACAUCAUCCGGUAACAACCCUACAUGCUGUUUGUGGCUAGGUCUCAUUAUCAUCACGAGGGAGUCGCCGGGAAACCGGCUCUUUGUGUCUAGCCCUAGAGAUUGUUUCUUCUUGCCUGUCCCUCUUUGGGGAGCCCUGCCCCUCCUUAUAUAAGUUGAAGGGGCGGGUUACAUGUGGAGUCCUAUUAGGAUUAGGACUAGUCUACCUUCUAAUACAAACCGGAUACAAGUCCGGGUCUUUAACUCCUUGUAAGGUAAUAUUCUUCACACCUUUCCUCUUAAAUCGGCCCACCAUCAAUAUAAACCGGCCCUCUAGGCCUUGGGCCUUGUCAUCCGUCUGUCCCGCCCGCCGGGUUACCAGUGAGUUAUAAUGUCCAGGCAGGUUGCUUGUAAACCGUCUGGUCAGGGCAGGUCGCCAGUGAAUCGCCAAUUGUCAAUCGGGUCUCAAGUAAACCGCCAAAUCCGGUCGGGUCAUAUUUCCGGCCAGUUCAUACCGCGGGGUAUAUCCCCGACAUUAGCCCCCAGUUUAAUUUGGAUUUAUCCAUGUUAAACUGAUCCUGUAAAAUAAACACAAGAACAAAUUUGACAGGUUGUGCUCCAGGUUAAAUAUUUUGUUAGCCAGCACCUAAUCAUCCUUAAGUCCCUGUCAUUUCCUCCUUCUAGAAAAUCCGGGUCAGUAGACCAGCUUCAUAAUCAAUUUGCUUGUAGAAAAAAUAUUGUAAAUAUAGAAUCCAUUUGACUCGACCUUCAAUGCUCUGACUUGACAAAAAUAUUGGUCUUCAAAUAUUCAACUGAUAUUCAGUCGGCUUGAAAAUAUAGAACUUGCCGAUCUAUUAUUUCCAACAUCGCCGGGUUAUAAAAACUGAUAAUUCUGGGUCAUAAUUGUUGCCAAUGUCGGUUCAUGAUUGUUGCCAACGCCGGUUCAUGAUUAUUGAUGAUGUCGGUUCAUGAUUAGUGAUGACGCCGGGUUAUGAUUGUUGCAGAUACCGGAUCAUAAUGAUUGGUGACGCCGGGUCAAUAAUUGUUGGUGACGCCGGAUCAAUCUGGUUAGCUCAAAAGAUAAAAUUGGAAGAUAUUUCUCCCUUAUAUCCAUAUUACCUGUAGCCCCCAAGUCUUGAACAGAACAAAGUGAUGAUUGGAGACUUGUUUCCAUAUAAUUACUGUCACUUUGAAGUAAUCCAUGUUGUUCACCUCAGUCACUAGUAAAGACUGAAUACUCCAUAUAUGUUGCCCCCAAGUGCCGGGUUGUCAUGCUUGCAGCAACCUGGGACUUGUGAUUGCCUUAUACUCAUAAAACUUCACCGAGUGAGCAGGGACCUUAUGCAAUAAUGAGCAGGGACUUUAUAAAUAUGAUCAUGCUUCAUUGAAAAUAACAUCAUAUGAUGUAACUCCGCCAUGGGGCUUGAACCCACGUCCACAAGGUUAAGAGCUUUGUGCUUUACCAACUGAGCAGUGGACUUAUGUACCUUCCAUCAUUGAUAGUAGUAAUUGGUAGCCCCCAAGGGUCGGCUCAUUAUGAUGUGAUGAGUCGGGUCUUCAAUAAGGCCAAUAAAAAUGACUUUGCAUUAGCCCCCAAGUGUCAUGGUGCAUGCUUGCAGCGACAAGAGACUUGCAUAUUUGAUAUAAUCUCAACUUUGAAUAAUGUAGCCCCCAAGUGCCGGGUCGUAAGCCUGCAGCGACUCGGGACUAUUCCUUCAGUUGUAGAAUAAAUCAUAUCCAUUGAUAAAAUAAUAACCAUUGCGCUAAAGCGACUUUGAAAAGCUCAAUCGUAAUACUGGUUAUUGAUAACCAUAAUAAAAUCCAGCCAUGUUGGCUAUUUGAAGAUUUGAAUAAUAUAAUCCAAUGAUUUAUGAGCGCAUGAUUCCAAUGGCGCAAUCCAAAUAUAUACUGGCGAUUUAUAAUCCCAAGCCAGUCCGGGUUAAUAAACACUGGUUAAUUUAUCAUCAUACUGGUGACUUAUAGUCGAAAGCCAGGCCGGGUUAAUAAACGCCGGUGAUUUAUAAUCAUGCUUUAUUCAACCUGUUUCUGCAUACAACAAGUUUAAAGUGUCCUGGCGGUUUACCGCCGGACGGGUCAUAAUGCCCAACAUAUAACCCGGGUUUAUAACCAGGGCUGCACUUAAGAAUAAUCAAAUAUGAAAUAUAUCAUACCUGUGACAUUGAAUCACAUCGUUGGUUUACCAACUUUUUGUAAUAAGGGUGAUAACCCAAAUCUUGAGUACUGAUAACUCCUCCCAUAUUUUGCCGGUUUAUGAUAAAACCGUACCGGGUUGUGAUAAACACCCGAUUAACCAUAUAUAAUACUGGCGACUUAUAGUAAAAACCAGACCGGGUUAAUAAGCGUCGGAUUAUAACUGAUCAUGUACUGACAACUUGUAGUUGAAAGCUGAGCCGGGUUAAUGAACGCCGGUUUACCAAAAACAUCAUAAAUCACAACAAAGGAGAAAAAACUUGGCAAAUAAAAGCAUAUGAAAACUUGUAGUUGAGGCUUUUCACAGGCUGCCAGGCCCCUAAUUCGAGGCUUUUCAUGGGCUGCCAGGCCACUGAGUUAAACAAUUUUGCAAAGCCUUUUAUGAUGGUCCUCAAUCCUUAACCAAUCGUCGUUUUAACUUGAUAAGUUCAGGGUCUUAUCAGAGUAACUUGUCAAAGUUUGACGGGUCAUACCAGGUUUACCUGGGCGGAGUGACUUACUUAAAAAGGCAGGCUAACCCGGGGUUUUAGGUGUAUACACCAGGCUUCCAAGCCGUGGCUUGAUAGCCUAUUACAAGUGUAGAUUCUUUGCUCAUUGUGACAGCAAAGAAUCCCCAAGUAACAUUUUGAGCUGUGCUCAGUGGGUGCCUAUGUUUGAGUUGUUCUUUUCCAACACUCUCUUUGGCCCCGAAGUAGUUUUCUGGUGUAGCUAUGGUUCGGACACGACCAAGCCCCCAAGUGACUUUUCUAGUGGCCUUGCGCCGAUCAAGAGGUGUAGCUAUGGUUCGAAUACGACCAGGCCGGGACCAUUCCGGAACUCCUCGUGACGUCCGGGAUCUCAUCCGGGAAUCCGAACAACAUUCGGUAAUCACAUACAAACCUUCCUUAUAACUCUAGCGUCAUUGAACCUUAAGUGUGUAGACCCUACGGGUUCGGGAAUCAUGCAGACAUGACCGAGACACUUCUCUAGCCAAUAACCAACAGCAGGAUCUGUAUACCCAUGUUGGCUCCCAUAUGUUCCACGAUGAUCUCAUCGGAUGAACCACGAUGUCGAGGAGUCAAGCAUUCCCGUAUACAAUUCCCUUAUCAAUCGGUACAUUACUUGCCCGAGAUUCGAUCGUCGGUAUCCCAAUAGCUCGUUCAAUCUCGUUACCGGCAAGUCACUUUACUCGUUCCGUAAUGCAUGAUCCCGUGACUAACUACUUAGUCACAUUGAGCUCAUUAUGAUGAUGCAAUACCGAGUGGGCCUAGAGAUACCUCUCCGUCAUACGGAGUGACAAAUCCCAGUCUCGAUCCGAGCCAACCCAACAGACAAUUUCGGAGAUACCUGUAGUGCACCUUUAUAGCCACCCAGUUACGUUGUGACAUUUGGUACACCCAAAGCAUUCCUACGGUAUCCGGGAUUUGCACGAUCUCAUGGUCUAAGGAAAUGAUACUUGACAUUAGAAAAGCUUUAGCAAACGAACUACACGAUCUAGUGCUAUGCUUAGGAUUGGGUCUUGUCCAUCACAUCAUUCUCCUAAUGAUGUGAUCCCGUUAUCAAUGACAUCCAAUGUCCAUGGUCAGGAAACUAUAACCAUCUAUUGAUCAACGAGCUAGUCAACUAGAGGCUCACUAGGGACAUGUUAUGGUCUAUGUAUUCACACAUGUAUUACGAUUUCCGGAUAACACAAUUAAAGCAUGAACAAUAGACAAUUAUCAUGAACAAGGAAAUAUAAUAAUAACCAUUUUAUUAUUGCCUCUAGGGCAUAUUUCCAAUAGUCUCCCACUUGCACUAGAGUCAAUAAUCUAGUUACAUUGUGAUGAAUCGUACACCCAUAGCGUUCUGGUGUUGAUCAUGUUUCGCUCGUCGAAAAGGUUUAGUCAAUGGAUCUGCGACAUUCAAAUCCAUAUGCACUUUACAAAUAUCUAUGUCUCCAUUUUGAACAUUUUCACGAAUGGAGUUGAAGCGACGCUUGAUAUGCCUGGUCUUCUUGUGAAACCUGGGCUCCUUGGCAAGGGCAAUAGCUCCAGUGUUGUCACAGAAGAGAGUCAUCGGCCCCGAUGCAUUGGGAAUAACUCCUAGGUCGGCAAUGAACUCCUUCAUCCAGAUGGCUUCAUGUGUUGCCUCCGAGGCCGCCAUGUACUCCGCUUCACAUGUAGAUCCCGCCACGACGCUUUGCUUGCAACUGCACUAGCUGACUGCCCCACCAUUCAAAAUAUACACGUAUCCGGUUUGUGACUUAGAGUCAUCCAGAUCUGUGUCGAAGCUAGCAUCGACGUAACCCUUUAUGACGAGCUCUUCGUCACCUCCAUAAACAAGAAACAUAUCCUUAGUCCUUUUCAAGUACUUCAGGAUGUUCUUGACCGCUGUCCAGUGUUCCAUGCCGGGAUUACUUUGGUACCUUCCUACCAAACUUACGACAAGGUUUACAUCAGGUCUAGUACACAGCAUGGCAUACAUAAUAGACCCUAUGGCCGAGGCAUAGGGGACGACACUCAUCUUUUCUCUAUCUUCUGCCGUGGUCGGGCAUUGAGCCAUGCUCAAUCUCACACCUUGCAAUAUAGGCAAGAACCCCUUCUUGGACUGAUCCAUAUUGAACUUCUUCAAUAUCUUGUCAAGGUACGUGCUUUGUGAAAGACCUAUGAGGCGUCAUGAUCUAUCUCUAUAGAUCUUGAUGCCUAAUAUGUAAGCAGCUUCUCCAAGGUCCUUCAUUGAAAAACACUUAUUCAAGUAGGCCUUUAUACUUUCCAAGAAUUCUAUAUCAUUUCCCCAUCAAUAGUAAGUCAUCCACAUAUAAUAAGAGAAAUGCUACAGAGCUCCCACUCACUUUCUUGUAAACACAGGCUUCUCCAUAAGUCUGCGUAAACCCAAACGCUUUGAUCAUCUCAUCAAAGCCAAUGUUCCAACUCCGAGAUGCCUGCACCAGCCUAUAGAUUGAGCGCUGGAGCUUGCAUACUUUGUCAGCAUUCUUAGGAUCGACAAAACCUUCCGGCUGCAUCAUAUACAAUUCUUCCUUAAGGAAGCCUUUAAGGAAUGCCGUUUUGACGUCCAUUUGCCAUAUUUCAUACGUAGAAUGCGGCAAUUGCUAACAUGAUUCGGACGGACUUCAGCUUCGCUACGGGUGAGAAGGUCUCAUCAUAGUCAACUCCUUGAACUUGUCGAUAACCCUUAGCGACAAGUCGAGCUUUAUAGAUGGUAACAUUUCCAUCCGCGUCCGUCUUCUUCUUAAAGAUCCAUUUAUUUUCUAUCGCUCGCCGAUGAUCGGGCAAGUCUGUCAAAGUCCAUACUUUGUUUUCAUACAUGGAUCCUAUCUCGGAUUGCAUGGCUUCAAGCCAUUUGUUGGAAUCUGGGCCCGCCAUCGCUUCUUCAUAGUUCGAAGGUUCACCAUUGUCCAACAACAUGAUUUCCAGGACAGGGUUGCCGUACCACUGUGGUGCGGAGCGUGUCCUUGUGGACCUACGAAGUUCAGUGGUAACUUGAUCAUGAUCGUCAUCAUUAAAUUCCUCUCUAGUCAGUGCAGGCACCACCGAAACAUUUUCUUGUGCUGCGCUACUUUCUGGUUCGAGAGGGGUCAUCUCAUCAAGUUCCACUUUCCUCCCACUUACUUCUUUUGAGAGAAACUCUUUCUCCAGAAAGGACCCGUUCUUGGCAAUGAAGAUCUUGCCUUCGGAUCGGAGGUAGAAGGUAUACCCAAUGGUUUCCUUAGGGUAUCCUAUGAAGACGCAUUUUUCCGACUUGGGUUCGAGCUUUUCAGGUUGAAGUUUCUUGACAUAAGCAUCGCAUCCCCAAACUUUAAGAAACGACAGCUUAGGUUUCUUUCCAAAUUAUAAUUCAUACGGUGUCGUCUCAACGGAUUUCGACGGAGCCCUAUUUAAAGUGAAUGCGGCAGUCUCUAAAGCAUAACCCCAGAAUGAUAGCGGUAGAUCGGUAAGAGACAUCAUAGAUCGCACCAUAUCCAAUAGAGUGCGAUUACGACGUUCGGACACACCAUUACGCUGAGGUGUUCCAGGCGGCGUGAGUUGUGAAAAAAUUCCACAUUUCCUUAAGUGUGUGCCAAAUUCAUGACUCAAAUAUUCCCCUCCAUGAUCUGAUCGUAAGAACUUUAUUUUCCUGUCACGUUGAUUCUCAACCUCACUCUGAAAUUCCUAGAACUUUUCAAAGGUCUCAGACUUGUGUUUCAUUAAAUAGACAUACCCAUAUCUACUCAAGUCAUCAGUGAGGGUGAGAACAUAACGAUAGCCACCGCGAGCCUCAACGCUCAUUGGACCGCACACAUCAGUAUGUAUGAUUUCCAAUAAGUUGGUUGCUCGCUCCACUGUUCCAGAGAAUGGAGUCUUGGUCAUUUUGCCCAUGAGGCAUGGUUCGCACGUGUCAAAUGAUUCAUAAUCAAGAGACUCCAAAAGUCCAUCUGCAUGGAGUUUCUUCAUGCGUUUGACACCAAUGUGACCAAGGCGGCAGUGCCACAAGUAUGUGGGACUAUCAUUAUCAACCUUACAUUUCUUGGCAUUCACACUAUGAAUAUGUGUAACAUCACGUUCGAGAUUCAGUAAGAAUAAACCAUUGACCAGGGGGGCAUGACCAUAAAACAUAUCUCUCAUAUAAAUAGAACAACCAUUAUUCUCGGAUUUAAAUGAGUAGCCAUCUCGCAUUAAACGAGAUCUAGAUACAAUGUUCAUGCUCAAAGCUGGCACUAAAUAACAAUUAUUGAGGUUUAAAACUAGUCCCGUGGGUAAAUGUAGAGGUAGCGUGCCGACGGCGAUCACAUCGACCUUGGAACCAUUCCCGAUGCGCAUCGUCACCUUGUCCUUUGCCAGUCUCAGCUUAUUCCGCAGCUCCUGCUUUGAGUUACAAAUAUGAGCAACCCCACCGGUAUCAAAUACCCAGGAGCUACUACGAGCGCUGGUUAGGUACACAUCUAUAACUUAUAUAUCACAUAUACCUUUGGUAUUGCCGACCUUCUUAUCCGCUAAGUACUUGGGGCAGUUCCGCUUCCAGUGACCGUUUCCCUUGCAAUAAAAGCACUCAGUCUCAGGCUUGGGUCCAUUCUUUGUCUUCUUCCCGGCAGCUUGCUUACCGGGCGCGGCAACUCCCUUGCCGUCUUUCUUGAAGUUCUUCUUACCCUUGCCUUUCUUGAACUUAGUGGUUUUAUUCACCAUCAACGCUUGAUGUUCCUUUUUGAUCUCCACCUCCGCUGAUUUCAGCAUUGAAUAUACCUCAGGAAUGGUCUUUACCAUCCCCUGCAUAUUGAAGUUCAUCACAAAGCUCUUGUAGCUAGGUGGGAGCGACUGAAGGAUUCUGUCAACGACCGCGUCAUCCGGGAGAUUAACUCCCAGCUGAGACAAGCGGUUGUGCAACCCAGACAUUUUGAGUAUGUGUUCGCUGACGGAACUAUUCUCCUCCAUCUUACAAAUGUAGAACUUGUCGGAGACUUCAUAUCUCUCGACCCGGGCAUGAGCUUGGAAAACCAUUUUUAGCUCUUGGAACAUCUCAUAUGCUCUGUGCUGCUCAAAACGCUUUUGGAGCCCCGGUUCUAAGCUGUAAAGCAUGCCGCACUGAACCAGGGAGUAAUCAUCACUACGUGACUACCAGGCGUUCAGAAUGUCUUGAGUUGCUGGGAAAACAGGUGCAUCACCUAGCGGUGCUUCAAGGACAUAUGCUUUCUUGGCAGCUAUGAGGAUAAUCCUCAGGUUACGGAUCCAGUCCGUGUAGUUGCUACCAUCGUCUUUCAGCUUGGUUUUCUCUAGGAACGCGUUGAAGUUGAGGGCAACAUUAGCGUGGGCCAUUUGGUCUACAAGACAUAUUGUAAAGGUUUUUAGACUAAGUUCAUGAUAAUGAAGUUCAUCUAAUCAAAUUAUUAACGAACUCCCACUCAGACAGACAUCCCUCUAGUCAUCUAAGUGAUACAUGAUCCGAGUCAACUAGGCCGUGUCCGAUCAUCACGUGAGACGGACUAGUCAUCAUCGGUGAACAUCUUCAUGUUGAUCGUAUCUGCUAUACGACUCAUGUUCGACCUUUCGGUCUCUUGUGUUCCGAGGCCAUGUCUGUACAUGCUAGGCUCGUCAAGUCAACCUAAGUGUAUUGCGUGUGUAAAUCUGGCUUACACCCGUUGUAUGCGAACGUUAGAAUCUAUCACACCCGAUCAUCACGUGGUGCUUCGGAACAACGAACCUUCGCAAUGUUGCACAGUUAGGGGGAACACUUUCUUGAAAUUUUAGCGAGGGAUCAUCUUAUUUAUGCUACCGUCGUUCUAAGCAAAUAAAAUGUAGAACAUGAUAAACAUCACAUGCAAUCAAAUCGUGACAUGAUAUGGCCAAUAUCAUUUUGCUCCUUUUGAUCUCCAUCUUCGGGGCGCCAUGAUCAUAAUCGUCACCGGCAUGACACCAUGAUCUCCAUCAUCGUAUCUUCAUGAAGUUGUCUCGCCAACUAUUACUUCUACUACUAUGGCUAACGGUUAGCAAUAAAGUAAAGUAAUUACAUGACGUUCCAGUUGACACGCAGGUCAUAAAUAAAUUAAGACAACUCCUAUGGCUCCUACCGGUUGUCAUACUCAUCGACAUGCAAGUCGUGAUUCCUAUUACAAGAACAUGAUCAAUCUUAUACAUCACAUAUAUCAUUCAUCACAUCCUUCUGGCCAUAUCACAUCACAUGACACUUGCUGCAAAAACAAGUUAGACGUCCUCUAAUUGUUGUUGCAAACUUUUACGUGGCUGCUAUAGGUUUCUAGCAAGAACGAUUCUCACCUACGCCAAAACCACAACGUGAUAUGCCAAUUUCUAUUUACCCUCCAUAAGGACCCUUUUCAUCGAAUCCGAUCCGACUAAAGUGGGAGAGACAGACACCCGCUAGCCACCUUAUGCAACUAGUGCAUGUCAGUCAGCUGAACCUGUCUCACGUAAGCGUACGUGUAAGGUCGGUCCGGGCCGCUUCAUCCCACGAUUCCGCCGAAUCAAGAUAAGACUAGUAACGGCAAGUAAAUUGACAAAAUCGACGCCCACAACAACUUGUGUUCUACUCGUGCAUAGAAACUACGCAUAGACCUAGCUCAUGAUGCCACUGUUGAGGAUCAUAGCAGAAAUUAAAAUUUUCUACGCAUCACCAAGAUCAAUCUAUGGAGUUUACUAGCAACGAGAGGGGAGGAGUGCAUCUACAUACCCUUGUAGAUCGCGAGCGGAAGCAUUCAAGAGAACGGGGUUGAUGGAGUCGUACUCGUCGUGAUCCAAAUCACCGAUGAUCCAAGCGCCGAACGGACGGCACCUCCGCGUUCAACACAUGUACGGAGCGGUGACGUCUCCCACGCCUUGAUCUAGUAAGGAGGAGGGAGAGGUUGAGGAAGAAGGCUCCAACAGCAGCACGACGGCGUGGUGGUGGUGGAGUGACAGUUCUCCGGCAGGGCUUCGCCAAGCACACGCGGAGGAGGAGAGGUGCUGGGGAGGGGAGGGGCUGCGCGUUGGGAAAGGUGUGGCUGCUCUCCCACCCCUCCACUAUAUAUAGGGGCAAGGGAUAGGGGGGCCGGCCCCCUCAGAUCCCAUCUGGUGGGAGGGGCGGCGGCCAGGGGGAGGUGGCUUGCCCCCCAAGCAAGGGGGGGCGCCCCCCUUUAGGGUUCCCCCCAAACCCUAGGCGCAUGGGCCCUAGGGGGGUUUGGCGCCCAGCCCACUUAGGGCUGGUUCCCUUCCACCUACAGCCCAUAAGGCCCUCCGGGGCAGGUGGACCCUCCCGGCGGACCACCGGAACCCCUUCGGUGGUCCCGGCACAAUACCGGCAUACCCCGAACACUUCCGGUGACCGUAUGGUGACUUCCCAUAUAUAAAUCUUUACCUCCGGACCAUUCCGGAACUCCUCGUGAUGUCCGGGAUCUCAUCCGGGACUCCGAACAACAUUCGGUAAUCACAUACAAACCUUCCUUAUAACCCUAGCAUCAUCGAACCUUAAGUGUGUAGACCCCACGGGUUCGGGAAUCAUGCAGACAUGACCGAGACACCUCUCUAGCCAAUAACCAACAGCGGGAUCUAGAUACCAUGUUGGCUCCCACAUGUUCCAUGAUGAUCUCAUCGGAUGAACCAUGAUGUCGAGGAUUCAACCAAUCCCGUAUACAAUUCCCUUUAUCAAUCGGUAUGUUACUUGCCUGAGAUUCGAUCGUCGGUAUCCCAAUACCUCGUUCAAUCUCGUUACCAGCAAGUCACUUUACUCAUUCCGUAAUGCAUGAUCCCGUGACUAACUACUUAGUCACAUUGAGCUCAUUAUGAUGAUGCAAUACCGAGUGGGCCCAGAGAUACCUCUCCGUCAUAUAGAGUGACAAAUCCCAGUCUCGAUCCGAGCCAACCCAACAGACACUUUCGGAGAUACCUGUAGUGCACCUUUAUAGCCACCCAGUUACGUUGUGACGUUUGGUACACCCAAAGCAUUCCUACGGUAUCCGGGAGUUGCACGAUCUCAUGGUCUAAGGAAAUGAUACUUGACAUUAGAAAAGCUUUAGCAAACGAACUACACGAUCUAGUGCUAUGCUUAGGAUUGGGUCCUGUCCAUCACAUCAUUCUCCUAAUGAUGUGAUCCCGUUAUCAAUGACAUCCAAUGUCCAUGGACAGGAAACCGUAACCAUCUAUUGAUCAACGAGCGAGUCAACUACAGGCUCACUAGGGACACGUUAUGGUCUAUGUAUUCACACAUGUAUUACGAUUUCCGGAUAACACAAUCAAAGCAUGAACAACAGACAAUUAUCAUGAACAAGGAAAUAUAAUAAUAACCAUUUUAUUAUUGCCUCUAGGGCAUAUUUCCAACACUUUGGGCCUUGGGCAUUGUCAUCCGUCUGUCCCGCCCGCCGGGUUACCAGUGAGUUAUAAUGUCCAGGCAGGUUGCUUGUAAACCGUCUAGUCAGGGCAGGUCGCCAGUGAAUCGCCAAGUGUCAAUCGGGUCUCAAGUAAACCGCCAAGUCCGGCCGGGUCAUAUUGUCAUCCGUCAUACCGCGGGGUAUAACCCCGACAAUACGGGUAAGGGUGGAUGAAGGGUGGUAGCAACAAAUGCUUCGCCUAGAGCAUCUGUGUGUGAGAUGGAGUCUCNNNNNNNNNNNNNNNNNNNNNNNNNNNNNNNNNNNNNNNNNNNNNNNNNNNNNNNNNNNNNNNNNNNNNNNNNNNNNNNNNNNNNNNNNNNNNNNNNNNNNNNNNNNNNNNNNNNNNNNNNNNNNNNNNNNNNNNNNNNNNNNNNNNNNNNNNNNNNNNNNNNNNNNNNNNNNNNNNNNNNNNNNNNNNNNNNNNNNNNNNNNNNNNNNNNNNNNNNNNNNNNNNNNNNNNNNNNNNNNNNNNNNNNNNNNNNNNNNNNNNNNNNNNNNNNNNNNNNNNNNNNNNNNNNNNNNNNNNNNNNNNNNNNNNNNNNNNNNNNNNNNNNNNNNNNNNNNNNNNNUGUGUGUGUGUUUGUGUGUGCAUGUGUGUGUGAUGGAGUCUUACUGUGUGUGUGUGUGUGUGUGGGUGGGUGGGUGGGUGCGUGUGUGUGUGUGUUUGUUUGUGUGUGUUGUGUCGCGGGGUCCUAGGUGGCGGAUGUAAUUUAAGUGUGCAUGGCUUCAUCAUAGAGAGGUGAUGUGUAUGGCAGAGGCCACCAACGAUGGGGUGCGAGAGAGAAAAUGCCCGUAGAGAGGGAAGAGAAGGUGUGUGCGCGUGAGAGUAGUCGACAUCAAGUGAACGUGUUUGUUCGAGAGACACCGAGGAAGACUACUAUAUAUAGAUGGUGCAUGUAGGCGGGAAUUAAACGAAGGGAUGGUCUUAUUGGUUUCGGGGAUAUAGGGGAAGUGUGAGAGGGGGGUAGCUGCAAGGAGAUUGUUAAGUGUGAGUGUCUUUUACCCAUCCAGGCGGAAGUUAUGUGCACACAAGAAGAGACCUUCAACGUGCAUGUGUGAGAGGUAUACAUGUAUACCUGGGAUGUAUGUGUGUGUGCGCGCGCAUGAUCGAGAUAAAAGAAAGAGGACAUAAGUCAUAAGCUAAGAUCAACGACAUGGGAGAGACGGAUCGGUAUGACAAUAUGCAUGCAUGUGAGAAUGCAGGGAAGAAGGCCCGACAAUUGAGCAUGUGUUUUUGUCUUUAAGAGAUAGUGUCGUGGGCUGGAGCAUGCAUCUAUGGCCAGCAGAGGGAGUGGGGCACAACGAUUGUGCAAAAGAGAUCAACCUAUAAAUGAAAGAAGGUUGAUGGAGAAAUAGAUAAAUAGAAAGGUAAAGAUGCUAGCUAGUGUGCGUUAGAGAUAGGAGUCGAGUGGAUCAGAAGGCUGAGUUAUGGGUGUGGGUGUGAGAGAGAUGAAGAAAGGGUGCAUGUGACUCACAUACAAACAAAUAUCGGAGAGAAAUGAGAUCCUGAGAGACGGAGUUUUGUGUCUGCGAGAGAGAAAGAUAUUUCAAAACGAGAGUGAUAGCUAGAGAAACAUAUGAGGGAACGCAAGAUAUCUCUAGGGAGAGAGAGUGUGUGUGAGCGACAUACAAGAGAACAGUGGAGAAAUAUGAGACCCUGGGAGACAGAGUUUGUGUUUGUGUGUGAGAAAGAGAUAUUUAAGAGGAAGAGUCGUAGGUUCUCAUACCUAAGAAGCGAAAGACAUCUCUGUAUGAGGGGUGUGCGAGUGGCACACAGGGGAAUAGUAGAGAGAAAUGAGAUCCCGGAAGACAAAGUUUGUGUUUGUGUGAGAGAAAGAGAUUCCACAUGGAGAAUCAUAGUUAGAGACACAUAGCAGGGAGCGAGAUAUACUUAGUGAGAGAUAGAGUGAUGAAGGUCGAGGGAGAGAGUACCGUCAGUGUGUUACGAAGAUAAAAGAUCAUUGUCGACAUACAGGUAGCAUGAGAGAUACCCGAGAGACGAUGAACGCGUAUAGGUCUAGAGAGAUAGUCCUAUAUAAGCAUGAGUGAUAGUUAUAUGAGACGAAUAUCUGGAUUAAAUGAGAUUCAAAUAUUUAAACUGGAGAUCACGGCAUCGAUAAUAUCAUAACGCAAAUUGGUGUAUCAAACAUGCAUAUUCAUUUGAAUUAGGAGACACGUGUAAUGUUAUAUAGUUUAUCAGUAUUGGAGAUCCAUAGAUUCUUUAAUUAGAAACAAUGCAUGGUUUAUAUGCAAUUAAUGUCUAAACGGGAUUACACUAUAUGUUGUGUGUGUGAAACACAUUAUACAUGUUUGAGAAGUAAAAAACACCGCAUGAAACACACAUUAAUUGGAGACAGUUAGCGAGGAAUGCAUACAUUGGAUUUCAAUAUAAAGUGGUUUCAAAUAUUUGAAAAUCCAAAUUGAUGGAUGCAACCUUAUGAAUCUGAGAUCAUGCCAUUCGUAAACCAUAUUUAUGUAUAAAGGGUGUUGUGCUUUUGAAAGUAUAUAUAAAAAAUGAUGUACAUAGAAUUUUAUUCCAAUCGAAAAUGGACCCCGCCCAAAAAAAUAGAAUACAAACGGGAUUCGAAUUGAUUUGGCACGGUAAACAUGCACUCUGCAAAAUUUGAACGAAGCGGGGAAAGUCGCAGUAACCGCCCGAAACCAAAAUCUGCGAGAUGGAAAUUACUACAGCCUAUUCCUGCCACGCAAAGCCUAUCUGCUCGAUUUCUAUAGGUUUCGAUAGGGGUAGGUUUGUAAUUUCACUCAAACGUGACAUAACCGCCUCUCACCCGGAUUCAUACACGGUGGGCGCCAAAACACAGUGUGUCCUCGGCCGAAAUCGACUCCCUCCCCGAUUCAUACACGGUGGGCACCAAAAACAGACUCUCGUCGACAAAUAUUCGGUGUAUGCAAGAUUACCGUCCUAUCCCCAACCGACUAAUAUUGCUGUGAUGUAGGAAAUUUGAAACAGGGGCUAAGUUUGUAAAUUUCCUCGCAUUUGAGACAAGCGCGCCCUGAAGACAUGGUUCCCCCUUCCUCUCCACCUCCAUUUCCCCAUUCGUACUUCGUGGGCGCCAAAACACCCUCUCCACCCCAGCCUCCUCCGUCCGCCAUCCCAUCCACCGCCAUCCUCCUCCACCAUGCCGGAGCUGAUACCCCGACGCCGCCGUCCAUUACAAGAGAUCGACCUCUCUCAUCCACGGCUUCGGACCGGGAUCCUUGCAUCCAGUCCUCUCGCUUCAUCCCCGCCAUCGUCCACCUUGCCGGCGUCGCUCCUACGACUGUCUCGCCCACCGCGCCCCGCCGCCAUCGUCUACCCUCCUAGAUCUGCUUCCACGCCGCCGACAGCCAUCGCUACCGCAGCACUGUCAAAUUCUCAGCAGAUGCAUACACGGCGCCACACCAAAGGCGGUACUCUUUUGUAUCUGCUAAACUUAUUUAUCGCAGCAAGAAAAUAGAUCGCCACUGCUUACUCUGAUUUCUUGUCCAUCACUUACUUGCUAGUUGAGAGCAAACAUUGGUUGCGAAGUUGCCUUUGUCCGGUUUGCAUCUUCAGAUCCGCCAUGGCACGCUCAACACUAUACUCCCAAUGCUUAUGGUUUUCCCCUUUUAUAUUCCACACCUACUUAAAUCACAGUAGACUAAAUUUCAAAAUUGGGUCAGUCGAUUUUUCAGAGCUCGCCGAAGUUCGCCGGUGCGAACGAAGGGGCUCGGGUGGGGACUUUGGUUGUGGGGGGUGGUGGGGCCUCGCCCCGAACGAAGAAAACUCGACGCCGGUGGGGACGGGGGUGGGGGUGGCGGAAGAACACAGGCGGUGGGGGGCGAUGGUCCGGCCGGCGGCCCGUGCGGUGUUCUAUAUGGGAAGAAUCAGAGACGAGGAAGAAGAAGGGUUAGGAGACGUAGGAUCUUCAUCCAACCGCCUGAUAUGGUCGACUGACCCAAAUGACAAAAGUCACGCGAGUUGCAUGCAGACAUGCCUUUAUAUUCAGUACCAUCAUCAUACCUUCUUAGCACUACCCGUGAAUCCAUCAAGCUAAACAACGUGCCACUCAUAAUUCCAAACUUGUUGCUCAAGUACGAAUCUGAUAUGAUGCUGAUAUUACUAAAACAGAUAACAUUUAAUUGGUCAGCUAAUGUUCCUACUUUACUUUCGAAAAAGCACGUGCACCACAUAUAGACAGAUAGCAGGGAGUUGCUUACUUAAUGCGCUCUGGUUCAUCAGGUGUGGGCACUGCGCAACGAACAUUUUAUUAUCCAAAAUCUGCUUGCUCUUCUUUAGCAUGUUCCUCUUCCAUUCUUCUUUAAUAAGUACUCUCUCCAUUCCUAAAUACAAGUCUUUGUAUAGAUUCCACCAUGGACUACAUAUGGAGCAAAAUGAGUGAAUCUACACUCUAAAAUGUAUCUGGAUACAUCUGUAUGUGAUCCAUAGUGGAAAUCUCUACCAAGACUUAUAUUUUGGAACGGUGGGAGUAUGAUAGUAGUACAGUAUGUUCCUUGUAGUGAAGAUGAGCAGGGACAUUUGCAGUGUAGAGGUCUAUACGGUCGGUUGGUAUGGACACUUUGAACUCUUCGGGCCUCUUUGAUUCGUAGGAUUUUGUAAACAUGGGAAUAGGAUUUGUAGUGGCCUGCCCACUUGAAUCCUAUAAGAAUAGCAAGGAAAUGCGGGGAGAUGUGUCGCCUUUGAGAGUUACACUGAUAUUAUCAGUAUCGCACCUUCAGUUGAAGAGAGCUGGUAUCCGAAGCCUUUCUAGCCAUACCGGCAAUACUAGCACAUAUAUUCCAGCAAGUUCCACUUUGCUGAUUUUACUCUGAUGCUUACGGUUUUCCCGUUAUAUCUACACUAUGAUCUGUGUACCUGCUUUGUGUCGCACUAGCAGCAGUCCACUCUUGAAGCUAAACACUGCAAUGACUUACAAAAUUGGCACCAAGGCAUUGAGUGCCAUUCUGGAUGCAAUGAAACUCAUACGCUCCCCACCUGUGGACUCUUGUUCAGAAUAUGAUCCUAAUGACUCUUGUUCAAAAUUGCCACAUAUAGAGAGACAGCAUGGAAUUGCAUUUCUUUGGGCUCUAUGACUCAUCAUGAGUGGGCAACCAACAUUGUAUGCAAUUAAGCGGAACCUCAAGAAUAUGCUUCCUCUUCUGUUCUUUAACAUGUUCCUCUUUUGUUAUUCUGUAUUUAGUACGUAAAGUAUGUUCCUUGUCAGGAAGGGGAGCAGGGACAUCUGCAGUCAACGGCUGAUAGAGCUGGCAUGUACUUGAUCGAUACGCUUUCAAUUACUAGCGGCAAUACAACACCGUAUUUUCAAGCCAGUUCCACUUUCCCGAUUUAUAUAUCGUGGUUAUCGUGUACCCCUUUUAUGUACACUAUGAUCAGCCUAGUUGCUGUGGGCUCUUGUUAUCAUGGUUUGGCAAUAAACUCUCUAUACAGUAUAUUUUUAACCUAUCAUCUGCCAACUAUCCUUACUUCUGGAGCCUAUUUUUUUGUGUACUUGUGCCAGAUUAGAUAAAUGCACGCACUAUAUCACAGCACACAUGAGCUCUCUCAUCAGAAUCCAGUGAUAGCACACAAGUGUUUACAGGGGCACCCCUAUAUUAGAAUAUCUUUUGCAUUAGAAAGAUAAUCUCACAACUAUUUAUGUUUUCAUGGUUCUCAGAUAUUAUACGUAAUUACAGUGAAUAUCAGAAUCCGUGCAUCAGAAGAAUAUUGUGGAACACUGCAAUGACUUAUAAAAUUGGCACCAAGGCAUUGAGUGCCAUUCUGGAUGCAAUGAAACUCAUAUGAUCCCCACCUGUAGAUCCUUGUUCAGAAUAUGAUCCUAAUGACUAUUCUAACCUCGAGGAAUCAAAGGCAGAUGGCCUGUCAUGUUCACCCAUCAAGGUGCCUGCUCUAAUUUGGCAAGGUUUUAUUGCGCGUAUCUUGCAUAUGUUGUCUUGCAUUUCUUCUACUUUGUUGCACCGCCAUCUGCUUAGGUUACUCAUCAUAUAUGUCGAGAUGCCAUGCCCAUCCAUUAUCAAUACAUAUUCCAUCUGUCAUCAUACCAUGUUUUUCCACUCAAAUGUUGUUCUUGUGCAUCAGACAUCAAAAAGGAAGAGGGUGAUUGCCGAACCUGAAGGAGCACCUGUCGGUGUCAAAACAAGCGGAUCUCGGGUAGGGGGUCCCGAACUGUGCGUCUAAGGCCAAUGGUAACAUGAGGCGGGGGACACGAUGUUUACCCAGGUUCGGGCCCUCUCGAUGGAGGUAAUACCCUACUUCCUGCUUGAUUGAUCUUGAUGAUAUGAGUAUUACAAGAGUUGAUCUACCACGAGAUCGUAGAGGCUAAACCCUAGAAGCUAGCCUAUGAAUAUGAUUGUGUAUGUCUAUCGACUAGCCUGGCCUUGGUUUAUAUAAUGCACCAGAGGCCUAGGAUAACAAGAGUCCUAGCCGAAUACGCCGGGUGGGGAGGAGUCCUUGUCUUGAUAACCAAGUCUUGUUGAAUCUUCCUUGUAUGUGGCAGCUGUCCGAACUGGCCCAUGAGUAUACGGCCAUGGGGGUCCUCGGCCCAAUCCAACUGAUCGGGAGANNNNNNNNNNNNNNNNNNNNNNNNNNNNNNNNNNNNNNNNNNNNNNNNNNNNNNNNNNNNNNNNNNNNNNNNNNNNNNNNNNNNNNNNNNNNNNNNNNNNNNNNNNNNNNNNNNNNNNNNNNNNNNNNNNNNNNNNNNNNNNNNNNNNNNNNNNNNNNNNNNNNNNNNNNNNNNNNNNNNNNNNNNNNNNNNNNNNNNNNNNNNNNNNNNNNNNNNNNNNNNNNNNNNNNNNNNNNNNNNNNNNNNNNNNNNNNNNNNNNNNNNNNNNNNNNNNNNNNNNNGUCAGUAGCCCCCUGAACCGGUCUUCAAGUUGGGGACGCUCCUCGAUUCUUCCGAACUAUUCUUCAUCUUCGGUUGUCGGUCUUGAAAACUAGUUCAACAAAUCUUCUCAUCUUCGAUCUUGAGGAUCGCCGAAGUGCAUCCGACGAGUUUACACGUCAGGUAUCCGAGGAGCCCCUUUAAGUUUCUGGCCUUUAUCAAUGCCUUGUUAUUUUUAUGCCACACCUCGGGUUUGAAGUUGUUCCCGGGCAGCAAUGUCCUCUUGCAUCCAAGCCCAACGCCGGACUAUAUUUGAGGUAUCUUUUGCAACCGGGUACCAACGCCGGGCUGUAUCCGAGCUCCAAUGUUGGACUAUAUCCAAUCUCCAACGCUGGACUAUAUCCAAUCUCCAACGCCGGACUAUGUCCGAGCUCCAGCGCCGGAAAUGCCCUCUAUGGAGCCAGCCACUGGCGCCCGAGCUUUAUACCGGACUGCUUCCGAGGUGGUGCACCACCCCGACCGCAGGCUGAUUUUUUGCGAAUAUUUUUGAUUGGUGCAAUUUAUUCUCUGCCGAGAUAUAUAGCCAGUAUAUGUAUAUCCAGUAGCCCUCAAGGUGUGUGUCGGUCUAAAACCCAAGAUGCACCUGAAGGAAAACAUAAAACUGCUGAUCCCAGUAGCCCCUGAGACUCAGGUCGAUUUGCGAAAUCGGCCUGAGGAUCAACUCUUAGCUCGGGAGCAUACGUAGGAAUAGAAACGCAGUGUAAUAUAUAAUGAAGAUCAACGGACGGGCCCCUAAGAGAGGGUCGUGAGAAGUCGCCGUGAUAUAUUAGCUUGAUGCCAGAUAGGUCCAGAUGGUACUUAUUGUUGUCCGAGGACACGCUUUCCCAUAGUUCGAUCAAGCCGAACACUGAGCCCUUUGGAUUUUUUGCAUUGAAUAGGCAAUGCAGUAGCCCCUGAGAGACUGGUCGAGUGGCAACACCAGAUCAGGGGAUCGAUGUGCCCCUUUAAUAUUUAUAAAUAAUGAGCACGAAGCCCAGUGGCCCCCCAGCCUUAAUGUGGGCACGGGUGGCCGAAUUAAGGAUCGAUAUCCAGAGUAAAAUCACAGAUUAUGUGUAAUGAUUCUUUGUAUCCAAGUACUUUACAUCAUUAUUUUGACUCCAUUGCGACCGUUUAUCAGUUAAAAGUGGCCCAUCGUUGGCUUCUACCCCUUGGUAGAUACGACGCAGGGUGUUUCCGCACUAACAAAACAACCCUUAGCCGACGUCUCGGUGCCCGGAGGCGGUUGUGUUAGCAGAAACGAGGCAAUCAGAUAUGCGGGCUUUGUAACUUUCACUUAGUCAUAGGAGCUUAAAGUUGGAAGGCCAGUUACUAGCCUCCGGCUAAUGUUCGGCGACAGUCUAGGUCAAGCCGUAAACACUUCGGCCAAUAUUAUGAACGGCCCGUCAUUUAACACAGUCAUCGGAUCGCUGACUAGUUUACGCUUAUUGUGACAGUCAAUUUUCGGCUUUCUCCACUGAGGCGCUUAACCAUGCUAGCUGGAAGCACAAUCGCAGUGGUUCUCCCGUUGCGCACCUAGCCGAACAAAGCGGAACGUAGGAGGCAAGCACAGGAGCCGGGCGACCCAACUAUUGACCAAAGACGCAAUUCGAAACCGAUGCAUAUACAACACUGUCCGAGAAUGUUUUUGCUGAAUCCCUAAAGGUAUCCGGCGCCGCACUACGAGACUAAUGCUAGAAACACACAAAUAUUUUAAAAGUGCCAUAAGCUUGGAAAACCAAAAACUUCAGUAAAAACUGGAUGCCCGAACUAGAUCAAGUGUUCGGUGCCAAAUCGAAAAUUGGUCUAGAAAAAAAAAGGUGCUUCUGUCGUGCUUUAUCAUGACACAUCUUAUCUCAAGACCUCAAGCGGGUCAGCCUACGGCUUCAACCUCCUAUCCCGAAGGCGGAGUACUUCUCAUUAGGCCAGCUUAGCAAACUAAACUCUGGUGGCUUUGAGAGAGAAAUUAGGCUCCCCGGCUAGUGACCACGCACUCGUGUCGAAAAAAGGAGUGAUAAAUAAUAAUAAUAAUAAUAAUAAUAAUAAUAAUAAUAAUGAUAAUAAUAAUAAAACUUUGCAACGACUAAGAAUAAGAACACUUAUUAUAAAACGGCUCAUAUAAAUUUAAGGGCCCCCAAGUGACUUGGGUAAAAGAAUUUUAUGUAUAAUGAUUGUAUGUACCAAAGUACUUAUAUCAUAUCUGUGUUCACCCGAACUUUAUACGUGUCUUAACCGACCGUCGGCUUCUCCCUCUUCGGUCAAGGGCCGAAAAGUAUUAUGUACUCCACCUGUCGAGAAUAUCGACGGUGUUUCCGAUAACCAGGCAAUCAGGCCAUAAGGCUGUAACAGACAAAGCGCGCUCAGGGAACUUAUGCUAUAUUACCGACGAAGUGUAAGAAGCAUCUUCGAAGAAAAUAGUACCCCCACCGAUACCUUUCUUCGGUGCUCAUUGUUACUAUGAGACUUGUGCAAUAGAUUUUUUGUACUCAUGAGUUCCGUUGUGUGCCGACCAUAAUUGAAAACAAUAAGAGCGCUAGCUUUCGGCUUCACCCAGUCUGAGGUCUGGCUCGGAUGACCCGAUCGUGACAAUCGCAGAGGUGCUCCCUUUACUCCCUAGCCGAACAAUCGGGAACGUAGGGGUAAACACAAGAGCGAGGCAACCCAGCUUGCAAAUCGCUUAAGUCAAUAUGGUGCAUAUUGUGGCAUAAUACAUGAACAAGGAACGAAGCCGUACAAGUAUAAUCAUAUGCAAGAGGAAAAUCUUGAUAAAGGAAGCCCCCAAGUAAACGGGGUAUUUGAAUUUGUGUGUCACAAACAAAGUUUCGACAAGGAAGUUUUUCACAAGCCAGUUUUUGCCAAAAAGGUAUAAUGCUUGGUCGAAUUGAACAAAAUUUAAAACUGGGAGUUUUUGAGCGUCAAAGUGACUUAGCUGGUUAAUGUGUUCUGCAUUGAUGACGCGGUCCGAGCUUGAUGCGGGACAAGGUUCCAUCCCCCAAGCCGGCCCCGAGGUGGCGGAGCGAAGAGCUCGACACUCCGAAGUGGUGACAUAGCACGGCCAAUGCAGGCCGGCAGAGUGACGCCGAAGUCCCGGGCGUGGGGUAAUGAAAUGUUGACGAAGCCCCCCGUCCAGCCGAGGUGACGUGGUAUGUCAGUAUACCGAGUUGACGAUACUGCCCGACCCGGAUCAUUUUCCUGUGCACAAAAAAUAGUGCAAACCGGAGAUAAUAGUAAUAAUAAUUAUUAAAAAAAUCGUUUCAUAAUAAAUAAUUUAUGCAAAGUGAGUAAUAAAAGAAAAUAUGGCCUGCGUGCCGAAGUGAACGUCGAUGCAGGGCGUCGGCGUGAUGCGGUAAAGGCGUGGCAAAGCCUGAAUUCAGAGGUCGGUCCGAGUUCCGGAUGCGGCGUGCGCCGGACUAUGUACGGAAUGUUGGGGAACGUAGCAGAAAUUCAAAAUUUUCCUACGUGUCACCAAGAUCAAUCUAGGAGAUUCUAGCAACGAGAGGGGAGGAGUGCAUCUACAUACCCUUGUAGAUCGUGAGCGGAAGCGUUCAAGAGAACGGGGUUGAUGGAGUCGUACUCGUCGUGAUCCAAAUCACCGAUGAUCCUAGCGCCGAACGGACGGCACCUCCGUGUUCAACACACGUACGAAGCGGGACGUCUCCUACUUCUUGAUCUAGCAAGGGGGGAGGAGAAGUUGAUGGAGAUCCAGCAGCACGACGGCGUGGUGGUGGAAGUAGCGGGAUCCCGGCAGGGCUUCGCCAAGCGCAAGCGGGGAGGAAGAGGUGUCACGGGAGGGAGGGAGGCGCCAGGGCUUGGGGUGCUGCUCCCAUGCGCCUCCCCACUAUAUAUAGGGGUGGAGGGGGCUGGUUUCUUGCCCUCCAAGUCCAUUGGGGCGAUGGCAAAGGUGGGGGAAAGAAAUCCCAUCAUUUCCCUUCCCCACCGAUUGUUGUCCCCCUUUUUUAGGGAUCUUGAUCUUAUCCCUUCGGGAUAUGAUCUUAUUCCUUCUAAGGUGGGAUCUUGGUGCGCCUUGACCAGGGGUGUGGGGCCUUGCCCCCACUACCCACGUUCAUGUGGGUCCCCCCAUGCAGGUGGGCCCCACUUCAGAACCUUCUCGGUACAAUACCGAAAAAUCCCGAACAUUUUCCGGUGGCCAAAAUAGGACUUCCCAUAUAUAAAUCUUUACCUCCGGACCAUUCCGGAACUCCUCGUGACGUCCGGGAUCUCAUCCGGGACUCCGAACGACUUUCGGAUUUCCGCAUACUAAUAUCUCUACAACCCUAGCGUCACCGAACCUUAAGUGUGUAGACCCUACGGGUUCGGGAGACAUGCAGACAUGACCGAGACGACUCUCCAGUCAAUAACCAACAGCGGGAUCUGGAUACCCAUGUUGGCUCCCACAUGUUCCACGAUGAUCUCAUCGGAUGAACCACGAUGUCGAGGAUUCAAUCAAUCCCGUAUACAAUUCCCUUUGUCAAUCGGUACGUUACUUGCCCGAGAUUCGAUCGUCGGUAUCCCAAUACCUUGUUCAAUCUCGUUACCGGCAAGUCACUUUACUCGUACCGUAAUGCAUGAUCCUAUGACCAAACACUUGGUCACAUUGAGCUCAUUAUGAUGAUGCAUUACCGAGUGGGCCCAGAGAUACCUCUCCGUCAUACGGAGUGACAAAUCCCAGUCUCGAUUCAUGCCAACCCAACAGACACUUUCGGAGAUACCUGUAGUGCACCUUUAUAGCCACCCAGUUACGUUGGGACGUUUGGUACACCCAAAGCAUUCCUACGGUAUCCGGGAGUUGCACAAUCUCAUGGUCUAAGGAAAUGAUACUUGACAUUAGAAAAGCUCUAGCAAACGAACUACACGAUCUUGUGCUAUGCUUAGGAUUGGGUCUUGUCCAUCACAUCAUUCUCCUAAUGAUGUGAUCCCGUUAUCAAUGACAUCCAAUGUCCAUGGUCAGGAAACCAUAACCAUGUAUUGAUCAACGAGCUAGUCAACUAAAGGCUAUAUAGGGACAUGUUGUGGUCUAUGUAUUCACACAUGUAUUACGGUUUCCAGUUAAUACAAUUAAAGCAUGAACAACAGACAAUUAUCAUGAACAAGGAAAUACAAUAAUAACCAUUUUAUUAUUGCCUCUAGGGCAUAUUUCCAACAGUCUCCCACUUGCACUAGAGUCAAUAAUCUAGUUCACAUCACCAUGUGAUUAACACUCAAAGUUCACUAGAGUCAAUAAUCUAGUCCACAUCACCAUGUGAUUAACACUCAAUGAGUUCUAGGGUUUGAUCAUGUUAUGCUUACGAGAGAGGUUUUAGUCAACGGGUCUGCAACAUUCAGAUCCGUGUGUGCUUUACAAAUCUCUAUGUCAUCUUGUAGAUGUAGCUACCACGCGCUACUUGGAGCUAUUCCAAAUAACUGCUCUACUAUACGAAUCCGGUUUACUACUCAGAGUCAUCCGGAUUAGUGUCAAAGUUUGCAUCGACGUAACCCUUUACGACGAACUGUUUUACCACCUCCAUAAUCGAGAAAAUUCCUUAGUCCACUAGAUACUAAGGAUAAGUUCGACCGCUGUCAUGUGACCCAUUCCCGGAUCACUAUUGUACCCCUUGACUAACUCAUGGCAAGGCACACUUCAGGUGCGGUACACAGCAUAGCAUACUGUAGAGCCUUAGUCUAAAGCAUAGGGGACGAACUUCGUCCUUUCUCUCUUUUCUGUCGUGGUCAGGUCUUGAGUCUUACUCAAUACUCACACCUUGUAACACAGCCAAGAACUCCUUCUUUGCUGAUCUAUUUUGAACUCCUUCAAAAUCUUGUCACGGUAUGUAUUCAUUUGAAAGUACUAUUAAGCGUUUUUUGAUCUAUCCUUAUAGAUCUUGAUGCUCAAUGUUCAAGUAGCUUAAUCCAGGUUUUCCAAUAAAAACACUUUUCAAAUAACCCUGGAUGCUUUCCAGAAAUUCUACAUCAUUUCUGAUCAACAAUAUGUUAACAACAUAUACUCAUCAAAAAUUCUAUAGUGCUCCCACUCACUUCUUUGGAAAUACAAGUUUCUCAUGAACCUUGUAUAAACCCAAAAUCUUUGAUCAUCUCAUCAAAGCAUUCAUUCCAACUCCGAGAUGCUUACUCCGAUCCUUAGAACGAUUGCUGGAGCUUUGCAUACUUGUUAGCAUCUUUCAGGAUUGACAAAACCUUCUGGUAGUAUCACAUACAACCUUUCCUCAGGAAAAUCAUCGAGGAAACAAUGUUUUGACAUCCUAUCUGCAAGAUUUCAUAAAUAAUGCAGUAACUGCUAAUAUAAUUCUAAUAGACUCUUAGCAUCGCUACGAGUGAGAAAGUCUCAUCGCAGUCAACUCCUUGAACUUGCCGAAAAACAUCUUAACGACAAGUGGAGCUUUCUUAAUGGUGACACUUACCAUCAUUGUCUGUCUUCCCUUUAAAAUCCAUCUGUACCCAACAGCCUUACGACCAUCAAGUAGUUCUUUCAAAGUUUAUACUUUGUUUUCAUACAUGGAUCCUCUCGGAUUUUAUGGCCUCAAGCCAUUCGUCAGAAUCCGGGCCCACCAUCGCUUCUCCAUAGCUCGUAGGUUCAUUGUUGUCUAGCAACAUGACUUCCAAGACAGGAUUACGUACCACUCUGAAGUAGUACGCAUCCUUGUCGUCCUAUGAGGUUUGGUAGUGGCUUGAUCUGAAGUUUCAUGAUCACUAUCAUAAGCUUCCACUUCAAUUGGUGUAGGUGCCACAGGAACAACUUCCUGUGCCCUGCUACACAUUAGUUGAAGUGACGGUUCAAUGACCUCAUCAAGUCUCCACCAUCCUCCCACUCAAUUAUUUCGAGAGAAACUUUUCCUCGAGAAAGGACCCGUUUCUAGAAACAAUCACUUUUGCUUCCAGAUCUGAAAUAGGAGGUAUACCCAACUGUUUUGGGUAUUCUAUGAUGAUGCAUUUAUCCGCUUUGGGUUCGAGCUUAUCUGCCUGAAACUUUUUCACAUAAGCGUCGCAGCCCCAAACUUUUAAGAGACGACAGCUUAGGUUUCUCUAAACCAUAGUUCAUACGGUGUCGUCUCAACGGAAUUGCAUGGUGCCCUAUUUAAAGUGAAUGCGGUUGUCUCUAAUGCCUAACCCAUAAACGAUAGUUGUAAUUCGAUAAGAGACAUCAUGGUAUGCACCAUAUCCAAUAGGGUGCAGUUAUGAUGUUCGGACACACCAUCACAAUAUUGUGUUCCAGGCGGUAUUAGUCGUGAAACAAUUUCCACAAUUUCUUAAUUGUGUGCCAAACUCGUAACUCAGAUAGUCAUCUCUAUGAUCAUAUCACAGACAUUUUAUCCUCUUGUCACGACGAUCUUCAACUUCACUCUGAAAUUACUUGAACCUUUCAAUAAUUCAGACUUGUUUUCAUCAAGUAAAUAUUCUCAGCAUCUACUCAAAUCAUCUGUGAAGUAAGAACAUAACGAUAUCCACUGCGUGCCUCAGCACUCAUUGGACUGCACACAUCAAAUGUAUUACUUCCAACAAGUUGCUCUCUUGUUCCAUCUUACUGAAAACGAGGCCUUUCAGUCAUCUUGCCCAUGUGGUAUGAUUUGCAUGUCUCAAGUGAUUCAAAAUCAAGUGAGUCCAAAUGAUCCAUCUGUAUGGACUUUCUUCAUGCAUAUAUACUAAUAGACAUGGUUCGCAUGUCUCAAUCUUUUCAAAAAUGAGUGAGUCCAAAGAUCCAUCAACAUGGAGCUUCUUCAUGCGUUUUAUACCAAUAUGACUCAAGUGGCAGUGCCACAAGUAUGUGGUACUAUCAUUACUAUCUUAUAUCUUUUGGCAUGAACAUGUGUAUCACUACGAUCGAGAUUCAAUAAACCAUUCAUUUUAGGUGCAAGACCAUUGAAGGUAUUAUUCAAAUAGACAGAGUAACCAUUAUUCUCCUUUAAUGAAUAACCGUAUUGCGAUAAACAUAAUCCAAUCGUGUCUAUGCUCAACGCAAACACCAAAUAACAAUUAUUCAGGUUUAACCCCAAUCUCGAUGGUAGAGGGAGCAUGCGAUGAUUGAUCAGAUCAACCUUGGAAACACUUCCAACACAUAUCGUCAUCUCACCUUUAGCUAGUCUCUGUUUAUUCUGCAGCUUUUAUUUCGAGUUACUAACACUUAGCAACCGAACCGGUAUCUAAUACCCUGGUGCUACUAGGAGUACUAGUAAAGUACACAUUAAUAUAAUGUAUAUCCAAUAUACUUUUGUCGACCUUGCCAGCCUUCUCAUCUAUGAAGUAUCUAGGGUAGUUCUGCUUCAGUCAUCGUUCCCCUCAUUUCAGAAGCACUUAGUCUCGGGUUUGGGUUCAACCUUGGGUUUCUUCACUAGAGCAACAACUGAUUUGCCGUUUCAUGAAGUAUCCCUUCUUGCCCUUGCCCUUCUAGAAACUAGUCGUUUUACUAACCAUCAACAAUUGAUGCUCCUACUUGAUUUCUACUUUCGCGGUGUCAAACAUCGCAAGUUGCUCAAGGAUCAUCAUGUCUAUCCCUGAUAUGUUAUAGUUCAUCAUGAAGCUCUAAUAGCUUGGUGGCAGUGACUAUGGAGAACCAUCACUAUCUCAUCUGGAAGAUUAACUCCCACUCGAUUCAAGUGAUUGUAGUACUCAGACAAUCUGAGCACAUGCUCAAUGAUUAAGAUUUUCUCCCUUAGUUUGCAGGCUUAAGAAACUUGUCAGAGGUCUCAUACCUCUUGACGUGGGCACUAGUCUGAAAUCCCAAUUUCAGUCUUUGGAACAUCUCAUAUGUUCUGCGACGUUUCAAAACCGUCUUUGGUGCCACAAUUUUAAACCGUUCAACAUUAGGCACUGAACUAUCACGUAGUCAUCAAAACGUGUAUGUCAGAUGUUCGCAACAUCCACAAACGACGCUCGAGGUUUAGCACACUGAGCGGUGCAUUAAGGACAUAAGCCUUCUGUGCAGCAAUGAGGACAAUCCUCAGUUUACGGACCCAGUCCGCAUAAUUGCUACUAUCAACUUUCAACUAAAUUUUCUCUAGGAACAUAUCUUAGUAGAACUAAAGUGUAAGCUAUGACAUUAUUUGCAAAGACCUUUUGGCUAUGUUCAUGAUAAUUAAGUUCAUCUGUUUAUUUAACGAACUCCCACUUAGAUAGACAUUGCUCUAGUCAUCUAAGUGAUACAUGAUCCGAAUCGACUAGGCCGUGUCCGAUCAUCACGUGAGACGGACAAGUCAUCAUCGGUGAACAUCUCCAUGUUGAUCGUAUCCACUAUACGACUCAUGUUCGACCUUUCGGUCUCUUGUGUUCCGAGGCCAUGUCUGUACAUGCUAGGCUCGUCAAGUCAACCUAAGUGUUUUGCUUGUGUUCCGAGGCCAUGUCUGUACAUGCUAGGCUCGUCAACACCCGUUGUAUGCGAACGUUAGAAUCUAUCACACCCGAUCAUCACGUGGUGCUUCAAAACAACGAACCUUCGCAACGGUGCACAGUUAGGGGGAACACGUCUCUUGAAAUUUUAGUGAGGGAUCAUCUUAUUUAUGCUACCGUCGUUCUAAGCAAAUAAGAUGUAAACAUGACAAACAUCACAUGCAAAUCAUAAAGUGACGUGAUAUGGCCAAUAUCAUCUUGCGCCUUUGAUCUCCAUCUUCGAGGCGCGGCAUGAUCACCUUCGUCGCCGGCAUGACACCAUGAUCUCCAUCAUCAUGAUCUCCAUCAUCGUGUCUUCAUGAAGUUGUCUCGCCAACUAUUACUUCUACUACUAUGGCUAACGGUUAGCAAUAAAGUAAAGUAAUUACAUGGCAUUUUUCAUUGACAUGCAGGUCAUACAAUAAAUUAAGACAACUCCUAUGGCUCCUGCCGGUUGUCAUACUCAUCGACAUGCAAGUCGUGAUUCCUAUUACAAGAACAUGAUCAAUUUCAUACAUCACAUAUAUCAUUCAUCACAUCCUUUUGGCCAUAUCACAUCACAUAGCAUACCCUGCAAAAACAAGUUAGCCGUCCUCUAAUUGUUGUUGCAUGUUUUACGUGGCUGCUAUGGGUUUCUAGCAAGAACGUUUCUUACCUACGCAAAAGCCACAAUGGUGAUAUGCCAAUUGCUAUUUACCCUUCAUAAGGACCCUUUUCAUCGAAUCCGAUCCAACUAAAGUGGGAGAGACAGACACCCGCUAGCCACCUUAUGCAUCAAGUGCAUGUCAGUCGGUGGAACCUGUCUCACGUAAGAGUACGUCUAAGGUCAGUCCGGGCCGCUUCAUCCCACAAUGUCGCCAAAUCAAGAUAAGACUAGUAACGGUAAGCAAAUUGAACAAAUCAUCGCCCACAACUACUUUGUGUUCUAGUCCUGCAUAGAAUCUACGCAUAGACCUAGCUCUGAUACCACUGUUGGGGAACGUAGCAGAAAUUCAAAAUUUUCCUACGUGUCAACAAGAUCAAUCUAGGAGAUGCUAGCAACGAGAGGGGAGGAGUGAAUCUACAUACCCUUGUAGAUCGCGAGCGGAAGUGUUGAAGAGAAUGGGGUUGAUGGAGUCGUACUCGUCGUGAUCCAAAUCACCGAUGAUCCUAGCGCCGAACGGAGGACACCUCCGCGUUCAACACACGUACGGAGCCGGGACAUCUCCUCCUUGAUCCAGCAAGGGGGGAGGAGAAGUUGAUGGAGAUCUAGCAGCACGACGGCGUGGUGGUGGAAGUAGCGGGAUCCCGGCAGGGCUUCGCCAAGCGCAAGCGGGGGGGAAGAGGUGUCACGGGAGGGAGGGAGGCCCCAGAGGUGUAGCGGGAUCCCAUGCACCUCCCCACUAUAUAUAGGGGUGGAGGGGGCUGGUUUCUUGCCCUCCAAGUCCAUUGGGGCGUUGGCAAAGGUGGAGGAAAGAAAUCCCAUUAUUUCCCUUCCCCACCGAUUGUUAUCCCACUUUUUUAGCGAUCUUGAUCUUAACCCAUCGGGAUAUGAUCUUAUUCCUUCUAAGGUGAGAUCUUGGUGCGCCUUGACCAGGCGUGUGGGGCCUUGCCCCCACUAUCCACGUUCAUGUGGGUCCCCCCAUGCAGGUGGGCCCCACUUCGGAACCUUCUAGAACCUUCUCGGUACAAUACCGAAAAAUCCCGAACAUUUUCCGGUGGCCAAAAUAGGACUUCACAUAUAUAAAUCUUUACCUCUCCGGACCAUUCCGGAACUCCUCGUGAUGUCCGGGAUCUCAUCCGGGACUCCGAACGACUUUUGGAUUUCCGCAUACUAAUAUCUCUACAACCCUAGCGUCACCGAACCUUAAGUGUGUAGACCCUACGGGUUCGGGAGACAUGCAGACAUGACCGAGACGACUCUCCGGUCAAUAACCAACAGCGGGAUCUGGAUACCCAUGUUGGCUCCCACAUGUUCCACGAUGAUCUCAUCGGAUGAACCACGAUGUCGAGGAUUCAAUCAAUCCCGUAUACAAUUCCCUUUCUCAAUCGGUACGUUACUUGCCCGAGAUUCGAUCGUCGGUAUCCCAAUACCUUGUUCAAUCUCGUUACCGGCAAGUCACUUUACUCGUACCGUAAUGCAUGAUCCCGUGACCAAACACUUGGUCACAUUGAGCUCAUUAUGAUGAUGCAUUACCGAGUGGGCCCAGAGAUACCUCUCCGUCAUACGGAGUGACAAAUCCCAGUCUCGAUUCGUGCCAACCCAACAGACACUUUCGGAGAUACCUGUAGUGCACCUUUAUAGCCACCCAGUUACGUUGUGACGUUUGGUACACCCAAAGCAUUCCUACGGUAUCCGGGAGUUGCACAAUCUCAUGGUCUAAGGAAAUGAUACUUGACAUUAGAAAAGCUCUAGCAAACGAACUACACGAUCUUGUGCUAUGCUUAGGAUUGGGUUUUGUUCAUCACAUCAUUCUCCUAAUGAUGUGAUCCCGUUAUCAGUGACAUCCAAUGUCCAUGGUCAGGAAACCAUAACCAUCUAUUGAUCAACGAGCUAGUCAACUAGAGGCUUACUAGGGACAUGUUGUGGUCUAUGUAUUCACACAUGUAUUACGGUUUCCAGUUAAUACAAUUAUAGCAUGAACAACAGACAAUUAUCAUGAACAAGGAAAUACAAUAAUAACCAUUUUAUUAUUUCCUCUAGGGCGUAUUUCCAACACGGAACCUGGUUUAUUUGUUGUAGCAAUCCGAAGAAAGGUGACUCCCAAAAUUGGGACUCGAUCCGCACACCCAUUGCCUGAUGGGUGAUAAAGUGACGGCAUGGCGAUGCUGGUAAAGGUUGGCUUGCCGAGGCAAAGCCCUCGGUCCAGCUAACGUGACGAAGCUGGUCGGCCAGUGACACUGAAGUCUCCGGAGUAGGUUGAUGAAGAGAUGGCGAAGCCUCCGAUCCAGCCGAGAUGUCGAAGCCUUGAUGUCGGCCGAUGAGUCGAAGUAGGUCGGCGUGAUGGACACUGGCUUGAAGGAGCAACAGUGCGGCCCUGCCGAUGCAGGUCGUGACGUGGUCAAUGUCGGCUUGAUGAAGUGACCGUGCGGCGAUGCCGGUGUGCCCGCUCCGUGUAGUUCGUGGGGCAGCGAUGUUGGUGAUAAUUUAUCCUUCGUGAUGCCGAACUCUUGUUCGGCUUGCCGAGAUGAUGAUCCGAAGAAGUUGAGCUCGGCUCAGCAAAGCGACGACGUGUCUAGCGCAGGUCGGCAGCUGUAGAGCAACGUUGUCGGGCUGGUUUGACACCAGCGCGAUGGUGAAGAUCAUAUUGGAAAAGACUUCAAAAUUAGCGGGAUGUGUUUGGGAACAAAACACAAUACCCCAUACAAAACUUCCUUCAAAAAGCAUGUCCGAAAUCCCGUUCAUAAAAAAGAUGAAUUCGGGUCGGAUUCGUUCUCGUGCAGAAAACAGAUCCGAAAAGUGAUGCACUAAUCGGAAGGUUCCCGGAAUUUGGACGGUCGGAUCAAGCUGAAAUUGUGAGGGGUGGUAGAUAUAGGAAUUCCGCAGCCGAUCAACGGUUGGAUCUUCCAAAGGAGGUCCGAGCUAGAAGCUGGACACCACGCCCUAAACUCGUCCAGAUUCCCGUCCAGAUUUGAGAGGGCUCCGGUAUAUCGUGGAUUGCCAGAGAUUCCUUCAUCGGAACUUGACAAAAUUUUCCAGGGCUGUUGUAGACUCAAUUCCGCACAAUUCCACUGAAGCAAUCGUUAAAACGACAAUUGAGGAGGCGGUGGCGGCGGAUACAAGUUUGCUGCCCAGAAAAACAGCACGGUCGCCCGAGGGCAAUGUUGACGUUGAGCCCCCGAGCUCCCUGGAUGAUUCCUCCAUGAUCUUGUUAGAGAUCGGAGUUGAUGUUGAUGAAGGCCCUCCUCCGAACAUGACGAUCGGAGGUAGGGCCGAGUCCUCGGUCCAGCCAAGGUGACCAGUCGAGCCAGCGACGAAGAUGCCGGCGUCCCAGUUGACCUGCGGGCGAGCCAUUGAUCCUUUUGCCGAUCACACAGCGGAACUCUCAAUGAAAGCGCCAAUGUCGGUGUCAAAACCGGUGGAUCUCGGGUAGGGGGUCCCGAACUGUGCGUCUAAGGCCAAUGGUAACAGGAGGCGGGGGACACGAUGUUUACCCAGGUUCGGGCCCUCUCGAUGGAGGUAAUACCCUACUUCCUGCUUGAUUGAUCUUGAUGAUAUGAGUAUUACAAGAGUUGAUCUACCACGAGAUCGUAGAGGCUAAACCCUAGAAGCUAGCCUAUGAAUAUGAUUGUGUAUAUCUAUCGACUAGCCUGGCCUCGGUUUAUAUAAUGCACCAGAGGCCUAGGAUAACAAGAGUCCUAGCCGAAUACGCCGGUGGGGAGGAGUCCUUGUCUUGAUCACCAAGUCUUGUGGAAUCUUCCUUGUAUGCGGCAGCUGUCCGAACUGGCCCACGUGUAUCCGGCCAUGGGGGUCCUCGGCCCAAUCCAACUGAUCGGGAGACGACGUGAUGAGUACCCCCUAGUCCAGGACACCGUCAGCACCAGCAAAGUCCCUAAAAACGUGGUUGUGCCGGAGAAAUCAGACAGCACCCCACUUAUAUUGGCUGUACAACCAGUGACACAAAACGUAGGACCGACUCCAGCAGACUGUACCCAUACUUCACUGGCCACACCACUAGCCCCACCACACAGGACCUGCACUCCAGCAAAAGGUAUGCCGAUUUCAGUUGCCAUAGCACCAGUUGUACCACAGAAAAAUCCCACUCCAGCAAAAAGUACAGCAAGUCCACCGGCCGAAGACCUAUCCCAAGUGCAGAGACGGCCAAUUCCUCCAGAUUGGAACCCCAUUCCAGUUAUUCCCAGUUUAAAAGACAAUGCUUUCAAUGUUGUUAGGGACUACGUGCAUAUAUUCCCAUCAUUGGAAGAUUAUAGUGAAGACAAACACCAUUUUCACAUCUUCCUGUCCCACUUAUGUGUAAGUGCUAUUAUUCAUGGUGAUUAUUUUCCUGUUUUCUGCUGAUUGAACACAUCAAUGAUUUACAUUACAUUGUUGUAAGUAGGCGAGGGUCAAUCUGAAUAGUCAUGACGAGCAAAGCUUGCUUGCACUUUUCAAGGAAGCAUUGCAGCAGUAUUGGUGUUACCUGAGGAAAUCACACUUUGAUGGCAAGUCUAUAAACGAAUUUUUGGUGAAGUCUCGUAUGCUAAAUUUAGAAGACAUUGAAUGGAAAAACCUUGUUAUGCACUGGUCUCGUUCCGAGGAUGAGGUACUGUCUAUGAUAUCGCAUGACAAUUUGAACUUCUACUUUUCCGCAUGUGCUUUACGGAUCUUUUUUGCAGGAAAUCUGCUCGAAAAAGAAUUCUGGUUUGAAAAGAACGACAGGAUAUCGCAAAUAUGCUGCCCGCUGCUUUGCUCUUGUUAGUACCUGUUGUCAUGUAUCACUGUACUUGCAUACAUAUCUGGUUCAUUAUGUGACAGCAGUAUGCAUGAUAGCUUGCUUAUCAAUUGUUCGCUCCAAAUUAUCUGAUCUGUAUGAAUGGUUACAUUAGUGUAGAAUAUAUCCAAUGCCAAUGAAAUUUUUAAGCUCUGCAUUGUUCUUGUAAGUACCUGUUGUCCUUUAUCAGUGUACUUAUAUUGACAGGUAGUUGUUCAUGUACCAUCACUCUGCAGCUUAUUUUUCUUUGCCCUCCAUUUUCGACACAUAAGAUCUAUAUUUACUCUUACCAUAAAGUUGGCUAACACUGAUGGUACUGAAGAAGUUUAGCUCUGCAUUGCUCUUGGCUGUACCUUUUGCCUGUAUCGCUGUACUUACAUUUAUAGCUACUUGGUUAUGUAGCAUCGCUCUUCAUCUUAUCUUAAAUAUUCUCCAUUUUUUCUUAUAUUGUCACAUCUAUAUUUACUCUUAACAAAAUGUAGAAUAAAGGCAAUGCUUAUGAUGAAGAUUAUGUGGUAAACUUCUUGAAUUGCCCCCCCCCCAUCAGCAUGGACAAGGGCUUUAUAGAGCCUUCCUUCACCAAUAAUGUAAGUUUGUCCUUCUCAAGCCUUCAAACUUUGUUGUGUAUAUUUGGUUAGGCAUGACUGCAACAGCUAUUUAUUUUUGGUGUUUGCAUCAAAUUGCAUGUUUAGAGUUUAUUAUGUACUCCAGUUCAUAAACAAAAGUUUGUCCUUCACAAUUUAAGUUUUCAGUUGUACAACCAAGUUCCUUCUUCAUACCAUGUAAAUUAAACUGUACAAAGCAAGUGAUCAUAUUUUGCCAAUCUGAAAUGGGAUAAAUUGAUAGCACACUAACCAUUGACACUUAUGAGUUCUUGAUCUGUAAUCCAGUGGUGUUGUGAAGCUGCCAACUCCUUCACAAUGUUAUUUCCUGCCAUGUCUUGACCUGAACAAUACCAUAUUGUGUUAAUGCUAUUUUAAACUGUGUCACUUUAUUCGUUAGUAAGAAAUGUGAUGAAUUGCCAGCACUGAUACUUAUAUGUGCAAAACAUGUCAUCUGUCUGCUUGUUUAUCUUUCAGAGUGAGGAGGAUAUAAGUGUCAAACAAGUGCAGUCUCACCAGCUUGCUCAGCUGCUUGCGCUGCAGCUCCCGAGCAGGGCUAACCUUUCUUGAACUCUAUUAAAGUGUUGUCGGUUUUGUAUAUUAUUUUGCCGGCGUGUUUAGUUGCACUGGUGGCGAUCUUUGAUGCCCAGUGUAUGUAAUCUGCUGUCUGCUUGUGCUUUAUUAUCAUAGUGGCGAACUUUGAUGCCCAGUGGAUGUAAUAUGCUGUAAUUUCUUUAUUGUAUAGUCUAGGUUUUUUUUCUUAUUCACGAUGCUGCAGUUAUUUUACUGUAUAUAUAUAUCCUGUCUUCGCAGUAAACCGGCCAAACCGUAAAAUUACGGUACAUAAUCGGGCCGUCAUGCAAAUCACCAUGUAUGAUCCGCAUCAUGGGCCCCGUCAUCUUGGUCCGUUAACAGGCCUAAAUGUAAACUGGCCCACUAGUAGAUUCGGCCCUUUAAUAGGCCGAGUAAACCGCCGGCCCUAUUUUCCCAAGAAAACUCAAUGGGCCUUUAGGAGGGUGAAAAGUAGGUUGGGCCUGAAACAUGCCGAACAGCUCACGGGCCAGCAGCAGGCCAAAAUAGACCCCGGCCCAUGAAUGUGCCAAUCAAAUCAUGGGCUUAUAACAGGCCAAAAUUGUCUCGGUCCUUGUUUGGCCUAAUCAGAUUAUCGGCUGCGAGUAGGCCGGAUGCAAACCGGGCCGUAGUUAGGCCCAACUAUAAGAUGGGCUUUUAACAGGCCGAAAUUAAUAUAGGGUUGAAAUGUUAAACGGGCCCUUAACAGGCCGAAACUAAUAUCAGGCCGAAUUACUAAAUGGGCCUUUAGCAAAUGGGCCCAAAAGCAUAGCGUCCGGUUGACGGGCCGAAUCUUAUAUGGGCCAUAAUUUAGCCCAAAGCAUCUUAAAGGGCCGGACCUGAUCUGGGCCGUAAUUUGGCCUAGAACGUGGUAGGCCUUUAACGGGCUGGAUCUCAUAUGGGCCAUUAUUAGGCCCAGAACGUGGCAGGCCAUUAAUGGACCGGAUCAAAUAUGGGUCGGCAUUUGGCACAAAAAAUGGCAUCCAGUUAAUGGGCCGGCCUACUAGGGUCCUCAAAAUCUUGUGGGCCUAAAGCUGGGCCGGUCCAUUAAUGUCGGUGAAAUCUCGUGGGCCUUUAGCUGGGCCGGCCCAUUAUGGUCCACAGAAAUCUCUUGGGCCUUCACCUGGGCCGGCCCAUUAUGGCCCGCAAAAAUCUUGUGGGCCUUUACCUGGGCCGGCCCAUUAUGGCCCGCAAAAUCUUGUGGGCCUUUAGCUGGUCCGGCCCAUUAUGGUUCGCAAAAUCUUGUGGGCCUUUAGCUGGGCCGGCCCAUUUAAACUUUAUGGGCCACUUUUGGGCCGGUCCAUGUGUUAACAUAUCAUAGGCACAUCUCGCCCAUUGGAUGAGUGACACCUGUGCCAACAGGGAGCUGACACGUGUUUCCUACAACCAAUGAUGAUUUCACACGUGGAAAAUCCCCACUGGGGUUGUUAACGGGUUAUCGGACCCAAUAGCUUAACGGCGUUCUGUUACGGUGGAUGCCACGUGUCGGUCACCCUUGAUGAAAGCACUUCUGUGACACGCGAUUUAUCGUCAUGGAAGUGGACACUUCUGUGAUGAUAAUUUUGGUAAUGUCAUGGAACACUUCUACGACAGCACAGGUAUGACUAUCUUGAUUCUGUCAUAAAUUUGUCAUGGAUGUACAUGCAUGACAGAAAACGUGACCUACUGUGACAAACACGUAUCAUCACGGAAGUGUAUUUUUUUGUAGUGGGAGGGUGUCUGGCGGGUGCCAAAUAUGUUGACAGGUGGGCCGACCUCCCCGUUGCAUGUGGGCGAGCACUCGAAAGGGCACACGUGAGCGCGAUGAAAUUCACUACAUGACGAAGGCCAUUUGUGCACCUGUGGUUCUCCCGGCAUGGGCUCCCGAAGUGGGUCGCCCGGGUGCUCAUUGUCCAAACAGAUCGGACAGCACGGAGAGCCCCCGAGAGGCCUCGGCAGCACGCCAUUAGGAAACACAUAGUGUGAAGGUCAAUCUCUCCUGUGGAAGCACCUAGGAGGCAGGUUGAUGUAGGGUGGAACCCUAGAUGGCCGAUCUUUCAUGAAAGGAGCGGAUCCCAUGAUGAACACGAAGAACACGAGGAGAAAUCACGAGGGGAAACACGAGAGAAUCACUCAAACCAACAAGAUUCGGUCACACAUAUGCUAGAUCCUCGAAACACAAAGAGAUACAAGAUCCAUGAUCAACAAGGGACGAUACAAGUAGCAUGUUCUUCUCCGUGAGGAGGUCUUGAGGUCUUCCCGUUAUGGGUCUUGAAUCCGCUUAGGGGAUCUUCUCCGUAGAGGUCGUGAACUCUGGUGGAGAAGUAACCAAGGGGAUGAGCAAAAUCUCUAUCUCUAAAUUGAGCUAAUCCUUUGCUAACCCUAGAAAGAGGGAGAACGAGUAUAUAUAGUCUAGGUGGGCGAAGGGGUACACGGGCCUCGGCCCUUUACUGUGCGCAGACAGAUGGAGUCGGACGUCCGGGCGUCGGGCUGGAUGUCCGGGCCUUCCUCAGCGGCCGGAUGCCCGGGCUGGGGGGCCGGAUGUCCGGGCAGGCGAGGGCGGCCUCGGUGCUCUCUCGAUAGGGGGCGCCGGAUUUCCGGGCUUCUGGCCGGAUUUCCGGGUUGGGGCCGGAUGUCCGGGGCCUGUAGGUACUUGGCGGCUGGGCGGCUACUAUGGGUGAUGUUCCAGGGGCCGGAUGUCCGGGGUCAUGUCUGGAUGUCCGGGUCCUGGGAACUGUUCUUGACUCCUUCCGUUGGUUCUAUUCAUCCAUGAACUUGGGGACUUGUCCGUCUUCACGUGCAUCUUUGGGAGGGUUCUCUUGGUACCUAAUCAUGCACAACAUUCCAGACUUAGGUAGUAGCCAUGUCUCAAGUGGAUCAUAUGUGAUAUCAAUAAGGAAAGAAGUCACCUCGCUCUCGAGAGCUCUAGCUCGUGCUCGUGUCAUAGGUCCUCUUGGCACUUUGUGAGACGAUGGUAGGUCCAUGGGGAUGACCAUAGGAUGCUCCGCAUCAUCUCCCCUCCCUUCGGAAAGAUUCGACCUCGGAUCGAAAUCUUCAUCACCAUGGUAGGGAGAGAGAUCUUUGACGUUGAAGAUGUCACUCCAGAGUACUUGUCGUGUGGGAUGUCGAUCUUGUAUGCGUUGUUGUUGUAGCGUUCAAGCACCUUGAAGGGUCCAUCAGCUCAUGGUAGAAGUUUGGACUUGCGUUCGUUGGGGAAGCGGUCCAUGCGAAGGUGUUGCCACACAAGAUCUCCAAUGUUGAAUACCGUGGGUUGCUUGUUGAAGUUGAGCUUGGCCGUGAGUCGUUGUACUUGGCGCUCGAUGGUGUGCCUUGUAUCUUCAUGGAUCUUCUUGAGGUAGUUCACUCGGGCACUCGCAUCCAUGUUGAUGCGCUCUUGUAGUGGUAGAGGAAGAAUGUCCAAUGGGGACAACGGGUUGAAACCGUAGACGACCUCGAAGGGGGACUUGCCGGUAGUCGAAUGUCUUGCUCGGUUGUAGGCGUACUUGGCGAUGGGUAGGCACUCCUCCCACUCCUUGAUGUUCUUCUUGAUCAACACGCGUAGGAGAGUGGAGAGCGUACGCUUGGUCACCUCUGUUUGGCCGUCGGUUUGAGGGUGGUAUGCCGAAGAGAACAAUAUCUUGAUUCCGAGCUUGGCGCAUAAGGUCUUCCAAAAGUAACUCAAGAACUUGACGCCGCGUCCCGAGACAAUCAUCUUGCGUACUCCAUGGAGACGUAGUAUUUCCCUACAAAAGAGAUUUGCAACAUGUGAGGCAUCGUCUAUCUUGUUGCAUGGAAUGAAGUGAGCCAUCUUAGAGAAUCGGUCCACAACAACAAACACGGAAUCUUUACCAUUUCUAGAUCUAGGCAACCCAAGGACAAAAUCCAUGCUAAUGUCUUCCCAUGGGUGAUAUGGCAUUGUAAGGGGCAUAUAAAGGCCAUGAGAUUGAGCUUUAGACUUAGCUUUGCGACAUGUAGAGCAUCGGUUGGUGAAGCGUGCGACGUCGCGGAACAUCUUGGGCCAAAAAUAGUUCUUGGAGAGUGUAGAGAAUGACUUGUCGCGUCCAAAGUGACGCAUUAGUCAUCCUCCAUGAGAUUCUUGCAAAAGUAACAAACGAAGAGAAUACUCGGGGAUGCAAAGUUUGUUAGCUCUCAUAAGAUAAUCAUCUUUGAUGUAAUAGCGUUCCCAAGAUGUAUGUGUCAAACAUUUGGCAUAUGGAAUAGCAAAAGUAGGAUCAUGCGCAUACAAGUCUUUAAUGUGCUCAAAACAAAUUCAAUUCAAGUUUGGUGACAAGCAUGCAUAUGCGGGAAAGAGCAUCCGCCACAACAUUUUCCUUACCUUUGAUAUAUUUGAUGACAUAAGGAAAUGACUCAAUGGACUCACUCUACUUAGAAUGACGCUUGUUCAACUUAGUUUGACCCUUAAGGUAUUUAAGUGUUAAUUUCAUGGUCGGUAUGAAUGACAAAUUCAUGAGGGCGAAGAUAAUGUUCGCAUUCAUGUAAAACUUGCACUAAAGCAUAUAGCCCUUUGUCAUAGAUGGGGUAAUUGAGUUGCGGUCCAGAAAGUUUUUCGGUAAAGUAAGCAAUUGGGCGAUUCUCUUGCGUUAACACACCUCCUAUACCAUUACCGCUAGCAUCGCAAUGAAUUUCAAAGGGCUUGUCAAAGUCGGGUAAUGCAAGCACGGGAGCAUGAGUAAGCAAAUUCUUAAGCUCAUUGAAUGCGCUAUCUUGAGAUGGUCCCCAAACAAAGGGUGCAUUUUUCUUAAUCAAAGCAUGUGAAGGAGAUGCAAUGGUGCUAAAGUCCUUAACAAAUCUACGGUAGAAACCGGCUAAACCAAGGAAGCUACGUACUUGUUGCAAGUUGGUUGGUUGGGGCCAAGUUUUAAUAGCAUUGAUCUUAGAUUCAUCAACAUGAACACCCUUAGAAGACACAACAAAACCCAAGAAAACAAGCUUAUCAACACCAAAAAGGCAUUUUUCCAUAUUAGCAUAAAGGCGCUCUUUUCUAAGAAUUUGCAACACGGUUCUAAGUUGGGUGACAUGAUCUAUGAGAGAUUUUCUAAACACAAGAAUAUUGUCAAAAUAGACCACAACAAAUACACCAAUAUAAGGCCGAAGAACAAAAUGCAUGACUCGCAUGAAAGUGCCGGGUGCUUCGGAUAAACCCAUAGGCAUAACAAGCCAUUCAUAUAAGCCAAAUUUGGUCUUAAAUGCGGUUUCCCAUUCAUCGCCUUCUUGGAUGCGUAUUUGAUAGUAUCCACUUUAAAGAUCAAUUUUAGAAAAAAUUGUGGCUCCGCUAAGCUCAUCAAGCAUAUCAUCUAGGCGUGGAAUGGGGUAAUGAUAAUGCACGGUAAUAGCAUUGAUAGGACGACAAUCGGAACACAUGCAAUAUGUAGCAUCUUUCUUGGGAACAAGGAUUACCGGGACGUCACAAGGGCUCAAACUUUCUCGUACAUGGUCGUUCUCGAUGAGUUGUUGUACUUGCCAUUGGAUCUCCUUAGUUUCCUCGGGGUUGACGCAGUAGGGAGCCUUGUUAGGAAGGGGUGCUCCGGGGAUGAGGUCGAUGCGGUGUUCGAUGCCUCGUAGUGGAGGUAGACCCGGAGGUAGCUCAUUAGGGAAAACGUCUUGGAAUUCCUGCAAUAUAGAAGAUAACACUAAAGGUAGAUUGUGAGAAUUGUUAGUUUUUGGUGCCUCGUCCUUGCACAAAAGGACAUAGUGCAUGACACUUGAUGGGUUCUCACACACUUCUUUCAUCUCACUUUUGGUGGCAAAUAGGACUAGAUUUUUCUUGUCGCUCAUCGUGGAGGCACUCAAUUUGGGCUUGUGGCGCUCACUCUCUUUGUGGUGGUUCGCUCUCUCACUACUCUCCCCAGGAUGGGUGGCUUUCUUGUCGGCUAUCACUUGACUUGGAGACAUAGGUCGUAGCAAAUACUCCUUUCCUUUCAUCUUGAAGCUAUAUUGAUUGGUCCGUCCGUUGUGGAUGACGCCUUGGUCAAAUGUCGUCCAAGAAGGAGGUGGCAAACGGACACGGAACAACAUCACACUCCAAAGUGUCUUCAUAAGCUCCGAUCUUGAAGGAAACUUGCACCAUAUGCUCGACUUGGAUAGUGCCGGAGUCGCUUAGUCAUUGGACUUUGUAAGGAUGCGGGUGCUUCAUCUUGACCAAUUGGAGCUUGGAGCAUAGCUCUUCACUUGCCAAGUUAUGACAACUCCCUCCAUCGAUGAUGACCUUCACGGACUUUCCAUUAAUGCCGGCCUUGGUAUGGAAGAUAUGGCAUCUUUGGUCUUCAUCUUGUUGAUGUUGAAGUGUCUAGACCUUGGAGACAACAAGAGUGGGGCUCGAAUCUUCGUCACAAAAGACCUGAUCAUCUUCAUCAUCGUUCACUUGUCGGUGAAUGGCCACUUUCUCAAGGGCUUCCAUUUCUCCUUCACUCAUGGAGUCGUAUGUACCAUCGUCGUUGAAGAUCAUGGUGCACUUGUUGGUACACUCAAAGGACUUGUGGCCUCGGCCGCCGCAUGUGAAGCAUUUGAAGGAACUUGUCUUGAUGGUCUCAUCGGUUGGAGUAGAUGAUGAUGAAGCUCUCGUCUUGAAGUUGCAUGUACUAGGAGGACGACUUGAGGUUGUCGAAGUUUUCUUGUAACUUGACUUGUCUCCGUUGCUUGUAGAUGGCUUGGUUGAGGUAGAAGGUGUUGGAGUCGUUGACGCUUGGUUGUUGGUGAAACCAUAGGACUUGGAUGAGAACUUGGCAUACUUGAAGUCAUCUUGCACUUGACGUUCCGCUUUGGUAGCUUGGUACACUAGCUCGAUGGGGUUCGAGUAUGGUUGAAAGUCGGUGAUCCUCUUGAUGGGAUGAUAGACUCCAUUCAAGAAACGUGCCAUAGUUUGCUCAUCAUCUUCGAUGGCAUUGGCUCGUAUCAUGGCAAUCUCCAUUUCCUUGUAGUACUCUUCAACGCUCUUGGUUCCUUGCUUGAGGAAUUGGAGUUUCUUGAAGAGGUCGCGGUUGUAGUAGGUAGGCACGAAACAUGCCCUCAUGACAUCCUUCAUUUGCGCCCAAGUUGUGAUGGGUGGUUCACGUCUUGCCUCUCGGUGCUCAAUGACUUGUUCCCACCAAAUGAGGAUGUAAUCUUGGAACUCAAGGGAUGCCAUAGCGAUCUUCUUCUCUUGGUCAUAGUUGUGCAAGCGGAAGAUCUUGUCAACCUUCAAUGCCCAUGAAAGGUAAUCUUCGGGAUCACUGCUUCCGAAAAACUUGGGCAUGGUGAACUUUAGCUUGCCGUAGCGUUGCUCUUCAUUGUGUUGGGGUCGAGGGUGAUGACGUCCUUGACAAGGAGGAUUGUCUCCCUCAACUUGCUCUUGUCGUGGAGGAUUUCCAUUGUCUUCUUGCUCUUGGUGAACUUGAGGUUCUUGUCGAGCUUGUGGAGGAGCUCGUCGAGCUUGUGGAGGAGCUUGAGGAACUUGACGAUGCACUCGUGAUUGAUAAAUACUCUCUUGAACUUCAUCCCUAAGUGUUUCUUCUUAUCCGCGCCUAUGGCGGUUGUGUGCGGCAACGACGCGGCUUGUGUCGUGGAGUGCACGUUGCGCCUCAAGUGCUUACGCUUCUCGCCGUAGUUGUUCUUGACGUUGUGCCUCGGCAUCUUGCUCGUCUUGGUGUAGUAUCGCUCGUUCUUCCUCUUGUUGGCGCAGAUGUUGCCGUUUGUGUGCUUGCGCGAAUGUAGCUUGGUUUUGACGAUGUCGAUGUUCUUGCGCUCGAAGUUGCUCUUGAUGAUCGGUGUCGUGUAGAGGAUUGCGCUUUGCUUGACGAUCUUGGCGCGCAGCUCGUCGAAGAGUGUUCGAUGUUGGAGUACUUGAGCCGGAGAUAGUGUCGUCGGAGUGUCGACUCGAGCGGCUCCGUCUUGAGUAGGAUGAAGAGGUAAAAAAGAGCGGUUGACCAACAAGGCACGAAUCUAUUCCAUUCUUGCAUUGCUCUCUUGUUUUUGUUCGUCAAGCUUGUUGUCGAAGUAGUCUCUUGUACGUUGCUCGGAGAGGCGUAAGUCGGUGGCGAGAUGGUUGAUGUGGUCGCUCAUUGCUUGUUGUUCUUGAUGUAAAGCUCAUUGUGCACCAAAGAGGUGGCUCUUGGUGACGUAGGAGAUCAUCUCGUCGUCUUGCUCGAUGAAGAGUGGGUUGGUAGAAGAACUUGGCCUAUCCAUCAUUCCAAGCAAAUAUGCGAGUGGGAGAAAGAGAAGAACUUAUAUCAAAUGUACCUUGACCGAUGUUCAAGAUGGAUCAAUGAUCACUCAAAUGUGUAACAAGGAAAUACCACAAUUGGUACCAGUUCUUGUCGGUUCUCACACCUACGCAAGUAAAAGCUUAUAGUGGAGCUCGGUUAGGAUGGUGGCACAAAAUUUGAUGCAAUUUUUAGUGAGCUUCAAUAAUGUUGGAAAAGAUUCACAAAUUUGCAAAUGCAACAAGUAGACCAAUAGCAAGAUAUGGUACACGGAAACACACACACGGAUAGAUAAAUGGGGUCGUGCAACCAAGGAUUGAGCCAAAAUGUGGAAUCCACAAAAAUGCUCUUGUUGCACAACACUAGAGAGACGCUAGCACGAUUGCACAAUAGGCGGAUAUGAAACUUGUGCACAACCUACUAAGCAAAAAAUGCAACAACUUCUAUGCCAAGUAUGCUAUAUGUACGGUAUUCCGAUGGUAUGAUCCAAGAUGAUCGAGUAUGACAAUCUUAAUGUAGUAUGAUGCUAUGGUUCUUGCCUAAAAGAUCUUUGCUUAACUUUUCUUUUUGCUUAAAAGUUUGUUUGGCUCUUUGUCUUUGGAACUCUUUUCUCAUGCAAAACUUCACGAACCAAGAUAGCAAUUGCGUAUGCGAUGACAACUUUGUGACACAAAAGAUGAUACCAAGAUAUAUAUACCAAGAUGAUAUGGUAAGUAUGCAAUGGGAAGUAUGCACUAAUGUGCACAAGUGACAUUGCCGGCAAUACUCAAAGGCCUCGAUAGGCAAGAUACGCAAAAUUGGGCUAUGGUGGUUAUCAAUGUAAUGGCAAGGCGUAGACCAAGAUGUCGUCGAGAUUACCGUCCUUGCUUACGGUUGAGGGUGUCGAAAUUGUUGAGCGGUUGUUGUCGACGACGAGUCCGUGGCGAAGAUGAGCGGCAGUGAUGUUGAUGUCGAACCGUCCCUAAGUAGCCGAAACACGUUAGGAAACAGAAACCGCAACUCAAAUUCUCAAAGCAAAACAUGUCAAAAUUGUCGGAGUUGGUAGCGGUUAAGCGAUGGUGGUAUUUGCAGAAAGCGGUGGUGAUAUGCGGAAGUGAUGGUGGUAUGCGGAAGUGUAAGUGGGUACCAGAUCAAAAUUUGGUGAGAGUUGGGCGGUAAACGGUGCGGUGGAAGGAAGUGAUAUUGUCAGGGGGCGGAUGUCUGGGCUCUGGAUCCGUGGAUGAACUUGAUGAACUCAUUGGGAAAUCGAAAUUCUGGGGCAAAAUUCGAGAGAUAUUAUGGAUGGAAAUUGGGAAAAGGAUGGGGGAAAGCUAGAUCUACUUGCAACACACGAAAUCCACGGAUCAAAUCCAACAAAACUUCAUCACAACAACAAAUCAAAAAAAUUUGGGGGGCUAUUUUUGUGGGGAAUUUUUGAAUUUGGGACAAAAUCAACAAAAACAAGGCUAGAAAACGAAGAUAGGGAGGCUCCGAAAUCGUGAUCAACGUGGCUCAUGAUACCAAGAUGAUGUAGGGUGCAACCCUAGAUGGCCGAUCUUUCACGAAAGGAGCGGAUACCGCGAUGAACACGAAGAACACGAGGAGAAAUCACGAGGGGAAACACGAGAGAAUCACUCAAACCAACAAGAUUCAGUCACACAUAUGCUAGAUCCUCGAAAUACAAAGAGAUACAAGAUCCAUGAUCAAUAAGGGACGAUACAAGUAGCACAUUCUUCUCCGUGAGGAGGUCUUGAGGUCUUCCCGUUAGGUGUCUUGACUCCGCUUGGGGGAUCUUCUCCGUAGAGGUCGUGAACUCCGGUGGAGAAGUAACCAAGGGGAUGAGCAAAGCUCUAUCUCUAAAUUGAGCUAAUCCUUUGCUAACCCUAGAAAGAGGGAGGAGAAGGAGUAUAUAUAGUCUAGGUGGGAAAAGGGGUACACGGGCCUCGGCCCUUUACUCUGCGCAGACAGACGGGGCCGAAUGUCCGGGCGUCGGGCCGGAUGUCCGAGCUGGGGGGCCGGAUGUCCGGGCUGGCGAGGUCAGCCUCGGUGCUCUCUGGAUAAGGGGCGCCGGAUUUGCGGGCUUCUGGCCUGAUUUCCGGGCUGGGUCGGAUGUCCGGGGCCUGUAGGUACUUGGCGGCUGGGCAGCUACUGUGGGUGAUGUUCCAGGGGCUGGAUGUCCAGGUCCAGGGAGUUGUUCUUGACUCCUUCCGUUGGUUCUCUUCAUCCAUGCACUUGGGGACUUGUCCGUCUUCACGUGCAUAUUCGGGUGUGUUCUCUUAGUAUCUAAUCAUGCACAACAUUCCGGACUUAGGUAGUAGCCACGUCUUGAGUGGAUCAUAUGUGAUAUCACUAAGGAAAGAAGUCACCUCGCUCUCGAGAGCUCUAGCUCGUGCUCAUGUCAUAGGCCCUCUUAGCACUUGGUGAGACGAUGGUAGGUCCAUGGGGAUGACCAUAGGAUGCUCCACAUCACGGGUACUCCAACAUCCUUUAUAGGAGUAAUGACCCGCAUUAGUAUGCCUUGUUAGAGUUACAAAGCUAGAAUGUCAUGAUGCAAUUUGUUAUUCAUGACCGAUUUGCCACAAACAUGCAAGGAAAACAACAAAAUAUGAAAUCACUUCAGCUUGGGAAACGUUAGAGAUCAUUUGGCACAAGUUUUCUUUAGAAUUCUCACAUAACUUUACCACUAGAAAACGAGGCGUGGUCGUCGCCUCCCUUUUCAAGAAAGGACUUAGGAUUCCUCACACCCCACCCCACCUGCGCCAUCUCCAGUCCACCUCGUCUCCAGUGGCCCUAGGGCCAUGGAGUCGUGGUGGACCCGGGCUCUUGCUGGAGGGAGGGAUCUUGCUAUUUUUCUUGUUGUUUUUGUGAGGUCCUAUAGGGUUUGUGUCCUACUCAGAAAGACGAAUGGCGGUGGCUCCUUGAAGAUUGAAUAAGGUUCUCCCCGCCUGAUCCCUGUUUCGAUGAUGUUUCUAGAAUCAUCAGAGGGCACGCGGAGGUGUGUCUCCAACAUAUCUCGUGGGAUUCGGUCGGUGCUGGUCUUCGGUGGAUCCGCCUGGAUCCGGCCUUUGUUUGUCUUUAUUCGUGUGUCUGCGGGUUGGAUCCUCUCAAUCUAUACUUCUCUUCACCGACGAUGGUUGUUGUUCUUGUGCGCUGGUUCUAUGGGGCCUUAGCACGAGGACUUCCUGACUGUCUACUAUAGCAUGCUUGGUCCAGCUCCGGUGAGGGAGGGGUGAUGACGACGUCGCACAUUCGGCUCACUCCAGUACUUGUAAUCAUUGCUAGGUGCUCUACAAACAUGCAUGUUUAUUAAUUCUCUGUUCUUUGUACUGCCAUGACAUUGCAAAUAGAUCGGAAGUUUUCUCGAAAAAAAGAAAUGUUACCAGUAGAAAUGUAUUACCUUUGGAUACAUUCCACAGUCCCUGGGCGUCAAGGAUAGCCUCCGCCAUGAUCACCCAGGAGGUGUAGCUCGUCAUUGUCAACGACUCAACGGCGGCAGCUGUAACGACAUCGCCCCGCCACCACCACUGUGAGGGACGAGCGACAUGGCCGCCGGUGAUCGCCUCGAACCGUAGCUCUGAUGCCAAUUGUUGUUGUCUAACCCUAAACCCUAGCUCUCUCUCUCUCACCGUAGCACUCUCUCCUCUCUCUGGUGCACUCGAAUGACACAAGGAAGAAGAAGACCGGAGGAAGAAGAAGGACACAGGGGACACGGUGGUUUUUCCGGCGCAACGACGCCCAGCGCAACAACGCCAAUUUCACGAGCACGUACUCGACACCACACCCAUUACAACGAGCUCCACAUGGGUCUUAUACCCAGGGCCAGCAGUGGGCACGACCCACGCUCCCACCCAGUCCACGCACUUGAUUCGGCCCGCUCUGGCCGUUCCCACAACGCGCACACACGCGCGGGGAUCGCGCCGAGCCCGCAACGGAUCAGUGCCAAUCACCCCGUCCAGCUCGCCAACGGCCUGGACCUGGUCUGGUGCCUCGGGCGCACACACGCGCAUUCGCACCCCCUGCUCUACCUACGCACGCACACAUACAACCCAGACCUGCCCCGUACACUGGUCGGAUACAGGUCAGACUAUGGCCAGAGUAUGGACUUGUCGGAACAUGGCCAGACAAUGGCCAGACAUUGGCCAGACACUCACACACGCACGCACGCCACGCAUCCGAUGCGUGCCCCGCACGCACACACGUACACCCGAUGCGGUCGCCGUGGCUUAUUGCCAACAUGAAUUAAUUGUGUGUGUUUAUUUAGAGGGGUCUAUCAAUUUGGGAGCAUGGCGGUGUGGCAACCGGCUCACGCGUGUCCGACGUGCUCCCCAGUGUUGCCGGCGUGGUCAGCAUCAUCGCUGCUCGCCGCACAGUAAGUGUUCGACGAAAUGUAUGAGUUAAACAAAUCUUUGCUCCAGUGAGUUUAGGGGAUCGCUAGAAACGACCAAAAUUUAGGAAUAGAAGUACCCCACGAAAGGAUAGUGGGACGUUUACUUCUCUAAAUUUUAAGGGAUUGGUUAGAGAUGCCCUAAAUGCCGGAGUCAGAUACAUUACUGUUCAUGAUAGGUCUUCUCGUCUGAACUGAGAGCUGCUGUCAUCACAAAAAACGUAUUAUAAGCACUAUAUAUUUGAAAUUUUGAAUGGAGGGAGUAUGGAAUUACAGAAUGAGCACACAAAGGACGGUCCUUGCACGAUUUAUGGACGAUAGAGCCAGUUGAGCCAUUCAUCACAUCUGAUGCGUGGAUUUGCACCUUUGGAUCAUCGCUCGUGCAAGGAUCGUGCAAAGACUAUCGUUCGUCAAGUAGUUUCGUUACAGAACUAGAAUGUCACGAUGGAAUCUUGUUGUCCGUGACCAAUUUGCCACAUACCACUACUAGAAAAAGGGGCUUUUGGCCCGGUUGGUAAGGCCCUUUAGUCCCGGUUUAGGGUCGUUACUAAUGCCUCUACCCACGUGGAGCUCCACCUUUAGUCCCGGUUGGUAACACCAACCGGGACUAAAGAAAAUUUUAUGAUUUUUUUGAAACAUUUUUUAAAAAAAAAAUUAGAAUUUUUUUUAUUUUCAAAUUUCUGAAUUAUUUUAACCUCUAAUCUCUAAUCACCACCCCUCAUCACUGCUCAAUUUAUCCUCUAAUCUCUAAUCACCCCUCAUCAUUCCAAAUCAUCUAACUUCCCGGACGGUCACCCAUCCUCUCACUACUCCAGCCUGAGUACGCUUAACUUCCGGGUUCUGUUCUCCCUCGUUUCCAAGUCUGCACUUAUUGUUUUCCUGACAAUAGUAAGUUGUCAAUCCUAUUAACCCUCGGGAAUUUGGCUUGAGCAUGAAGUGACACAUUUCACUGUUUGAGUCUGAAACUAUUGUUUUAAAAAACAAUAAUUAUUUAAUAACACUAAUAUUUCUUGAAUAAUUAGUUUGACCAUUGUUUGACCAGAGUUUGACCAGAUUUGACCUAAAUUAAAAAAACUGAAAUAAUUAUUUAGUAACACUAAUAUUCUAGAAUAAUUAGUUUGACCAUUGUUUGACCACGGUUUGACCACAGCUUGACCAGAUUUGACCAAAAUUCAAAAAAACUGAAAUAAUUAUUUAGUAACACUAAUAUUCUAGAAUAAUUAGUUUGACCAUUGUUUGACCAUAGUUUGACUAGAUUUGACCAUAGUUUGACCAGAUUUGACCAAAAUUCAAAAAACUGAAAUAAUUAUUUAGUGACACUAAUAUUCUAGAAUAAUUAGUUUGACCAGAUUUGACCACAUUUUUUCCAAAAAAAAUUGAAACUAUAUUUUUUUGUUACUAGUGGCGCACCUAGCAAAUGGUGCGCCACUAGUAAGUUUGAAAUUUUUUCGAUUUUUUUCCACUCUAGAUCUUAAAAGCCCCGUAACUUUUUUUCUGUUAGGUUUUUGAGGAUUUUGAAAAUGUUUAAAGGGGUACCCCGGUUAAAUUCGGAUGUAACUUUUUGAGUAGAUGAUUUUUUAUAUAAAAAACUUUUUAAUCUGAGUUCGUAUGCAAAAGUUAUGCCCAGUUUACAAAUUCCAGAGAGAUUUUGCAAAUAAAGUCGAAAUUCAUAUUUGUAAAUUUUCCCAACAACUAGACCACAUAUCACAUGGGAAACUUAUUUUAUUUUAUUUUUUUGACAUUUCCAUCAUUUUUUUUUUCUAAAACUGAAAAGGCGGUCCACAGGGAGGGAGGGGGGUAGGGUUUGAAAAUAGGACCUUUAGUACCGGUUCGUGCCAUGAACCGGUACUAAUGCCUCAAAGCCCAUUAGUACCGGUUGGACCUUUAGUCCCGGUUGGUGCCACCAACCGGUACUAAUGGGCAUCGCACCCUUUAGUCCCGGUUCGUGGCACCAACCGGGACUAAUGCCUUAGCCGCACGAACCGGGACAAAUGCUCACAUUAGUCUCGGUUCGUGACUGAACCGGGACUAAUGUGAAUACUGCCCUGUGACCAAAGCCCUGUUUUCUACUAGUGUACGUGCGUGGAAGACUGCAAAAUAUGAAACCACUUCAGCUUGGGAAACGUAAGACAGAAUUUGGCACAAGUUUUGUUCAGAAUGCUCACAUAACUUUACCACUAGAAACCAUAAUAUGGAUUAACAUAAGCGGGUGGAACUUAACUAACGGGACACAAGUUCUUAUUCAUGCCAGUAGAUGGCUAAAUUGGAUCAACUAACUUAGCAGUGCAAACCCAGGAGGCCAGAACCAAAAGUACACCCGCUAAACACAACUAGUACUAUCUGAAGACUCCAAUGCAUAAGCAUUCAGAUCCUUAGCGCUUUAGACUUGUUAAUUCUUCUAGGAGCCAGCUUCUUGAUGUUUCAGGCUUGUUUUCUUCUUCGAGCC
This 209684-nucleotide long non-coding RNA is filed under the name Triticum aestivum (bread wheat). Its description in RNAcentral is "long non-coding RNA (TAES_LNC017494)". The record is from RNAcentral. Lineage: Eukaryota; Viridiplantae; Streptophyta; Magnoliopsida; Poales; Poaceae.